GUAUGAAAAGAUAAAUUGAAAUUAAGUUAAAAUUUUUUUGUUAACUUCUCAUGUCAAACCACACAUGUGAAAUGAUUGUGGUGUCCUAACCUCCGGGAUGGGUCACAUCAUUGGCUUACAUUUCCAUGAGAAGGGUUAUGAUAAAUUAGCAAUGAUGCUUCAUGCUAACGUGCCUUCAAAUUUUUAGGUUGAUGUUUUUCUUGUUGCACCAUAUCUCAUCAACAAGAUACCUUCCACAACUUUGAACUUUGACACCUACAUUAAAAGUAAAUAUUUCUCAAAAGGUAUAGCAAACACAAAUUCACCCAGAAGACAUACCCUUUUUGUCUUCCUAGCCUAUUGCUCUGUUCAAAAGAGAUAAAUGCUUGCAUGUAUCCCCAAACAAAUAGAGUUUAUCAAGACAUGUUUCUACUUGCUAUGCAUGGAAAUCCAUAGCUCAGUUCCUUUCCUAAAAGGAUGAAUGGCUCACACCACCGGCCGAAAUAAGUAUUCAACAGCACUCGAGCCUUCAAGCCAAAUACAGUGUCAUAUUGCCUACUAUUGACAUAACACCUAUCACUAGUAAUCUCCACCCUCCUACAUUUAGGUUGUAAACUUUUUUAAAGAGAUCCUAAACUAAAUUAAAUUGCUUAAUUCUUAAAAUCCAUGUAGAUUCUGUUUAAUUUACAGCAUGGAUGUAAUAAGUCUAACAGGCUCUUCCUCUUUUGUCAUUCUCUUUAGCUCCUGUUCAAACCUUUCCAUGACUGGCGGAGGCAGGCAUAUAGGUAUAACAUUCCCUUCUUCUCCUUUGCUGUUCCUGAACCGCAUACAGAAGCUAAUAUUAGAUAAAGCCCUAGCAAUCCCACCAUAGACUGGCUUUCCCCACCCGAAGUCGAUCUCUCCAAACCCGGCACGUGUGAGAUCUGAAAUAAGAUAGUUCCCCGGCUGCGUAAAUGAGGGACGGCCCUUGAUGACCAUAAGAUCUGCCACUGAUUUUACAUACUCUUGGCUCAUUUCCGCCUUGGCUUUCUUCAGUAACCUUAUCGCAUAUUCCAAUGGGUUUUUACAUAGCAUUCCAGCCUUAGUAAUUGAAGCUGGAUAAACAAAAGCAUUUCCAUAGUAUCCUGGAGGCAGAUCGAAACCGCGCUUGCCUCGCAUAUUGAUUAAGCAUGAAAUGCGAACAACCUCAUCAGGGUCUACUGCAAAUGCAAUUGUGCGGCAUCUCCAUACAUACGCUAUUAGAACCUCAAACGUCGAGCAGGCACCGAGGCUUGCAGGAAGUCGGUUCCUAAGUGCUCUUAUCUCCUUGAGGCCAAAGAAGAAUGAUCGAUGAACCAAAUUAUUUUCGUCCAUGGUCAUUAGUGUGCCCCUGGUAUUGGUUACCUCCUCGUAUUCAUGAUGUAUACGGGUAAUUCGUGGCGGAUUUCGGGCAUUUAACAGCUCUCUUUGCCAUAUGGGCAGCAGAGAUGGCACAGACAGACCUUGAGCCAUCUCGCUUAUGGCGUCGAGGAAUUGGACCAAGCCAGGACCAUCACUCAUUGUGUGGUUUAGGCGCAAUGCAAAUAUAAAUCCUCCACACCUCAAUCGGGUCACCUGCAUUGUACAAACAUCGGCUUUAUCAAUAUAUGUUUUAGCAACAUCCAAUGAAAUAGACAAUUUUUGCUUAAGUAUUGGGUUAUUUGAUAUCUAUUUUAAAUCAUUAUCAAUUAAUAUUUUUUUUUAUUGAUUUUAACUCAUCUUUGCUUUCAUUAAUUUUAAAUAAUAAAUUUAUUUAUAAAACAAUCAUAAAAUAUUUAUUAUAAAAAAUGGAUGUAAAAUAAUAAUUCUAAAAAAUACUCUCACUAAUGUGGUUUCAAAAAGUUACUUUUAUUAUUUCAAAAAACUAAAUAUUUUUAUUUUUUCAAUUCAAUUAAAAUUUUUAAAAAUAAGUGAAAAAUAAAAAAUAAAGAAAAAGUUAAAAACAAAGUAUGUGACAUAUGAAAGUAAAUUACAUUCAUUAUUAAGUUAAAAAUAAAUACUAUCUAAAAUAAUUAUUUUAAUUUAAUAAUUAAAGUAAAAAUAAUUUAAAUAUAAUAUUAAGUUGUCUAAUCAAAUAUCAUUUUUGGGUAAAGUUGACUUACCAAACAUUUUCUUAUAAUGAAAAAUAUUUACCUGAAUUAAGAUAAGAGGGGAACCAAGAAUUUCCCCGGAGCCAGGGACAUCAUACAGAAUCUCCUCGUAGCAGGGGCACAUUGGUUGAAUUGAAUCACCAAGAUUCUCAAGUGUGGUAUCGGCAUCGGCUUCAAUGAACAAGACCCCUUCACCGGUGCAGUCCACCAUGAGUUUUCUAUUAUCCCCUUCAAUCAGCCUACCUGCAAAUGGGUAGUAGUAUACAAGCGCCUUACCUAGAGCUUCUUUAAUGACCUUUGCAGGGUCUUUUCCUUUCAUUAAAGGAUUGUUUGGGUAAAACAUUAUCACAGGAACUUGAAAGCGAAGGCCUUCUUGAUCAUCUAAAUCAGAAAGCUGCUUCACCUCUCGUGGGGUAGGGUUUGUAGGCCGAACAAACUCUGGAGCACACCGUUUAACGGAGAAUACUAGAGGAGACGAUGAUGAUGCCAUGUCCUUCCAGGCAAGGAGUUUGUUGAUAGAAUAUAGAAAAAAUGAUGAAGAGAAAAUUGAAGGAGUUUAUGUGAUGGUUUGCUUUGAGAAGAAGGUAGCUGAUAUUUAUAGCCUAUUGCUGCACUCCAAUAACGCGGCGGAGCAUCUUGCUCAGCCUACGACACGGUUUAGAUAAGACAUAAGAGGUAGAAUUUUAGAUGUGUUUCACGUGUUUUUUUCUCUCCAGGCCCCAAGAAGCUACACAACGAUAAAAAGGCAGAAUUUUGGGUUGUGUUUCAAAUCCACCCACUGUCUUAAUGCACCUAAAAUAUCAUCACUACUCUUUUCUUCUGCACCACACCCUCCUAUCAUUCUUACUCUACGUGUAUGGUGUCCAUUGUUUCACGACCCCCCUAAAAGCCAUGGUCCUUUCCUCUACGUUAUGUCUCUUUCAAUGUCAGAACGGUCCCCUCCUAUCAUAAAAAAUUAGGGAGAAUUGUGUUUUGGACCCAGCUAGGCACAAAAAUUAAUAAAAUAUCCUCCAAACACCUAUAAUUGAUUGUAAUGAUAUAAGGUUGGAAUAGACAAAAAUACCCCUUUUUACUUACACCCAUCAUUUUGUCUUUAUACCACCACUCUUUAGAUGCCCAUCCAUAAAAUUCUCCUUUAUUUAAUCAUUUUUUUAUUUUUUAUUAUUUUUUAAACUCCUUUAAAAAUAAUUGAAAAAUCAAUAUUAUUUACUAUUUUUAAAUUAUAAAUAAAUAAAAAUUAUAUUAAUGAUUCAAAAAUUAUUUUGGAACAUACUUUUGAAAAAAAUAUUAAUUUAAAUGAAUAAAAAUUACUUUUUACAUUUUACAAGUAAAUAAUUUAAUGAUUAAAACACUAUUUAAAAUAAAUAUAUUUACUAUUUUUUUUCUUUUAUACUAAAAAGUAUUUUAAAGUUUAUUUUUUUAUUAUUAUAAAAUAAAAAGUUUAAAGUUUUUUUUUUUUUAAUCUUUUUCUUUCCAUAGUUUAAUAAUUUUUUGAACAUAGACUUUUGUAAUAAGUUAUAUGAAUGUUCCAAAUUUGUUUAUUAAGGAAUUUUUUUAAUGAUUUGAAUUAAUUGAAAAUUUAUUGAAAUGAGAAAAAAAAAAAAGAGAGAAAGAGGAUAGAUGAAGAGUUUUUAUUUUAAAUAUCCAACUAAAAUGUUUUCGUAUUUAGAAAUGGAUUAUAUCAAUACAUAGCAUAGUAAAGAUUGAUUUUUUUCUCAUACAAAAGAGUUAAAUGAUAUGUUUACUCAUUUUAAAUAAAAACAAGUAGUUAAAAAUUAUAUAGAUUAUGUUUGAGUUUGGUCUUAAAAUAUUUUUUCUAGUUUUUAUUAUUUUUUUAUUUUUAAAAAUUAUUUUUAUUUUCUAUAUUGUCUUUUUUUGAAAAUAGAUUUAAUUAAAAAAAUGAAAAAUAUUUUUUAAAAUGAAAAUUGAAGACCUUGUUUAAUACUAAGAUAAUAAAAAUAAUUAAAUUUCAUUUAUUAAUUAUUCUUUUUUAUUUUUAAAAUAUAAUAUGUUCACAAUUAAAUAAAAGAAUUGGUCAAUUGUAUAUUUUUUUUCACAAAAAUGUAAUAUGUUCAUAAAAAAAUUGGAUUGAAGUUUUUCAUCAUUUUUUUAAUCAAACUACUAGAAUCAUGUUUAAUACAAAUAUAGGCAUAUAUGCACUACGGGAAUAUGAAAUUUGUGUCACUAUAUAAGAGUAUUUACUAACUGUAUAAGAGAAAUGUACUAAGUGUACAAGUAGUGUAUAAGAUUACCAUUUAUAAAAUAUUUCAAUCUAUUUUGAACCACUCCUUUAUUUUCCUUGUCACCCACAAAUUGCAUAUUCAUGUCAUGCACUUUAUUUAACUCCCAUAUGGAAAUUCUGAUACUUUCCCCAAUAAUGAUGUUUGGAAAAAAAAAAAAACUAACCCUAAUUCAUCCAUCCUUUUAUUAGUUAAACCAUUAGAAAUAUGGUUAACACACCUACAUGGACAUAUUACUUAGGAUAGAUAUAUUGUACAAUAGUAUUACACUAAUUGUACAAGGGAAAUGUACUAAGUGUACAAGGGUGUACAAGAUUACCAUCUAUAAAAAAAUUUAAUCGAUUUUGAAUCACUUUUUCAAUUUCCUUGUCACCCAUAGAUUGCAUACCUACGUCAUGCAAUUUAUUUAACUUUCACAUGAAAAUUUCGAUACUUUUCUUAGUAAUAAUGUUUGGGGAAAAAAAAUUUAAUCAUAAUUCAUCCACCAUUUUGUUAGCCAAACCAUUAGAAAUAAGAUUAAUAUAUCUACGUGGACACACAACUUAAGAGGGAUAUAUUGCACCAUUGUACAAUGAUGUUACACUAACUGUACAAGGGAAAUGUACUAAGUGUACAAGGGAAAUAUACUAAGUGUACAAGGGUGUACAAGGUUACCAUUUGUGAAAGAUUUUAGUCGAUUUUGAAUCAUUUCUUUAUUUUUUUUUUGUUACCCAUAAAUUGUUUAUGAAAUUUGCACUAUUAUAUAAGGGUGUUACACUAAUUAUAAAAGAGUAUUCCACUCACUGUGUAAGGCAAUGUACUAACUGUAUGUGGUAAAUGUACUAAUUAUACAAGGGUGUACAAGGUUAUCUUUUAUGCAAGAUUUUAAUCAAUUCUGAACUUUUUUUUUUUUUUUUUGUCACCUAAGGAUUGAACACUUUUCCCCCACACAUUCCUUCACCUAAAAAUUGUUUUAAUUUGAAAUUUGAAAUUUCAUCAUCCAAAAUUUGUAAUUGCAUAUUUCAUUUAAGUAGUUUUAACAAUAUUUUUUCUUACAACAUUUACAUCCUAUAUAAAGGAAAAUUAACCAUAAUAUUUAGGUAUUACCUUUUUUUUUUUUUGUGAAAUCAAAUUAAUAUAAAUGGAUAACACAUUAAUGUCAUUGUUUCAAAUAACUUAAGACAAUAUAAACAACAGAUAAUAACUGUUGAGGCAAAAUUAUGAAUAUUUUUUUUACCAAACUAUGUCAUUUAGAUCUUCUCUACCAAAAUUAAAACAUAGGAAAUAAAAUUAAAAUUAAUCACAUUUAAAAUGUUUAUUACAAGUAAACCGAAUGAAAUAUAUAUUUUUUACUAUUUUACCUUUAUAAACAUAAUGUUAGCAGAUAUUAAAAAAAUUAUAUUUAAAUAGAAUUAAAAAGGAUAAAAAAUUAUCUUUGUAACAUUUGUAAUUUUUUUUAUAAAAAAUCAUUAAUUUAAAUUAUCAAGUUAAUUUAAAAUAAUUUUUUUGUUGUAAUUAUAGUUUUAAAGAUUCUACGAUUUUUAUAUUAUUACUUUUAAUUUAUUUUCUUUGAUUUUUUAUUUUAAAUUUCAUCUAAACUUGUUUUUUCUUACAUUUAUAUGUUUUCUAUUAUAUCCUUAUUUAAAGUGAUUUUCAUCUAAUUUGUAUUCCAUUAUAUUCUCUUUUCAAUUUUAAUGUGUUGUUAUACCUCUUUACAUAACAAAAGAUUUUAUUAUUUUUCAUCUACAAAACUUUAUACAAAAGAUAUCAUGUACGAGGAAAAAAAAUAAAAAAAGAGAAAACUAUGAUAUAAUUUACAUACACAUCUCUUAAUAUGAUACAUUUGCUUGACUUAAUGACAUCAUGCUUUAAUAAUUUAAAUCAUGUCAAGUCCACAUUUAUUUUAAAUUUAAAAAGGCAUUUGAAUAUUUUUCAAAUUAUUAAGUUAUAAUACAUUAUUCAAUUAAAAAUUAAUUAUCACCAUUAGUUAAAAGAUGAUCAUGUUACAAAAUAAUAUAUUAAAACAAUAUCAAUGUAUUGUCCAAAAAUAGAGAAAAUAUUCAAAUAAUUGUCUACAACCUUAAAGAUAUUUAUAUAUAUAUUGGAUAAAAAAGAAAAAUAAUAUUUUUUUAAGGUGUUUAAAAAUUAUUUAUUAUAUAUUUUGUAAGUUUAAAAAAAAAUAUUUUAUGAGGUAUUUAAAAAAAUUUUACUUUAAAAAUAUAGUAAUAAUCCUUUUCAACCAUUGAUUAUCAAUCUUUAAUUUAUUAGGCAUGGUUUUUGGGAGAAAAAUAAUUGAUGAAAAUAGUAGCACCUUUCUAGAAAAGAAUUAAUUUACAUGUCCCACCGAUUAAUAUGUGAGAGAAAAAAAUAAGGUGAAUGAUGAAAAAGAGAGGGAAAAAAAGAAUGAAAGAGAGUGGGAAGUUAGUUGUUUUUUUUUUCUUGUCGACAAUAAAGGGCAUUUUCGGAAAAUUAAAUGUUUCAUAUCCUUCUUUUCAAUUUGUAGACUUUCUUUAGGUGUUGGGUUUAAAUAUGAAACUUAUGAGGAUCUUUUAUCAAUUUUUGGGCCCAGCUGGGCCCAAAACACAAUUCUCCCAAAAAAUUAUUGUAAUCCAUUGUGCAAUACAUCCCUCUCUCUCUCUCUCUCUCUCUCUCUCUCUCUCUCUCUCUCUCUCUCUCUCUCUCUCUCUCUCUCUCUCUCUCUCUCUCUCUGUCUUUGUACACAUACAAAAUUUCAGUUAAUUAAAUUAUUAUUAAAUUCCUCUUUAAAAUUUCUCCCUCUACCUCUUUCUCUCUCUUUGUACACCUACAAAAUUUCAGUUAAUUAAAUUAUUAUUAAAUUCUUCUUUAAAAUUUUGAUUUCUUAGUGAAAUGUCAACAUGUGACAUACCAUUUAAAAGAGGACACUUGGUGAAAUUUGAAAGACUAUAAAAUUAAAUUUUAUAAAACAAAAACAAAAACAAAUAAGUCAAUUGAAGUUCAAAAGAGAAAAUAUUUUUUUAUUGGUAAAUUUCUUGAACAAAAGAAACAAAUCUUUUUAUUAAAAUAAAAAAACUAAAAAUAAAUAAAUAUUCUUUGUUAGCAAAUCUCUUGAAGACAAGUUUCUAAAAUAAAAAUAUCAAAUUCUUUGAAUUAAACAAAUUAAAUCUUGGGAAUUCUUUAACUUCCUUCAAUGGAGGGAAUCAAUAAAAUAAUUUUAUAUGGGAAAAAUGUCUUCACAAGAAGAAAAAUAUUUCUUAAAAUUUAUCCAUAAGUUCGAGAAAUUAUAAAAUAUACAUGUGAUCUUGUCUCUUGACAAAGUCAUUUGGAAAAUAUUUUGAGGUGAUCAGGUUUGAAAAAGUAAAAGAAAAAAAAAAAGGUAAUAGGGUGCCCAGGCCUAAAAGUGUGAUGCUUUUAAUGAUGUUCAAAACUACAAAGUCAAAUACCUUUAAGGAUAUUCAGAGGUAUAAUUUCAUAUAUUUUAAAAGUCAUCCAACCCUAAAAUUACAUAUAUUUUUAUCGAUUCCUCCAUUUUCAAGUGCUAAAAAAUGAAUAUAAUAAUCAAUAAAAAUAUCUGUAAUUUUAUCAAUUUUACAUGCUUUUAAAACAUGUGAUAUUAUACCUUUAGAUAUCUUUAAAAGUGUUCGACUUUGUAAUAUAUAUAUAUACUUCUAGAUUCCUCCAUUAGUGAAAUUUGAAACACUACAAAAUUAAAUCUUACAAAACAAAAAUAAAUAUGUCAAUUGAAGUUCAAAAGAGAAUUAUAAAUAAAUAUUUUUUAAUUGGUAAAUUUCUUGAACAAAAGAAAUAAAUCUUUUUAUUAAAACAAAAAAAGAAUUAAAAAUAAAUAAAUAUUCUUUUGUUAGAAAAUCUCUUUAAUAUGGAAGACAAGUUUCUAAAAUCAAAAUGUCAAAUUCUUUGAAUUAAACAAAUUAAAUCUUGGGGAGUCCAAAUUUAAUUCUCUAACUUCACCAAUAAAUAUUAAUGACUUCCUUCAAUGGAGGGAAUCAAUAAAAUAAUUUCAUACGGGAAAAAUGUCUUCACAAAAAGAAAAAUGUUUCAAAAAAUUUAUCUGUAAGUUUGAGAAAUUAUAAAAGCAUUAUAUAUGUGAUCUUUUUUUUCAACAAAGUCAUUUGAGAAUAAGUCACUUUAAACCCUUAAUUGAUUUUCAAAACAAAGAAACACUUCAUCAUUGUCUAUUAAAUUAUGAUCAAAGUAAAGGACCGAGAGAAAAAAAUAUUCUUUUGUAAAGAAUAUUAUCAAAGAGUUUGUACCCCACAAUUAUUUUAAUAAAAACAAUUGUUAGCAUAUUUUUUCUAUUAUUUUGAUUGUUUCGUAAGACUUCACACAAUUUGUACGUAUAAAUUUAUGGCAAGGAAAGUUGAUAGGAUUUUCUUUUGGUUUAGUUUUUUAGGAAAAUGUUGAGAACUAUUAAAAUUAAAGGCAUGUUUGAUAAGUGUUUUCGAAAACAACUUUGAAAAAUAGUUUUUGAAGAUGACUUUUAAAAAUUAUUCUCUGAUUUUUAUAGAACAAAAGUUUAUUUGAAAACUUAAAAUGUUUUCAACCUGUUCUUAAUAUUUUUAAACAUGUUUUAAAAAUAAUUUUUAUAUUUAGUAUUUUAUUUUUAAUCAUUCUACAUAUUUGUAUAAUUAUUUCUUAAAAUAAUCCUUAAAAAACAAGUUAAAACAAUAGAAAACUACAAAAAGAUGUUAUCUAAAAACACUUUAUUUUCUAUUUUUAAAAAUAAAAAAUAGUUUUUGAUUAUCUAAUAUGUUUUCUGUGUUUUUUUUUUAACAACAAAAUACUAUUCUAAAAAAUAUUUCCAAUUAGGCACUAAAUCUUUUAGAAUACCCUGUCCCCAAACUUUCAUCACCUUUUUUAUAAGAAAAAUGGGAAAGAAAUUCUUUUAACAUUUUCCUUUAUUCUUACAUUUUGUCCACGUUAUCCAUAGAUAAUAAAAUCAUUUCCCAAUCUUUUCUCACUUUCUUUCAUAGGUAAAUGAGGAAAAUUGGUUAUGCAAUGCAUUAAAUUUAGCAGUUUGCAACAAUUAAUCUUGUGUAAUAUAUACAUUUUUUAUUAUAUAAAUUUUAAAAAUAUAUAUGUCAAUUUAUUUAUAUUUUUUCUUAGAAACCAAAUGGUGAUUAUUCUUACUUUAUUUAUUUUUAUAUAUUUUUAAUUGGAGUGUUUUCUGUCACAUGUUGAUCUUGCAAAUCAACAGGUUCUCUUAAAAAGCUCCUCAGAUUGGAAAUCCACACACUGCAAAAAACCCAUUAGAUAUCAAAGUUAUACUCUUCAUGACAUUCUUCAUGGUAAGUUAUAUUCAAAUUCAACAACAUAAAGUUUAUACCAAAUUAGAUAUCAAAUAUUUCUCAGUUUCCAUGAAUGCAGUUUCAUGCUUAGACUUACUUGAAGAGCUCUCUUUACAUGGAUGAGUAGACUGACUUAUCACUAUUGCUUUAUUCUGAUUAGGAUGCUGCUUGAUGUUACAGCCAUGUGAAACCAUGUUUAUUGUUUUAGUUUUGUACUUUGGGCAACUUAAUCCAGCAAAAAUCCAUUUGCACAAUAUCAGGACAUUGUUUGUGUCAUUUUUGUCAAGUAAUGAAGUCCAUGUGUAACUAGACUUCACAUCGUGUGCUUUAUUUGAUCAAAUAUUAUUUCUUGUAUUGAUCGACAACAUAGUCUAGGAGAUUAUUACUAGGCAGAAACAUAGGUAACCAAUCUUUUAUAGAACUGUGGAGGUAUUUAUUUGUCUGCUUCAAUAAAAACAAUAUGUUUGUGUAUGAUUUAAGUGGUUUGUUUUGUAAAUGCAGAGAUGAAGGGUGUUAAAGGAGCACAACCUGUAGAUUACCUCACCUUUGACCUAAGAUUGGUGUUUUCAAUUGAACCACAUUGCAGGGGCAUAAUGGAACAAAUUAUGCGAUUACCACAAACCAUGGGGUACAACUCAAGUCAAUGGUCAAUGACAACUACCCUAAUGAAUCCUCGUACAGUCGUAUAAGCUCGUACAAUUGUAUUCCUUAUACAGCUUAUAUGGACAGUUUGAUAUAUUAAUAGAGCCUUACAAUCAUUCACACAAAAUCUUUAUGGACAGUUGUUCCUAUUGAAAUUUCAAUAAAUUAAACCUACCCUUAUGUAGAUAGAAUUUUUAUUCAUUAGGGUAAUAAUAUCUAAUCAUUUUGAUUUAUGGUUGUGAUUUAUCAGGAUUAAGCAAUAGUUUGCAGCGAGACCAUAAAGAUGAUCUACUAACAAGCUUCCUAAUAACAUGAUCUACUUCAACAAAGAAUAGUGUGCAGUGAGACUCUGCCUGCCCAUUCCCUCCUUGGUGAAGCAAUUUUUGCAUUUUUCCCGGAUCCCUCUUACCUUCACUCUGUUGGUUUUUAAACCAGAUAAUUAAAAGAAAAACGGAAGCCAGAAAAAUUUUCUCUUACAGUUUGUAAUUGAACUGCUGGACUCCAAUAAGGGUUGGGCCAAAAGACAUGUAUUAGUGUCUGAUCCAUGGGGUGGAUCAACCGAGGGUCCGAACAAGUUUUUUAAGUCCACACGAUCUCUGGAGAUACCAAGUAUUGAAUGUUUAAAUGACUUGCAUAUUUCUUAUUCUCAUUAUUUUUGUGACUUCAACUAAUAUGUGUCUUGUUUGCCCAGGCAAAGAUAGGCGUGGCCACUUGGUUGAGUGGGUAGAGAAGUCUUCAUUUGCCCGUCUCAACAAAUUGUUUAAGAUUGACCCAUUCGAGCGGAGUCACAGUGUGCUGCUCACUGAGAAGAACCUGAGGAUCGUUCUUGCUCAAGCCAAGCCAUUUGUAAUCCCUCUUCUUCCAAGGCUAGCACCGCUGACCCUUGUGCUGGGCGAGCACUUCAUGCUAAAGGACUUGCCUUUCUACAAGGUCACCCGACUCGUUGACACUAAGGCAAGACAGGCUCGCCUAAACGCUUGUGAGAAAAAAAUGGCAAGAGGGACUUUACGCCAAGCCCUUGGUUCCACUUCCUGAGUGACUUCAAAUCCUGUCCCCUGACUAGCAAAGAAGAAGACCAUUGUCAAACGCCAAGAAUGGAAUGUUUUCCAUUACGCACAAUCUCCGCAAUAAUGGGUAUGUGAAUACAUAAUGAAUGGUCAAGCCUUAGUCAUGCUGUAUCUGUGUAGGAUUUAUUCUUCUGACCUACUUGGAGAUAGAUCAGUCACUCGGCCCAAGGGCCAUUGAGCCAUUCGACUGAGGACGGUUUCCCAUACAGCUCCUUUAGCUAAACGGCCUUGAGAGAGUGGUGGACUUCAGGACGGCCUUGCAUAGAGGGUCCCACAAUAAUCUCAUGCACACAUUAAGCAACGAGUUUUCUUUCGAGGCCUGGGACAUGUUCAUUACUUUCUCAACUUGGAAGUCCAAAACUUUUAUGGCAGUAUCUUUGUUUCCUAAAGAAAGUAUCUUAGAGACUUACUUAGUGGGAUGAAAAUGCUUGAGUACUCUCACUUAAACAUGCUCAUGGCUAUCAAACCUAUGAGUAACCCAAUUGAUGAUCAUCCAAUUGAUCAAACCCUUUAUAGGCAGCUUAUAGGUUCCUUGCAAUAUCUCACGUUUACAAGACAGGGUAUUGUCUAUGCAAUAAACAAAGUCUAUCAACAAUUUCAAUCUCCCAUAGAAGCUGACAUGCAAGUUGUGAAAGUAUUUUGACCUAUUUAAAGGGAACCAUGGAUUAUGGACUUCGCUUUCUUAAAAAAAGGUCCCUUUAUUUAAUAGGCUAUUGCAAUGUUGAUUAGGCUAGAUGCACCAUUUACAUGUCCUAUGAAUGAAAACUCCAUGAUCCAGUUUUUCAAACAAUGCCACUUCCACUCUGCCAUUUACAUCUAACAAUUGUCACCAACUAUAAAUAUUUAGCAACCAUUGGUGACAUCAAUAUUGGUAAUCUGGUUCUUUGAUAGGCUAGGACUUAAUGAUUUUUAACACAUAAAUUUUCUCAAAUAAGAAAAUUGUUAACAAAAUUGUAAGUUGAUUUGUUUGUACUUUACAAUCAUUAAUAUGCCCCUUGAUUCUUCUAAUAAAUACACAAACACCAUUUUAAACAAUUUAACGUUUAAUUUUGGAUCAAAAGGAUGGGGUUUCAUAAAUAGACACUAGAUAAUAAAUUCUUUCAAUGAAAAAAAUCUUUAAAUCAUCAAAUAUUUCUCUAAGAAAUCUUUGAUAUUCUUUAACUCUUUAAGAGAUCUUCAAAUAUUCAUCUUUUCAAGAAAUCUUGAAUCUUGAAGGAAUUUCUUCAACAACUAUUAAAAUUUUUGUCCAUCUUCAAUGUGUGCUUUCAAAUGAGUGGAACCCUCUACUUAUUAGGUUAGAAAUUUUAUUUUGAUAUUAUCUCUUGCUUUCCUAGACAUAAUCAUCCUUUUUAUUGUGAUAAUUAUUAUUUAUUUUAAUUAUUAUAAUUAAUUAAUUAAGAUAAUUAUAAUAUUCUUUUGCUUCAUCACAAUUAACUGAUUUCUUAUUAUUGUUUUUGCAAGAUUUUCAACAUAUUAUUAGUUAAUUAUUGACACAUGACUUUUAAUGAGUGGACAAAUUUUUUCUUUGUACAUAUUUCUUUCAACAUUGAUCAUUGUUAGUUAGUGGUGACAAUCAACUAAAACCGGUAGGGAGUUCUUUAUACACCUAAUGAUUUCUUGAAAUAUCACAAAUUUCUUUUAAUGUUUAGGUUUAUUUUGCAAUAAUGGUUAAUGCUAAGGUAAGCUUGGGUUAGUUGGGUUAAGAACAAGGUUAUGUUUCAUAGGUUUAUUUCUAUUGUGAUUUUAGAUAGAGAGGUCCUUAUGUUCUUUUGCGAGUUUGAUGUAAAUUUUUAUGUUAGUCCAUUUCACCAUAGUUUUAAAUACAUCUACCUUGUUAUAUUCUAUAUAUAUAUAUAUAUAUAUAUAUAUAUUUGGCUUUUCUUUCAUAUGGGCUCCAUAUUUUUUGCUAUUGUUUUCAUGAUUUCAAUUUCAUUCUUUGUUUCCAUUCCACUUAUGGUGGCAUCUUAUUGUCUAAAGUUUGUGUAAGAAUUUCUAAAUUUCAUCCUUUGCAUAAUUUUCAUCACACUUCUCCAAAAUAAGAGGAGAAUGAUUGGUUACUUUCAUUUUUAAAAAUAUGUAUAGGAAAGAAAAGAAAAAAAUAAGAAAACAUAUAUACUUAGCAAGCUUGAAGGAACAAUCAAGGUAGAUUGCCUUAGCAGAAUGAAACUCAUGGGAGAAGAAAAUGGAGUUGUCAGUAUUAUGUCUAGGAAGGUGGUGCAAUUCUUAUCCAACGAGUGUUAAGGUUGAAUAUGUGAAAGUAGAGCAAGAUGGGGUGUUUACAAAAGGUUAAAGGUGUGUGGGUUUUGUAUUAAGAUAGAUACUAUAAUAUUUUAAAAUCAUUCACACUCAUUGGGAUAUAUUUAACUUGUAUUAAUCCAAUCUCCCUACUUUGGUUAAUUAUAUGGUAAAAACCUAUAAAAACAAAUACAUUUAGAUUGUUGGGAACAUAAAUCAUUCUUUUGAGUUAAAUAGCAUAAUAAUUAAGUUGCCAAAAUUUUCCAUUGUGGAUACAAACACAACUUUUUGGUGAGCCAUAUGUUAUUUUCAAUAAUUAUAAAUUUUAUGUAAUUGGACAUAGAUUGGCCAUUGUUCAACUCUCAUUGCAACCAUGAAAUUACACCUCAACAUUCAAUACUAAAAAUGAGCAAAUUCUUAGCCUCGAAUUCAAGAAACUCCCAGCCAUUGGUUGGGCCUUAAACCAACCAUAGAUUAGACUCCUUGGGUUGUUUUGCUUGCCAUGGUGGUAUGCACCGAAGGCCCCUCCUAUACGCACUUAGAAGUACAUUAUCUCAAUUUCUUUUCCAUAUCUUUAAUCACUCAUUAGGCUAGUAUAUUAAGUUGGAAUGUGACAUUGUUUAGUAUUCAAAAUACUAUAUUUUGUUGUUAAAAAAAGUAAAACUAUUAAUAGUUCAAUAAAUAUAAAAAAUCUUAUUUUUACUUCGAUGUAAAAGAAAAUGAAUUAUUACAAGUUCAUUAAACAUGCAACAUCUUACACAGUUACCUAAAAUAAGGUUUUUUUUUUUGAAUUUUUUUUUAAUAAUUCCUUGUGUGUGAAUAAUCUUUCCAAAGAAAGGAACCCUAAUAUAUAAAUGUAUACACACACACACACACACACACACACACACACAUAUAUAUAUAUAUAUAUAUAUAUAUAUUAAAAUUCAAGUAAAAUCUCUAAAUGUGUGGACACAAUAUGGUGUUAAAUUGCAAAAGACUAAUCACACAUAUUACUUGAGAAUUUUAGUCCCAUUAUAUAUAAUUCUAGCUAAGGUGGGCCUCACUCUUCUUAGAAACCUAAUAGACAUUGAUUCAUUGAACCUUAGCCUUCAAAUAUAUAAAACCUAACACAUAUUGGCUAGUUGAACCUUAGCCGCCAAACAAUGAUCAAUGAAAUUCUUAAUUCUAGCAUAAGAAGAAGAAGAAGAAGAUACCAAGCAUGAGUCUAUCUUUGAUUAAUAGCUUGCGAGAUUGGAUCAAAAGACUUAGCAUAUGGUAAUCUUAUUCAUGUUUAGUUUGUAUUACUUUGGGAUUUCUUUAACUUUUGCUCAUUUGAAAGUAGGUCUAGUCAUAUCUUUAAAUUUUUAUAGUUUCUCUAUUUUCUUAUUGAAAAUUGAAGAAAUUUUAUGCUUAUACAAGGAGCUUCUUUGGAUUUAAUUUUUGGGAAAAUAAAACCCUAGAUUCAAAAGUAUUUUUUUAAUGCCUAAGAAAUUAUUAUAAUAUUAAAUUCUCUUCAAUUUUCUAAAAUUUACACAUAUACAUUUUGUGAACACUAAAUUGAAAGAAUAACAGUCAUAAAAUGGGAGUGUCAUUGUGUCAAACAAGUGGGCCUCAAUGUACUUCAUACUUGAGAGCCAUAAAGUUCUAGUCCCCAUAUGAAUAAAAUCAAAGAUGCUUUGAAUUUUAUGUGAGCAAUGAAAUUUCCUCUAUUUUUUCUAGUUUCUUUAAGUUACUAGUAUAAAGAGAAAUAAGAGGAUGAAGUCUUCAUUAUUAUUAUUAUUAUUAUUAUUAUUUUACUUUUUCUUUAUUUUUUUUCUUUAUUUUUUAUAUAUUUUAAUAUUAUUUGAUGUCAUUCUAAAUCAAUGACAUCCUUGAUCAUUUUCUUACAAUUUUUUAGGUUUUCAUGGUUUAAUAGAUUUGACCUAUGGAAGAAUAUGCAAGCAUAUGUUUCAUGCUUGUUUGAGUAAUAGCAAUGAGAUUCCCUAAUAUCAUUCUAAGAAUAGCUAGGAUUUCUAGAAGAAGAUGUCAUUCGUUUGAUGAGAAAUAAAAAGGAAUAUAAAAAAUUCGAGUGGCUGAAGCUGAAGCAGCUACUUUAAUUCGAAGUAACAAAAAAAAUAAAAUAAAUUAAAAAGCAACUAUUAGAGGGGGAGAGUCAGAGUUGAAAAGAGGAUUCAUCACUUCUCUUUCUCAUUCAAACCGUGCAUGAGAAUUUCAUCUUGCACGACUCUUUAGUUAUAAAAGAAAGAAGAACUCAUCUUCUUUAUUUUUUCAUUACCUUCCUCGCGUAUGUAUAAGACCGAAUCCAUUCAAUUUCUAAAAAGGAUUAGUAAUCCUUAACUUUUUGAUGAAUCCUUCAUCAAUGGUUGUGAAUGAUUGAUUUUUUCAAUCUUUUUGACCUUGGUUCCAUAGGAGCAAGUCAGAAAGAUUGGGAAAUAGAACCAUCUGAUUUGAUUCGUUCUCAAUAGCCAUGAGAUGAUCAUCUUAGGGUGAUCCCUUUGUCGAUGGAUGCUCCUAUUACACUUGUAGUCUCUGAAGGAUGAGAACCAACUAUGUAGCAUCUACAUCAAGAAUUCAAGUAUUGUAUACGCCAUUAGUUUGAUCCUUCGUAGGAACUAUCCAUAAUAACGAACUUGCAAAAUGGAUCUAUUUAUCAUAAAGAGAUUUGUUGUUCCUGACCUUGCUUUAACUUAAUUGUUAUUUGAACAAGUAAAAGUUAUGUCUUGGUCCAAGUGGGGAUAGCAUUUCUCUUCUGCAUGUCCAUAGAGUUUUGAAAAAUCCAAACAUCUCAGAGAUAGAUAGAGGUAGGAAUUUCUUGAAUGAACCACUUAUAUGGGUUUCUUUAGGCAACACACAAGUAAGACGAGUCAUGUCAUGAGUGGAAAAGCCAUAAAGCACAAACCAAGAUCCAUAACAUAAUACUAAAACCAAAAUGAGAAUGAGGUUGGUCUACGAUCAUUGAGGUUGGUCUAUGAUCAUCGUUAUUCGACAUACAUCGACUGAAGACUGUUUCCUGCUGAUCUUAUUCAGACCUAAAGUGGAUUCCCUAUUUAAUUUAUAUAUAUUAAUAUUUUUAUAUAUAAAUUAAUAUUUAUAUAAAAUGGCUGCUUACUAGACAAGGCAUUAGGUUUAUUCAUUCCAUAGAUGCCCCAUUUGUUUCCGAUAUGCACUUCUUUUCCAUCUGACUACAUUGAACUCCUCCUAAAAAAGUGCGUAAGGUGCCACCCACCCUUUCCCCUUACCCCUCUUACUCUCUAAGGAAUGAAAGGUUAGAUCUAACAUGGUCCAAAAAACUUGAAUAGGAAUGAGAUUCACAAUGCCAUCAUUGUAUGACCGAUAGUAGUGCAUGACUGACUUGGAAAAAUGCCCUUUCCAAGUCGUUCAUUAAGCUUUUCUUUUCCUUGUACAAAGCUUCUCUUCUUUCACUAACUCACUGCUCGCCUCUAAAAAAGAAGAUUUUGAACCCCAAUGUAACACUUAAUUAACGGGCAUUUUUGGGGACUAGCCCGCCUCUCCUUUGAGAGAUGCAACCCUCAAUCAGAAUACAAAUAAGAUUAGAAAGGACAUCAUUAAGGCAACAAUGCAAUUGCCUGAUAUGAUAUGCAGUGGACCAUGGGCAUAGUAGAAAAAAAGAACAAAAAUGAAAUUAUAAAACAUAUGAACUAUGAACGGGGAACAAAGGGGCUAUUUAAUUCAGUUAUGGCUGAUAGUAUGGCGUGACAAUAUUUACUUUUGUCUCGACUAUUUGAAAGAUUUUUUAAGAAUUGCUUAAGUUUCCGGUUUCUGGAAAUCGGUUCCAGCUCCAUGGUAUCGGAUAACCAAAUAAUAUGGAUACCUGCACGGAUAUCGUUUGUAUCUUCUAUGUGCACUCCUUUUUCCUUCAAAAUCUCAACCAUAACUUUUAAAAUAUCUUAUUGUAUGAUAAGUUAAUUCCUAAAGGUUAGGUUUAGGGAGAGAUCUUGUUUCAAUUCUUGAAGAAAAUCUUGGUGAGUCCUACCAUGUCCUUCUGAAGCUGCUGUAUUUGUCGGAUCCUGGGACUCUUUUCCCUGAGCUGGAAGAAAGAAAGAGGGCUCCCCGAAAGCACCUGGUGGUGUACAUGAUCCACCAUACAUUCCCCCCGACGUGGAUGGGUAGAAUUGAGCAACGGCUUUAUGGAGCUCAUCCAUGAGGAGAUACCUAAGGGAAAGAACCACCUUUGAUAGAAUAAGAGCAAGGAGGAGGGUUCCAAAAAAAUAAAAAAAAAAUAAAAAGAUUUUAAGUCGUUUUGGAAUUUGAUUUUUUAGUGUUUGAGAAAGAACACAAAUAGAUGAAAUAGCAGCAAAUAGCAUCUUUCUAGCCUGCAUAUUCGUGGAACUCAAUCUCAUUUAUUAGAAAGCUUAUCUCUAUCUUUCAGAAACUGAACAAAAAGUGGUUUAAGAAAGGACUUUAGAAUCGGAUGUGCUUGCCCAAUGAGAAAGGCCCUGCCAGCUAAGUUCAAAUAAAAAAGAAAGAAGAGAACGAAAGGAGAAGAGAACUUCGUAUUUUGGUAAUUCUCUAGGAGUCAUGUUUAACCUUGAAUGCUAUUAAUAGAUUCACCCCUUCAUAUUAGUAUGCCCUUUGAUACAUAACAUUUGUGGGAUGUAAGUCAAAUAUGAGUUUUUGAAUUAAUCCUAAACUUACAUAUAUUGUCCCUAUUCCUUAUAUUUCAUGGUUAAUUGUAAAAUGUGAUCUAUAUUAAUCCUAAACUUACAUAUGGUUCUCCUAUAAUUAAUAGUUGAUUAUGAACUUUGAAAUUUGUUAUUAUUCCAACUCUAAAAUAACUCAUUAAAUAAAUGUACCUAAUUAUUUUAUUUGGGCUAGAUAUUGAUCUCUAUGUCCUUUUACUAUUGUCAUUUUAAAUGUGAUUAAUUAUUAAUUUUGAUUUUCUUGUCUUUUAAUACUUUGUGCAGAUACUAGCACCAUGUUUAACUUUAAGAAGAUUGUGGUCUUGCUAGCCUAAAACUAAGAGAACUAGGAGAUAGAAAUUUCCAUUGCCGAUAUUUUACUGAAGGUAAUUUCCAUCUCUAAGAAGAUUCCAGAUUCACACAUCAUGUUCAGGCAUGGUUAGUCUCCACGGAAGAUUAGACGAAGAUUUAGGGCAGCUUUACACAAUUUGGAUAAUAUAGACUAAUUCAAUACUAGUUCGAAAUGAAACAAUAAAACCAUAAUGUCUAUUGGUGGGUGUUUAAGCAUGGAUAAAAUUGCUUCUAUGCUUACACCAUGUGUACAUAAAGGUAAUGUGGGACCCUCUCUGCAAGGGCAUCCAACAACCAUUCGCACUUGCAGCUGUCUGGGGGAAAUGCACUGGUGGCCGUUUGCCAGAAAGGCCCUAAGGCCGUGUGAUUGGUCUGUCUAUCCCAAAACUAGAAUGCAAACGGACAAUCCUUAGAUAGAAACAACAAGACUAGUGCCCAACUAACCUCUAAGCUUAGAUUGUGCAUCAGGCAUGCUCCAUAAUAAAUGCAGUCGUUACAAGGAGACAUUCCAUUAUUGGCGGCUCAUCAAGGCAAGACAACCAUUAUGCAUCAACAUGCAAUGCCCUAAUACCGCAUAAUUAAGCACAACUAUUCAAAUUUUGUAAAUAGACACUAGAUAACAAAUUUUUCAAUAAAAAAAUCUUCAAAUCAUUAAUUUCUUCAAGAAAUCUUCUCAGAUUCUUUAACUAUUCAAGAUAUCUUCAAAUAUUCAUAUUUUCAAGAAAUCUUGAAUCUUGGAGGAAUUUGUUCAACAGUUGCAAAUUUUUUCAUCGGUAUUCAAUGUGUGCUUUGAAAUGAGAGGCACCCUUUACUUAUUGGGUUGAAAAUUUGAUAUUAUCUCUUGCUUUCCUAGAGAAUCAUCUUAUUUAUUACGAUAAUUAUCAUAGCUAAUUAAUUAAGAUAAUUAUAAAAUUAUUUUUUUUACAAGGCCCAUCUAACAAGUGUCAACAUAUUAUUAGUUAAUUAUUGACAUGCGACGUUUAAUGAGUGGAAAAAAAUUGUCUUCGUACAUAUUUAUUUCAAAAUUGAUCAUUGUUAGUUAGUGGCGACCAUCUACUCAAACUAGUAGGGAGUUCUUUAUACACCUAAUACAUCACAAAUGUAAUUGAAUGUUUAGGAUUAUUUUUUCAACAAUGGCUAAUGUUGACACUAAGGAUGGAUUAGUUACGUUAAGAACAAGGUUAUGAUUUAUAUGUUUAUUUUUAUUGUGAUUUUAGAUAAGGAGGUCCUUAUGUUUUUUUGCGAGUUUGAUGUAAAUUUUUAUGCUAGUCCCAUUUCACCAUAGUUUUAAAUAUCAACUACCUUGUCAUAUUUUAUUUUAUUUUUUUUUAUUUUUGGGUUUCUCUUUCUUAUCGGCUCCAUCUUCUUUAUUGUUGUUUGCAUGAUUUUCAUUUCAUUCUUUGUUUACAUUCCACUUGGCGUUGGCAUCUUAUUGUCUAAGGUUUGUGUAAGAGUUUUUAAAUUUCCAAAGUAGAGUAUGGUACUCAUCCUUUUCAUCAUUUUCAUCCCACUUCUAUAAGAUAAGAGGAGAAUGAUUCGUCAUUUUCAUGGAAAGGUUUUAUUUUAAGUCUUUGCUCUUAUACUAUCUCUCCUUAUUCAUGCUUAUAGAAUUUAAUACAUUAAUGAUACUUUAUUUUCAUUUUAAAAAAAUAUUUAUAGAAAAAGAAAGAGAAAAUAAGAAAACAUACUUAGUAAGCUUGAAGGAACAAUCAAGGUAGAUUGCCUUAGCAAAAUGAAACUCAUGUGAGUAAAAAAUGGAGUUGUCAGUAUAUGCCCCCUAAUAGGGUGGUGCAAUUCUCAACCAGCUGGCUAGUGUUACAGUUGAAUAUGUGAAAGUAGAGCAAGAUGUGGUGUUUACGAAAGGUUAAAGGUACGUGGGUUUGUAUUAAGAUAGAUAAUAUAAUAUUUAAAAUCAUUCACAAUCAUUGAGAUAUGUUUAAUUUAUAUUAAUUCAAUUUUCCCACUUUGGUUAAUUAUAUGGUAAAAACCUAUAAAAACAAAUACAUUUACUAUUGGUAACAUAAAUCAUUCUUUUGAGUUAAAUUAUAUAAUAAUUAAGUUGUCAAAAUUUUCCAUCAUAGUUACAAACUCAACUUUUUGGUGACCCAUAUGUUGUUAUUUUCAAUAAUUAUAUACUCUAUGUAAUUGGACAUAGGUUGGCCAUUGUUCAACUCUCAUUGUAGCCAUGAAAUUACACCUCAACAUUCAAUACUACAAAUGAGCAAAUUCUUAGCCUUGAAUUCAAGUAACUCCCAACCAUUGGUUGGGCCUUAUACCAACCAUAGAUUAGAUUCCUUCCUAGGUUGUUUUGCUUUUCAUGGUGGUGUGCACUGAAGGCCCCUCCUAUAGAUUCUUAGAGGCACAUUAUCUCAAUUUCUUUUCCAUUUCUUUGAUCACUCAUUAGGCUAGUAUAUUAAGUUGGAAUGUGAGAUUAUUUAGUAUUAAAAUACUAUAUUUUGUUGUAAAAAAAGGUACAACUAUUAAUAGCUUCAAUAAAUAUAAAACAUCUUAUUUUUACUUCAAUGUAAAACAAAUUCAAAUUAUUACAAUUUCAUUAAUCAUGAAACAUCUGGUUUUUUUUUUAAAUUGUAAAAGGCUAAUCACACAAAAAACUUGAGAAUAGUAGUCCCAUUAUAUAUAAUUGUAGCUAAUGUGGGCCUCACUCUCCUUAGAAACCUAAUACACAUUGAUUCAUUGAACCCUAACCUUUAAAUAUAUAAAACUCAACAUAUAUUGGCUAGUUGAACCCUAGCCGCCAAACAAUGAUCUAUGAAAUUCUCAAUUCUCACAUAAGAAGAAGAAGAAGAUACCAAACAUGAAUCUAUCUUCGAUUAACAAAUUACAAGAUUGGAUCAAAGAUUUAGCAUAUGGUAAUCUUAUUCAUGUUUAGUUUGUAUUACUUUAGGAUUUCUUUAAUUUUUGCUCAUUUGAAAGUAGAUUGAGUCAUAUCUUUAAAUUUUUAUAGUUUCUCUAUUUUCUUAUUGAAAAUUGAAGAAAUUUUAUGCUUAUACAAGAAGCUUCUUUGGAUUUAAAUUUUUGGAAAACAAAACCCUAGAUUCGGAAGUAUUUUUUUAAUGCCUAAGAAAUUAUUAUAAUAAUAAAUUCUCUUCAAUUCUUUGAAAUUUACACAUACAUUUUAUGAACCCUAAAUUGAAAGAAUAGCAGUCGUAAAAUGGGAGUGUCAUUGUGUCAACCAAGAGGGCCUCCCCGUACUUCAUACUCGAGAGCCAUAAAGUUCUAGUCCCCAUAUGAAUAAAAUUAAAAUUGCUUUUAAUUUUAUGUGAGCAAUGAAAUUUCCUCGAUUUUUUCUAAUUUCUCUAAGCUACUAGUAUAAAGAGAAAUAAGAGGACGAAGUAUUCAUUAUUUUUUACUUUUUCUUUAUUUUUCUUUAUAUUUUAAUAUUAUUUGAUGUCAUUCUAGAUUAAUGACAUCCUUUAUCAUUUUCUUACCCCUUUUUAGGUUUUCAUGGUUUAAUAAUAGUUAGUAUGCCCUUUGAUACAUAACAUUUGUGGGAUGUAAGUCAAAUAUGAGUUUUUGAAUUAAUCCUAAACUUACAUAUAAUUUCUCCAUUUGUUAUAUUUCAUGAUUAAUUGUAAAAUGUGAUUUAUAUUAAUCCUAAACUUACAUAUGGUUCUCCUAUAAUUAAUAUUUGAUUAUGAAUUUUGAAAUUUGUUAUUAUUCCAACUCUAAAAUAACUCAUUAAAUAAAUGUACCUUUGUAUUUUAUUUGGGCUAGAUAUUGAUCACUAUGUCCUUUUACUAUUUUCAUUUUAAAUGUGAUUAGUUAUUUAUUUUCAUUUUCUUGUUUUUUGAUACUUUGAACAGAUACUAGCACCCUGUUUAAUUGUGAUAAGAGUGUGGUCUUGCUAGCCUAAAACUAAGAGAACUAUGAGAUAGGAGUUUCCCUUGCAGAUAUUUUCUUGAAGGUAAUUUCCAUCUCUGAGAAGAUUCCAGAUUCACACAUCAUGUUUAGGCAUGGUCAGUCUCCAUAGAAGAUUAGAGGAAGAUUUGGGGUAAUUUUACACAAUUUGGAUAAUAUGAUUAAUUCUAUACCAGUUUGAAAUGAAGCAAUAAAACCACAAUGUCUAUUGGUGGGUGUUUGAGUAUGGACAAAAUUGCUUCUAUGCUUAGACCAUGUGUACAUGAAGGUAGGACUAUAGAUGGGAUAAAAUAAACAAUGACAACGCUCAAGUUGGCAUGGGUAUUCGAUGACCACUGUAAAAAAAAACAAAUAAUGACUUUAUGCGAGUGUUGAAUAUAAAUUUGUAGUUAUGCUUGUAACAUUGUGUUGACAAUAUUAGCACAUAUAAAGUACUUAUAUAUACCAUCUUAGAUUGUUCAUGGCACCUACUCAUUGAACAUCUUUCACUAGAAUUGAUAAUCAAUAGCAAUAUAGAAUAUUUUCUCUAUGACUGGUUCACAUGUGGUAUGAAGGAAAAUCUUAUGAUCCAUUUUCAUUUCAUCAUUUACAUCUAACAAGUGUCAACAAUUAUAUAUUGACAUUUAGCAACCAUUAGUGACAUCAACAUUGGUAAUUUGGUUCUUUGGUAGGCUAGGCCCUAAUGAUUUUUUACACAUAAAUUUUCUGAAAUAAGAAAAUUGUUGACAAAAUUAUAAGUUGAUUUAUUUAUACUUUACAAUCUUUAAUAUGCCCUUUGAUUAUUCUUAUAAAGAUACAAACACCCUUUCAAAAAAUUUAAUAUAUAAUUUUAGACCAAAAGGUCAGGGUUUUGUAAAUAGACACUAGAUAAUAAAUUUUCCAAUAAAAAAAAUCUUCAAAUCAUUAAUUUCUUCAAGAAAUCUUCUUAUAUUCUUUAACUGUUCAAGACAUCUUCAAAUAUUCAUCUUUUCAAGAAAUCUUGAAUCUUGAAGGAAUUUUUUCACCAACUACAAAAUUUUUUGUUGGUGUUCAAUGUGUGCUUUGAAAUGAGAGGAACCCUUUACUUAUUGGAUUGAAAAUUUUAUUUUGAUAUUAUCUCUUGCUUUCCUAGAGAUAAUCAUCGUAUUUAUUGUGAUAAUUGUCAUUUAUUUUAAUUAUCAUAGCUAGUAAAUUAAGAUAAUUAUAAUAUUUUUUUUCUUUAUCACAAUUAAUUGAUUUCUUAUUAUUUUUAAUUUAUAAAAUUAUUUUUUUACAAGGCUCAUCUGACAAGUGUUAACAUAUUGUUAGUUAAUUAUUGACAGCGACUUUUAAUGAGUGGAAAAAAAUUGUCUUUGUACAUACUUUUUUCAACAUUGAUCAUUGUUAGUUAGUGGCCGCCAUAUACUCAAACCAGUAGGGAGUUCUUUAUACACCUAAUGAUUUCUUGAAACAUUGAUCACAAAUGUAUUUCAAUGUUUAGGUUUAUUUUUUCAACAAUGGCUAAUGUUGUGGCUAACGUUGGAUUAGUUAGGUUAAGAACAAGGUUGUGUUUCAUAUGUUUAUUUUUAUAGUGAUUUUAGAUAGAGAGUUCCUUAUGGUUUUUUUGUGAGUUUGAUGUAAAUUUUUAUGCUAGUUCCAUUUCACCAAAGUUUUAAAUAUCAGCUACCUUGUUAUAUUCUUUUUUCUUUUCUUUUUUUGGCUUCUCUAUCAUAUGGGCUCCAUUUUUUUUUAUUGUUGUUUGAAUGAUUUUCAUUUCAGUCUUUGUUUCCAUUCCACUUGGUGCUAGCAUCUUAUUGUCUAAGGUUUGUGUAAGAGUUUUUAAAUUUUCAAAGUAGAGUAUGGUACUCAUCCUUUGCAUCCUUUUUAUCCCACUUUUCUAAGAUAAGAGAAGAAUGAUUGGUCAUUUUCAUGGAAAGCUUUUUAUUUUAAGUCUUUUCACUUAUACUAUCACUCCUUAUUCAUGCUUAUAGAAUUUAAUACAUUAAUGACAUUUCAUUUUCAUUUUAAAAAAUAUGUAUAGGAAAAAAAAACAUACUUAACAAGCUUGAAAGAACAGUUAAGGUAGAUUGUCUUAGUGGAACGAAAUUCAUGUGAAUAAAAAAUGGAGUUGUCAGUAUUAUGCCUCCUAGUGUUAAGGUUGUGGGAAAGUGGUGCAAUUCUCAACCAACUAGUGUUAAGGUUGAAUGUGUGAAAGUAGAGAAAGAUUUGGUGUUUAUGAAAGGUUAAAGGUAUGUGCAUUUUCUUUUGGGGAACGGGCCAAGCCCAAUAGGGAUAGCACACCCCAAGAGUCGUCUCGUCUACAACACCCUAUUUGAAUUUUCUAGUAUGAUGACAACAUGGUUAAGUGAAAAAAGAUAGCACUAUAACAUCUAAAAUCAUUCACAAUCAUUGAGAUAUAUUUAAUUUAUAUUAAUUCAUCCUUUCUACUUUUUUUAAUUUAUAUAUGUGAAACUUUCAAUCUAGUAAUCAAAUAUACAAGGAUUCUUUGAUCCUCUCACUUGCAGUCUCUUUAAAAUGGACUAUGAGGCAACUAUAUGUCAAUAAUGCCUUUUUACAUGGGUUUCUCAAGGAGUAGGUGUUCAUGGAGUAGCUAGCCCAUAGCUUUGUAAAUGAAGACUUUCCCAAUCAUGUAUGUUGUCUUAAUCAGUCUCUCCAUGGUUUGAAACAAACUCCAAGAGCCUAGUUCAAUAGACUUUCUUAGUUUCCUUCUCCAUAUAGGUUUUCAUUGUGGUAAAGUAGUCCUAUCCUUAUUCAUCUAAACAUAUAGGUCACUCCAUUAUUCUAAUAUUGAUUUACGUGGAUGAUGUUAUAGUCAUCGAAAAUGAUACAACCACCAUUGAUAAUCUCAACUUGGGCAAGUUCAUUACUUUCUUAGGUUGGAAGUUCAAAACUUUUAUGGCGGUAUUUUUGUUUCCUAAACAAAGUAUCUUAGAGACUUACUCAGUGGGAUGAAAUGCUUGAGUACUCUCACUUAAACAUGCUCAUGGCUAUCAAAUCUAUGACUAACCCAGCUAAUGAUCAUCCAGUUGAUCAAACCCUUUUAUAGGCAACUUACUUUGGUUCCUUGCAAUAUCUCAUGUUUACAAGACAAGGUGUUGUCCAUGCAAUAAACAAAGCCUAUCAACAAUUUCAAUCUCCCAUAGAGGCUAACAUGCAAGUUGUGAAAGUAUCUUGAGCUAUUUAAAGGAAACCAUGGAUUAUGGACUUUGCUUUCUUAAAAAAAUUUCCUUUUAUUUAAUAGGCUAUUGCAAUGCUGAUUAGGCUAGAUGCACCAUUUACAUGUCCCAUGAAUGAAAACUCCAUGAUCCAGUUUUUUAAACAAUGACAUUUCCACUCUGCCAUUUACAUCUAACAAUUGUCGCCAACUAUAAAUAUUUAGCAACCACUGGUGACAUCAAUAUUGGUAAUCUGGUUCUUUUCUAGGCUAGGACUUAAUGACUUUUAACACAAAAAAUUUCUCAAAUAAGAAAAUUGUUAAUGAAAUUGUAAGGUGGUUUAUUUAUACUUUACAAUCAUUAAUUUGCCCCUUGAUUCUUCUAAUAAAUACACAAACACCAUUUUAAACAAUUUAAUUUUAAUUUUGGAUCAAAAGGAUGGGGUUUCAUAAAUAGACACUAGAUAAUAAAUUGUUUCAAUGGAAAAAAAUCUUUGAAUCAUCAAAUAUUUCUCCAAGAAAUCUUUGAUAUUCUUUAACUCUUUAAGAGAUCUUCAAAUAUUCAUCUUUUGAAGAAAUCUUGAAUCUUGAAGGAAUUUCUUCAACAACUAUAAAAAUUUUCAUCGGUCUUCAAUGUAUGCUUUCAAAUGAGAGGAGCCCUCUACUUAUUGGGUUAGAAAUUUUAUUUUGAUAUUAUCUCUUGCUUUCCUAGACAUAAUCAUAUUUUUUUUAUUGUGGUAAUUAUUAUUUAUUUUAAUUAUUUAUAAUUAAUUAAUUAAGAUAAUUAUAAUAUUCUUUUGCCCCAUCACAAUUAACUGAUUUCUUUUUUUGUUUUAAUUUAUCAAAUUAUUUUUUUUGCAAGACCCAUCUAGCAAGUGUCAAUAUGUUAUUAGUUAAUUAUUGACAUGUGACUUUUAAUGAGUGGACAAAAUUUUUCUUUGUACAUAUUUCUUUCAACAUUGAUCAUUGCUAGUUAGUGGUGACAAUCUACUCAAACUCGUAAGUUGUUCUUUAUACACCUAAUGAUUUCUUGAAAUAUCACAAGUUUCUUUUAAUGUCUAGGUUUAUUUUUCAAUAAUGGUCAAUGCUAAGGCUAAGGUUGGGUUAGUUAGGUUAAGAAUAAGUUUAUGCUUCAUAUGUUUAUUUUUGUUGUGAUUUUAGAUAAAGGGGGUCCUUAUGUUCUUUCAUGAGUUUGAUGUAAAUUUUUAUGUUUGUUCCAUUUCACCUUAGUUUUAAAUAACAUCUACCUUGUUAUAUUCUUUUUUUUUUUUUGGCUUCUCUUUCGUAUGGGCUCCAUCUUCUUUACUAUUGUUUUCAUGAUUUCAACUUCAUUCUUUGUUUCCAUUCCACUUAUGGUGGCAUCUUAUUGUCUAAGGUUUGUGUAAGAAUUUCUAAAUUUCAUCAUUUGCAUCAUUUUUCAUCCCACUUCUCUAAAAUAAGACUAGAAUGAUUGGUUACUUUCAUGACAAGUUUUUAUUUUAACUCUUUCUACUUAUACUAUCUCUCCUUAUUCAUGCAUCUAGAAUUUAAUACAUUAAUAAUGCUUCAUUUUCAUUUUUAAAAAUAUGUAUAGGAAAAAAAAAAAGAGAAAAUAAGAAAACAUAUAUACUUAGCAAGCUUGAAGGAACAAUCAAGGUAGAUUGCCUUAGCGGAAUGAAACUCACGUGAGAAGAAAAUGGAGUUGUCAGUAUUAUGCUCAGGAAGGUAGUGCAAUUCUCAACCAACUAGUGAUAGGGUUGAAUAUGUUAAAGUAGAGCAAGAUGUGAUGUUUACAAAAGGUUAAAGGUAUGUGGGUUUUGUAUUAAGAUAGAUACUAUAAUAUUUAAAAUCCUUCACAAUCGUUAAGAUAUAUUUAACUUAUAUUAAUCCAAUCUUCCUACUUUGGUUAAUUUUAUGGUAAAAACCUAUAAAAACAAAUACAUUUAGACUAUUGGGAACAUAAAUAAUUAUUUUGAGUUAAAUUGUAUAAUAAUUAAGUUGCAAAAAUUUUCAAUUGUGGCUACAGACACAACUUUUUGGUCAGCCAUAUGUUGUUAUUUUCAAUAAUUAUAAAUUUUAGGUAAUUGGACAUAGAUUGGCCAUUGUUCAACUCUCAUUGAAACCAUGAAAUUACACCUCAACAUUCAAUACUAAAAAUGAGCAAAUUCUUAGCCUCGAAUUCAAGAAACUCCCAGCCAUGGGUUGGGCCUUAAAACAACCAUAGAUUAGACUCUUUCCUAGGUUGUUUUGCUUGCCAUGGUGGUGUGCACUGAAGGCCCCUCCUAUAGGAUCUUAGGAGCACAUUAUCUCAAUUUCUUUUCCAUAUCUUUUAUCACUCAUUAGGCUAGUAUAUUAAGUUGGAAUGUGAGAUUGUUUAGUAUUAAAAUACUAUAUUUUGCUGUAAAAAAAGUGCAGCUAUUAAUAGCUUCAAUAAAUAUAAAACAUCUUAUUUUUACUUUGAAGUAAAAAAAUUCAAAUUAUUACAAUUUCAUUAAACAUGAAAAAUCUUGCACACUAAACUAAAAUAAGGUUUUUUUUUCUAAAAAAAAUUUAUAAUUCCUUGUGUGAGAAAAAUCUUUCCAAAGUGAGAAACUCUAAUAUAUAUAUAUAGUGGACACAAUGUGAUGUUAAAUUGUAAAAGACUAAUCACACAUGGUACUUGAGAAUAGUAGUCCCAUUAUAUAUAAUUGUAGCUAAGGUGGCCCCCACUCUUCUUAGAAAACUAAUACACAUUGAUUCAUUGAGCCCUAACCUUCAAAUAUAUAAAACCAAACACAUAUUGGCUAGUUGAACCGUAGCCACCAAACAAUGAUCUAGGAAAGUCUCAAUUCUUGCAUAAGAAGAAGAAGAAGAUACCAAACAUGAGUCUAUCUUUGAAUAAUAGCUUGUGAGAUUGGAUCAAAGAUUUAGCAUAUGGUAAUCUUAUUCAUGUUUAGUUUGUAUUACUUUGGGAUUUCUUUAACUUUCGCUCAUUUGAAAGUAGAUUGAGUCAUAUCUUUAAAUUUUUAUGGUUUCUCUAUUUUCUUAUUCAAAAUCGAAGAAAUUUUUUGCUUAUACAUGGAGCUUCUUUGGAUUUAAUUUUUGGGAAAACAAAACCUUAGAUUCAAAAGUAUUUUUUUAAUGCCUAUGAAAUUAUUAUAAUCUUAAAUUGUCUUCAAUUUUCCCAAAUUUUCACAUAUACAUUUUGUGAACCCUAAAUUGAAAGAAUAGAAAUAGUAAAAUGGGAGUGUCAUUGUGUCAAACAAGAGGGCAUCCAUGUACUUCAUACUCUGAGAGCCAUAAAGUUUUAGUCCCUAUGAAUAAAAUCAAUUAUGCUUUUAAUUUUAUGUGAGGAAUGAAAUUUCUUGGAUUUUUUUCUAGUUUCUCUAAGUUACUACUAUAAAGAGAAAUAGGAGGAUGAAGUCUUCAUUAUUUUUAUUUUUUNNNNNNNNNNNNNNNNNNNNNNNNNNNNNNNNNNNNNNNNNNNNNNNNNNNNNNNNNNNNNNNNNNNNNNNNNNNNNNNNNNNNNNNNNNNNNNNNNNNNNNNNNNNNNNNNNNNNNNNNNNNNNNNNNNNNNNNNNNNNNNNNNNNNNNNNNNNNNNNNNNNNNNNNNNNNNNNNNNNNNNNNNNNNNNNNNNNNNNNNNNNNNNNNNNNNNNNNNNNNNNNNNNNNNNNNNNNNNNNNNNNNNNNNNNNNNNNNNNNNNNNNNNNNNNNNNNNNNNNNNNNNNNNNNNNNNNNNNNNNNNNNNNNNNNNNNNNNNNNNNNNNNNNNNNNNNNNNNNNNNNNNNNNNNNNNNNNNNNNNNNNNNNNNNNNNNNNNNNNNNNNNNNNNNNNNNNNNNNNNNNNNNNNNNNNNNNNNNNNNNNNNNNNNNNNNNNNNNNNNNNNNNNNNNNNNNNNNNNNNNNNNNNNNNNNNNNNNNNNNNNNNNNNNNNNNNNNNNNNNNNNNNNNNNNNNNNNNNNNNNNNNNNNNNNNNNNNNNNNNNNNNNNNNNNNNNNNNNNNNNNNNNNNNNNNNNNNNNNNNNNNNNNNNNNNNNAUUACACCAUGUGUACAUGAAGGUAGGACUAUAGACGGGACAAAAUAAACAAUGAUAAGGCUUAAGUUGGCCUCGGUAUUCGAGGACUACUAUAAAAAAAAAUGACUAUCUGGGUGACAUAUGAGUGUAAAAAAGAAUUACAUAUAUAUAGAUUUACAUUAUCAUAUAAAUAUCACCUCAAUUUGCCAUCUUAGAUUGUUCAUGGCACUUGCUCAUAGGAUAUCUUUGGCUCAUGGGAUAUCUUUUACCAGAAUUGAUAAUCAAUAGCAGUAUAGAAUCUUUACUCUACUACUGGUUCACAUGUGGUAUGAAGGAAGAUACUAUGAUCAAGUUUUUCAUACAAUGUCAUUUUUAUUCCACCUUUUACAUCUAACAAGUGUCAACAAUUAUAUAUUGACAUUUAACAAUCGUUAGUGACAUGAACAUUGGUAAUUUGGUUCUUUGGUAGGUUAAGCCUAAUGAUUUUUUACACAUAAAUUUUAUGAAAUAAGAAAAUUGUUGACAAAAUUGUAAGUUGAUUUAUUUAUACUUUACAAUCUUUAAUAUGCCCUUUGAUUAUUCUUAUAAAGACACAAACACCCUUCUAAACAAUUUAAUAUAUAAUUUUAGAUCAAAAGGUUAGAGUUUUGUAAAUAGACACUAGACAAUAAAUUUUCCAAUAAAAAAAAAACCUUCAAAUCAUUAAUUUCUUCAAUAAAUCUUCCUAUAUUCUUUAACUAUUCAAUAGAUCUUCAAAUAUUCAUCUUUUCUAGAAAUCUUGAAUCUUGAAGGAAUUUGUUCAACAAUUGCAAAUUUUUUUGUUGGUAUUCAAUGUGUGCUUUGAAAUGAGAGGAACCUUUUUACUUAUUGGGUUGAAAACUUUAUUUUGAUAUUAUCUCUUGCUUUCCAAGAGAAAAUCAUUUUAUUUAUUGUGAUAAUUAUCAUUUAUUUUAAUUAUCAUUGUUAAUUGAUUAAGAUAAUUAUAAUUUUUUUGCUUUAUCAAAAUUAAUUGAUUUCUUAUUAUUUUUAAUUUACAAAAUUAUUUUUUUACAAAGGCCUAACUGACAAGUGUUAACAUAUUGUUAGUGAAUUAUUGACAUGCGACUUUUAAUGAGUGGAAAAAAUUUGUAUUUGUACAUACUUUUUUUAACAUUGAUCAUUAUUGGUUAGUGGCCACCAUCUACUCAAACCAAUAGGGAGUUCUUUAUACACCUAAUAAUUUCUUGAAACAUCACAAAUUUAUUUCAAUGUUUAGGUUUAUUUUUUCAACGAUGGCUAAUGCUAAGGUUGGAUUAGUUAGGUUAAGAACAAGGUUAUGUUUCAUAUGUUUAUUUUUAUAGUGAUUUUAGACAGAGAAUUCUUUUGUUUUGUUUUUUUUUUUGUGAGUUUGAUGUAAAUUUUUAUGCUAGUUCCAUUUCACCAAAGUUUUAAAUAUCAACUACCUUGUCAUAUAUAUAUAUAUAUAUAUAUAUAUUUGUCUUCUCUUUCAUAUGGGCUCCAUCUUCUUUAUUGUUGUUUGCAUGAUUUUCAUUUCAUUCUUUGUUUCCAUUCCACUUGGUGCUAUCAUCUUAUUGUCUAAGGUUUGUGUAAGAGUUUUUAAAUUUUCAAAGUAGAGUAUGGUACUCAUCCUUUACAUCAUUUUUAUCCAACUUCUCUAAGAUAAGAGGAGAAUGAUUGGUCAUUUUCAUGGAAAGGUUUUAUUUUAAGUCUUUUCACUUAUAUGAUCUCUCCUUAUUCAUGCUUAUAGAAUUUAAUACAUUAAUGACAUUUCAUUUUCAUUUUAAAAAAAUAUGUAUAGGAAAAAAAGAAAAAAAGAAAACAUACUUAGCAAGCUUGAAAGAACAGUUAAGGUAGAUUGUCUUAGCGGAACGAAACUCACGUGAGUAAAAAAUGGAGUUGUCAGUAUUAUGCCUCUUAAGAAGGUGGUGCAAUUCUCAACCAACUAGUGUUAAGAUUGACUAUGUGAAAGUAGAGUAAGAUUUGGUGUGUAAGAAAGGUUAAAGGGACAUGGAUUUUCUUAUGGGGAACGGGCCCUGCAAAUAGGAACAACACACGCUAAGAUUCGUCUCGUUUACAACACCCUAUCCGAAUUUUCUAGUAUGAGGACAACAUAGUUAAGUGAACUAAGAUAGUACUAUAAUAUCUAAAUCAUUCACCAUCAUUGAGAUAUAUUUAAUUUAUAUUAAUUUAGCCUUCUGAUGAGUUAAAUUGAAUAAUAAUUAAGUUGCCAAAAUUCUCCAUUGUACAUACAAAAACAACUAUUUAGUGAUCCAUAUGUUGUUAUUUUCAUAGUAUGUGUAAUUGGAAAUAGGUUGCCAUUGUUUAGCUCUCAUUGCAACCAUAGAAUCAUAUGUCAACAUUCAAUACUACAAAUGAGAAUAUUAUCAGCCUUGAAUUCAAACAACACUGGAUUGGGACUUGAACCAACCAUAGAGCAAACUUCUUUUUGUGUUGUUUUGUUGCCCAUGGUGGUGUGCACUGAAGGCCCCUCCCAUAGGUGCUUAGAAGCACAUUAUGUCAAUUUUUUUUCCAUAUCUUUUAUCACACAUUAGGCUAGUUUCUUAAAUUGGAGUGUGAGGCUGUUUGGUAUUAAAAUACUUUAUUUUAAUGUUUUUUUUUAUAAAAAAAGUAGAGCUAUUGAUAGCUUCAAUAAACAUAAAAACAUCUUAUUUUUAUUUUGAUCUUAAAAAAAAAAUUGAAUUAUUUAAAUUUUAUUAAACAUGAAACAUCUUACACACAAAACUAAAAUAAGUUUUUUUUUUUAAAUAGGAUUCCUUGUGUGUGAAAAUUCUUUUCAGAGAGAGAAACCUCUAAAAAAAUUAUUAAAAUUCAAGUAAAAUGUCUUAAUGAGCUGACACAAUCCACUUAAAUUGUAAAAGACUAAUCACACAUACUACUUGAGAAUAGUAGUCCUAUUAUAUAUAAUGGUAAUUGGGCGGGCGGCCCCCACUCUUUUUAAACCUAAUACACAUUGAUUCAUUGAACCUUAGCCUUCAAAUAUAAAACCAAACACAUUGGUUACUGGACCCCUAGUCGUCAAAUAAUGAUCUAUGAAAUUCUCAAUUAUCUCAUAAGAAAAAGAAGAUAUUAAACAUGAGUCUAUCUCCGAUUAAUAGCUUGCGGGCUUGGAUCAAAGAUUUAGCAUAUGGUAAUCUUAUUCUUAUUUGAUUUGUAUUACUUUAGGAAUUAUUUAACUUUCACUCAUUUGAAAGUAGAUCAAGUCAUAUCCUUCAAUUUAUAUGGUUCCUCUAUUUUCUUCUUGAGAGUUGAACAAAUUUUGUGCUUAUACAAAGAGCUUUUCUGGAUUUAAUUUUUGGGAAAACAAAACCAUAGAUUGGGAAAUAUUUUUUUUAGUGCCUAAUAAAUUAUUACAAUCUUAAAUUCUCUUCUAUUUUCCAAACUUUAACCAAUACAUUUUGUGAACUCGAAAUUAAAAGAAUAACAUUAGUAUAAUGGGAGUGUUCAUUGUGUCAAACAAGAAGGCCUUCAUGUACUUCAUAUUUGAGAGCCAUAAAGUUCUAAUCACCAUAUUGAAUAAAAUCAAAGAUGCCUUGAAUUUUAUAUGAGCAAUGAAACUUCCUCAAUUUUUUCUAGUUUCUCUAUGCUAUUAGUAUAAAGAGAAAUAAGAGGAUAGAAUCUUCAUUAUUUUCUUAAUUUUUCUUUAGUUUUUCAUAAUUUAAUAUUAUUUGAUGUCGUUAUAAAUCAAUGACCAUCCUUUAUCAUUUUCUUACAUUUUCUUUAGGCUUUCAUAGUUUAAUACUAGUUAGUAUGCCCUUUGAUACAAAACAUUGUGGGAUCAAUGUAAGUCAAAUGUGAGUUUUUGAAUUGAUCCUAAACAUACAUAUAUUAUCCUUACUCUUUAUAUUUCAUGAUUAAUUGAAAAAUGCGAUAUUAAUCGUAAACUUACAUAUACUUCUCCUACAAUUAAUAUUUGGUUAUGGAUUUUGAAAUUUGUUAUUAUUCCAACUCUAAAAUAAAUCAUCAAAUAAAUGUACCUCAAUAUUUUCUCUGGGCUAGAUAAUGAUCAUUAUGUCAUUUUACGAUUAUCAUUGGUAGUUGUUUAUUUUGUUUUUCUGCGUUUUGAUACUUUGUGCAGACACUAGUACCAGGUUUGAGUCUUAGAAAAUUGUGGCCCUGCCAAUCUAAAACUAAGAGAUGGAAAUUUCCCUUGGAGAUAUUUUUCUUAGGGUAAUUUCCAUCUUUAAGAAGAUUAUAGGUUCUCACACCAAGUUCAAGCAUGGUUAGUGUCUACAAAAGAUUAGAUGAAAAUUUGGGGCAACUUUACACAAUUUGGAUAAUAUGGAUUAAUUCAAUAAUAGUUUGAAAUGAAACAAUAAAACCACAAUGUCUACUAUUGGGUGUUUGAGCAUGGACAAAAUUGCUUCUAUGUUUAGACCAUGUGUACAUGAAGGUAGGGCAUUAGAUGGGAUAAUAUAAACAACCAUAAAGCUCAUGUUGGCAUAGGUGUUCGAGGAUUACUGUCAAAACAAUGACUCUAUUCUUGUAUUAAACAUGAAUAUAUAGUUAUGCUUGUAACAUUGUGUCGACAAUAUUAGCACCUAGAAAGUGCUUAUAUAUAUAUAUAUAUAUAUAUAUAUAUAUAUAUAUAUAAUUAUUAUAUUUUAAAAAAUUACAUUAUUUUAUAUGUAUCCCUUGAAUUUUCCAUCUUACAUUAUUCAUGGCACCUCCUCAUAGGAUAGUUUUUGUACUUUGAUGCUUCGUAUUCCUUUGUAAACUACUAGAAGGAAUAUGAAUGACAUGUCUAUAUUAUAAUUAUAUUUCACCAGUAUUGAUGAUUAAUAGCUAUAUAGAACAUUUACUCUACUAUUGGUUCACAUGUGGCAUGAAGGAAAAUCCUAUAAUCUAAUUUUUUAGAUAAUGUCAUUUCCAUUCCACCAUUUACUACUAACAACUAUCAACAACUAUAGACAUUUAAACAAUUUAAUUUUGGAUCAAAAGGUCGGGGUUUCAUAAAUAGACACUGGAUAAUAUAUUCUUUCAAUGAAAAAAAUGAUCAAUUUCUUCAAGAAAUCUUUAGAUGUUAUGCAACUCUUUAAGAGAUCUUCAAAUAUUCAUUGUUUGAAGAAAUCUUGAAUCUUGAUGGAAUCUCUUCAACAACUAUAAAAUUUUUGGCCGAACCCUCUAUGGUUGGAAAUUUUAUUUUAAUAUUAUCUAUUUAUUUCCUAGAUUUAAUCAUUUUCUUUAUUGUGAUAAUUAUAAUUUAUUUUAAUUAUCAUAAUGAAUUAAUUAAGAUAAUUAUAAUAUUCUUUUGCUUUUUCAUAAUUAAUCGAUUUUUUUAUUAUUUUUAAUUUAUUAAUUUUUUUUAGCAAGAUCCAUCUGACAAGUGUCAACUGUUAUGACAUUGAGUCUUUUUUAUAUGUUAGCAAUUUUGUUCCAAUUUAUGUUUGACCAUAGAAGUCUUUUUAGAUAAUGACUUUCUCUCCAUUGAAGAUCAAGGGUUACUUUUCAUCCGAUUAAGAAAUCACACGUACGUCUAAAAAGGUUUGGUUUGUGGCAUAUAAGACUUCUUUGAUCUAUAAAAAGUUUGGUGUCAAUUUUGGACUCAAACUUUUUUUAAAAUGCUUUUUAAAAAAGAAGGGGAAGCUCAUGUGGUUAAUCCCGAUUAAGCAGUCAACUUGCUCAAGUGGCAUGAAACACUUAAGCGGAGUGCUCAAGUGGUCUAAGCCUCCUCAAGCGGUCAUGUCUGUUGAGUUUAGAAACAUAUUUUGAAUGAAUUUCACUCAAACUUUAAUUUAGAAACUUAAGAUACUUGGACUCUUUGACUUGUGCUUAUAUAUACUUGUCUAAUAACCCUUUGAGGGUUAAAGAUUCGGGCUAAGAGAUUAGAAUUGAAAAUAUCUGAGUUUAGAGACCUCUUAUUCUUUAGAGGGACUCUUUGAGAGAAAGCCUUAUUGCCACACCAUUUUCGAUAUCUUUUUCAAGGAUUUGGAUUUUUGAAUUGUUGGUUGAAGACCUAAAUCCCUUUGAAGGUACUAGAUGAUCUAUUAGGGAGCAAUAGAGUGUUGUUGUGUCACAUAAGUAGAUCAAGUUAUAGGUACUAAAGAGAAAGUCUUUAGGGUUAAACGACUAGUUAAAUCUGUGUAACUUGAUUUCGAAUAGUGGAUUUAGAUUGAUAGGUCUUAGACCUUGUGGUUUUUUUUCUCCAUAAGUUUGUGGGGGUUUUCCACAUAAAAAAUCUUAUGCCUCAUUGUCUAUUUCUUUAUAUUUGUUAUUAUGUUUGAAGUGCCUCGAUUAGGUUAAUUUGAUUAAUCUUAAUAUAUUGCAGGGCUUUCCUAAAAAAUGCAUAUCUAUUUAUUCCUGCUUUUUUUCUAGUUGAUAACUUUGAAUAUCUUAGUUUUAUUGGUUAAUUAGUUAUUGAGUUAGAUGAUUUGUUAUCUUGGUGGUUGUGGUGGUUAUACCCAUAACCAAUUAUUGAUUAAUUUAUUGAGAUUAUUGUAGAGUUUGCUAGGUUGGUUAUUCUAGUAGUUAUUAUUAUUAUUAUCCCCAACAUAUCUGAACAUAUAUCGUUAAUCUUUGGAUAUCAAUUAACCAUAAAAAUUAGUUUUUUAUUUGGAGUGAAAUCUUAAGAUAAAGUUUAGACAUAUUUUAUAAAUAAUUUAUUAAUUUUUUUAAAAAUCACCCAUCUACCCCCAUCUGGGUGUUCCCCUAUCAGACUUUUGAUAAUUAUUCAAGUCGUAUUUGAGCAAUACCCAUUUUUCAUCAACAUAGUAUUUGUUAAUUAUUGACAUUUGACUUUUAAUGAGUAGACAAAAUUUCUCUUUAUACAUAUUUCUUUCAACAUUGAUUAUUGUUAGUUAGCGACAACCAUCUACUCAAACUGGCAAGGAGUUCUUCAUACACUUAAUGAUUUCUUGAAACAUCACAAAUUUCCUUCAAUGUUUAGGUUUAUUUUUCAACAAUGGCCAAUGCUAAGGCUAAAUGCUAUGUUUCAUAUGUUUAGUUGUUGUGUUUUUAGAUAAAAAGGUCCUUAUGUUUUUCUGUGAGUUUGAUGUAAAUUUUCGUGCUUGUUCAAUUUCACCAUAGUUCUAAAUAUCAACUACCUUAUUAGAUUUUUUUUUGCUUCUCUUUUAUAUGGGCCCCAUUUUUUUUAUUGUUGUUUCCAUGAUUUUAAUUUCAUUCUUUGUUUCCAUUCAACUUGGUUUCGACAUUGUAUUAUCUAAGGUUUCUACAAGAAUUUUUAAAUUUCCUUAGUACAGUAUGACAUUCAUCCUUUGCAUCAUUUUUAUCACACUUCUGUAAAAUAAGAGGAGAAUGAUCAGUCAUUUUCAAGGAAAGGUUUUAUUUUAAGUCUUUGUACUUAUGUUAUCUCUCCUUAUUCAUGUAUCUACAAUUUAAUACAUUAAUGACACUACAUUUUCAUUUUACAAAAUGUGUAUAGGAAAAAAAAAGAAAAAGAAAAGAAGAAAACAUACUUAGCAAGCUUGAAGGAACACUCAAGGUAGAUUGCCUAAAUGGAAUGAAACUCGCAUAAGAAAAUGGAGUUCUCACUAUUAUGCCUACUAGGAAGGUGGUGCAAUGCUCAACUAAUUAGUGUUAAGGUUGAAUACGUGAAAGUGGAGUCAGAUGUGAUGUUUACUAAAGGUUAAAGAUAAGUGGGUUUUGUAUUAAGAUAGAUAUCAUAACAUCUAAAAUCAUUCUCAAUCAUUGAGAUACACUAACUUAAUUUAUAUUUAUUCAACCUUCCUACUUUGGUUAAUUUUAUGGUAAAAAUCUAUAAAGACAAAUACAUUUAGAAUAUUGGGAACAUAAAUAAAUCUGAUGAGUUAAAUUGAAUAAUAAUUAAGUUACCAAAAUUCUCCAUUGUACAUACAAACACAACUAUUUAGUGAAUCAUAUGUUGUUAUUUUCAUAGUCUAUGUAAUUGGACAUAGGUUUGCCAUUGUUUAGCUCUCAUUGCAACCUUGAAAGCAUGCCUCAACAUUCAAUACAAGAAAUGAGCAUACUCUCAACCUCGAAUUCAAGCAACACCUAACCAUGGAUUGGGCCUUAAACCAACCAUAGAGUGAACUCCUUCUUGUGUUGUUUUGCUACCCAUGGUGGUGUGCAUCGAAGGCCCUUCCCAUAGGUGCUUAGAGGUGCAUUAUCUCAAUUUCUUUUUCAUAUCUUUGAUCAUACAUUAGGCUAGUUUCUUAAGUUGGAGUGUGAGACUAUGGUACUGAAAAUAUUUUAUUUUAAUGUUAAAAAAAAAAAAAAGUAGAGCUAUUGGUAGCUUCAAUAAACAUAACACAUCUUAUUUUUAUUUUGAUGUAAAAAAAAAAAAAAAAGUGAAUUAUUGCAAUUUUAUUAAAGAUGAAUCAUCUUACACACAAAACUAAAAUAAUAGACACAAUCUGGCAUUCAAUUGUAAAAGACUAGUCACACAUACUAUUUAAGAAUAGUAGUCCCCUUAUAUAUAAUGGUAGCUAGGGUGGAUCCCACUCUUUUAAAAAACCUAAUACACAUGGAUUCAUUGAACCCUAUCCUUCAAAUAUAUAAAACCUAACACAUUGAUUAUUUGAACCCUAGCCAUCAAAUAAUGAUCUAUGAAAUUCUCAAUUCUCUCAUAAGAAGAAGAAAAAUACUAAACAUGAGUCUAUCUUCGAUUAAGAGCUUGCGAGGUUGGAUCAAAGAUUUAGCAAAUGGUGAUCUUAUUCUAAUUUGAUUUGUAUUACUUUGGGAUCAAUUUAACUUUCACUCAUUUGAAAGUAGAUUAAGUCAUAUCUUUCAAGUUUUAUGGUUCCUCUAUUUUCUUGUUGAGAGUUGAAGAAAUUUUGUGCUUAUACAAGGAGCUUUUUUUGGAUUUAUUUUUUGGGAAAGCAAAACCAUAGAUUGGGAGGUAUUUUUUUUAAUGCCUAAGAAAUUAUUACAAUCUUAUAUUCUCUCCUGAUUUCCAAACUUUAACCAAUAUAUUUUGUGAGCCCGAAAUUGAAAGAAUAGCAACCAUAAAAUGGGAGUGUCAUUGUGUCAAACAAGAGGGCAUACAUGUACUUCAUAUUUGAGAACCAUAAAGUUCUAAUCACCAUGUUGAAUAAAAUCAAAGAUGCUUUGAAUUUUAUGUGAGCAAUGAACUUCGUCAAUUUUUUCUUGUUUCUCUAUGUUAUUUGUAUAAAGAGAAAUAGGAGGAUAAAGUCUUCAUUAUUUUCUUACUUUUUCUUUAGUUUUUAAUAGUUUAAUAUUAUUUGCUGUCAUUCUAAAUCGAUGAUAUCAGUUAUCAUUUUCUUACAUUUUCUUUAGGCUUUCAUGGUUUAACACUAGUUAGUAUGCCUUUUGAUCCAAAACAUUUAUGGGAUCGAUGUAAGUCAAAUGUGAAUUUUUGAAUUGAUCCUAAACUUACAGAUGCUUUCCCUACUUUUUAUGUUUCAUGAUCAAUUGAAAAUUUUGAUUUUAUUAAUCUUAAACUUACAUAUACUUCUCCUAAAAUUAAUAUUUGACUAUGGAUUUUGAAAUUUGUUAUUAUUCCAACUCUUAAAUAAAUCAUUAAAUAAAUGUACCUCAAUAUUUUAUCCAGGCUAGAUACUUAUCACUAUGUCAUUUUACUAUUGUCAUUUUAAAUGUUAUUAGUUGUUUAUUUUGUUUUUCUUAUGUUUUGAUACUUUGUGCAAAUACUAGUACCAUGUUUGAGUUUUAGAAAGUUGUGGUUUCUUGCAGAUUGCUAUCUCAGGGUAAUUUCCAUCUUUGAGAAGAUUGCAGGUUCUUGCACCGAGUUGAAGCAUGGUUAGGCUCUACAGAAGAUUAGAGGAAGAUUUGGGACAACUUUAUGCAAUUUUGAUAACAUGGAUUAAUUCAAUAAUAGAAAUAGCGAUACAGCUCAAGUUGGCGUAGGUGUUCGAGGAUUACUAUAAGGAAAAUGACUCUAUUCUUGUGUUAAACAUAAAUACAUGGUUAUAAGGAAAAUGACUCAACUAUCAUGUUAUAUUGUUUUUUUUUUUUUUUCUAUUUUUAAUUUUUUAAUUUUUUAAUUUUUUAAUAUUUUAAUUUUUUAAUUUUUUAAUUUUAAUUUUUUGCUUCUCACUCAUACGAGUUUCAUCUUCUUUGUAGUUUUUUUCCAUGAUUUUAAUUUCAUUCUUUGUUUCCAUUUCGUUUGGUGUUGGCAUCUUUUUGUCUAUGGUUGGUGUAAGAUUUGUAAAUUAAUUUCCAAAGUUGAAGACAAUACUCAUCGUUUGCUUCAUUUUGCAUUCCAAUUCUUAAUGAUAAGAGGAGAAAGAAUGGUCAUUUUCAUAGAAAGGUUUUAUUUCAAGUGUUUGCAAUUAUACUCUCUCUCCAUUCAUGCUUCUAAAGUUUAAUACAUUUGAGACAUUUUAUUUUCAUUUUAAAAGUUAGGUAUAGGAAAAAAAGAGAAAAAUAAGAAAACACACUUCGCAAGAUUGAAGGAACAAUCAAGGUAAAUUGCCUUAGUAGAAAGAAACUCAUGUGAGAAGAAAAUGGUGUUGCCAGUAUUAUGGUUGAAUAUGUGAAAGUAUAGCAAGAUACGAUAUUUAAGAAAGGUUAAAGUUAAGUUGGUUUUGUAUUAAGGUAGAUACUACAAUAUCUAAAAAAUCAUUCAUAAUCAUUGAGAUAUAUUUCAUUUGUAUUAAUUCAGCCUUCCUACCUACUCUAGUUAAUUAUAUCAUAAAAACCUAUCAAAAUAAAUAUAUUUAGAUUGUAAGGAAGAUGAAUAAUUUUGAUGAGUUAAAUUGCAUAAUAAUUAAGUUGCCAAAAUUUUCCACUGUAUAGUGAACCAUAUGUUUUUAUUUUCAGUAGUUAUAUAGCCUAUAAAAUUGGAAAUAAGUUGGCCAUUGUUCAACUUUCAUUGCAACCUUGACAUUAUACCUCGACUUUUAAUACUAUAAAUGAGCAAAUUCUCAUCCUCAAAUUCAAAAAAAAAAAUCCUUUCAUGGAUUAGGCCUUAAGCCAGCCAUAAAGUAGACUAAUUCUUUGGUUGUUUUGCUGCUCAUGGUGGUGUGCACCCAAGGCCCCUCCCAUGGGUGCUUGAAAGCACACUAUCAUAACUUCUUUUCCAUAUCUUUGAUUGCAAAUUAAGCUAGUUUGUUAGGUUAGAUUGUGAGACUGUUUGGUAUUAAGCUACUUUAUUUUGAUGUGAAAAAUAAAAUAGUAGAGUUGCUAAUAACUUCAAUAAACAUAAAACAUCUUAUUUUGAUUGGGAUGUAAAAAAAAAUAAAAAUUGCAUUAUUACAAUUUCAUUAAAUAUGAAACAUGUUACACACUAACAUCAUCAAAGAUGAUUAUUUAAUUAUUCAAAUGCUAAAAAAUAAAAAUAAAAAUAAAAUUUAUAAAGAUAGUAAAUAUGCACUUCUAACAUCAUCAAAGAUGAUUAUUUAAUUAUUCAUUUAUUUAUUUUUUCAAUUAUUUAUUAGGAUUACUAAGGGAUUGAAAAGAAGAAAUGGGGAAAGAAGAACAAGAAGAUGAAUAUGCAUUAAUUUGAAUUGGGUUGGUUUAGUCUUUAACCAAACGGAUACCUCUAUAGUCUUAAAAAAUAAAAAAUCAUAAAUUAGGUAGAUAAUUAAAGAAAUUAAAUUAGGUGGAUACAAAUAUAAUUUUUUCUUUAUAAAAAAUCCCAACAUAUAUGCUGAAAUUAUAACUUGUAAUAUUGAAAUAAAAUCAAAUUAUUAUUUCAACCUUAUAAUUUUAAUUUUGGUUCACAUCUAAGCAUAAGAAUUGGAAUUAUCAAAUUCAUUCAUAUUUCCUUGAAUAGAAAUGAAAACAAAAUAUUCAUUAUCAUUCCUUACUUCGCAAAUCAAACAUGUCCCAAUUGUUUUUUAUUUUUCAAAAAAAUAAUUUUCUUCUGGAUUCUUUAACAAAGUUUUAUCAACUCUUUUUUUCUCACGUGGCACCAAUUUAAAACCCAUCUCAACGAGUCAAUUGGGAAUCUGAUGUUGUAACAUCUGCUCCCAACCGUGUAGAUAUUGUCCACUUUGUACCCAAAGUGACCCUCACGACUUUAAAACACAUCUAUAGGUUUAAGAGAAGUCCAUACUUAUAUAGUGCCAGGAACUUUCCCCCUUAUCUGAUGUGGGAUAUCACAAACACCUCCCCAUGCAGACACAACGUCCUCGUUGUGUCCCAUUGGAUUGUAGGGCCAAAUAGACGAACACCCCUACGGGGCCAAACAAACCCCUACAUCGAGGUCGGAGAUCUGCUUUGAUACCAUUUGUAACAACUCACUCCCAACCGUGUAGAUAUUGUCUGCUUUGGAUCCAAAGUGGCCCUCACGACUUUAAAACGCGUUUAUAGGGUUAAAAGAAGUCUAUACUUAUAUAGCGUCAAGAACUUUCCCCUCUAUCCGAUAUGGGAUAUCAUAAAUGUUCUAGUCCACAUUGACGCUAACAUGACAUGAAAAUUUGAAUGAAGAGGAACCCACAUUAUUGAUAUUUUUUAUUUAUUAAUUUUCUAAAUUAAUAUUAAUAUUAUAAAAAUACGAACAUUUAAAAAUUUUAACAACGAAUUAUAAUAUGUUUAAAACUCACAUACAUUUCAAUUUAUUUUAAAAUAAUAUUAAAUUAUAAAAUAUAAAUAAAAAAUAGUUUUUUGCAUGAAUAUUGUAAUGAUAAUUUUGUUAAGACAUGAAUGUAGAUAGUAUAUUAUAAAAACAAAAUCAUAUAAAACAAUGAUAAUAAUAUUUUAAAAUUUGAUAAUGCUUAAUAAUGUUUUAUUUAAAAUGAAUAAUAAAAAUAAAUAUAUUUCCUUUUCUAAAUAUAUAAAUAAAUUAAGUUUUUCAUUAUAUAAUACAAAAUUUUACCUAAUUACUAACAAGGUGUUUUGUACCACUUUGGUUCAAGAAAUUCUUGUAUCAAUCGAAUCAAUUUUUGAAUUUAAAAUUAUUUUUAAAAAUUACUAAAUCUGUUAACAAAUUUAAAGCAUUAAAUUUCAAUUGAUUUACUUAAUGAAAACUUUUGAAAAAAAAUAGUUGCAUACAUACGAGAUAUAAAAAUAGACAUUCCAAACUAGUUUUAAUUUAUGAUUUUUUUUAUAUUAAUUAAUUUGGUUUUUAAAUUGCAAAUUAUUUUUAAAAAUUACUAUAUUCGUUGCAUAUUGAAAUCUUGGUAGCAUUCCGAGUAACUCCUCAACCUAGAAUUCCAUCCAAAGAAGUAGGGAUCGCGAUAGCUAUUGAAUCUUCUACUGGUACAUGGAUAGGUGUGUGGAUUGAUGGACUUACCGGUCUUGAUCGUUACAAAGGACGAUGCUACCACAUAGAGGUAGUUACUAGAGGAGAAAAUCAAUAUAUUGCUUAGGUAGUUUAUCUUUUAGACCUUUUUGAAGAAAACUCUAUUACUAACAUGUUUACAAGUCUCACUUAAUUUAAAGUUUAUUUUUCUCAGAAAAAAAUUUCAAGAAAUAGGGAAAAUUCAUUGGAAGCUGGGUGCAAGUAAACAUGCUCACAUCAAGGUAAAUGCAUAUAUAAAAUGAAAGUUCAGACGUAUACAAUUGAAAAAUACAUUUAUACUAUUCUUUGUUUAUGCAUGUACUACAUGUUGUUCAGAUAUAUACUAUUCUUUGAGAAUGGGAGUGCCUCCAGUACCAUAGAUUCAUUGCAUGAAAUGUACGUAGGCUGAUAGGACAAAGCGAUGGAUGUUAAAGAGCAAAUAUUCAGUGAUUUUGCAAAUUACAGUAAAUCAGUAGUCACCUUUUGCCGAUUACACGUGUUUUUAAAAAUAAUUUUAAAAUGAUAGUUAUGAAUCUAUUCCUUAAAAUACAGCAUUAUUAUAUUUAUAUUAAAAUUAUAUUUUUAAAAGACAAUUUCAUUAUAAAUUUAUAAAUUCUAUUUAUAUUAAAUAUCUUUUGAAAAGAUAAUGGAGGUUCAUAUUAAGGAUAAAAGUAUCGAGAUAUCUCGUUGGAACCACUAAACCAAAUCUCUUAUUGUGUAAAAUUUUGACAUAAAAAUAAUAUAUACUAUGUAAAUUAAUUAAAAUAAAAUUAUUAUAAAUAAAACAAUUUUAAUUAUCGUACUAUGCCUUCCAUAUAAUAUUUUAAUUUAAAACAAGUAUAAAUUUACAAAUAAAAUUAUCACUAUUUUUAAAUAAAAAAAACUUAUUCCAACUAAAUAUAUUAUAAUUUUAAGUUUAACGUGUUUUUAAAUUUGGUACAUUAGUACAAAAUGUCACAAAAUAUAUUAUACAUACACACACAUAUAUAUUAGAGUUUUUCUGCAUAUUUUCAUGAGUUUUGAUUAAUUUUUUAUCCAUUAAUAUUUCCUGAUAUAUUCAUAAAAUCAAGUUAUCAAUAUGUCUCUCAAAACCGAUAUUUUUAUCCUUGUUCAUAUCUAAUUGAUCUAUAAAGAUAUUCCUUAGGAUCGGCUACAUAGAACCGCCUUGUGGUAUGUCCCUCAUUUAAUUGGAAUGAUCAUUACCUUUUACAACUAUUAAUAUCAAAAUGAUUUUAAAAUAUAAUUAUUUGAUUAAAGGAAAUGGAUAAAUCCUUAAUUUGUAAAUUUACUAAAUUUUUUUUUCUAGGGUAAAAGAUAUUCAUUUUUUACAAGAAUACCUUUACUUCUUUUUGUAGAAAUAAUCUUCAUGAAAUAUUGAAAACCUUAAAUUCAAAUAUGGGAGAUUAGAUACAAAUUUGAGAUCAUUUUAUUCCUUUUAAUUGAUUCAUUCUAUUAAAAUCCCAUUUUAAAAAGGUGAUAUGUAAUUUUUUUUAAAGAUGAUUUUAAAAGUAUUGUAUUUUUUAAAAUAUUGUUUUUGUAACAUUUUUUUAAUAAUAUUAUUAAAAUAAAAAAAUCCCUAAAUUUAAUUAUUUUAGAAAAUAAAAAUAAAUAAAUCUUUUGACACAUACAAUGAAAGAAUAAUUUAUAUAAAAUAUUAAAAAUCAUACUCAUUCUUGUUCGUCCAAAAUUUAUUGUUCGCUAUUUUGAAACAAAUAUUUAAAAUAACCUUUUUGUCAUGUAACUUAUCUUUUAUUUAUUUUUAAUUGUGAUUUGUUAGAAGUAAUAAUUUAAAUUUGCAACUUCAAUAAAUUUAAAAACCACAUUGGCUUUAGUACACAUUUAGAAUUUAAAAAGUUGGUUUUUGAAAACAUGGUUUCAAACCAAUUUAAAGAAAAUAAAAAUAAGUUACUUUGAAUAAUAGUUUCAUAAGAUCCUAUAACCUAUAUUUUUGUUUGGUUAGUGGGCCAUUUAGUUUCUUCAAUCCAAUAUAAUGAUAGUGGGCUAUAUAUGUAAUAAGGAAUGCACUAUGACACCUAGCAUAAAUGUAUCAAUUGAAGCAAUGGUGGAUGCAGCUUGUUAGGGAUAGCAAUGCAUAAUGUGUUAACUAAAUCAUGCACAUAUGAACAAAAGAUUUUUAACAUGUGUAGACCCUCAAUUUUGUCCCUUUAGCACAUGUCUUUAAAUUCACUUCCAGUGCUCCACGGCAGUUCCUUGGUGGCCCAUGACUACUCAUACCACUUACCUUUUUCUGAGUCACCUCGGAGAUUUUGGUUGAGGGAUUAUUUGAUCCUUUCUCGUGACCCUUGGCAACCCUAAUUUAGACUUAGGCUUUUGUUAUUCUUUUUAGGAUAACUUUUUUUUUUUAGACACACUUGACCCAUUAGGCACCACCCUAGGCCCACUUAGAUUCACCUAGGCUCAUUUAGGCACAUCUAGGUCCAUUUAGGCACCCUAGGCCCACCUAGAUUCACCUUGACUCGCACUGAGGCACCUUACAGUUUACACACACUCACUUUAGGUCCACGUAGGCAUCCUAGCCCACCUAUGUUACCUUUUAGGUAAUUCCUACGUGACUUGUAUAAUUUGCAUGAUCUGCAUUUUUAACGUUGGCAUGUACUUGAUGUCUUAUUUCUACUUAUUUUAUUUAUUCAUUUACUUAUUUAUUUAUAAUUAUUUGGCUAGUUAUUUGCUUUUAUUUAUUUAUUUUAUAGAAUAUUGCAUGAAAUUGAUGAUUAAUUUUGUAAACUAAUGUCUUAAUUAUUUUUUGUAUACCUAUGAUAGACAUAAUGUUUUUAAUUGCAUAAUUUUAGUUGGUUUUAAUUUUCAAUUUCAUGACUUUUACUGAUUUUAAUUCGUAUUUUAUUUUGGCAUGAGAUUUGAACGCACACAUUGGAGAGGAUCCAUAGGCACGGCUACAAUCUUCCAUGGGCUGCAGUUUUGGAGAUCACAUAGUUGCAUAUCUGGAAGACGGAACAGACUUCCGUGGCAAGAUGCACAGGAAGGAAAGGUGAUGUCCAGAGAAUGAGGAGAAGAAUGCAUAAUCACACUUCCAACAAUGUAUUACUGUCAUAUGGUGUAUUCCUCGAACCCAAAACCCUCUCUCAAUUCCAAACGCGUUCGAGAUUCACUGUUUCUGCAAGUCUCGGUGCAUUUCGUUUUAUUAAAGGUCAUCCUUCCGCACAAUUGCACCCUGAGAUUGACCGACAGUGGAGUGCACGUUUUGGAGCCCUUGGAAUCAGAAGAUAGAUGGGAUCCUUGCCACUUAAAGAUGGCGCACUUCGGAUUGGACCCCAAGCCCACUCUCACAUGGCUUGCAUGGCCACCCCUUUUGUACAUUAUUUUAAAGCCAGCAUGUCUCAGCCCUUAAUUCCUCUUGCAUGUUUUCCAAAAUGGAUUUUUAAAGAUCCAUUCUUUUUUUAAUUUUCUGGGGAAAUGUUGGACAGUUGCAGUGAGGAUUAUCUCCCAGAUUUUUACCAUGUUAGUGAAAGAUCCCACGCACAGCCCACAAUGGAAGAUUCCACGCACAGCCCGCAAUGAAAGAUCUCCAACAGCACACAUCCAAGGAAGGAAGCCUAUAUAGGAGAUAUGGAACCAUGAUCAGUCCACACCAACCAUGAUUCUUAAGGAAAUCAGCCACAAUUGAGGGGCCCACAAAACAUCCAGAUUUUGAUUCCCACAGGCCGCACCAUCCCGAGGGGAUCUCCUCCACGCACCACUCAAUUUUUUUGGAAGGCAUGGCUGCAUCUUAAGCAUGCAUCACGUGGAAAAUAGCAUGAAAAUAGGAAAGAAGAUGGCCACUUUGUGCACAGCACGCAUAUGAUGGGCUGUAAAGGGAGAUUCCUUUUGGUUUUUUUUUAGAAAGAAAAGUCCACUCAUCUAAUCACUUACCAAACAGGGUACAGGGCAGCAUCUUUGAAAAAGUCUCCAAUAUGAACCACACGUAAGCACUUUCCAUAUGUCUAAAUGCACUGAAAAAAAGAAACAAAAUAUUCCAUACAAUGUGCGGCUGCCAUACAAAAAAGGAACGAGCAGAGAGGAAGUGAUCGACACCGAGAGAUAUUAUUUUUUGAGGGAACGAAGAGAGGCCUGAAAGGAAGGAGGAGGCAGCCACCACACAUUCUCCAUUGAUCAUCAGCCCGCGCCACCAGUAACAGCAGGAUAACACCUUGGUUUGCGUAUUGAAGGUUCGGUUUAUGAUUAUUUUUUUUAUUUUAUUGAAAAUUGAUAAUUUCAUGUGUAUUUUAGUUUAUGACUUAUUUUUUUCAUUCUAUGAUUCCAAGUUUCGAUAUUCAUUUACUUGUGUGACGAUAUGAUAGAAUUGAGAAUUCUUGAUUGAUUAAUUUUGAUUCCAAGUUUUGAUUUUCAUUGAGAACUUUGACUAAAUAUAUUAAUUAUUAUAUUCGAUUCGAAGUUUCUUUUUUUCUUAGUUGAUUGAGUUAAAUUUAAGAAUUUGUUUAAUUGUAUGGAUUAUCAUUGUCUUGAUUCCAAGUUUUGAUUUUUCUAGGUUGUUAUGUUUUUAGAAUUAUAGUUUAUUAUUCCUAUUGAACCACUUGAUUAAAUCCAUGUUUUACUUUUUUAACUUUAGUUUUGAUUGAUCUUGUUUAGCUUAUGUGUUUUUAGAAUUUUAGUUUAUUAUUCCUAUUGAACCCGUGUGAUUAACUCCAUGUUUAAAAUUGUUAACUUUAGUCUUUGAUUGACCCUAUUUAGUUUAUGUGUUUUAGAUUUUUAGUUGAUGAGUCUAUUACUUUCUCAUGUCAUUAUAUCCACAUUUUGAGCUUGUUCGUUUUAAUCCUCGAUUGAUCCAAUUUUAUUUUGUGUGUUUUUUAGAGUUUUAGAUAUUUAAUUUAAAAGUUACUUUUCUCAUGUUGUAAGCUUGUUAAUUUUAAUUCUUGAUUGACCUAAUUUUAGUACGUGUGUUUUUUUAGAGUUUUAGUUAAUUAGUUUAAUCAAUGCUCAUGUUUUAAAAAGUUUGUUAAUUUUGGUUUUUGACUGAUCUUGUCCUAGUUUAUAGUUUUUCAAAAUUUUAGUUAAUUAGUUUUAUCCCAUGUUAUUAUACUCAUGAAUUAAAAAUAGUUAAAUUUAGCUUUUCUACUUAGCUGAUGUGUCCUUUUUUAAAUUUUUGGUUAUCAUUUUGCUUAAUCCCUUGUUACUUAGUUUUGUUUUUGUUUUGGAAGUUAUUAAUGUCUAGUUGUUGAUUGAUAUUACCCUAGUUUAUGUGCUUCUAGAAUUCUGAUGGUUAGUUUUUUUAUUAAUAUCUUGUUAAUUUGUUUGAUCUAGAACCCAUUAGUUAGUUGCUUUGAUGAAAUCCCUACAAAAAACCUAUUUUUCAAAAACCCUUUAUUGUUAGUUUGUUCGAUUAUUUGACUUAUAAUUUUUCUAAAAAUUUUCCAAGUGUUCCAUGGUAGUUUAGACUUCUUGAACUUGAAUUUAAGACUUUGUUUGAGUUAAAAAUCACUUUUAAAAUGGAAGAUAUGAAUGAGUCUUUUGGGUGGUUCUGUUUUCACCCAGUUUUGGACACUUAAAAUUUUUUUAUAAACAUAAAUUACUAGAUGACUCUUGAAAAGUAAAUUUUUGUUUGCUUAAUUUUGAUUCAUUACUUUGGUUUAAAAGGUGAGAAUUUUUUGUUUUAUUUUAAUUUUGAUUCAUUAUAUUACAUUGAAAAAUUAAAAUCUUUGUGUAGUUUGGACUUGAUUCCUUGCUUAGUUCGAAAAGUUAGAAUUUUGCUUAGAUCGGUUUUAAUAGAUUUAAUUUUAAAAGUCAGUUUUUUUUAGGAGUCAGCUUUUUAUUUAGUUCAAGUAUUUUAUAAUUUUUAGUCUAUUAUUCUAAUUGAUCCUAUGUAAUAAAGUUUAUGUUUUUAAGUUUAUUUUGAUCAUGUUUUGGUUCAUCUUAUUUAGUUUAGGUACUAAUCUUAUGUUAUUUUGCUCACGUUCUAAAAUUGAUGAUUCUAGUUUUUGAUUAGUUAAUAUGUUUUAGAAUUCUAUGUGCUUGUGUUACUAUAUUCACAUUAUUAUAAUUACAUGUUUAGGUGUUUGGUUGAUUUUAAAUUAGUUCUAGAGUGUUUAUCUCAAUUUAUGUGUUUGAUUGAUCCUUAUAAAUUCCCGAUUAAUAUUUCAUUAGUUUUAUUUGAUCUAAAGUCGUUUGGUUUGUUGCUUUGGUGAAUAUUUAUUAAAUUUGAUUUUUAGAGGCCAUUGGAAAAUCAUGAAGAUUGGCCUCUACCAUCACCAUUAUCAUUUUUGUUAAUUACUAAAAAAAAUUUUACUUUGAGGUUUCAUUUUUGUUUUGUUUGGUGUUUUAUUUUUUCCCAAAUUAAUCCCUUUUAUUUUAAAAUAAAAUACUUUUAUCAAAAAAUCAUUUUAAAAAAAAUCUAUUUCAAAAACUCAUUAGAUUCCUCAGGAUCAAAAUCUUUUUUUUUAUUUUUAAAAAAUAAUAUGCAACCAUAUUUUGUUCGGUUUGCAUCCUUCUCGGUUUCUAACAAAAGGUUUGGUUUUGAACAAAAACACGAAUCAAAGCUUAUGGUCCCAAAUAAUGGGAUAAUUCUGGGCUAAAUUUGUGUAUAUUAAUUUGGGGAAUUGGCGAAACCCCUACAUAAGAAAAUCUUUUCAAAAAUUAUUUUUGUUGCCAUUUUUGUCACUUUUUGAAAUUAUAUCUAUCUUUUUUUUUAGAAAUUGUAUACAAGAUGAGUGUGAUAAUUAUUGUUUUCAUAUAUUUUGACAAUUUCUGCUAUGAUAAUUAGAUAACGAGCAUGCUAGGACUUCUUAUUUUAUUGUUUGUUAUCUAACCUCUCAUGUUUUGUGGAAGCGCAUUAGGAGUUAAAUAUGCUAUCCAGGUACGUUCCCUAAUACCCACUUUCUAAACCCUAUGAAUAUGUAUGCCCAUGCUUGCUAUCCUCUUUAAUUGCCUUGAUAUACAUUUGAUGAUUGUUUGAUUAUCUUUGAUAAAACAAAUGUUGUGUGAUGUAUCUCCAAACUAAUCUCUUAUGUUUUAUGAUAGCGCUUGGGAAGCCGUCCAGGUACGCAUUUUUAACUCUCCUUAAUUGUGAUUUGAUUUUGUUUGAUAUGUUAUAUUUUUUUUGGAAUCACCUAGCCUACUUAGGUAUCCGAGAUCAACCAUUUAAUUGCCACGCUUCCCUUAACUUAGUCAGUAGAGACCUCUUUAGGGCUUAGAGGGGUGCUACCUCCUAGAGGUACCUUCCCAAUAAGUAACCUGAUCCCCGGACCAAGACUUGGGUUUUCAAAGACACGCUUUUCCAAAAAUUAUGGAGUCAUUUUUUUUAGGGUUUUAUUUCUUGUUUUAUUUUCCCUUCAAAAAUAAAAAUAAAAUAAGUGGCGACUCCAACUUUUUUUUAAAAAAAAUCAAUUUUUCACAAAUAAAUAAAAAGCGAGUCUCGCCGAUCGAGUGGGGACGCACGUGAAAAAUGCGGGUCCACAACAUGGUUCAGUGAUUAAUGUGAUCCCUAUGUUCAGGUGAAGUGCAUCAAUACUCAACAAUUAAUCCAUUAAUCAAAAGGAAUAAGAAGAGUUACAAUAGUAAAACUUUCAAAAAAACAUAUUUCAAUUGCAAUCUCACUCUCUAAAAAACAAAACCCUAAAACAUAAAAGGAUUACCAAAACGAGUCUUGAGCCCUAAUCCAUAAGGGAGCAUUUAUAGGGUUGUCCACUAGGCUUAACUAACUUGAGCCAAUCAAGGCUUGGGUCACUUAAUCUAGCACAAAACGAGUUCUAAUUGAUUAAUUAACCACAUAGGGCAUCUAAUUAAUCAAUUAGCUCAACCAAGGACUUUGUUCAUUAUCGCUUGUGUAGUCUUGCAUGAUAACCAAAACACCCUUAUGCAUAAGAAUGAACCUAAAGCCAAUUCAACCCUCAUAAACCAUAUCAUCAUGGUAUAAAAGUUCAAAACGGGGACCACUAGGACCCAUAGGAGUACUAGCUCCCUCAGAAUCCAAUUCUAAAGUUGAUUCAACAUUCUACUAAACAGAAUCAACUACACUCCAAUAUCUUAAAUAAAUAACAAUGUGAUAAAGGUUAGGUCAUUAACCUUAUCCACUGCAUGCAAACUCCUCAUGAACUGGUGUUUGUAAUCUAACAAGGUAGACUAUCACCUAUUAAGAUUACCUCUCAAAUACUUGAGUUACAAAUCUUACUUAUUAUGUGAUUAACAAACAUACUCCAAUUCCAAGGAGCAUAUGUCAAAUUCCACUAAAUGAAUUAUUGUAGUCAUAGAUUUUAUGAUCAUGUGUCCUUUGGAUUACCCAAGGAGACACACCAUCUCAUUACUUCUAUGAGAUAUCAUGGUGCCUCUAUCAAGAAUACUCAUUGCCAUCAACCAUCUUCAAUAGUAACCUAAUAUAUUAGGAUAUAUGACCACUUUAAGGUCUUACCCAUAGGUCAAGGCCUCCCAUUGAUGUUGGCAUAGACUCAAUAUCCUAUCAAGGUUGAGAGUUCAUGUAGUAUGGUAGCUUAGUGAAUCAUGACAAUUGAUUGCCUUACAUCAUGAUUCAUCGUGGGUCUUGUCUAGUGCGCAUCAUAUACACUAGUGGACUUACCAAGGAAAAACCAUCUUGAUGGCCAAGACAAGUCAUCCCUCCAAUUAGGAGGUGGUUUUCAAAUUUGAUUUGAUAAUCAAUUACCGAACCAGUUUUUUGAAGUUGAAUGAGCUUGUUAAACAUAUUUUCGAAUUGGUUAGUAUUAAAAUGAGAGAAAAUUCCUUGCUUGAGAUCUUCCUAAGUAACAUACAUAAGUUCUUCUAAUAUUUGGGACCAAAGUUGGGCUUCACCCUCUAAAUAAAAUGAGGCUAGAGUAACCUUAUAAAAUUCAAUGAUUUCCUGGAAUGAAAAGUACUUUUCUACCUUGCUUACCUAAGUUGUAGGAUCAUCUUGACUAUCAUAAUGGGGAAAAUCAAUCUUAAAGGUCUUAGGAACGUAGUUGUUAAGAGAACCCCAUAUGUCAAAAUUAACACCAUUUCGACCAUUGCCCUUACUUGUAGAAUGCUUUCUAUCAUCCUUACUUUUACCAAAAAUGUGUUGGAUGAAUUGCUCCAUUCUCUUAGUGAUAUGACCCAGUAUCUCCUAUUGACUAAAGGCAAGAGCUGCCAUGGUCUCUUCCAUCUUUUUCAAACGAUCUUGUAGAUCCAUUCCUGGCUCUUAUAAAAAAUUUACGUUGAGGAACUAAAGCAACAAAAAGAAAAAGAAAAAUCAUUAGCUUAUAUGAGGAACUAAUGCCCUUCCCAGGCAGCUCAAAGAUUUGAUAUAAUUGUUCAAUGCCUUUAUUUAGAAUCAUUCAAGUCUUUUACAAUGACUUGCUUCACAUUUACAUGCAUAAAAGUAGGAAACAAUAACUUAAAAUAAACAUGUUCUAACAUGAACAAACACAUCCUCACAUUUACAACUAAUUCAAAUAUUAAAUAGAGAAAAAUAAGGAAUAAAAUAACAACUAGUUCUAAGGCAGCGUAAUAGCUUCCAUGAUUUUAAUUUCAUUCUUUGUUUCCAUUCCUUCUGGUGUUGGCAUCUUAUUGUCUAAGGUUUGUGUAAGAAUUUUACAUUUCCAAAGUAGAGCACGGUGCUCAUUCUUUACAUCAUUCAUCAUUUCCAUCCUAGUUCUCUAAGAUAAGAGGAGAAUGAAACCAUUUUCGUGGAAAGGUUUUUUUUUUUUUUUUUUAAUUUUAAUUUUUAUGUCUUUGCAAUUGGACCAUCUCUACUUUGUCAUGCUUCUAGAAUUCUAUACAUUAACUAAUGACCCUUCAGUAUCAUGUUAAAAAAACGUGUAAAAAAAUAAAAAGAAAACAUAGUUAGCAAGCUUAAAGGAAGAGUAAAGAUAGAUUGCCUCAAUGGAAAGAAACUCAUGUGAUAAGAGAAUAGGCUUCUAGGUAUUUUCCCACUAGCAACCAUGUUGCCUUAAGUGUUGAGUUUGAACAUGUGAAAGGAGACCAAGAUGUGGUCUUUGAGAAAGGUUAAAGAUAAGUUGGUUUUAUUAGUUAAAUUGUAUAAUAAUUAAGUUCCCAAAAAUUUUCAUUGUAGAUACAAACACAACUUUUAAGUGAACCAUAUGUUGUUGUUUUCCAUAGUUAUAUAGAUCUUUUGUCUAUUUAAUUUUGAGACCGUUCACUAGAAUGCCUAUUGAGCUACAUGCUCAAUGAACCAUAUACACAAACCAAUCCUACAAUUACGAUAAAAAAAGAAAAAAAUAUUCAAGUUUAUAAAUGAAUGGGGAUAGAGAUAUAUAAAAUAUACAACUUGAUUACAUGGCAGCUAGUUUACCUUUUGUUGUGUAAGAAUUUCCUUAUUUAGGCAUUUUAGAUUCUAUGACCAAUAUUUUGGAAGCCAUAUAUAAAAAUUCAUGGUAAAAGAAUAAAAAUAGAGUCAAUUUCAUUCAUACAAUACAAGAAACUAAGUUAUAGUGACAUGAUUUUAGUAGGGAUAAAAAAAAAAUUGCAACUAUAUAGUUUAUAUAGUUGCAGUUCCAAAAGGAUCUGUUUCUAUAGUUUUUUUAUGCCAAAAUUUGGUGGAAAAUAAUUUCCCUCUAAUGUUUAUAGGCACAGACGAUAUAUUCCAGCAUCAUUAUAGACUAUAAUGUUGUAGCCAGACAAGUGAGGCAGCCAUAGGAGUUCCACACAUUAGAGAUGGCUGCGGGGUACUUUUAUUCUGCUACCAUAAACCGGUUUUGCAUGGGGAUUCUGCUACCAAAAAUAGAUGGCUCGCAGAAAUAAAAGACCCUAAAAAUACCAUCUCGCUCUUCACAAUCUGAAACCUUUGCCUCCACACUGACAUUCUUUGUUGCUUCACGUUUGAAAUCCCCUCAAAAUCUUCUACUUCCUCUACUUCAACAAAACCAUUAUUGGAUCCUCUUCAUCCACUUCACUGGAAUAAAACACCAUCAAAUCUAGCUUUGAAACCGGUAAUCAAGGUACCUUCUCUUCACAUCAUCUCUGGUCGAUCUCUUUUUUCACUUUUUUCAAAGAGAAUGAUAUAAAACCCUAGCCUAGUCUUCAUCUUAAGCUGGAUUCUCUGAACUUUUGCUUUAGAAGUUGGUUCACUGUGUUAUUUUUUCAUUUAUCCAGAGGUUUUGAAAUUGAAAGUAGUUUGCUACUUGUUUGAAUAUGAUAUUUAAUUUGAAAUUAUUGAUUAUGAAUUGAAAUGGAAGGUUUGGGUUUGUUUAGGUUGCAGGUGUUGAAAUGAUGCAUAGGAAAAAAAUUGCAUAAACUAAUUUCAGUUUACCAAUCAUCUGUUUAAAUGAAAUGGAUGUGGUAUUUGCAUCUUUUUUUUUUUUUAAUCAUUAAUGUGUUCUCAUCGAAGUGUAGUUAAUUGCUAGAUCAGAAAUUCCUGUUUACUUCUAAGGAUGACAACUCAUGACUAAAGGCCAUAGAUUUUGGCUUGUUUGAUUUUGUGAAACAAGGCAUGUUCUUAGCCCUUCAAUCCAUAGAUAUAUGUAUAUUAAACCAGGAAUGUUCUUAGCCCUUCAAUCCAUAGAUAUAUAAGAUUCAUAAGAAAGUUUCUAAUAGAUUCUGUUUUCUCAUGCAUUAAAGGUAUUUCAAGCACCAUUCUUUGGAUCAACUUUGAACUUUUUCCAUCAAACUAAACACAUUUCCUUUUUGUUAUGAAAGACUGCUCAAAAUUGAUGGAGAUAAUUAUCCUGAGGUACAGAGUUUUAAUGUAACACCCUUAGAUUAGUUUAUGAUGAUUGCACAUUUGUUUGACCCCUAAACUGAAUUAUUCAGAUUUCUGAUUAAAUCCAAAUUGUGUACUUGAAUGUCAUACUCCCUUAUCAUAUUUAAACAUCAAUUCUGCAGACACUUUGCAGAAUGUUUAUCAUUAAUGUUGGACCUGGUUUUGAGCUGCCCUGGAACAUGUACAGUGACGAUUUAUGUUUAUCUAAGAACAACUUCCAAGAUUCAUGUGAGUUAAAAGAAGUUAUUUUAAUCUAAUAAAACUAUGACCUCUCUUUGCUACGAACAAAAGUUUUGAGUGAUUGCUUUUUGAAAAUUUUCUUAUGUUCUUGUUUCAAUGGUAUUGUAAUCGGAUUCAUUAGUUGUUAGCAGAUUGAACUCAUAACAUUAGCCAUUGGAUCUCUACUAUCCCAUAAGAAAGAAAAAUAAAGAAUAAAAUUAGCCACCAGACCAUCCAUUGUUUCUGUUGGAGGAAUAUCUAACAUAUUUUUGCACAAACUUGCUGAAAAUAUUCAAGAUGCAUAUGCAGAGGCAACAAAUAUUGCUUAGUAGGUUAAGUGUACCUGCUAAUAUUCCUUAAAUUCAACAAAAAUUUCUGAAAUUCUUUUCAUGAGUGGGUUUUACUUGACCAUACUAACUAGAAAAAUUGUAGCUCUUGUUGGUAGAAAUGGUUGAGGAAAAAGUAGUAUAAUUCCACUCAUGGAAUGGUUUGAUGAUCCUAUAUUAUGUAUUAGAUACACACUAGUUUCCUAUCUUUUGCUUACCUAUUUUCUUUUGCUUUAUAUGACUGUCAUUGGAAUCCUUUUAAAAAAACUUCUCAAAUUUUAAUGUUCCAAUAUCUUCUAGUAUAGGAGAGGUACUUUUGGAUGGAAAAAAUAUUAAAAACCUGAACCUGCCUUACUAUGUUUGAGCAUAAGAGAUGACAUUGCUUAUGGGUGGUCCAAUGCUACUUCUGUUCUUAUUGAAGAAACUGCUAAAAUAGGCAUGCACAUUCAUUUAUCAGCUCUCUUGAGAAAGGAUAUGAAAUAUAGGUAGAAAGUAAACUACACUGGACAUCUUAAGCACACAUUAUGGUCUUAACAAUCAUUUUUUGAUAUUCAUCUAGUUCAAUGCAAUGUAGGUGGGUUAAGUUGGUAUAACAUUGACAAAAGAGCAAAAAAUAAAUCUAUCUGUGUUAGGGUAGUGGUUUCAAAUCCAUCCAUGCUUCUACUUGAUGAAAUCGUUGGUGUCCUUGACUUUGAAGCAGAUAGUGUUGUUUAGGAGGCCAUAGAUAUCCUCAAGUAGGGACGAUCAACAUUAAUCAUUGCUCGACUAAUAAGUCUGGUAAGGAAUGUUGAUUACAUUACAGUGAUGGAGAAGGGCCACUUUGUUGAAAUGGGUACACAUGAUGAAUCGUUAAUAUGCAUAGCUUCUCUAGUGUGCAGAAGCUAUGAAACCUCCUAAAAGAUAUAUUCUUAUCAUAAACUUGUGCUUCUGUAGGACCUAGUGCAGUAUCUUGUACGCUUAUGUAAUGUGUUGAAUUUAGCAGUUUGCAACAAUUAAUCUCGUGUAACAAUUUUUUAUAAAUUGCAAAAAUACAUAUAUGUCAAUUUAUUUAUGUUUUUAAUUAUAAAUGGUGGUUAUUUUUACUUAUUUUUAAUUGGAGUGUUUUCUAUGUCACACGUUGAUCUUGCAAAUAAACAGGUUCUCUUAAAAAGCUCCUAAGAGUGGAAAUUCACACAAUGCAAAAAACCCAUUAGAUAUCAAAGUUAUAUCCUUCAUGACAUUCUUCAUGGUAUGUUAUAUUCAAGUUCUUCAACAAUGCAAAGUUUAUACCAAAUUAGAUAUCAAUUAUUUCUCAGUUUCCAUGAAUGCAGUUUCAUGCUUAGACUUACUUGAAGAGCUCUCUUUACACUAUGAGUAGACGGUUAUAACUAUUGCUUUCUUCUGAUUAGGAUGCAGCUUGAUGUUACAGUCAGGUGAAACCGUAAUUAUUGUUUUAGUUUUGUACUUUACGUAACUUAAUCCAGCAAAAAUCUAUUUGCACAAUAUCAGGAUAUUGUUUGUGUAAUUUUUGUCAAGUAAUAAAGUCCAUGUAUAACUGGACUUCACAUCGUGUGCUUUAAUUGAUCAAAUGUUAUUUCUUCUGUUGAUCAACAACAUAGUCUAGGAGAUUAUCACUAGGCAGAAACAUAGGUAACCACUCUUUUAUAGAACUGUGGAGAUAAUUUUUUUUUGUUCACUUUAAUGCAAACGAUAUGUUUGUGUAUGAUUUAAGUGGUUUGUUUUCUAAAUGCAGAGAGGAAGGGUGUUAAAGUAUGACAACCUGUACAUUACGGAAGAAAUCAUGCAAUUACUACAAACCAUGUGGGGGGGGGGGUAUAACUGAAGUCCAUAGUCAAUGACCACUACCCUAAUGAAUCCUUGUACAGUUGUAUAAGCUCGUGCAGUUGUAUUCCUUAAACAGCUUAUAGUCAUUGACUCUCUUCCUUGAUUUCACUCAUAGUUGUUUUAUCUCUUGUAUAUAUAUGAACAGUUUCAUAUAUUAAUAGAGCAUUACAAUCAUUCACACAAAGUCUUGUAUAUAUAUGGACCGUUGUUCCUAUUGAAAUUUCAAUAAAUUAAACCUACCCUUAUGUAGAUAAUGGAUGACGUUCUAGAUAUAUUAGAAGUAGAGUAAUACUUCUAUCUUUGAUAUUUGAUAGAAAAAUGCUUUCUUUGGAAUUCUUAUACAUUUAGUCAAAAUAUUUCCAUUUUGAUUUAUGGUUGUGAUUUAUCAGGAUUUUGUAUACAUAUAUAUAUAUAUAUAUAUUGAUAUCUAUCUUUAGCUGAGAUUUUGAGUCUCGCAUGUCUACCAUUUCACCACCAAGGCAUCUUGAGAGUGAAUGGUGUUCCAUGAAUAUGAUAUCCAUCUAGUGUGAUGUAUGGAAUAUAUGACAAAGGUGGAGUGUUAGAGUAUUUCUAUUAAUCGGUCAUGUCAUAUAGGCCCAAAUUGGACAUCCAAUUGCUUCGAUUUGAAUUAUUAGGAGGAUGCCUUAUAUACAUUAUAUAAAAAAGAUGGACAAUCAAACCUAUUUCUCAAUUCAAUAGAAGCCCAAAAGGGUGAAUAGGGUCCUAAAUAACGAGAGAUAUGUAAAAAACAGGUCCGAUUAUGCCUAUUCCUAAUCCUAAAUGAAAUGUAACGAUGUAAGGAUUCAUAUGUAAACGUAGUAUCUAUUUAGAUAAGCUCGAAUGACCCCUUCUCAUAAUGAGAAUUUAUAUAACCCUAUUCUGGUCUGAUUUGUUAUGGAAUGAACUUAUAAUCAUGGAACUAACUCAAUCAUCAGAUUAUAGAUUAUAAGUUCAUAACCCUAACCCAUUCCCAUUUUGGGAGAAAUAGAUCUAGUAAUUAUUUGAUUCUAGUUAGUAAGAGGGAUCUUAAACUAAGAAAUAGAUCAUAGAAACUAAAAAAAAGGUAUCUUGAGCAAUUGCAAUUAUCGGGUUCAUUGAUAUUCUUGGUAUAGUAGAUGUUUUCACACAUACAAUCAUACUCAAUUCGAUGGAAUUGUUUGAUCUUAAAAGAGAUCUUAUAUAAUUUCGCACAUGAGGGGUUAUUUCUUGGUUUCAUCCAGUCAUUAAUAACUUGAUUAUUUUUAGAUAAAAGUAGAUAGAAACAACAGAGUAAGGAGUCCUAUUGAAACCAAGAAAUAUAGGUCUUCCUGCCAUCCACACCAAAAUAAAUGGAGUUUUUAAAAAACAACCUGCUAGUGGAGGAAGACCUCCUAGGGAUAAGAGACAUAGGGCUAAAAAGAAAGCCGAAAAAGGAUAUUUCAUGUAUAAUCCUACAUAAUCUCGAAUGUUAUCAGUUCUGGUACAUAGACCAAAUGAUACAAUGCAAGCAAAAGUUCCUAGAUUCAUGUAGAUAUAGAACAACAUAUAAGUUAUCAUGCUUGCAUAUCCACCAUUUGAGUCUCCAACAAUUAUUUCAAUAAUUACAUAUUCGAUUUGACCUAUGGACAAAUAUGCAAGCAUACGUUUCAUGCUUAUUUGAGUAAUAGCAAUGAGAUUCCCCUAUAUCAUGCUAAGAAUAGCUAGGAUUUCCAAAAGAUGUCAUUCAUUUGAUGGGAAAUAAAAAGGAAUAUCGAAAAUUCAAGUGUCUAAAGCAACUGCUUUCGAAGUAAUAGAAAGAAAAGCAAUGACUAGAGUGGGAGAGUCAGAGUCAAAAAGAGGAUUCCUCACUUCUUUCUCUCAUUCAAAACCGUGCAUAAGACUUUUAUCUUGCACAACUCCUAAGUGAUAAAAGAAAGAAGAACUCAUCUUUCUUUUUUUAUUACCUUCCUCGCGUAUGUAUAAGACUGAAUCCCUUUGAUUUCUAAAAAGGAUUACUAAUCCUUAACUUUUAGAGGAAUCCUUCAUCAAUGGUUGUGAAUGACUGAUUUUUUCAAACUUUUCGACCUUGGUUAUGUAGCAGCAAGUAGCAAGAUUGAGAAAUAAAACCAUUUAAUUUGAUUCGUUCUCAAUAACCAUGAGAUGAUCAUCUUAGGGUGAUCCUUACGUUGGCAAGUGCUCCUAUCACACUCGUAGUCUCUAAAGGAUGAGAACCAACUAUGUAGCACCUACAUCAAGAAUUCAAGUAUUGUAUAUGCCAUUAGUAUGAUCCUUUGUAGGAACUACCCAUAAUAACAAACUUACAAAAUGGAUAUGUUUAUCAUAAAGAGAUUUGUUGUUCCUGACCCUGCUUCACCUUGAUUUUUAUUUGAAUAAAAGUUAUGUAUUGGUCCGAGUGGGGAUAACAUUUCUCUUCUACAUGUCCAUGAAGUUUUGAAAAAUCUAAACAUCUCAAAGAUAGAUAGAGAGGUAGGAAUUUAUCGAACGAACCACACUCCUUUGUAUAAGUCAAGAGUCCAUUGAUGAGAAGGGGAUGGGUAAAGCUUAAACCCUAUUCCUACAAUGAUGAAUAUAAGUGCAAUUGAAAUUCCUGGGGAGUUAUACAUUUGUGUAUUGAUAAGACCAUUCACUAUUUCUUGAUGCUCGAUCUCUCCCCCGAAUGAACCAUAUAGCCAAGAGAAACCAUGAAUCAGAAUAGAAGAACUUGCCCCACCUAUGAGUAAAUAUUUCGUAGUAGCCUCACUAGAUCGUACAUCUCUCUUGGUAUAUCCAAAUAAUAGGUAAGAACAUAAACUGAAACAUUCUAGAGCUACAAAAAUAGUUAUUAAAUUGUUAGCAUAGCAUAAAAACAUUCCUCUUAAACUAGUUGUUAAUACGAAUAAGAGAAACUCUAUAAUAGCCAUUUUUGUACAUUCAUUGUACUCUACGGAUAGAGGAAUACAUAGAGUUGAGCAUAGUAAAAUAAGAAAUUGUUCGUUUGGAAAUUUCUCGAAAAGCUAAUCAUAGGUUCUUCUCUCCAUCGGACCAAUAGGGUCAUUAUGCUCAUUACUAAACUUGUUGAAGAGAUGAAAUAUAACCAAGCUAUAUCUUUUUUAUCAGAGGUUGAAUCAAUCAUCAGAAGAAGAAUUAGGCCAAAAAUUAUGAUACAUUUUGGGAAAAUAAAACUUCCAUCGAAGAGAAGAAAAUGAAAGGCUUUCAAAAAAAUUCUCAUAGAAUCAAGAAUGAUGUUUUCAUGCUAUAUAUGCCAGAUCAUAAAUUAGUAAUUGCAUUCAAUCUCCAAAAAAAUCCCAAUUGUUUCUAUUUUUGGAAUGGAAUAUUUAAGGAAUCACCAUGAAUAGGAUCAAACCUUAUUCAAUGUUAUUUACAUGAGAUUCCUCUUUCUUAUUCUUAAGCAAGUCCCUGAGAGGACUUGGUGGAUCCAUGAUUUAUGUUGCAUCUCUUGUUUCCUUUUCGUUUGUUUCGAGAAAUAUAUCGAUCAAUUCCAAUUCUUUUGUUUUCUAUUGAUUCUUUUCUGAUCGAGAUGUAUUGACUGGAUCCUUGGAUCUAUGUGUCUAUAUAGAUUCUGUUCAUGGAUUAAUGAAAAUGUGCAAAAGCUUUAUUUGCCUCUGCCAUUCUAUGAGUCUCUUCCUUUUGGCAUAUGGCAUCGCCACUCCCUUUGGCAACAUCCACUAAUUUAGAACUUAAUUUGAAAGUCAUAUUUUGACCCGAACGUUUUUGGGAUGCUCCUAAUAAUCAAUGAAUGGAAAGUGCUUUUCCUUGUGUGGAUCCUAUUUCAAUGGGAACUUGAUGAGUCAAUCCACCUACACGUCUUGCUUUUAGUCCUAUAUCAAGAGUUACUCCACGUAUUGCUUGAUGUAAAACAUAUAGUGGAUUUGUUUGUCUUUUGUUGAAUUUUUUUCACGGAUCGAUAGAUAAUUUGAUAAGCCAAUGAUUUAUUUUCAUGUUUCGGAAUACAAUUAACCAACACGUUAACUAAUCGAUUAGGAUAAAUUGAAUUGGAUUUCACUUUUUUUUUCUGUAGCACCUCGACAUGACAUGAGCGUGAAAGGGGUUUAAGAAUUAGUUUUCUUUUUAUAAGGUCUAAAAUCAUUUAUUUUGGCUUUUUGACCCCAUAUUGUAGGGUGGAUCUUGAAAGAUAUGAAAGAUCUCCCUCCAAGCCGUACAUACGACUUUCAUCGAAUAUAGCAUUCCAUAGAAUUCUAUAUGUAUCCAUGAGAUCAAGUAUGGAAUUUUGUUUACUCAUUUUACAUUGAGUAUUUGUUUCCCUCCUUUUCCUGCUAGGAUUGGAAAUCCUGUGUUUUACAUAUCCAUACAAUUGAGUCAUUGGGUUUUUGAAAUAGUGUAAAAAGAAGUGCUUCGAAUCAUUGCUAUUUGACUCAAACCUAUUCUAAAAAAGUCGAGGCAUUUCAAAUUGUUUAUUGACAUGGAUAAAAUCAGGGAAAACCUCUGAAAUUAUUUCAAUAUUGGACCUUAGACAUAUAAUAGUUUCUAAUCGAAUCCCUUUAAAAAGAUCUUUUGUCUCAUGGUAGCCUACUUCAGUCCCCUUACGAAACAUUUGUUAUUGGGUUAGUCAUACACUUCACAUGUUUGUUUCUAGCGAUUCACAUGGUAUCAUCAAAUGAUCAAGUCUUGGAUAAGAAUCUACAAUGCACUAGAACACCCUUGUUGACAAUCCUUUACAGCGUUUAGAGUUCCUCGAACAAUGUGAUAUCUCACACCAGGUAUUUUAAUGCCAGAGAUCUAUCUUAUGUCACUGUCAUUUCAAUAGGGUAUUUUCGAAAACUAUGAACAGCAGCCGUAUGCAGUGGCAUAUAUUGGAACCUCCAUGUUGGUAGUAUACAUCCAAAUAGUAUUCAUAAAGGAGUGGCUUCUGAAUACUAUGAAAUCUGGCUCUUCUAAAAAUGAAAAUGAUGAAGGAAUGGUAUAUGAGCUUGAUCUGCCAGUGGAACACAAGGGUGAGCCUGACACUUUUGAACUAGAAAAUCAAACAUCCAUAGUAAAAAAUAUACACAGAGGAGUUAGCAUGAGGGGAUUUGUUAAAUUGGGCUCUUAGCUCGCUCCUAUCUGGCUCAUGACAGAGGUCAGCCAUUAUAUCAUUGUUGGCACUGAAUGUUAUUUUGCAUGUAACUGAAAUCUCAAGCAUAUAUAUCUAUAUAUGUAUGACACAUUUUCUUUUAUCCUUGCAUACAUAUUUGUUUCUCUUCAGUCUCCAUUUCUAGUUGUGGUCAAUUUACAUUAUUUUUACAAUAAUGGAUGCAUGUAGUACUUUACCCAUGCUGCACUUGCAAGAACAAGCAUUGCAACCACAACAUUACUGUCUUCAUCAGCUUCAGUACUUUUCACUCUUCUGCUUGGUGUCCCUUUGGGCCAAGAAUCCAUAAAUGCAGUCACAAUAGUUUAUGUCGUCAUCAGUUUGGCUGGUGUUGCAUUGACCACCCUUGGGCAGACUUGGGCUUCAUAUGAUACCCAGUAAGCAGAUCAUUUAUAUACACACCCAGAAUUAUUUAUUAACCCAAGAGCUUUAUCUAGUUAUAUAAUUGAUAGUUGUUUUUCGAGCAGCUGAUAGCUAAAAUUUGAUGUUUUAGAAAUGGGAAGCAUUCUCUUGUUGGAGAUCUUUUCAGUGCUCUCAGCUUUGACUUAUAUAUGAACUAUGUACCAGUGAAAAUAUUCUCUAACUGUUAUUAAUGAAUAUUUAGUUCAGCUAUGAUGGAUCUUGCUCAUAGCUCAUAUGCAAUAACAACAACAAUAAUAAUAAUACAGUGUUGUUUUAAAAAAUUGUUGGAGAAAGUGGGAGAUAAGAUAGAAGUGUAGAAGAAUACAUAGGAUUAUUCACACUCGUUGGCCUUUGGUGGCUAGGUUCUAGCCGAAGUAAUUAACAAAGGAGGUCUGUAUGCACUAGGUGAUGAUGGUAUCCAAGCCAUGGAAGCCACUCCAUCACGCUUCUGAGGUUUGGCAUCAAUGCAUUGGACGUCCACAAACAAAGUCCUUGAAUUUUUUACAAGAUAAGAAUUUUAUUAAUUUGUGCUAGUUGUUAAUUAGGCAAUAGCUAUUAACUUUUUUUUAGUUUAACAAGAAAGACUUCAAUGAAUCAUCUUGAUAAAAUACAUUAUGAUUUAUGGGGACCUAGACCAAAUAAUUCCACUCAAGGAUACAAGUAUUAUGUUUUGUUUAUUGAUGAUUAUACUUGUUAUACAUGGAUUUAUCCUUUGAAGAAAAAUCAGACUUCUUUGAAUGUUUCUUGAAAUUUCAAAGACUUGUUGAAAAUCAACUCGAGAGGAGCAUUAAAAUUUUUCACAACAAUGGAAGGGGUGAGUUCCAACUUGUUGAGUUUCAAAAUCACUCGAGUCAAUGUGGAAUUUUACAAUAAUUUUCCUAACCAGGAACUCCAAAAUAGAAUAGUAUUGUAGAGAGAAAGCAUAGACAUGUUGUAGAGAUGGGCCUAAUAAGGAUAUAUCAUGCAAACCUACCCGUUAGUCUAUGGGUGGAUGCAUUUUUUAUAGCCACCUAUCUUAUAAAUGGAUUGCCUUCUACAGUUGAAAAUAUGAGAAGUCCUUUUUAUAUGUUAUUCAAACAACAUCCAGAAUACAACGACUUGAGAGAUUUUGGAUCAGUGUUUUCCAUACCUUAGAGAAUAUGAGGAAAACAAAUUCCCACCAAAAACAUAUCCAUGUGUUUUCAUUGAAUAUAACUCUCUACACAAGGGAAAUUGAUACCUGCACCUCUCAACAAAGAGUAUAUAUAUCACGUCAUGUUAUUUUUCAUGAGAAAUUUUUUUUUUAUUCUAAUUCCUCUGAAAACAAAAAAAUCCAUGCAUAUUCUGUUAGAGAUUUUUCAUUCCCAACUUAUGAUGCUCCACUUAAAAUAUUAAAGCUUGUGCAACCUACCAAUACUUCUGAGUCGACAACAACCUUUAAUAAUGGUUGCAAUUCCACAACUUGUCUUGGUAAUGCUCUUGCUAGCCUCUAGAAUGUCACUCCAUGUGGUGACCGAGAAGCUAAUCAUUAUUACUAGACUAUUGCAAGUGCUGAUGUAUGUGCUGAUUCCCCUCGACAUCAUACCCAAUUUGAUGCCUAUGCAAAUUGCUCUCCAUCUUCUGAUUGUGUUGUUUCCCUUCAACAUAAUUCUCAGCUUGAUACUCAUGUAGCCUGCUCUACACAUCCUACCUGUCCUCAAGCUAAUCAUCUUAUAGAGACCUUAAGUGAUUUGUCAUAUUCAAGUAAAUCUUGCAACAACAAUGAGGAUUGUAGUGAUAAAUUUUUUAAUGUGUUUCCUUAUAUCAACAAGAAUCAAGGAGUUGAUCUCUUUCUUCGUGCAAAAUAGAAAAGGACUGACCAAGGAUUUACAAUGAUCACUAGAAACAGACUUAAAAAUGAACCAAGUCUAAAAUCUCAAAUGAUCAUCCUUACUACUACAAGAGGUCACAUUUGCGAGCUAAAAACCUAUCGUGGUGCACUUAAAAUUCCUGACUAAUAUGCUGCAAUGCAGAAGAAUUCACAACAUUAGAUUAGUACCACACCUAGGAUCUUGUUCCUAGGACUUCGGUACAAUUAUAGUGAUGUCCAAAUGGGUUUUUGAGACAAAACUUAAGGAGGAUGGCAUAGUGGACAGAUUAAAGGCUUGGCUUUUGCUCGCGGCUUUACUCAAAUACCAGGUUUGGAUUUCUGUGAAACUUUCAAUCUAGUAAUUAAACAUUCAAGGAUUCAUUUGAACCUCUCACUUUGCAGUCUCUUUAAAAUGGAUUAUCAGGCAGCUAGAUGUCAAUAAUGCCUUUUUACAUGGGUUUCUCAAGGAGUAUGUGGUCAUGGAGUAGCCCAUAGCUUUGAAAAUGAAGACUUUCCCAAUCAUGUAUGUUGUCUUAAUGAUUCUCUCUAUGGUUUGAAACAAACUCUGAGAGCCUAGUUCAAUAAACUCUCUUAGUUCCUUCUCCAUAUGGGUUUUCAUUGUGGUAAAGUAGUCCCAUCCUUAUUCAUCUGAACAUACAGGUCACUCCAUUAUUCUAAUAUUGAUUUACGUGGACGAUGUUAUAGUCAUUGGAAAUGAUACAACCACCAUCAAUAAUCUCAUGCAUACAUUAAGCAAAGAGUUUUCUUUGGAGAACUUGGUGUAAGUUCAUUACUUUCUCAGCUUGGAAGUUCGAAACUUUUAUGGUGGUAUCUUUGUUUCCCAAGCAAAGUUUCUUAGAGACUUACUCAGUGGGAUGAGAAUGCUUGAGUACUUUCACUUAAGCAUGCUCACGGCUAUCAAACCUACGAGUAACCCAGUUGAUGAUCAUCCAGUUGAUCAAACCCUUUAUAGGCAACUUACUGGUUCCUUGCAAUAUACCACGUUUACAAGACAAGGUACUGUCCAUGCAAAAAACAAAGCCUAUCAACAAUUUCAAUCUCCCAUAGAGGCUGACAUGCAAGUUGUGAAAGUAUCUUGAGCUAUCUAAAGGGAACCAUGGAUUAUGGAUUUCACUUUCUUAAAAAACAGUUCCCUUUAUCUAACAGGCUACCAAUGCUGAUUGGGCCAAAUGCACCAUUUACAUGUCCCAUGAAUGAAAACUCCGUGAUCCAGUUUUUCAAACAAUGCCACUUCCACUCUGCCAUUUACAUCUAACAAUUGUCACCAACUAUAAAUAUUUAGCAACCACUGGUGACAUCAAUAUUGGUAAUCUGGUUCUUUGUUAGGCUAGGACUCAAUGAUUUUUAACACAUAAAUUUUCUCAAAUAAGAAAAUUGUUGAUGAAAAUGUAAGUUGAUUUAUUAUACUUAACAAUCAUUAAUAUGCCCCUUGAUUCUUCUAAUAAAAACAAAAACACCAUUUUAAACAAUUUAAUGUUUAAUUUUCAAUCAAAAGGAUGGGAUUUCAUAAAUAGACACUAGAUAAUAAAUUCUUUCAAUGAAAAAACUUUGAAUCAUCAAAUAUUUCUCCUAGAAAUCUUUGAUAUUCUUUAACUCUUUAAGAGAUCUUCAAAUAUUCAUCUUUUCAAGAAAUCUUGAAUCUUGAAGGAAUUUCUUCAACAACUAUAAAAAUUUUUGUCGGUCUUCAAUGUGUGCUUUCAAAUGAGAGGAACCCUCUACUUAUUGGGUUAGAAAUUUUAUUUUGAUGUUAUAUCUUGCUUUCCUAGACAUAAUCAUCCUUUUUAUUGUGAUAAUUGUUAUUUAUUUUAAUUAUUAUAAUUAAUUAAUUAAGAUAAUUAUAAUAUUCUUUUGCAUCAUCACAAUUAACUGAUUUCUUAUUAUUUUUUACACAUUAUUAGUUAAUUAUUGACACGUGACUAUUAAUGAGUGGACAAAAAUUUUCUUUGCACAUAUUUCUUUAAACAUUGAUCAUUGUUAGUUGGUGGUGACAAUCUACUCAAACUAGUAGGGAGUUCUUUAUACACCUAAUGAUUUCUUGAAAUAUCACAAAUUUCUUUUAAUGUUUAGGUUUAUUUUUCAAUAAUGGUCAAUGCUAAGGCUAAGGUUGGGUUAGUUAGGUUAAGAAUAAGUUUAUGUUUCAUAUGUUUAUUUUUGUUGUGAUUUUAGAUAGAGAGGUCCUUAUGUUCUUUUUCUGUGAGUUUGAUGUAAAUUUCUAUGUUUGUUCCAUUUCAUCAUAGUUUUAAAUAUCAUCUACCUUGUUAUAUUCUAUAUAUAUAUUUGGCUUCUCUUUCAUAUGGGCUCCAUCUUCUUUACUAUUGUUUCCAUGAUUUCAAUUUCAUUCUUUGUUUCCAUUUCACUUGUGGUGGCAUCUUAUUGUCUAAGGUUUGUGUAAGAAUUUUUAAAUUUCAUCCUUUGCAUCAUGUUCAUCCUACUUCUCUACAAUAAGAGCAGAAUGAUUGGUUAUUUUCAUGGAAAGGUUUUAUUUUAAGUCUUUGCACUUAUACCAUCUCUCAUUAUUCAUGCUUAUAGAAUUUAAUACAUUACUAGUACUUCAUUUUCAUUUAAAAAAAUAUGUAUAGGAAAAAAAAAGGAAAUAAGAAAAAUACUUAGUAAGAUAGAAGGAACAAUCAAGGUAGACGGUGUUAGCAGAAUGAAAUUCAUGUGAGUAAAAAAUGGAGUUGUCAAUAUUAUGCCCCCUUGGAAGGUGGUGCAAUUCUCAACCAACAAGUGUUAAGGUUGAAUAUGUGAAAGUAGAGCAAGAUGUGGUGUUUAUAAAAGGUUGAAGGUAUGUGGGUUUUGUAUUAAGAUAGAUACUAUAAUAUCUAAAAUCAUUCACAAUCAUUGAGAUAUAUUUAAUUUAUAUUAAUUCAGUCUUCCUACUUUGGUAAAUUAUAUGGUAAAAACCUAUAAAAACAAAUACAUUUAGACUGUUGGGAACAUAAAUCAUUCUUUUGAGUUAAAUUGCAUAAUAAUUAAGUUGCCAAAAUUUUCCAUUGUAGAUACAAACACAAUUGUGGACCCGCAUUUUUCACGUGUGUCCCCACUUAAUGGGCGAGACUCACUUUUAUUGGUGAAAAAUUUAUGUUAAACAUGCUCUAAAAAUAAUUUUUAUUCUCUAAAAAAUAAAUUUAAUAGAUUGAAUAUAUCCAUAAGGGUGUUAACUGAAGAAAUUUGAAACGAAUGAUGGCUUACUGUAUUUACCCUAAAUCUCAAUGGGUGAGAGUGAAAUUAACUCAUAAAAUUAUUGUUCCCAUAAAUAUUUUUAUAUGUUUAACCACAACUCAUUUUCAAUUAGCAUAGAAGGUUUUGGCAUGUUAUACUUGCUAAUCUCAAGGGUGGUUAUGACUUAUCUACAAAGUUUUUCACUUUUGAGUCACCAUGCUAUUAAGGCUGCCAUAUAUUUCAUACAAUCGGUUCAUUUUGGCUUUACAAGGGCAUGAACAAUUGUUGAUUAGUGCAAGUGAAGAAAACAAAGAAUUCGUUAAUCAUGAACAAGCAUUUUCUUCCUAGUGUGGAUGAGGAAGAAAAUGUGGUGCAAAAUUCCAUUUGUAGGUUCACUCCAAUUAAUCACUUCAAUAACCAUGGACCUUGGGAUCAGAAACAAGUUUUUGGUAUUAGAAGCAAGCCAUCUAAGAACAGUCCUAAUGAACAACCAGUCCCACAAUAGAAGUAACAACCUAAAAAAUCAAGUGGUACUCUCAUUUACCAAAUAUGUAAUAAGGCUAAUCACUUUGCUUUGGAUUAUUGGAACAAAAUUUGAUUACUCAUAUCAAUAAGAUAAAAUUCCCCAAACUUUGGCGACUAUGACAUUGAAUAAAGAAAGGGGUGAUCUCAACUUCUAUGUUGAUUCUGGAGUCACAACCCACAUAACAAUCAAUCCUACUAAGAUGUCCCAAGUUGUUCCAUAUAAAGGAAAUGGUGUAAUUUUUGUUAGAAAUGAAGAACCCCUAAGGAUUUCAAUUUUUUUUUUUUUUUGAUAACCGUGGAUGUCCGGGCCAACUUACGCACACCUUGUCUAAUCCCAUGGGGCCCUGAAGUUAACGUCCAGGUAAACCUCUAAUGGCCCUAAGGAUUUCAAAUAUUACAGAGGCUAAAUUAAGAACAAGACAUGGAAACUUGAAUCUUAAUGGUCUUAGUUGUUUUAGAAAUUAACAAAAUGUUUCUAUCCAUUGGAUAACUUAUGAUAAUUCAUGUUCCAUAGAAUUCUCAUCUAGUGGUUUUGUUAUAAAGGACUAACAUCAACAAGUUCUAGCCAAAGGAAUUAACAAAUGAGGUCUGUAUGUACUAGGAAAAUAUGUUAUCCAAGCCAUGGCAGCCACUCACUCCAACAAGGCAUCAUGAGAGGUUUGGCAUCAAUGCAUUGGACAUCCACAAACAAAGCCCUUGAAAUUUUUACAAGAUAAGAAUUUAAUUCAUAUGUCUAGUUGGACUAAAUCUCCUUCGGCUUGUGCUAGUUGUCAAUUAGGCAAGAGGUAUAAACUUUCUUUUGGUUCAACAAGAAAGACUUCUAUGAAUCCUCUUGGUAAAAUACAUUAUGGUUUAUAGGGGCUUGGACCAAAUAAUUCCACUCAAGGACAUAAGUAUUAUUUUGUGUUUAUUGAAGAUUAUGCUUGUUAUACAUGGAUUUAUCCUUUGAAAAAAAAAUAGACUUCUUUGAAUGUUUCUUGAAAUUUCAAAGACUUGUUGAAACUCAACUUGAGAGAAACAUUAAAACUUUUCAAAGUGAUGGAGGGGGUGAGUUCCAACUUGUUGAGUUUUAGUAUCGAUUGAGUGAAUGUGGAAUUUCAAAACAAUUUUCCUAUCUAGGAGCUCCAAAAUAGAAUGGUAUUGCAUAGAGAAAGCAUAGACAUGUUGUAGAGAUGGGCCUAACAAUGAUAUUUCAUGCAAACCUACCCCUCAGACUAUGGGUGGAUGCAUUUUUUACAACCACCUAUCUUAUAAAUCGAUUGUCUUCUACAAUUUAAAAUAUGAGAAGUCCAUUUUAUAUGUUAUUCAAACAACAUCUAGAAUACAACAACUUGAGAAUUUUUGGAUACUAGUGUUUUCCAUACCUUAGAGACUAUAGGAAAAACAAAUUCUCACCAAAGGCAUAUCCAUGUGCUUUCAUUGGAUAUAACUCCCCACACAAGGGAAAUCAAUGCCUACACCUCUUGAUAAAGAGAGUAUACAUAACACGUCUUGUUGUUUUUUAUGAGAAAUUUUUUUUUUGCAUGAUUAUUCCUUUGAAAACAAAAACUCCAUGCAGAUUCUAUUAGAGAUGGAUUCAUUCCCAACUUAUGAUGCUCCACUUAAAAUUUUAAAGGUUGUGCAACCUACCAAUACUUCGGAGUCAACAACAACCCUUAAUAAUGGUUGCAAUUCCAUAACCUAUCUUGGUAAUACUUUUGCUAGCCUCUAGAAUGUCACUCCAUGUGGUGACCCAGAAGUUGAUCACUAUUCCUAGACUAUUGCAAGUGCUGAUGUGUGGGUUAAUUCUCCUCAACAUCAUACCUAGUUUGAUGCUUAUGCAAAUUGUUCUCCAUCUUUUCUUUGUGUUAUUUCCCCUUAACAUAAUUCUCAGCUUGAUACUCAUGCAACUUGCUCUACACCUCCUACUAGUCCUCAAGUUGAUCAUAUUAUAGAGACCUUAAGCGAUUUGUCAUCUUCAAGCAUAUCUUGUAGCUACAAUGAGGAUUGUAAUGACAAACUUUUUAAUGUGUUUCCUCAUAUCAACAAGAAUCGGGGAGUUGAUAUCUUUCUUCCUACAAAAGAGAAAAGAACUAACCAAGGAUGUACAAUGAUCAUUAGAAACAGAUUUAAAAAUGACCCAAGUCUAAAUCUCAAAUUAUCAUCCUUGCUACUACAAGAGGUCACAUAUGCGAGCUAAAAACCUAUUGUGUUGCACUUAAAAUUCCUCACUAAUAUGAUGCAAUGCAAGAGGAAGCCACAGAAUUAGAUCAGAAUCACACCUAGGAUCUUGUUCCUAGGCUUUCCAAUGCAAAUAUAGUGGAGUCCAAAUGGAUUUUUAAGACAAAAUUUAAGGAGGAUGGAAUAGUAGAUUGAUUAAAGGCUUAACGGAUUGCUCAUGACUUUACUCAAGCACCAAGUUUGGAUUUCUAUGAAACUUUCAAUUCAAUUAUCAAACAUACAAUGAUUUGCUUGAUCCCUCACUUGCAGUGACUUUGAAAUGGACUAUGAGGCAACUAGACGUCAAUAAUGACUUUUUACAUGGUUUCUCAAGGUGUUCAUGGAGCACCCCCUCGGCUUUGUUAAUGAAGACUUUCUCAAUCAUGUAUGUUGGCUUAAUCAUUCUCUUUAUGGUUUGAAACAAACUCCGAGAGCCUGGUUCGAUACAGUUUCUCAGUUCCUUCUCUAUAUGGGUUUUUGUUGUGGCAAAGUAGAGCUAUCGUUAUUCAUCCAAACACAUAUGUCACUUUAUUAUUCUAAUAUUAUUUACGUGGAUGAUGUUAUAAUCACCAAAAAUGAUACAACCACCAUUGAUAAUCUCAUUCAUGCAUUAAGCAAAGAGUUCUCUUUGAAGGACUUGGGAUAACUUCAUUACUUUCUCAACUUGGAAGUUUGAAACUUUUCAAGUGGUAUGUUUGUUUCCCAGACAAAGUAUCUUAGAGACUUAGUGUGGGAUGAAAAUGAUUGAGUGCUCUCACUUAAACAUGAUCAUGGCUAUCAAACCUACAGCUACCCAAAUUGAUGAUUAUCCAGUUGAUCGAACCCUUUAUAGACAACUUGUUAGUUCCUUGCAAUUUCUCACAUUUACAAGACUAGGUAUUGUCCAUGAAGUAAACAAAGCUUGUCAAUAAUUUCAAGUUCCCACAGAGGUUGACAUGCAAGUUGUGAAAAGUAUCUUGAGAUAUCUAAAGGGAACCAUGGACUAUGGACUUUGCUUUCUCCAACAAGUUCCCUUUGUUUAAUAGGCUAUUACAAUGCUGAUUGGGUUGGAUGCCCCAUGAAGGAAAACUCUAUGAUCCAAUUUUUUAGACAAUGCCACUUCCACUAUGCCAUUUACAUUUAACAACUAUUAACAACUAUAGACAUUUAGCAGCCAUUGGUGACAUCAACACUGGUAAUCUCGUUCUUUAGUAGGGUAUGACUUAAUGAUUUUUAACACAAAAAAUUUCUCAACUAAGAAAAUUAUUGACAAAAUUCUAAGUUGAUUUAUUUAAACUUUACAAUCUUUAAUAUGCACUUUGAUUUUUCUAAUAAAGACACAAACAUCGUUUUAGACAAUUUAAUGUUUGAUUUUGGAUCAAAAAGUCAUGAUUUCAUAGAUAAUAAAUUCUUUCAAUGAAAAAAAAUAUCCGAAUCAUCAAUUUCUUCAAGAAAUCUUCAUAUAUUUUUUAACUUUCUAAGAGAUCUUCAAAUAUUCAUAUUGUCAAGAAAUCUUGAAUCUUGAAGGAGUUUCUUCAACAACUGUAAAAAAUGUUGUCGACGUUCAAUGAGUGCUUUGAAAUGAGAGGAACCCUCUACUUAUUGGGUUGGAAUUUUAUUUUGAUAUUAUCUCUUGUUUUCCUAGAGAUAAUCAUCUUAUUUAUUACAAUAAUUAUUAUUUAUUUUAAUUAUCAUAAUUAAUUAAUUAAGAUAAUUAUAAUGUUGUUUUGCUUUAUCAUAAUUAAUUGUUUUUUAUUAUUUUUAAAUUAUCAAAUCAUUUUUUUUUGCAAGACCCAUAUGACAAGUGUCAACAUGUUAUUAGUUAAUUAUUGACAUGUGACUUUUAAUGAAUGGACAAAAUUUAUCUUUGUGCAUAUUUUUUUCGACAUUGAUCAUUGUUAGUUACUGGCAACCACUUACUCAAAUCGGUAGAAAGUUCUUUAUACACCUAAUGACAAGGUAUAUAAGCUCAAAGUGGGAACCACUAGGGCCCAUAGGAAUACUGGCUCCCUUGGAAUCUAAUUCUAAAGUUGAUUCAACACCCCACUACAAAGAAUCAACUAAACUCAAUAUCCUAUGUAAAUAACAAUGAGACACCAAGUGCUCAGGUUCGUGACUUGCUAUCUAUUGUGUUCAGUCUCCCCAUGAACUGGUGUUUGUAGUCUAACAAGGUGAAAGUUAUUAGCCUUUCAGGACUACCUCUACCAUCCUUAAGUUACAAAUCCUCCUAUUGUGUGUUUAAUUGACAUAUCUUAGCUCUUAAAGGGCUUAUGUCAAGUUCCACUUAAGGAACUACUAUGACCAUAGUUUACAUAAACAUAUCUCCUUAGGAUCACCUAAAAUAACACACUAUCUCAAUCCUAAGAGAUAUCAAGGUACCUUUAUUGAGAAUACCUAUUGUUAGUGGCUUCUAUCAAUAGUGACCCAAUCCAUAGGGAAUAUAUGAUCAACUUACGAUCUCACCCGUAACUCAAAGUCAUUGCUAACUUCAACAUAAGUUCAAUAUUCUCUUAAGGUUGAGAAACAACACAAUGAAGCAGCUUGGUGGAUUCAUGACUACUUGAUAGCCUUAAGUCAUAACUCACCAUAGGUCUUGUCCAAUGUGCAACCAUACACACUAGUGUACUCACCAUGGGAAACCCAUCCCAAUAGCCAAGACUAGUCAUCCCUUCAAUUUGGAGAUGGUGCACUAUAGUCUCUAAUGGGUUGCCUAAGCCCAUGAACCGACUGUGAACAAGUCAUCUAUUUGCAAGGAACCCAUGACUUAGAUUUUCUGUGCAACUCUUAAUGCACCUAAAUAACGUACAAUGAAAAAGAUGUAGACAUUCGCUCAUAAAGUAUAACACAUGGAAUAAGAAUAGAUAAAAGUGAAACUAGAAUAUCAUUAAAUAAAUAAUAAAUUCCAAAUUCAUUACAUCAUGUCAUGCUUCUAAGGGCUCUAUUCUAACACCAAAAUGCUCGUAAAGUAUAAUGCAUGGAAUAAGGACAGAUAAAAGUAAACUUGGAACAUCAUUAAAUAAAUAAUGCAUUCCUAAUUUAUUACAUUAAGUCAUGCUUUUAAGGGCUUUAUCUUAACAUUCUCUCACUAGCCCUUAAAACAUCAUGUUAUCAAAGCAGACAGAUACUCAUCUGAAACCUAUGUUAUCCCUGUGAUCAUCAAAGACUCUCCCAAUCAAUGUCAAGGUAAAAGGAUUUGUUAGGUUCUCUACAAAAGGUAUCUAUCGAACUGUCACAUCACCCCUCUAAUAGAUCUCAAGAGUCUAAAACACAAGCACAUAAUCCCUCAUUCUCCAAAGAUACUUGAGUAUAUGCUUUACAAUUGUCUAGUGUUUUAGACUUAGAUUUGACUGAUAUCUACUUAUAAUAUCCACAACAAAGAAAAUAUCCGGUUAGCACAUAGCAUCGCAUACAUAAGGCUACCCAUUAGAAAGACAUAAGGUACCCCUUAAGUGCAAUCUUUCUCCUUUGAUGUCUAAGGACAUUGAUUUUGAGAAAGGCUAACUCCAAACCUAAAGGGCAACAACCCUUCUUAGAGUCCUGCAUUAUACACUUAACCAAAUGCUUAUCGAUGUAGAUGAUAUAGUGUAAUUUCAUUAUUCUUGCAGUCCAAAAGAACCUUAAACCCAAGAAUAUAUUGUGUUCCAUCUAGAUUUCCAUCUAUAAUUGAGUAGACAAAUUGAUCUUGAUUGCUGAUAAUAUCUCUACUUCAUUCCCGAUGAGUAGAUUGUCAUCCAUCUACAAGAUCUUAGAGCACCACUAUGCUUUCCUAAACCUUCUUGUACACAUAAGGCCCUUUGCGAUGAAAAUGUCUAGUUGCAUAAAAAAAUGCUAAAAUCAAGACAAUCGUUCAAGAACGCUAUCUCAACAUCCUAUUGUCAUAUCUCAUAAAUGAGAUAAACUACAAUGGAUAGGAGUACUUUAAUGGAUUUUAGUAUGGCUACUAGUGAAAAGGUAUCCUAUAGUCAAAACAAUGUUUCAAACUAUAACCUUUAGCUACAACCUAGCCACAUAAAACUCAACCUUUCCUUCUACUUCUUUGUUUCUCUUAUAGACUAACUCACACCUAUGGGUUUUAUCAUUUCUGGAGUUUCUAUAGAAAUCCAAACUAUGUUAUAAUACAAAGAUUCUAAUUAUAGCUUCAAAGCUCCUUGCUAAGUUAUGAGCACCAACACGCUCAUUGCUUCAUAAUACAUGGUGUAUAAACCUCCCACUAUGAUGAGUCACUCAUAUACUAGAAGUAAUGGGAAUGAUAUCUCACUGGAUCCAUAGUAUCUUGUGUAAAACUAGGACUAUCCUUUAAGUUUCAGUUGUGUGUCAGUGUAUGAAUUAGUGGAGAAAUGCCAGUCAUGCAAUGCUUAGGUUAGUGGAGAUUUAAUGGUCAUAUUAUGAAAAUUUCCAUGGCUACAUACAGUGAAGAACAUAUGUUGCACAAGGUAAAGUGAACCUUCCUUUUACUUGCUAAAAAUGGAGAUCUAAUAUGGUUAAAUUUUUAAUUGUCGAAAGUGGAGAACUCAUGUGGCUGCAAUGCAUGAGAAUUCAAGUCGUGUAGUGUAUGCAAUUUAGUGAUAUGUAAUGGAAUUCAAUUGUGGUUGAGUUAUGGCUUUUUAGGGCUGAAAAUUUACAAUGAUAUGGACUGAAAUUCGGUGAAGUAUUAUGGAGAAAUGAGCUGAAUAUUGUGGUUGAAUUAAGGAGAAAUGUGGUUGAAUUUGUUAGAACAUUAAGUCUUGUUUAUUUGUUGCCAAUUUUGUUUCAAUUAAUAUUUGGUCAUAGAAAUCUUUUUAGAUAGAAACUUGCUCUCCAUUGAAGAUCAAUGGUUGUUGUUCGUCCAAUUGAGAAGUCACAAGUACAUCUAAAAAGGUUUGGCUUGUGGCAUAUAAGACUUGUUUGAGAUAUAAAAGGAUUCUAUAUCAUUUUUUGACUUAAAAUGUUUUUAAAAUAUUUUUAAAAUAUUUUUUCAAGAAGUAGGGAUUGAUUACUACUCAAAAAGUACUUUUUUAUAGUUUGAAACUAACUAUUUAAAACACUUUUGAGUAGUAGUUAAUACCUUUUAACUCAAUUGGCACAUUAAGGAACCUAGCAAGGGUUACUAAUCAGUUUUUGGCAAGUUUUGGUGUUUUUGGUAGCUAUUAAUCAUUGAAACAACCCAAGAAUGAGGGAGAAUUUUGUGAAAUCCAUGGCAACGCAAGUUAAAGCUCAAAUACAUGAAGAAUCCAAGCUUUGGAGCACUUCAUAGCCCUUUGCCAAGCCAAUCAGAGAUGCAAGGAAGAAAACUAGAGGAAAAAAUCCAACAACCAGCAUUUUCGCAUGGUUGUGUGAAAUUUCGCACACCAUGCGAAACCACUUAAGGCAGCCAAAGAAUUUCACACACCAUGCGAAAUUUCGCAUGGUAUGCGAAAUUUCGCAUGGUAUGCGAAAUCUUCCUGUGCACUGACUCCGUUAGAUUUUUAUCUCCAGAUAUUUUGUGUAAUUUCCUAUUUUCUCCUUGUAAUCAACUUAGAUAUUUUUUAUAAUAUUUUUUUUUAUAUAUUUGGUGUGUGUAGCAUAUUUUGAUAUAGACACACAAGGAUGUAAUCAAAGAACACUUGUAAAUUCCCUGUAGUAAGAAAUUUACAGAGCUUUUGCUCUACAUUUCCUUCUCAUUUUGUAUUCACUCUUCUUUCUAGCCAAACAACCUCUGAGGAUGAUUUCUCAGGGGAUGAGUGGCUAGGUUUUAUGUUUCUUGGAGUAAUGGAAGCUAGGUGAAGGACCGAAAUGCAAAGAUGGGAGUUGUCCUUGCUUUAAAUGAAAGUAGUUGUUAACCAUUAAUGGUUUUUAUUUUAGGGUUUAGCUUUAUAUCCCUUAAAAGCACCUUGAAUGGCCAAUACUUCGUAAGCUUUUCAGAUUCUAUGGAUGCUUAUUAAUAGAUCCAUGGAUGUCUAUUAGUUAUCAUUUACGAGCCAUUGGAAGGUGGUUCAAGGUGAGAGUCUUUAGUGUUUGAAGCCAUUAAUGGGAAGCAACUAUUAUUUUUCAUGAACCCUUUGGAUCAAAUCUUAAUUGCUAAAUAUAAAACUGGUUCGGGAGAUAACCAUCCUUUAUGUUAUUGUCCCCAACGCGAGGAGAAGAUCCGGAAUCUCCCCCUUUGUCUAAGGGACCCGAUCCUAGUGAGCUAAAGCUCCAAGAGACCUUUUCUUUGUAGUUAACUUCACUUAUUAUUUUUGCUUAACUUAAAAUCAAUCUUUGCAAUCACAAUUCCAUUUUCUUUAAAAGCUAAUUUUCAUAAGGAUAAACACCAUUUUAUUUCCUUCACUAAAGUCAACUGUACGAUGAAAACCCAUCCCUGUGGAUGAUCCUAGAGCCACUAUACUAUGUUAGCUAUGCUACCCUAGUGUGGGGAGAUUUAGGUUUUAUAAAUUUUGUUGAUAACACCCGUAUGAGCCAGAAUCAAAUGGCAUGACUAUAAUGGGGACGAAUUAGGGACUGCUCAAGCAGUUAUCCCACUCAAAUGAUCAGCCCACUCAAAUGGUCAUGUCAGUCCUGUCAAGUUUAGAAAUGUAUUUUGAAUAAAUUUCACUCAAACUCUAAUUUAGAAACUUGAGAUACCUAAACUCUUAUGGAUUUUGCCUAUCAAUACCUCUCUUGUAACCCUUUAUGGGUUAAAGAUUCAGGCUAAGAGAUCGUAGAGAUCUUAGAUAUUAGAGACCUCUCAUUCUUAAGAGAAGGACUCCUUGUGAAGAAAACCUAAUUGCCACCAUAUUCAUGAUCUCUCAUUCAAGGAUUUGAAUCUUUGAAUCACGGGUUAAAGACUUUAAUCCCUUUGGUGUUACCAAAAGAUCUACUAGGAAGCAAUAAGGAGUUGCUAGGUAGCAGACGUGGAUCAAGUUGUAGGUUCUGGAAAGUAAGUCUUUAAGUUAAAGCAGCCACAUAAAUUUGUGUAACUUGAUUUUGAAUAAUGGAUUUGGAUCGAUAGGUCUUAGACCUCAUGUUUUUUUAUCUCCACUGUUUGUAAGGGUUUUCCAUGUAAAAUCUUGUACCUCUUACAUAUCAUUUUAUUACUACUUAUAUUUUGGUUGAUAAUAUUAAUUAUAUUGAAUUGAUUGGAUAGUUUGCUUUUGAGUUUGUUGGGUUAGUAAUCUUGGUGGUUGUAGUGGUUAAACCUAUAACCAAUUACUGUUAUCCCUAACUUCUCUUCGAAUGUCUUUUGAUUAAUUUGUUGGGUUGUUACUGAGUUUGUUAGGUUGGUUAUUUUGGAUAAUUUUAUUAUUCCUCACAUAUCUCAAUAGAUAUUUUUGAUAUUGACAAUUAUAUUAUCCCUAACAAAUUGCAAGGUAUCCCUAAAAGUUAAAAAUCAUAUUUGUAUAUACCUAAAGUUCUAAGUAUAAUCAUUUAUUUAUUUGUGAUAUCCCCAAUAUCUCUCAAGGUAAAAAGUUGGUUAUAAUUUAUAAAUAUUUAUUUAAAUUUUUAAAUCACCCAUUCACCCCCUCCUCCGUGUUCCCUAUUGGACUUCUGGUCUUCAUUUUAAUGGUAUUAUGGACCCGCAUUUCUCACGUGUGCCCUCACUUGAUCGGCGAGACUUGCUUUUAUAGUAUGAAAAUUUUAGUUUUGGAAAAGUCAGAGUCGCCACUUAUUUUAUUUUAUUUAAUUUUAAAAGGGCAAAUAAAACAAGAAAGAAAACCCUAAAGAAACGACUCCAUAGUUUUUGGAAAAUCGUGUCUUUGAAAAACCCAAGUCUAGGUCCGAUGAUCAGGUUACCUAUUGGGAAGGUACCUUUAAAAGGUAGCGCCCUUCUAAGCCCUACAAAGAUCUCUACUGACUAAGCUGAGGGAAAUGUGGCAAUUAAUUGAUUAACUGAAGAUACCUAGGUAGACUAAGGUGAUUUUAAAAAAUAGCAUGCCAAACAAGAUCAAAUCACAAUAAAGGAGAGUUAGGAUGCAUACUCGAAUUGCUUCUCAAGCGCUAUCAUAAAACAUCAUAGUUAAUAUAGAAAUAUAGCACACAACAUGUAUUUACUUAUAGUGAAUCAAGCAUACAUCUAAGCACCUAAGGAUCACAUCAAUCAUAAAUAAGGCUCACAACAACAUGCAUAUUCAUGGAAUCCCGAAAAGUAGUGAUAAAGAGCAUACUUGGAUAACAUGCAUAAUUUAUAAGAUUCCUCAAAAAAAAAAAAAAGGCUAGAGUGGUUAGGACAAGUAUAUAUAUUAUAUAACACCUUUAUUAUGUCUAAUAUACAGUGCCAAAGCCAAAAUUCAGCUAAGAUAAAUCAAAUGACUCCAAAAAUAAUAACAAUUCAAGCAAGUACUGAGUCAUUAACAUGCAUAUAGUAAAGGGAGCAUCACAAAAAUAAUUUCUAAAAAAUGUCUUGGAGUGGAUUUUAAUCACAAAAAAAUUUCUAGAAACAACUCCUACACGUCUAGAACAAGAUACCAAAAUCCAAACACUCAUUCAAAUGUCAAAUUGCAGCAAAGACGCCCAAAAGUUCCAAAAGGUCCAGAUUAGGUAAAAAAAAAUAGGGGCAUGCAUAAUUUUUUUUUUAAAAAAAUAAUAAAACAUCAGAUAAAAUCAUACAAAAAAUCACACACAUUUUUCAAGGUGUCUAUAUCAUAGGAAAAAUAAAUUCAGGGUUUGAUAGUAUUCAAAAAUAUUUUUAAAAUGCUCCAACUAAUCAUAUAUCUAGAUUCCAUCAUGCAUAGUAGGUACGGAUUUAAAAAAAUCACAUCUCCCUCAAAAAGGCACAUUUUUCAAUAUUUCAUGUAUCUAAUAUAAAUUUCAAGAAGCCUAGAAUUUAGAAAAAAAAAUUUUAAAAGUCGUAUGGUAUUUUAUUUUUGCAAAAAGAUCUCGGUUGUCCAAAACUGGGUGAAAAUGGAGCCCCCCUAAAGACUCAUUUAUAUCUUCUAUUCUAGAAUUGCUUUCUAACUCAAACGAAAUUUUAAAUUCAAGUUCAAGAAGUGAGGAAAAUCAUACAAGUUUCAUAAAAUUUUUAAAACAUUCUAAAGUUAAAACAAAUUUUAAAUCUAAAGGGUCAGUGGUUGAGUGAAAACUGGCAACAAGGAAGAGUUUUGAAAAAAUUUCUUAUGUAGGGGUUCCAUCAAGUCCCCAUUCAAUUUCCAUAAGUUUUACCUGUGUAUCCCCAUUAGUUUGGGAGCACAAGUCCAAACCUAUGUGUAUAAAAACCAAAUUUCUGAAAAACCAACAAAGGAGAAAUGCAACUUAAAUGAAAUUAGUUACAUUAUUUUAAUAGAAAGGGUGUUCUUUGCCUAAAGCUAGAAUGAAUGUUUUCUAAAACCUUUUAUUGGUGAUUUAAAUGCUUUUGAAAAUGACUUUAAGGGAAGUAAAAAAAAGGACCCAAUGGUUUGUUAAAUCCCAUACAAUAGGCACAAAAUAGAGAUUUUUGAUUUCUAACUUGAGAGGGUUUUGAAAAUAAAAGAAAAGCUAAAUUGGAUCCUCUUUUUAGCUACCUUUUAUUUGGGAUCAAGGAGCCAAACUUAUGAUGGAAAAAUUCAUUUUUGGAAAAAGAAAAUUUGAUUCAACUCAAAAUGUCAAUUUAAUAAAGAAAACAUUUUCUAAAAGAAGGUUCAAACUCAAGAAUUCCCUAAGGUGCCUAUAAAAUAAGUGUCAAAGAUAAAAAAACUAACAAUUGAAUCAAAUAUAAGGAAGCCAACAUCAACAAUUAUGUAUUAAACUUUGGAAAGUAAAGAAUUAAAUGAGAACCAAUCAAACUAAAUAAAAUUAUCAACUUGAACAUGCAAGGAUUUUUGGUUAAAAUUAAAAUUAUAGACAACCUUAACAACUGGCAAGAAUCAAUCAAACUAAUAAAUUAAUCCUAAAGACAUCACAUGAAUUUAAAAAAUAAGAACAUAAGAUAUUAAAGACAUGAGACCAAUUAAGAACAUUAACAACUAAGGCAAUUGUGUGGAUUAAAUUCAGAACAGAAUAAUCUAAAACUCAGGGAUUAAAUAAAAUUAUCCGAACUAACAAAAAAAAAAAAAAAACAAUUGAGAACAUGGCAUGGAUUUUAUCUAAAACCAAUAAUUAUAAUUUAGUAAUUAAUAGGAACCAAUCGGAUCAACAAUUUAUCAAUUUAAUGACAUGACAAGGAUUUUACAAAAAUGAAAUUUUAAAAUUCCAAAAUUAUUAAGAAUUAGAUGGAAGCACCCAAAAUAAAAUUUAUCAACAUUCUAAAUAACACAUGUACAUGGAUAGGGCAAAAAUCGAAACUAAACUAGACCCAAAAUUUUUCGAUUUAAACUCAAACCUCCCUAAUUUAAUCUAAAAAGUUCGAAACUGAAACUAAGUAAGCCAAACUCUAUCAAACUGACACAAUAAAUCAAAGCCUCAACCAAUGACGAUCAACACAUUUUUUUUAUGUAAUAAAUCAAGAUUUAAAUAGAACAGAAUUCCAACUUACCUUUCCAAGCAAUGGCGUGGAUUGUGUAUUUCUUAAAAUGGCAGUUGUGCAGAUGAAGAUUGGAUGAGUGGCAAUCUAGAUGGAUUGUCUGUGGCUUUGUAACAUGGAGAAAGAGAAACCCAACAACCUAAAUCUCUUCCAAAACAUGGACUGAUUUCACCCCGAACACUAGCCUGAAUCUCUUCGAAAACACGGACUGAUUUCACCCCGAACAGCAACCUGAAUCUCUUCCAAAACACGGACUAAUUUCACCCCGAACACUAGCCUGAAUCUCUUCGAAAACACGGAUUGAUUUCACCCCGAAUAGCAGUCUGAAUAUCUUCUAAAACACGGACUGAUUUUUACCCUGAACAACAUCUUGAAUCUCCUCCAAAAACAGACUGAUUUCACCUCGAACAGUAGCCCGAAUCUUUUCCAAAAAUCGGACCGAUUUCACCCCGAACAACAGCCUGAAUCUCCUCCAAAAAAUGGAUUGAUUUCACUCCAAACAGCAGACCGAUCUAUUCCAAAAACUAGACUGAUUUCACCCCGAAUAGCAGCCUGAACCUCCUCUAAAAACCGGAUUGAUUUCACCCCGAAUAGUAGCCCGAAUCUCUUCCCAAAAUCAAACUAAUUUUUACCCUGAAGAGCAGCCAGAAUCACCUCCAAAAUCAGACUGAUUUUACCCCAAUGGCAGCCCGAAUCUCUUCAAAAAAUCAAACUGAUUUUUACCCCGAACAACAGCCUAAAUCGUCUCCAAAAAUCGGACUGAUUUCACCCUGAACAUCAGCCCGAAUCUCUUCCAAAAACUGGACUGAUUUUUACCCCGAACAACAACUUGAAUCACCUCUAAAAACUGGACUGAUUUUACCCCGAACGGUAGCCUCAAUCUCUUCCAAAAUCGGACUGAUUUUUACCCCAAACAGCAGCUUUAAUCACCUCAAAAAAACCAGAUAGAUUUUACCCCGAAUAGUAGCCUGAAUCUCUUCCAAAAUCGGACUAAUUUUUACCCCUAAUAGCAACCUAAAUUGCCUCUAAAACACAGACUAAUUUUUCCGCGAACAGCAGUCUGAAUCUCUUCCAAAAACCGGAUUGAUUUCUACCCCAAACAACAGCCUGCAUCGCCUCCAUAAACCGAACUGAUUUUACCCGGAACAGUAGUCCGAAUCUCUUCUAAAACUGGACUAAUUUUUAUCCGGAACAGCAGCCUGAAUUGCCUUCAAAACAUGGACUGAUUUUUCUUGAAUAGCAGCCUGAAUCUCUAUCUAAAAAACGUAGCCUCACCUCUCAAAAAAAUCUUCUAUGCCUCCUCUUUCACAUGGACUCAUUCUCUUUUUUUCUUUUCUUUAAUUUUUUUUUUCCAGACCAACGUGAUUCCCCCCUCCCAAAAAAAACUAGUCAACCCUCUUACCUUUUUCUCUCAUCUCUUUCAUUUUUUUCUCAUUUCCUUCCUUUCAUGCAACUGACCUUUUUUUUUUUUUUUUUUUGCUGUCAAUCUUCUUCUUGUUUUGGUGCUGCCCCCUACUUCCUUUCUGGAUGCGUGUUUGUUAAUGUUUCCUUACGUGCAGCUGCAAACCCUCCCUUAAUGGUGUGUUUUUCUCUUUUCUUUCAGACCACCAUUUUCCUUUUCAAAUCAAUCCCACUCACUCAGGCUCCAUCUUCCUUUUCUGGUGAGUUUUUCUUUUCUCUCUUCCUCUCUCUCUCCAAUUACUAGCGGGCUGUCACAAUUUUCUUUUCCAAAAUGAUCCAUUCCUUUCCCAUGCAUGCUCCAUUUCUUUCCCAUAUGGAGCACGUGGAAUCCUAUGCAAAACCAAUAAUAAAAAUAAUAAAAGGGAAAUAAAAAUACAAAUAAAAGAAAACUAAGGGUUAAAAUAAUAAUAAAAAAACGUGUAACUAAGAAUUAAAAAAAAAUCCAAAAUAUGCAAUUUUAAACGAAAUUUAAAAUAUAGAUCACAUGCAAAACUAAAAUGAAUUACCAACUUAAACAACUUUCUAUCAAAAUAAAUUAAUAAAUAGAUAAAUAAGAAUGAAAUCAAUAUAAUCAUUAAGCUCAUGCAAUUUUCUAAAAAUAAGUAAAUAAAUGAAUAAAACUAAUAAAUUGAGAGAUAAAAAAAAUAAAAAAUCAAACACAUGCAAGCCAUACGAGCUAUGCAACCAUGCAAGCCAUGCAAACCAUGCAUCCAUGUAAAAAAUAAUCUAAAUGGGUCAAGGGUGCCUAAGUGGGCCUAAGGUGAUGCCUAAUGGGCCAAGUGUGCCUAAAUGGGCCUAGGGUGCCUAAGUAGGCCUAGGGUGCUUAAAUGGGCCUAGGGUGCUUAAAUGGGUCUAGGGUACUUAAGUGGGCCUAGGGUGCCUAAAUAGGCCUAAGGUGCCUAAAUGGACCUAGGAUGCCUAAUUGGGCCUAAGGUGCCUAAAUGGGCCUAGGGUGUCCAAAUGGGCCUAGGAUGCCUAUGUGGGCCUAGGAUGGUGCCUAAUGGUCCAAGUGUGCCUAAAUGGGCUUAGGGUACCUAAAUGGGCCUAGGGUGCCUAAAUGGGCGUAGGAUGCCUAUGUGGGCCUAGGAUGGUACCUGAUGGGCCAAGGGUGCCUAAAUGGGCCUAGGGUCCUAAGUGGGCCUAGGGUCCUAAGUGGGCCUAAUGUCAUAGGAUGCUUCAAAUGAGCCUCCUCAUGGGUUUAUAUAAAGCCCAGGAAGCUUCUGGAGACUCCUGGAGCCAUCUACACUAAGCCAUUGGAGGGAAAAGUGUGGAAGGUUCUAGUGAUGCCUAGAAAUGUCCAUACAACUCUAAACUAUGGUGGAAGGCAUGAGAGGAGUCCAAGGCUUUCUAGAGAAUUCUAGAAAUCUCUUGUACAUAGGGUUGUACAUAGAAUUGUGUAGGGUAUUCUAGAAUCUUCUUGAUUUGUAAGGAACCCUCCAAGGUUCCAGAGAGUUCCAUUGGUGCCUAUAAAUAGGUGAGGGCCUCAUUUGGCCAAGGCACCACCCAAAUCACUUCCUAACCAAGCAAGUGAGCUUCCAAGCACUUGUAAAGGCUUCUUUGAGUUAAUAAGAGCUUCCAUUAUUUAAAGAGUUGCCUACUAAGCUUCUUAAGCCUUUGAGUCGUGAGCGCCUUAGCCUAGCAAGCUAAGCAUUGGGGAGCAAGGCUGACUUAGCAAGAUCAAGAGUCUUGACUUGCCUAAGUGCCGCACGAGCUUAGUGAACGACUAAGUCUGUGACACUAAGGUGCCUAAGUGGGCCUAAGGUGCCUAAGUAGGCCUAGGGUGCCUAAAUGGACCUAGGAUGCCUAAUUGGGCCAAAGGUGCCUAAAUGGGCCUAAGAUGCCUAUGUGGGCCUAGGAUGGUGCCUAAUGGGCCAAGUGUGCCUAAAUGGGCCCAAUGUACCUAAAUGGGCCUAGGGUGCCUAAAUGGGCCUAGGGUAUUUAAAUUUGCCUAGGAUGCCUAUGUCAGCCUAGGAUGGUGCCUAAUAGGCCAAAUGUGCCUAAAUGAGCCUAGGGUGCCUAAAUGGGCCUAGGUGCCGAAAUGGGCCUAAGGUGGUGCCAAGAGUAUCUAAGUGAGCCUAAGUCUAAAUUAAGGAUGCCAAGGGUCAAAACGGGGUUAGAUAGAUCCCUCAACCAAAGUCCCUAAGGUGACUUAGAAAAUAUAGACUACACGAGUAGUAAUGAGCCACCAGAGAAUUGUUGUAAAGUACUAAACGAACACACAAUAGGGCAUGUGCUAGUAGGACAAAAUGGAGGGUCUACAGGUAUUUAAGCAAUACCCAUUUUUUUCAGAAUUUGUGGAAGAAAAUGUGAGAAAUGUGUAUGCAUAUGAAGACUUGUAAUGGCUGAAUUUCAAGGGAGAAAUGAGCUGAAUAUGGUGGUUGUGCAUGCAUAAUUAAUGGCUGAAUUUUAUGGUAAAAGAAUGGUGUUUCGGUGGCUGCAUGUGCAUGAAUAUGGAGGCUGAAUUUUAUGGAAAAAAGAAUGGUGUUUUGGUGGUUGAUAUGAGCAUGAAUUUGGAGGCUGGUUUUGCGGUAAAAUAAUUGGGUUUCAGUGGCUUUAAUGGGAAGGCUUGAGGUUCAAUUCCUUAAUGUUGUUUAAUGUGAAUAUUAUGACUGCAUAUAGAGACUUCUCAUGGCUUGUGGCAUAAAAGACUUGUUUGAGAUAUAAAAGGAUUCUAUAUCAUUUUUUGACUUAAAAUGUUUUUAAAAUAUUUUUAAAAUAUUUUUUCAAGAAGUAGGGAUUGAUUACUACUCAAAAAGUACUUUUUUAUAAUUUGAAACUAACUGUUUAAAACACUUUUGAGUAGUAGUUAAUACCUUUUAACUCAAUUGGCACAUUAAGGAACUUAGCAAGGGUUACUAAUCAGUUUUUGGCAAGUUUUGGUGUUUUUGGUAGCUAUUAAUCAUUGAAACAACCCAAGAAUGAGGGAGAAUUUUGUGAAAUCCAUGGCAACGCAAGUUAAAGCUCAAAUACAUGAAGAAUCCAAGCUUUGGAGCACUUCAUAGCCCUUUGCCAAGCCAAUCAGAGAUGCAAGGAAGAAAACUGGAGGAAAAAAUCCAACAACCAGCAUUUUCGCAUGGUUGUGUGAAAUUUCGCACACCAUGCGAAACCACUUAAGGCAGCCAAAGAAUUUCGCACACCAUGCGAAAUUUCGCAUGGUAUGCGAAAUCUUCAUGUGCACCGACUCCGUUAGAUUUUUAUCUCCAGAUAUUUUGUGUAAUUUCCUAUUUUCUCCUUGUAAUCAAUUUAGAUAUUUUUUAUAAUAUUUUUUUUUAUAUAUUUGGUGUGUGUAACAUAUUUUGAUAUAGACACACAAGGAUGUAAUCAAAGAACACUUGUAAAUUCCCUGUAGUAAGAAAUAUACAGAGCUUUUGCUCUACAUUUCCUUCUUAUUUUGUUUUCACUCUUCUUUCUAGCCAAACAACCUUGAGGAUGAUUUCUCAGGGGAUGAGUGGCUAGGUUUUAUGUUUCUUGGAGUAAUGGAAGCUAGGUGAAGGACCCAAAUGCAAAGAUGGGAGUUGUCCUUGCUUUAAAUGAAAGUAGUUGUUAACCAUUAAUGGUUUUUAUUUUAGGGUUUAGCUUUAAAUCCCUUAAAAGCACCUUGAAUGGCCAAUACUUCGUAAGCUUUUCAGAUUCUAUGGAUGCUUAUUAAUAGAUCCAUGGAUGUCUAUUAGUUAUCAUUUACGAGCCAUUGGAAGGUGGUUCAAGGUGAGAGUCUUUAGUGUUUGAAGCCAUUAAUGGGAAGCAACUAUUAUUUUUCAUGAACCCUUUAGAUCAAAUCUUAAUUGCUAAAUAUAAAACUGGUUCGGGAGAUAACCAUCCUUUAUGUUAUUGUCCCUAACGCGAGGAGAAGAUCCGGAAUCUCCCCCUUUGUCUAAGGGACCCGAUCCUAGUGAGCUAAAGCUCCAAGAGACCUUUUCUUUGUAGUUAACUUCACUUAUUAUUUUUGCUUAACUUAAAAUCAAUCUUUGCAAUCACAAUUCCAUUUUCUUUAAAAGCUAAUUUUCAUAAGGAAAAACACCAUUUUAUUUCCUUCACUAAAGUCAACUGUACGAUGAAAACCCAUCCCUGUGGAUGAUCCUAGAGCCACUAUACUAUGUUAGCUAUGCUACCCUAGUGUGGGGUGAUUUAGGUUUUAUAAAUUUUGUUGAUAACACCCGUAUGAGCCAGAAUCAAAUGGCAUGACUAUAAUGGGGACGAAUUAGGGACUGCUCAAGCAGUUAUCCCACUCAAAUGAUCAGCCCACUCAAAUGGUCAUGUCAGUCAUGUCAAGUUUAGAAAUGUAUUUUGAAAAUUUCACUCAAACUCUAAUUUAGAAACUUGAAAUACCUAAACUCUUAUGGAUUUUGCCUAUCAAUACCUCUCUUGUAACCCUUUGUGGGUUAAAGAUUCAGGCUAAGAGAUCGUAGAGAUCUUAGAUAUUAGAGACCUCUCAUUCUUAAGAGAAGGACUCCUUGUGAAGAAAACCUAAUUGCCACCAUAUUCAUGAUCUCUCAUUCAAGGAUUUGAAUCUUUGAAUCACGGGUUAAAGACUUUAAUCCCUUUGGUGUUACCAAAAGAUCUACUAGGAAGCAAUAAGGAGUUGCUAGGUAGCAGACGUGGAUCAAGUUGUAGGUUCUGGAGAGUAAGUCUUUAGGUUAAAGCGGCCACAUAAAUUUGUGUAACUUGAUUUUGAAUAAUGGAUUUGGAUCGAUAGGUCUUAGACCUCAUGUUUUUUUAUCUCCACUGUUUGUAAGGGUUUUCCAUGUAAAAUCUUGUACCUCUUACAUAUCAUUUUAUUACUACUUAUAUUUUGGUUGAUAAUAUUAAUUAUAUUGAAUUGAUUGGAUAGUUUGCUUUUGAGUUUGUUGGGUUAGUAAUCUUGGUGGUUGUAGUGGUUAAACCUAUAACCAAUUACUGUUAUCCCUAACUUCUCUUCGAAUGUCUUUUGAUUGAUUUGUUGGGUUGUUACUGAGUUUGUUAGGUUGGUUAUUUUGGAUAAUUUUAUUAUUCCUAACAUAUCUCAAUAGAUAUUUUUGAUAUUGACAAUUAUAUUAUCCCUAACAAAUUGCAAGGUAUCCCUAAAAGUUAAAAAUCAUAUUUGUAUAUACCUAAAGUUCUAAGUAUAAUCAUUUAUUUAUUUGUGACAUCCCCAAUAUCUCUCAAGGAAAAAAGUUGGUUAUAAUUUAUAAAUAUUUAUUUAAAUUUUUAAAUCACCCAUUCACCCCCUCCUCCGUGUUCCCUAUUGGACUUCUGGUCUUAAUUUUAGUGGUAUUAUGGACCCGCAUUUCUCACGUGUGCCCUCACUUGAUCGGCGAGACUCGCUUUUAUAGUAUGAAAAUUUUAGUUUUGGAAAAGUCGGAGUCGCCACUUAUUUUAUUUUAUUUAAUUUUAAAAGGGCAAAUAAAACAAGAAAGAAAACCCUAAAGAAACGACUCCAUAGUUUUUGGAAAAUCGUGUCUUUGAAAAACCCAAGUCUAGGUCCGAUGAUCAGGUUACCUAUUGGGAAGGUACCUCUAAAAGGUAGCGCCCUUCUAAGCCCUACAAAGGUCUCUACUGACUAAGCUGGGGGAAAUGUGGCAAUUAAUUGAUUAACUGAAGAUACCUAGGUAGACUAAGGUGAUUUUAAAAAAUAGCAUGCCAAACAAGAUCAAAUCACAAUAAAGGAGAGUUAGGAUGCAUACUCGAAUUGCUUCUCAAGCGCUAUCAUAAAACAUCAUAGUUAAUAUAGAAAUAUAGCACACAACAUGUAUUUACUUAUAGUGAAUCAAGCAUACAUCUAAGCACCUAAGGAUCACAUCAAUCAUAAAUAAGGCUCACAACAACAUGCAUGUUCAUGGAAUCCCGAAAAGUAGUGAUAGAGAGCAUACUUGGAUAACAUGCAUAAUUUAUAAGAUUCCUCAAAAAAAAAAAAAAGGCUAGAGUGGUUAGGACAAGUAUAUAUAUUAUAUAACACCUUUAUUAUGUCUAAUAUACAGUGCCAAAGCCAAAAUUCAGCUAAGAUAAAUCAAAUGACUCCAAAAAUAAUAACAAUUCAAGCAAGUACUGAGUCAUUAACAUGCAUAUAGUAAAGGGAGCAUCACAAAAAUAAUUUCUAAAAAAUGUCUUGGAGUGGAUUUUAAUCACAAAAAAAUUUCUAGAAACAACUCCUACACGUCUAGAACAAGAUACCAAAAUCCAAACACUCAUUCAAAUGUCAAAUUGCAGCAAAGACGCCCAAAAGUUCCAAAAGGUCCAGAUUAGGUAAAAAAAAUAGGGGCAUGCAUAAUUUUUUUUUUAAAAAAAUAAUAAAACAUCAGAUAAAAUCAUACAAAAAAUCACACACAUUUUUCAAGGUGUCUAUAUCAUAGGAAAAAUAAAUUCAGGGUUGGAUAGUAUUCAAAAAUAUUUUUAAAAUGCUCCAACUAAUCAUAUAUCUAGAUUCCAUCAUGCAUAGUAGGUACGGAUUUAAAAAAAUCACAUCUCCCUCAAAAAGGCACAUUUUUCAAUAUUUCAUGUAUCUAAUAUAAAUUUCAAGAAGCCUAGAAUUUAGAAAAAAAAUUUUAAAAGUCGUAUGGUAUUUUAUUUUUGCAAAAAGAUAUCAGUUGUCCAAAACUGGGUGAAAAUGGAGCCCCCCUAAAGACUCAUUUAUAUCUUCUAUUCUAGAAUUGCUUUCUAACUCAAACGAAAUUUUAAAUUCAAGUUCAAGAAGUGAGGAAAAUCAUACAAGUUUCAUAAAAUUUUUAAAACAUUCUAAAGUUAAAACAAAUUUUAAAUCUAAAGGGUCAGUGGUUGAGUGAAAACUGGCAACAAGGAAGAGUUUUGAAAAAAUUUCUUGUGUAGGGGUUCCAUCAAGUCCCCAUUCAAUUUCCAUAAGUUUUACCUGUGUAUCCCCAUUAGUUUGGGAGCACAAGUCCAAACCUAUGUGUAUAAAAACCAAAUUUCUGAAAAACCAACAAAGGAGAAAUGCAACUUAAAUGAAAUUAGUUACAUUAUUUUAAUAGAAAGGGUGUUCUUUGCCUAAAGCUAGAAUGAAUGUUUUCUAAAACCUUUUAUUGGUGAUUUAAAUGCUUUUGAAAAUGACUUUAAGGGAAGUAAAAAAAAAGGACCCAAUGGUUUGUUAAAUACCAUACAAUAGGCACAAAAUAGAGAUUUUUGAUUUCUAACUUGAGAGGGUUUUGAAAAUAAAAGAAAAGCUAAAUUGGAUCCUCUUUUUAGCUACCUUUUAUUUGGGAUCAAGGAGCCAAACUUAUGAUGGAAAAAUUCAUUUUUGGAAAAAGAAAAUUUGAUUCAACUCAAAAUUUCAAUUUAAUAAAGAAAACAUUUUCUAAAAGAAGGUUCAAACUCAAGAAUUCCCUAAGGUGCCUAUAAAAUAAGUGUCAAAGAUAAAAAAAACUAACAAUUGAAUCAAAUAUAAGGAAGCCAACAUCAACAAUUAUGUAUUAAACUUUGGAAAGUAAGGAAUUAAAUGAGAACCAAUCAAACUAAAUAAAAUUAUCAACUUGAACAUGAAAGGAUUUUUGGUUAAAAUUAAAAUUAUAGACAACCUUAACAACUGGCAAGAAUCAAUCAAACUAAUAAAUUAAUCCUAAAGACAUCACAUGAAUUUAAAAAAUAAGAACAUAAGAUACUAAAGACAUGAGACCAAUUAAGAACAUUAACAACUAAGGCAAUUGUGUGGAUUAAAUUAAGAACAAAAUAAUCUAAAACUCAGGGAUUAAAUAAAAUUAUCCGAACUAACAAAAAAAAAAAAAACAAUUGAGAACAUGGCAUGGAUUUUAUCUAAAACCAAUAAUUAUAAUUUAGUAAUUAAUAGGAACCAAUCGGAUCAACAAUUUAUCAAUUUAAUGACAUGACAAGGAUUUUACAAAAAUGAAAAUUUAAAAUUCCAAAAAUAUUAAGAAUUAGAUGGAAGCACCCAAAAUAAAAUUUAUCAACAUUCUAAAUAACACAUGUACAUGGAUAGGGCCAAAAUCGAAACUAAACUAGACCCAAACUUUUUCGAUUUAAACUCAAACCUCUCUAAUUUAAUCUAAGAAGUUCGAAACUGAAACUAAGUAAGCCAUACUCUAUCAAACUGACACAAUAAAUCAAAGCCUCAACCCAAUGACGAUCAACACAUUUUUUUUGUUAUGUAAUAAACAAGAUUUAAAUAGAACAGAAUUCCAACUUACCUUUCCAAGCAAUGGCGUGGAUUGUGUCUUUCUUAAAAUGGCAGUUGUGCAGAUGAAGAUUGAAUGAGUGGCAAUCUAGAUGGAUUGUCUGUGGCUUUGUAACAUGGAGAAAGAGAAACCCAACAGCCUAAAUCUCUUCCAAAACAUGGACUGAUUUCACCCCGAACACUAGCCUGAAUCUCUUCGAAAACACGGACUGAUUUCAUCCCGAACAACAACCUGAAUCUCUUCCAAAACAUGGACUAAUUUCACCUCGAACACUAGCCUGAAUCUCUUAGAAAACACGGAUUGAUUUCACCCCGAAUAGCAAUCUGAAUCUCUUCCAAAACACGGACUGAUUUUUACCCUGAACAACAUCUUGAAUCUCCUCCAAAAACCAGACUGAUUUCACCUCGAAUAGUAGCCCGAAUCUCUUCCAAAAAUCGGACCGAUUUCACCCCGAACAACAGCCUGAAUCUCCUCCAAAAAAUGGAUUGAUUUCACCCCAAACAACAGAUCGAUCUAUUCCAAAAACUAGACUGAUUUCACCCCGAAUAGCAGCCCGAAUCUCUUCCAAAAAUCAAACUAAUUUUUACCCUGAAGAGCAGCCUGAAUCGCCUCCAAAAUCGGACUGAUUUUACCUCGAAUGGCAGCCUGAAUCUCUUCAAAAAAUCAGAUUGAUUUUUACCCCGAACAACAGCCUAAAUCGUCUCCAAAAAUCGGACUGAUUUCACCCUGAACAUCAGCCCGAAUCUCUUCCAAAAACUGGACUGAUUUUUACCCCGAACAGCAACUUGAAUCGCCUCUAAAAACUGGAUUGAUUUUACCCCGAAUGGCAGCCUCAAUCUCUUCCAAAAUUGGACUAAUUUUUACCCCAAACAGCAACUUGAAUCACCUCAAAAAAACCAGAUAGAUUUUACCCUGAAUAGCAGCCUGAAUCUCUUCCAAAACCGGACUAAUUUUUACCCCUAAUAGCAACCUAAAUUGCCUCCAAAACACAGACUAAUUUUUCCGCGAACAGUAGUCUGAAUCUCUUCCAAAAAUCGGAUUGAUUUCUACCCCGAACAACAGCCUGAAUCGCCUCCAUAAACCGAACUGAUUUUACCCAAAACAGUAGUCCGAAUCUCUUCCAAAACUGGACUAAUUUUUAUCAGGAACAACAGCCUAAAUUGCCUCCAAAACAUGGACUGGUUUUUCUUGAACAGCAGCCUGAAUCUCUCUCUAAAAAACGCAGCCUCACCUCUCAAAAAAAUCUUCUAUGCCUCCUCUUUCACAUGGACUCAUUCUCUUUUUUUCUUUUCUUUAAUUUUUUUUUUUUCCAGACCAACGUGAUUCCCCCCUCCCAAAAAAAAACUAGUCAACCCUCUUACCUUUUUCUCUCAUCUCUUUCAUUUUCUUCUCAUUUCCUUCCUUUCAUGCAACUGACCUUUUUUUUUUUUUUUGGUGUCAAUCUUCUUCUUGUUUUGGUGCUGCCCCCUACUUCCUUUCUGGAUGCGUGUUUGUCAAUGUUUCCUUACGUGCAGCUGCAAACCCUCCCUUAAUGGUGUGUUUUUCCCUUUUCUUUCAGACCACCAUUUUCCUUUUCAAAUCAAUCCCACUCACUCAAGCUCCAUCUUCCUUUUCUGGUUGAUUACUACCCAAAAAGUGUUAUUUUACACCUUUAAUUCAUUAUGUUUUAAGCACUUUUGUGUAGUAGUUCUCCAUCUUUAUUCCAAUUGGCAUGUUAAGGACCUAGCAAUGACUUCUAAUCAUAUUUGUGGCUAGUUUUAGUGUUUUGACAGCUUUUUGAAUCAUUAAGACAAGCCAAGUAAAGGAGAGAAGCAAAGAGGAAAAACAAGCAAAGUGAAGAAAAUAGAGGACAGCAGCUGUAGUCUUCCUUCACGCUUUUUGAGCACUUCCCGAAGUCCAUUUUCUACAUGCUAUAUACCAUUUCAAAGCUCAGGAAGUCAAGAAUCCAAUGCUUCAAACUGUGUACGAUUUGAAGCUGAAAUGAGGAAGAUAUGGCCUUUGGAAGACAACUGCAUCACCUUGAGAAAAUUUCGCAAGGAGAUUUUCUUCAUGGUGCGAAAUUUGGACCCUUCAUCUUUCCCAUUUCGAAAAUGCCUUUGAAAUCCUCUAUUUCUCCACGCACGCACCACCGACUUCCCAGAUAUUUUUAGCUUGAUAUUUUCUCAUGUAAAUUCCUUUUGUAACCUUAUAUUCAGCCGACAUAAGGCUUUAUCUUGUAAUUUUGCUAUAUAUAGAGGUGCACAACACCUCCACAAUAUAUUGGGGGAUCGAUCCUCUGUACAUUAACUUAGAAAUAUAUAAAGCUCUGUUUUUCUCUCUUCUCCUGUUCUUCCCCAUUUCUAUUUUCUUAGUAGUCAAACAGCCUCUGAGGGCUUUUCCUCAGAGGAUGAUUGGCUAAAACUUUUAGUUUCUCAAAGUAUGGAUGUUAUGUGAUGGCUUGGAUGCAAUCCCAUGGAAAUUUCUCGCACCUGGAAGGUAAGGUAGUCGUUUUUCAUUAAUGGUUCAUUAAUGCAAAGUUUGGUUUUUAUUUCCUUUGGACAACUUCCAACGGCCAAUACUUGAUAAGCUUUUGGAUUUCUAUCCAUUAGUUAUCUCCUACGAUCUAUUGGAAGGUGAGGUUUUCAAUUCCAAGUUUUGCAUUAAUCCGUUAGAACCAAUUUCAAUGGCCAUUGAAAGGUGAGUUUAUCACUUGGAAUGACUUUGAGUUGCCAAUAUUUGGUAAGCUUUUGGCUUUAGACCAUUAGUUAUCUCUUACGAGCCAUUCAAAGGAAGUCUAAGGUGAAUAACCAUUGAUGAAAUUCACUACCAUUUGUUUUGCCAUUUUAAAGGAUUAAAACUUGAUUUGCUAAAUCCAUACCGGUUCGGGAAGCAAGCAUCACCAUAGUUGCAACCCCAACGCGAGGAGCCUAUCCUGAGAUUUCCAAUUUGCAUAAGAGCUAGAGCAUAGCUAUCCUAUCUUUGAGAAACUUGUUUUUACACCCUUUCAUUUUAGUCUUUAAUGUUAGCUUAGAUUAGUUUAAAUCUUAAACAUUUAUAUCUUCUUUUAAAGCUAACAUCCAUAAGAAAAUCACCUAUUUUCCUAAUUUGAAUAUCACUAGUGUUUGCAAAAACCCUUCCUAGUGAACGAUCCUAGAACCACUAUGCUAUAGUAGCUUGGCUACUUUAGUAAUAGUAUUUAAGGUAUAAAUUUUGUUGAUACGCCUUUAAAGCUAAGCUACCAUGAGUCGCAUCACUGGUGAGUUUUUCUUUUCUCUCUUCCUCUCUCUCUCCAAUCACCAGUGGGCUGUCACAAUUUUCUUUUCCAAAAUGAUCCAUUCCUUUCCCAUGCAUGCUCCAUUUCUUUCCCAUAUGGAGCACGUGGAAUCCUAUGCAAAACCAAUAAUAAAAAUAAUAAAAGGGAAAUAAAAAUACAAAUAAAAGAAAACUAAGGGUUAAAAUAAUAAUAAAAAAACGUGUAACUAAGAAUUAAAAAAAAAUCCAAAAUAUGCAAUUUUAAACGAAAUUUAAAAUAUAGAUCACAUGCAAAACUAAAAUGAAUUACCAACUUAAACAACUUUCUAUAAAAAUAAAUUAAUAAAUAGAUAAAUAAGAAUGAAAUCAAUAUAAUCAUUAAGCUCAUGCAAUUUUCUAAAAAUAAGUAAAUAAAUGAAUAAAACUAAUAAAUUGAGAGAUAAAAAAAAUAAAAAAUCAAACACAUGCAAGCCAUACGAGCUAUGCAACCAUGCAAGCCAUGCAAACCAUGCAUCCAUGUAAAAAAUAAUCUAAAUGGGUCUAGGGUGCCUAAGUGGGCCUAAGGUGAUGCCUAAUGGGCCAAGUGUGCCUAAAUGGGCCUAGGGUGCCUAAGUAGGCCUAGGGUGCUGAAAUGGGCCUAGGGUGCCUAAAUGGGUCUAAGGUACUUAAGUGGGCCUAGGGUGCCUAAAUAGGCCUAAGGUGCCUAAAUGGACCUAGGAUGCCUAAUUGGGCCUAAGGUGCCUAAAUGGGCCUAGGGUGUCUAAAUGGGCCUAGGAUGCCUAUGUGGGCCUAGGAUAGUGCCUAAUGGUCCAAGUGUGCCUAAAUGGGCUUAGGGUACGUAAAUGGGCCUAGGGUGCCUAAAUGGGCGUAGGAUGCCUAUGUGGGCCUAGGAUGGUGCCUGAUGGGCCAAGGGUGCCUGAUGGGCCAAGGGUGCCUAAAUGGGCCAAGGGGGCCUAAGUGGGCUUAGGGUUCCUAAGUGGGCCUAGGGUGCCUAAAUGGGCGUAAGGUGCCUAAAUGGGCCUAGGGUGCCUAAGUGGGCCUAGGGUCCUAAGUGGGCCUAAUGUCAUAGGAUGCUUCAAAUGAGCCUCCUCAUGGGUUUAUAUAAAGCCCAAGAAGCUUCUGGAGACUCCUAGAGCCAUCUACACUAAGCCAUUGGAGGGAAGAGUGUGGAAGGUUCUAGUGAUGCCUAGAAAUGUCCAUACAUCUCUAAACUAUGGUGGAAGGCAUGAGAGGAGUCCAAGGCUUUCUAGAGAAUUCUAGAAAUCUCUUGUACAUAGGGUUGUACAUAGAAUUGUGUAGGGUAUUCUAGAAUCUUCUUGAUUUGUAAGGAACCCUCCAAGGUUCCAGAGAGUUCCAUUGGUGCCUAUAAAUAGGUGAGGGCCUCAUUUGGCCAAGGCACCACCAAAAUCACUUCCUAACCAAACAAGUGAGCUUCCAAGCACUUGUAAAGGCUUCUUUGAGUUAAUAAGAGCUUCCAUUAUUUAAAGAGUUGUCUACUAAGCUUCUUAAGCCUUUGAGUCGUGAGCGCCUUAGCCUAGCAAGCUAAGCAUUGGGGAGCAAGGCUGACUUAGCAAGAUCAAGAGUCUUGACUUGCCUAAGUGCCGCACGAGCUUAGUGAACGACUAAGUCUAUGACACUAAGGUGCUUAAGUGGGCCUAAGGUGCCUAAGUGGGCCUAGGGUGCCUAAAUGGACCUAGGAUGCCUAAUUGGGCCUAAGGUGCCUAAAUGGGCCUAAGAUGUCUAUGUAGGCCUAGGAUGGUGCCUAAUGGGCCAAGUGUGCCUAAAUGGGCCCAAGGUGCCUAAAUGGGCCUAGGGUACCUAAAUGGGCCUAGGAUGCCUAUGUCGGCCUAGGAUGGUGCCUAAUAGGCCAAAUGUGCCUAAAUGAGCCUAGGGUGCCUAAAUGGGCCUAGGUGCUGAAAUGGGCCUAAGGUGGUGCCAAGAGUAUCUAAGUGAGCCUAAGUCUAAAUUAAGGAUGCCAAGGGUCAAAACGGGGUUAGAUAGAUCCCUCAACUAAAGUCCCUAAGGUGACUUAGAAAAUAUAGACUACACGAGUAGUAAUGGGCCACCAGAGAAUUGUUGUAAAGUACUAAACGAACACACAAUAGGGCAUGUGCUAGUAGGACAAAAUGGAGGGUCUACAGGUAUUUAAGCAAUACCCAUUUUUUUUUCAGAAUUUGUGGAAGAAAAUGUGAGAAAUGUGUAUGGAUAUGAAGACUUGUAAUGGCUGAAUUUCAAGGGAGAAAUGAGCUGAAUAUGGUGGUUGUGCAUGCAUAAUUAAUGGCUGAAUUUUAUGGUAAAAGAAUGGUGUUUCGGUGGCUGCAUGUGCAUGAAUAUGGAGGCUGAAUUUUAUGGAAAAAAGAAUGGUGUUUUGGUGGUUGAUAUGAGCAUGAAUUUGGAGGCUGGUUUUGCAGUAAAAUAAUUGGGUUUCGGUGGCUUUAAUGGGAAGGCUUGAGGUUCAAUUCCUUAAUGUUGUUUAAUGUGAAUAUUAUGAUUGCAUAUAGAGACUUCUCAUGGCUUGAUUUUCAAUGGAGAAGACAAUAGUAACUAGCAAUUUGGAUAUCACUUUGCAUCAUCGGAAUUGGAGGUAAGUGUUUAAGACUUUGUUUUUUAUUAUUAUUCUCAAUCUCCAUCUUCUUCUUCUCUUAUUUUGCAUCAUUUGGAUAUGAAACUUUGUCAUGAUAUGUGUGGAUGUAUAGGUCGCACAGAUUGUUGAUCAAUUGAUGAUGAUGAUAUAUUGAUUUUAUGUUGAUGCUUGUUAAGUGAUAAUUGUAUGAUUAGAACUGAUUCUUCUUUAAUUUUUUAUUUUUUUAUUUUACCUAAGUAAGUCAUUGGAUAAACACAUGAAAAUUGGCUUUUAUAUGAAUGUAAAUCCAUUCUCUUUGAUUUUGUGUUUUUGGCUAAUGGAUGCUUAUAGCUCACCUUUCAUGAUACACACACUUGACAUUAAUAGAUGAUCACAAGUUUAGGCUUGAUUAGGCACUUUCUAAGGAUAUUUUUGUAUCAUAACUUGGCACCUAAAAUAGAUCACUAAUGGUCUUGUAUACAACUACACUUUAGGUUAACCUUUGGAUUCACAUUAGUUCACAAGUAAGUUCACAUUCACAUGCUUUCACUUCUUUUGAUUAUUUGGUGUUUGAUAUCUCAUGGGUUUUAAUGCUUUUAAAAAAAAUUUCAACCCUUUCCAUAAAUAAAUCAAUCCUUCAACCUCAUUCAAAAUUCAUGAUUAUGUCAUUAGGUGUGAAAAUGUAUUUUUCAAAAGUCAUGCUACCAAUUUCAAUCGGUACGCAUCUUUCCAUUAAUUUUUAAAUGAAUUUCAAUUUUGAAAUACAUGAAAUAAAUUCAUGACUCCACAUAAAUGGGGUAAUUCCUUACCUUGGUGAGCUUAUCCAUGAUUAGAUGAGGUUAAGAAAGUAUGGAUAAUUUUCAUGGACAUUAAUUUGGGAAGUGGUAAAUCCCUACAUUCAAGUUCUUCAAAAACAAAUAUUUUACUCUCUUUGGGUAUUUUGUUGAACCUUUGGAUGAAAAAUUAAAUUCAGAUUAUUUAAGUCCUUCCUAAAAUUUUUCUAAUAACUAAAUGAUGUUAUAGACUUUCUAAAUGUGCUAAUAUAAUUUUUUUUGAGUUCAAAAUUGUUUUCAAUUUAUAGAUAUAAAUCAAUCUUUCCACAUAUUCAUUUUCACUAUGUUAUGGACACUAGGAAUUUUUUUCUAAAAUUAAAUUAUUUAAUGACUUCCUUAAUUCCUUUUGAUAUUUUUCCUUUAAUCUAGACUUCUUGAAUUUAAUCUUAGGUACCUAAAACACUCAAAACGGAUUUCCCAAGUAGGAGAUAUAAUUUUUUUUUUCUCCUAAUGGUUCUUUUCAAGAGUUAAGGGGGUGUUUAUUUAAUUUAAAUAUGUUAUGUGUGUGAUCAUACUUUAUGCCUAUUUUUCAUGAAAAUUAGACAUAUUGAAUAGGUUGUACAAAAUUGUUUAGGAUUUUCAAGCAUCUCUGAGUCAGUAAAAUAAUUUAACUUUUGCAUGUCAUGGAAAUACGCUUUGUUCUGGACCAAUUGGGAGUUUAUAAAAACUAGUAUUAAAAAAAACAUAAUUAAAUAAUUUUACCUUUUAGGUUGUAAUCUAGACACAUAGAAGAGAUUGCCUAAUUUUUUUCAUAAUGAAAUUACACUUCUAGAUAAUUAGUAGAGACCUAUUUUAGGACUUAGAGGGUUGCUACUUUAUAGUACCUUCUUGAUAUGUAACCAAACCCCUAGACUUGGAUUCAAUUUUUAAAGACAUGUUUUUCCAAAUAAGGAGUCAUUUUUAGUAUUUUAUUUCUUAUUUUGUUUUUCCUUUAAAAUAUAGAAAAAAAUAAGUGGUAACUCCAAUUUUUACAAAAUAAGUUUUGCAUUAAAAAGCAAAUCUCACCAUUGAACAAGAAUGUACGUGACAAAUGCAAGUCUGCACUAUGGUAUACCAUUAGAUUAGUUUUGGUUCCACCCACAAAUAUGUAAGGAACAUCUAAGGCUACCUGCUUCCGUAAGUUUCACUAUGUUGGGCAUUGUAUUAACAAUGUAACAAUUUUUAUUUAUUUAUAAUAUAUGCACAUUUAUUGAAAAAUAUAUAUGCUUUAAGACUUUAUGAAAAAUAACACAUGUGAUACAAGUUUAUUCACUCCUUUUAUUAAAUAUUUUUAGGUAUACUUAGAUUUUGGGAAUAAGUGACAUGUGUAUGAAAGGUGCAAAAGCCUCUUUAUUUCUUUAGCUAAGAGACUAAUUUAAUUAGAUAUUUUUUGUAUUAAUGGUUCACUUUACUACGUACUACUUUUUAGGGGAUUUGUCAUAAUUUAAUUUAUGGAUUUUUGUAUGAAAAGAUAAAUUGCAAUUAAGUUAGAACUUUUUUGUUAGCUUAAUUACUACUUCUCAUGUCAAACCACACAUGUGAAAUGAUUGUGGCGUCCUAACCUCCGGGAUGGGUCACAUCAUUGGCUUACAUUUCCAUGAGAAGGGUUAUGAUAAAUUAGCAAUGAUGCUUCAUGCUAACGUGCCUUCAAAUUUUUAGGUUGAUGUUUUCCUUGUUGCACCAUAUCUCAUCAACAAGAUACCUUCCACAACUUUGAACUUCGACACCUACAUUAAAAGUAAAUAUUUCUCAAAAGGUAUAGCAAACACAAAUUCACCCAGAAGACAUACCCUUUUUGUCUUCCUAGCCUAUUGCUCUGUUCAAAAGAGAUAAAUGCUUGCAUGUAUCCCCAAACAAAUAGAGUUUAUGAAGACAUGUUUCUACUUGCAAACACUAAUGCUGUGCAUGGAAAUCCAUAGCUCAGUUCCUUUCCUAAAAGGAUGAAUGGCUCACACCACCGGGCGAAAUAAGUAUUCAACAGCACUCGAGCCUUCAAGCCAAAUACAGUGUCAUAUUGCCUACUAUUGACAUAACACCUAUCACUAGUAAUCUCCACCCUCCUACAUUUAGGUUGUAAACUUUUUUAAAGAGAUCCUAAACUAAAUUAAAUUGCUUAAUUCUUAAAAUCCAUGUAGAUUCUCUUUAAUUUACAGCAUGGAUGUAAUAAGUCUAACAGGCCCUUCCUCUUUUGUCAUUCUCUUUAGCUCCUGUUCAAACCUUUCCAUGACUGGCGGAGGCAGGCAUAUAGGUAUAACAUUCCCUUCUUCUCCUUUGCUGUUCCUGAACCGCAUACAGAAGCUAAUAUUAGAUAAAGCCCUAGCAACCCCACCAUAGACUGGCUUCCCCCACCCGAAGUCGAUCUCUCCAAUCCCGGCACGUGUGACAUCUGAAAUAAGAUAGUUCCCCGGCUGCGUAAAUGAGGGACGGCCCUUGAUGACCAUAUGAUCUGCCACUGAUUUCACAUACUCUUGGCUCAUUUCCGCCUUGGCUUUCUUCAGUAACCUUAUCGCAUAUUCCAAUGGGUUUUUACAUAGCAUUCCAGCCUUAGUAAUUGAAGCUGGAUACACAAAAGCAUUUCCGUAGUAUCCUGGAGGCAGAUCGAAACCGCGCUUGCCUCGCAUAUUGAUUAAGCAUGAAAUGCGAACAACUUCAUCAGGGUCUACUGCAAAUGCAAUUGUGCGGCAUCUCCAUACAUACGCUAUUAGAACCUCAAACGUCGAGCAGGCACCGAGGCUUGCAGGAAGUCGGUUCCUAAGUGCUCUUAUCUCCUUGGGGCCAAAGAAGAAUGAUCGAUGAACCAAAUUAUUUUCGUCCAUGGUCAUUAGUGUGCCCUUGGUAUUGGUUACCUCCUCGUAUUCAUGAUGUAUACGGGUAAUUCGUGGCGGAUUUCGGGCAUUUAACAGCUCUCUUUGCCAUAUGGGCAGCAGAGAUGGCACAGACAGACCUUGAGCCAUCUCGCUUAUGGCGUCGAGGAAUUGGACCAAGCCAGGACCAUCACUCAUUGUGUGGUUUAGGCGCAAUGCAAAUAUAAAUCCUCCACACCUCAAUCGGGUCACCUACGUUGUACCAAGAUUUAUUUAUAAAUGUAUGCUUUAGCAACAUCCAAUGAUUUGUCUUAUUAAACUUAACAUUUAUUACUUAAUAACUUAAGUUUAUUAAUUUAAAUUGUUAACUUAAAUCUUAUUAUCUAAAUAUUAGGUUAUUUGAUAAAAUUUAUUUCAAAUCAUCAAAUUGACAUAUUUACCCUCCUUAAUUUUGAUUAAUAUUUAUUCUAAUUGACUUUAAUUUAUAUUUAUUUUCAUUAAUUUUAAGUAAUAAAUAUAUUUAUAAAACAUUCAUAUUUAUAUUAUUGUAGAUAUCUAAAAAUAACUAUAAAAUAUUUAUUAUAAAAAGUGGUUUCAAAAAGUUAUUUUUAGUAUUCCAGAAAACUAAAUGUUUUGACUUUUUCUAUUCCAUUAAAAAUUAAAAAAUAAGUAAUAAGUAAAAAAAAAUUAAAAACAAAUCAUCUAAAAUGUGAAAGUAAAUUACAUUUAACAUUAAGUUAAAUAAAUAAAUAAAAACAAAUACCACUUUAGUUAAAUAAGUUAUUUUAUCAAAUAUCAUUGAUGAUGGAGAAUAUUUACCUGAAUUAAGAUAAGAGGAGAACCAAGAAUUCCCCCAGAGCCAGGGACAUCAUACAGAAGCUCCUCGAAGCAGGGACACAUUGGUUGAAUUGCAUCACCAAGAUUCUCAAGUGUGGUAUCGGCAUCGGCUUCAAUGAACAAGACCCCUUCACCGGUGCAGUCCACCAUGAGUUUUCUAUUAUCCCCUUCAAUCAGCCUGCCUGCAAAUGGGUAGUAGUAAACAAGCGCCUUGCCUAGAGCUUCUUUAAUGACCUUUGCAGGGUCUUUUCCUUUCAUUAAAGGAUUGUUCGGGUAAAACAUUAUCACAGGAAUUUGAAAGCGAAGGCCUUCUUGAUCAUCUAAAUCAGAAAGCUGCUUCACCUCUCGUGGGGUAGGGUUUGUAGGCCGAACAAACUCUGGAGCACGCCGUUUAACCGAGAAUACUAGAGGAGACGAUGAUGAUGCCAUGUCCUUCCAGGCUAGGAGUUUGUUGAUAGAAUAUAGAAAAAAUGAUAAAGAGAAAAUUGAAGGAGUUUAUGUGAUGGUCUGCUUUGAGAAGAAGGUAGCUGAUAUUUAUAGCCUAUUGCUGCACUCCAAUAACGCGGCGGAGCAUCUUUCUCAGCCUACGACACGGUUCAGAUAAGAGGUAGACUUUUAGUUGUGUUUCACCUGUUUUUUUUCUCUCCAGGCCCCACUAUCUUAAUGCACCUAAAAUAUCAUUACUACUCUUUUCUUCUGCACCACACCUUUUUUUGUCUUCUUUUCUCAUAUUUUUUUUUCAUCUCUUCAACAAAAGUCUAAAUUCAAAGCUUAUUCUCCCAGGUUUGUUUGUGAUCCAAAAAGUGUUUAAAUUAAGUUCAAAGUACAUUUCAACCUCUUUUGUAGAUUUUAGUUUAUGUUCAUAUACAUUAUAAUAAUGUUUGUUUUAUAUAAAUGUAUUUUAAAGGCUAUUAAUUAUUUAUAAAACUAUUAACAAAUGUUUAUUAUAAAAAUAGUUAGGGAAGAUUUAGGAAUUAUUUAGAAAAUAUUUAUUAUAAGGGCUAUCCAUUGGCUUAAUUAUGUGUUUGUUUCACGACCCCCUUAAAAGCCAUGGUCCUUUCCUCUACGUUAUGUCUCUUUCAAUGUCAGCACGAAAAUAGUUAGGGAAGAUUUAGGAAUUAUUUAGAAAAUAUUUAUUAUAAGGGCUAUCCAUUGGCUUAAUUAUGUGUUUGUUUCACGACCCCCUUAAAAGCCAUGGUCCUUUCCUCUACGUUAUGUCUCUUUCAAUGUCAGCACGGUCCCCUCCUAUCAUAAAAUCACUAGAAAUUAUUGUACUCCAUUGUGCAAUACAUGUCCUUCUCUCUCUCUCUCCCCCUCUCUCUCUCUCUCUUUCUCUUUGUACACAUACAAAAUUUCAGUUAAUUAAAUUAUUAUUAAAUUCCUCUUUAAAAUUUUGAUUUCUUGGUGAAAUUUGAAAGACUACAAAAUUAAAUUUUACAAAACAAAAACAAAUAUGUCAAUUGAAGUUCAAAAGAGAAUUAUAAAUAAAUAUUUUUUUAUAGGUAAAUUUCUUGAACAAAAGAAACAAAUAUUUUUAUUAAAAUAAAAAAAAGAAUUAAAAAUAAAUAAAUAUUCUUUUGUUAGCAAAUCUCUUUAAUAUGGAAGAUAAGUUUCUAAAAUCAAAAUGUCAAAUUCUUUGAAUUAAACAAAUUCAAUCUUGGGAAGUCCAAAUUUAAUUCUCUAACUUCACCAAUAAAUAAUAAUGACUUCCUUCAAUGGAGGGAAUCAAUAAAAUAAUUUCAUACAAGGAAAAAUGUCUUCACAAAAAAAAAAAAUGUUUCAUAAAAUUUCUUUGUAAGUUCGAGAAAUUAUAAAAGCAUUAUAAAUGUGAUCUUGUCUUUUGACAAAGUCAUUUGGGAAUAAGUCAUUUUAAACCCUAAAUUGAUUUUCAAAGCAAAGAAACACUUCAUCAUUGUCUAUUAAAUUAUGAUCAAAGUAAAGGAAUGAGAGAAAAAAAAUAUUCUUUUGUAAAGAAUAUUAUCUAAGAGUUUGUACCCCACAAUUAUUUUAAUAAAAACAAUUGUUAGCAUAUUUUUUCUAUUAUUUUAAUUGUUUCACAAGACUUCAAACAAUUUGUACGUAUAAAUUUAUGGCAAGGAAAGUUGAUAGAAUUUUCUUUUGGUUUAGUUUUUUAGGAAAAUGUUGAGAACUAUAAAAAUUAAAGGCAUGUUUGAUAAGUGUUUUCAAAAACAAUUUUGAAAAAUGGUUUUUGAGAAUGAUUUUUAAAAAUUAUUCUUUGAUUUUUAUAGAACAAAAGUUUAUUUGAAAACUUAAAAUGUUUUCAACCUGUUCUUAAUAUUUUUAAACAUGUUUUAAAAAUAAUUUUUAUAUUUAGUAUUUUAUUUUUAAUCAUUCUACAUAUUUGUAUAAUUAUUUCUUAAAAUAAUCCUUAAAAAACAAGUUAAAACAAUAGAAAACUACAAAAAAAUGUUAUCUAAAAAUACUUUAUUUUCUAUUUUUUUUAAAAAAAAAAUUUGAUUAUCUAAUAUGUUUUCUGUGUUUUUUUUUUAACAACAAAAUACUAUUCUAAAAAAUAUUUCCAAUUAAGCACUAAAUCUUUUAGAAUACCCUGUCCCCAAACUUUCAUCACCCUUUUUAUAAGAAAAAUGGGAAGAAAUUCUUUUAACAUUUUCCUUUAUUCUUACAUUUUUUUCCACGUUAUCCAUAGAUAAUAAAAUCAUUUCCCUUACCAUUUUUAGCUUCUUAAAAGAAUAAAUAGUACAUAUAACAAAUGCUCGCUCAAUGGUUCCCAAUCUUUUCUCACUUUCUUUCAUUGGUAAAUGAGGAAAAUUGGUUAUGCAAUGCAUUAAAUUUAGCAGUUUGCAACAAUAUAUUAAUCUUGUAUAAUAUAUAUUUUUUUUUAUAAAUUGCAAAAAUAUAUAUGUCAAUUUAUUUAUAUUUUUUCUUAGAAACCAAAUGGUGAUUAUUCUUACUUUAUUUAUUUUUAUAUAUUUUUAAUUGGAGUGUUUUCUAUGUCACAUGUUGAUCUUGCAAAUCAUCAGGUUCUCUUAAAAAGCUCCUCAUAUUUGGAAAUCCACACACUGCAAAAAACCAUUAGAUAUCAAAGUUAUACUCUUCAUGACAUUCUUCAUGGUAAGUUAUAUUCAAAUUCAACAACAUAAAGUUUAUACCAAAUUAGAUAUGAAAGUAAAUUACAUUCGGUAUUAAGUUAAAAAUAAAUAAAUACUAUCUAAAUUAAUUAUUUUAACUUGAUAAUUAAAGUCAAAAAUAAUUUUAAGUUAUAAUAGUAAGUUAUUUAAUCAAAUAUCAUUUUUCGGUUAUUUAUUACAAAUGUUUUAAAAUAUUUAUUACGAUUACUAAGACAUUGAAAAGAAAAAAUGGGGGAAGAAAACCAAGAAGAUGAGUAUGCAUUAAUUUGAAAUGGGGUGUUUAGUCUUUCUAAUGGAUAUUUGUAUUAAAAAAAAUGAUACCUAAAGAAAUUAAAUUAGGUGGAUACAAAUAUAAAUUAAAAAAAAAAGGAAAAUCCCAAGAUAUAUGCUGAAAUUAUAACUUGUAAUAAAUGUCAAAAUCACCCUUAUGCUCAUUUUGUUCAAAAGUCUAUAAAGUAAUCUAAUUAUCUAUUUUACCUAAAAUUAGUUAGUGAGUUGUACCCAUCAAAAUUGUAAACAAACCUCGAUUUGUUUCAUGAUAUUCAAGUAUAAAAAUAUCAUUUUCUUUAAUAUUAUUUUUCUUCUUUGAAUAUUUUUUAAAAAAUCAAAAUUAUUUUUUUAUAUUUGAACUUCAUUGAAAAUGUGAAGAAAUAAUAAUAAUAAUAAAAAUGAAGAAAAAUUCUAAAAAUUGUCUUCCUCAUUUUUCUUAUACUCAAACGUGGAAUCCGAGUGUCAUAUCAUAUUGAGUUUGUGGAAGCUAACCCACUUACACAGCCCGAGAACCCAUCAGUAGUUGUCAUACCCAUUAAAAGCCAUGGUCCUUGCCUCUACGUUAUGUCUCUUCCAAUGUCAACAUUGUCCCCUCCUAUCAUAAAAUCACCAGAAAUUAUUGUACUCCAUCGUGCAAUAAAUUCCCUCUUGAUGGUCCAUAUAUAUUCAACAUGUGACAUACAAUUCAAAUGUACACAUACAAAAUUUUAUUUAAUUAAAUUAUUAUUAAAUUCCUCUUUAAAAUUAUGAUUUCUUAAUUCAACAAAAUUCAAGUUUAAUAAGUGAUGGUCCAUAUAUAUUGAACAUGUGACAUAUAAUUCAAAAAAGGAUACUUAGUGAAAUUUGAAAGACUGGAAAAUUAAGUCUUACAAAAAGAAACAAAUAUGUCAAUUGAAGUUCUAAAGAGAAUUAUAAUUAAAUAUUUUCCUGUUGAUAAAUUUUUUGAACAAAUUAAAAGAAACAAAUCUUCUAAUUAAAAUAAAAAGAAUUAAAAAUAAAUAAAUAUUCUCUUAUUAGCAAAUCUCUUUAAUAUAGAUAUCAAGUUUCUAAAAUCAAAAAGUCAAAUUCUUUGAAUUAAACAAAUUAAAUUUUGAGGAGUCUAAAUUUAAUUCUCUAACUUCACCAAUAAAUAAUAAUGACUUUCUUCAAUGAAGGGGAUCGGCAAAACAAUUUCAUACAGGAAAAAAGUCUUCGCAAAAAGAAAAAGGUUUCAUAAAAUUUCUUUGUAAGUUUGAGAAAUUAUAAAAGCACUAUACAUGUGAUCUUUGCCUUUCAACAAAGUAAUUUGGGAAUAAGUCACUCUAAGCCCUUAAUUGAUUUUCAAAACAAAUAAAACACUUCGUCAUUGUCUAUUAGAUUGUGAUGAAAGUAAAGGAAUGAGAAGAAAAAUAUUCUUUUGUAAAUAAUAUUAUCAAUGAGUUUGUACCCCACAACUAUUUUAAUAAAAAUAAUUGUUAGCAUAUUUUUUCCAUUAUUUUACUUGUUUAGCAAGACUUCACACAAUUUGUACUUAUAAAUUUAUGGCAUGCUCGAUGGGACAUCUUUGUCUCUCAUCCCUUUUGCUAAAAAAAUUGAUCAUUAUUAAUGCUAUGACAUCCAAAAAGAUUCAAAUUGUGCAUGUCAAUAAAGAGUAAUGACAAGAUUGUCAUUGCUUAAUCAACACACAACACUACUACAAGCCUUAUGACUCAUAACAAAGCAAAAUCAACUACUGUAGUUUCAGCAAAGUAAGCAAGUGAAAAUAUUUGUUUGUUAAGUACUAAUGCCAUUCAAUAUGUUAUAUAAGUGACCAAGCAUUGGUCUCACUACCUUUAUUAUCAAUUUGUCCCAGUCAAGAUUGGGUUUGCAUUCCCUAGUAGAUCUUCCAUAAACAACUAAUUUCAAUGGGGGUCCCCAUCAAAAUUCCACUUAGUUCUAAACUCUUUCACCUUACAUUUUUUGAAAAAAUUACAUUCAAGCCUUCUAGUGUGGAUAGUUACUCUCAUCAAAACAUGAUGGAUUAUUAAUGUAAGAACCCACCUUUGUUUAUUCCAUACUGGUUUAGCAGGAUUGAGAGAAAAAAAUCAAAAUUGUUAUUUAAUAGCUUACUCUAAUACUAAUUAAAAAACCGCUUAUCUAGUAGGGUAACACUAGAAGAGGGUGAAUGGAUGAUUUCUAAAGAUUGUUGUAUAGGAAUUGAAAUCUUAACCCAAUUUAAAUAAUGAGUGGGAAUUAAGCCAAAUUAAAGCAAUUGAGUCCUGUAGGAGAUUAUGAGUAGGGAAUAGAACAUACACAAAACAGACAAAUGAUUUUACAUGGGAAACGUCUACACCAAUUGUGGAGAUAAAAACCAUAGUGUUGAGGACCUCCAAUCUAACAAUCCACCAUAUGAGAUCAAGAUACAAAAAUUUACCUUGUUACUUAUUCUAAAGACUUACUCUCUAGUACCUAUAUCGUGAUCCAUGUCCCCGGCAUAACACCUCCAAUGCUCUAGUGGAUUCACCUUAGCCUCCUUCCAACAACCCGAAAAAUGAAUCAACUAACCUUGAGAGUUUAGUGCCAAGAAUGAUAGGGCAAUAAUAUAUAUAUAUAUAUAUAUAUAUAGAUUAUGAAACCUAAAGGAUUGAAAUAGGAUUAUUGAUUAAAAAAUAAACCAUGAAUUUCCAACAAGAAACACUACUAAAGCAUGGCAAAAUCAAAACAACAGCUCAAGUGGACCUAACCAUCGCUCAAGCACCUUGAGCAUUCAAGCACUUAUUUAAACAUUUGAGCGGUGGCUCCAGCACUCGAGCAAUUUAGCUAGUGUUUGAGUGGUCCUGUUUUAUCAAAAGUAAAAAAUAAAAAAUUUUAAACCAAUUUUGAGAAACUAAUCCAAUUCAUGCCUUAACCUAACUUGUCUCUAACAAACAUUUUCAAACUUACCUAUGACAGUCUAGUUGAAUGAUCAACAACCUCGAGUCUUCAAUGGAGAGUAAGUCACAUCUAAAAGGAUUCCUAUGCCAUAAUGAAAAGGAAUAAAAUUGUCAAUAUAUAAAACUGUCAUAGCAUACGCAUUAAGAACUUGAGUUUUCAAGUAUAAAAUAGACAAGGGUGAAAUUCUAGUGGACUUGGAUUAUUUCCAAAAUAUCAAAUUUUAGGUACACUAGAGUGCUUCCAACACUAGAAAAAAUUAGAAACUUUACCGAACACAAUUUUGGAAACUCGACCUUGGAACGUUUAAGCAUUGGAUAAGUGCACUUGAGCACUUCCAACACUUGAAUGCCUCUUGCUAAUGUUCAACCACAACAAUUGAGUGCCCAAUGCAUUAAGUGUUACAUCUGAGUGCUCGAGGCAUUGAGUGUCAGAUCUAGCCUAUCUAGGUGCUUGAGCACUCAAUCUCAAGUCCGUUUUUAAUUAACGUUUAAAAGCAUUCAAUCUAUUAUUCCCUAGAGUCUAUUUUAUGUCGGAUGUUAAAAGUCAUCAUCCUUUCAUAGCUCUCUAUACUUACCCUAUGUUAUUCCUUGUUGACUCUAUAGGCUCCUCGAAUCUUCAACGGAAUGUAAGAGGAAAAUAUAAAAAGUCCUAAACUGGAAUGAAUAGAAAAAAAAAUCCCAAUCUAAUGCACUAACAAAAUGCAAAAAUGCUAAGGAAAAACAAUUUUGUUAUAUUGGUUUACUAUAAAAUAAAAUUUAAAAAAAAACAUAAAAGAAAAUUAAAUAUAAUUAAAACGAGUUAAAAACUUUUGCCUUUUUAAAUUAUUUAAUCUUUGUAUAAAAAGAGUAAAAAUAAGUUAAAUGAGUUUAAAGUAGUAUAUAAAAAUAAUAUAUUUAAUUUUAAAUUUAUUUAUUAUUUUCCUUCACUGUUUUUUCUUCUUUUUUUUUUUCCCUCUAUUUUCUUUCUCUUAAAUUUUCUAACAACUAAACAUAGUCUAAUAGUAUCUAUGGAAUUUCUAUACCUUUCUUUUUCUUAAUCACUUAGUAGCACAAUUAUUAUCUCGAUCACAGGAAUAAUGGCAGCCGCUGAUGAGGUCUUUUUAUGUUUUGAAUUUGCAAUCCAUUUUAAUUAUCUUGUUUUCUUCGUUCCUUUGGGGAAGAAAAUUGUAGGAGAAAUAUAAAAACAAGAAGGUAAGGAAAAUUUAUAAAUUUUUCUUUUAUUUGGUUAGAUACGAAAAAGAAAAUUAAAUUAUUGACCGAUAUAUUUACCCUUGAAUUUCAUCUUUUGUUAAAGAAAAAGGCAGGGAGGAAAAUCUUUUAACAUCAUUCCUUCUCUUUUCCUUAACAUUUUUUUCACUUUUUUUUUACCAUAAUUGCUCAAGGAAAAUUAUUUGGCAAAAGUGUGUUUCCAUGCAUUUAAAUUAAAAAAAAAUCAUAAAUAGGAACCCAACUUUAUAAAGUACAAAUUUCAAGCAGUUGUCUAAAAAUAAUUAGCAUUUCAUGGUCUUGGUCAAAGGUACUACCUAUAACCAUUAAAGUAUACUACCUUUUAAUGAUAUAUAUGUAUAUAUAUAUAUAUACACUAUCUUUGACCAUUCAGAUAUACUAAGCUUUAAUGAUAGAUGUACUAUUUGUUGAGAUAUUAGGAAUGUUUAGACAUUAGGAAAGUUGAGAUAUUAGGAAUGUUGAGAUAUUAGGAUAUUAGUUGUUCUUUCCUUAUAUAAUUCAUUCCUUGUAUCAUUCUUUCCCAUUCUUAGAAUGAUGAUUACCCUUUAUAUAUACUCUGUACAUGAACGAAUGAAAUAAUUAAUGAAAAACUAUCAUUCAUCCAUUUGAAGACUAUCUUUUAUCAUCUUAAGCAUUACCUUUGACCAUCUUAGGUACUACCUUUGAUUGGUGAAUAUAUAAAAUUUGAAUUUUUUUUAAAAGGUUCCUAUUUUAUGAUUAUUUUCAUACAAGUGCAUGGAAAUCCAGGAGAUUCCUUCCAUUAGUGGAAACUUAUGGGACAAGUCACUACCUUCUAACAAUUUUAUGGUUGUUGUAUUGUGAAGGCAAGCAAAAUAUGCCCAAGUAGUCUUGGUAUUGGUUGGUUAGAGUUGGUGUAAAAAUAAAAAGAGUUCUUUACUAUCAAUAAAGCUUGUUUUCUCUUUAGGCCCAUCUAAUUCCUUUAUCCCUUUCUUGAAUUGUUUCUCGAUUUGUUUAGAAAAGAAACGAGAGAGUAUUUCCCAUUGUUAAACUAGUACCAUAUAAGAUUAAGUUAGUUCCGCUUUGGUUGUGAAGUGCUGCCUCACUUUUUCCAAAUUUUUUUCCUCAUUUUUUCCUUAAUAUCCUUAAUACUUUAUAGGAAGUAUGAUAGAUAAUUUAAACCACUUAGUGGUAAGUCAAAAGGAAACAAAACAACCGCUCAAGUUCAGGCACAAGUCAAUAACCCUGGAUUAGAAAUAAGAUGUGUAUGAAACACUGUACAAAGUCUGUUGACUUUUUGUUCCUAAUUUCUAUAAAUACAAGAAAUGACUGAAAAAGAUAGCUCAUCUAGGGACUUCUAUGACGGAAGAGUCAAAUUUUAAUAGACUUAUACAAAGUUCUAAUUUUAUAGUAUUUUAUCAUUAUACAAUUAUAAUUGAAAUAGAAUAUUUCUUUUAAAAUUAUUUAAUCUUUAUAUAAAAGCGUUAAAUAAGUGAAAAAACUUUGAAGUAAUAAUUAAAAUAAUUUAUUGACUUUAAAAUUAUUUUUUAUUUUUCUUAACUUUUUCUUUCUUUUACUUUUCCUUAUUAUUUUCUUUUAUUUGCAUAUUUUUUUCUAACUUUUCAAGAAUUAAAUAUGGCCUAAGUUUCCAUAGAUAAAAUGCAUUAAUCAAAUAUAGGUAAAUAAAAAACAAAAAGAUACACUUCACUUGAUUUUUUUAAGACUCAAUUAAGUUGUUGAUUGAAAGGGUGUAUGGUAAAACUUAAUACUUACAACUUAAAGACUUUGAUUUUAAGUUACGUUAUACUUAAGUGGUUGACUUAAAGCUUAUUAUCUAAUUUUUAUUUUAAGUAUUAAAGAUGUUUGAUAAAAUUAAUUUAAAACUUAUUUUAAAGCAUCAAAAUGACAUAUUUUUCAUCAUAAAUUAUAACUAGGGCAUAGGAGGUCGAGUAACAAUGGAGGUCAUGGAAUAGCAAAAGAGAUCAUGAAGGUAUUAAGGACAAAUGGUCGGGAUAAAAAAAAAAAAAAAAAAAAAAGUAAAAUGAAGAUGUGGCCUUCUGAAAAAAUGAAUUAUUUUUAUUUAUUACUUAAAGUUAUUUUUUACUUAAGUCAUAUUAUUAAGUUAUUUUACAACAUAUACUUAAUAUAGUUAACGACUUAAAUUAAGUUAUUAAGUCAUUUUAAAUUAUUAAAUUGAUUUACCAAACACUCAUUAAGUUAAAAUAGUUUUAAAAUAUUUUUUAAUAUUAGUUAGAAAGUUAUCAAUAUUUUAGAUCAUUUUUUAUAUUCAUUUUAUCUUCUUUAUUUUUAUCAAAAAGUACUUUUUGGAAGCCAAACGUAACCUUUAUCUAUCUAUUAACAAACAAUAUUCAAAUGAAAUCUUUAAAUGUGAUGUUUUUUAACCCCUUCUCAAUAAUAUUCACAUGCUGCAUAGUGGUGUAAAGGAGGACAAAAAGUGUACCAGUUGUAUCUUGUGGCCUGAAUCACUUUACUUUCUUAAAAGAACAUGUGAAACACAACAAAAAAUUUGUCCUUCGUCCGGGCUGAAACCAAAUAUUAUACCUAAUCUAAAAGUAGUAUUAUUUGUAGAAUAUUUACAUAAUCACAUAAAGUAAUCAUACAUGAUUAAAGGAUACUAACAUAGAAAAUCACUAUAAAGAACAUACCUGUUUGAGCCAUCAUAAUAAAACAAGUGAUUGAUUGUUGCAACCAAGUCUUCCCCUCUAUGAUCUUGAUAACAACUAUUAUGGCUUUAUGGGAAAACAGAAAGACCCUUUAUCUAGAUUAGAGAGGGGACUUAGCAUAACUCAAUAUUGGGUUCUCAUUGGGCCCUCCCAUAAUGGGCUUCAAUGAGAUCCAUAGCCUACACUUGCCACUCAACUGAGCUUCUACUCAAAAGACGCAAAACCCAAUCCAAAUAUGAUCACUAGUUAAUUGGGCUCAUUAUAUAAUAGACUAUCCAUUAACCCAUUUUUUUCAAAUACAAAUUAUUCAAUUAGUGUUAGCCCAUAUAAAAAUUUUCCAACAUUCUCCCACUUGGGCUACAUUAAUUGUUUUUUGAGGAUUCAUUAAAUUCAUUUUGAAAAUAAGACUCUCGGGUUAGGUACAGAAAAGUUUAUUUUGUGUGGCCAUACUUUUUUUAAAGAAAUGAUAGUCUCUAAGUAACAUCUUGAUAAACUUAUCUAGUCCAACAUGGUCUUAAUAUUUGACUAUGAUGGUCUAUAUGUUAAUCUCAACAAACAUAAUGACCCUUAUAGUCACGAAUAUUUAUAACCAUAUCGACAUGGAUCGUAAACCCAAUAGUGUAGUAAGAAAUCAAUGGCAACAUGUGAUCAUCAUCUAUAUGCAUUGUUUCUUAUCAGUCCUCAUUACAAUUUAUCGGCAAAAUGAAAUUGUAAUUGCAAUUUCUCAACAAAAUGAAAUUGCUGCAAUUUCUAAACAAUAUGAAAUUGCUUGACUUUAACAAGUCAUAUGUCACCAACAGUGCACCACAAGAUCUUAAAAUAGUGGUAUUUGUGACAUCCAAUAGUAUACAACUAUAAUUCUUAAGGUUCAAUAUCUUAAGAUACCAUGUUGUAUGAAAUUCAAUUACGACAUGCUAUAAUAUAAUACUUAAUAAUGAUGAUCAUAAUAAAAAGAUUUUAAUUUUGCAAGUCGCAUAACAAUAAUGAUUAAUGUUUACACAAAACAAUAAUUGAAAUAAGGGAAAUCACAAAAGCUCCCACUAAACCAAAGAAUCAAAAGAUUUAAUGACACCCAUAUUCACAACAUGUUCCUUGAACGUUAUAGGCUUUAAACCUUUGGUUAGAGGAUCAGCUAGCAUGGACUCAGUUCUUAUGUGCUCAAUUACAAUAUCUCCUUUCUUCACUAAGUCCUUAACUGUAAGGUACUUGAUUUCUAUAUCCUUAGAACUCGUAUUGAUCUUAUUGUUCUUGGAGUAGAACACAACUGCAUUAUUGUCUCAAUAAAUCACAAUGGGUCGAAAGAUGGAAUCAACAACUUGCAACUUUGAAAUCAGAUUUCUUAGCCAAACAACUUGAGAUGAUGCACCAUAACAAGCUACAAACUCAGCAUAAAUGAUUGAGGAUGCAAUUAGGCUCUAUUUGACAAUUUUCCAUGAAAUGGCUCUACCAACUAACAUAAAAAUGUAUCCUAAAGUAGAUUUGUGAUCAUCAGAACAACUGCCCAAAUAAGAAUCUGAGCAUACAACUACCUCAAGAUUAUCCACCCUCCUAUACACAAGCAUAAAAUCCUUCGUUCUUUAUAGAUAUCUCAUGACUUUCUUUGCAGCAACCCAAUGAUCAUGUCUAGGGUUCGAUAAAUAUCUACCAAGAACAUUAACAAUGAAGGUGAUAUAAGGUCUCAUACAUACUUGUGCAUACAUCAAGCUACCAACAACACUAGCAUAAGGAAUAGUCUUUAUGGCAUCCUUUUCCAAAUCAAUCUUUGGACACUGUUCAUUACUGAGUUUAUCUUCCUUCACAAUAGGUACAUCACCAAUUUUGCAUGUCUGCAUAUUUAAUCUUUUAAGCACACGAUUGAUAUAGGCUCUCUGAGAUAGCCUAAGAAGGUUUUGAGAUCUAUCACGAUAAAUCUCAAUACCCAACAUAAAAUAUGCUUCUCUGAGAUCUUUCAUGUUAAAAUUAGUAGACAAAAUACGCUUGGUAUCAUUCAAGAGAUUCACAUCGCUACUAGUAAGUAGAAUAUCAUCGAUAUAGAGAACCAUGAAAAUGUACUUGCUCCCACUGACUUUCAUGUAAAGGCCCUAAUCAAACUUGUUCUCUAUAAAACCAAAAGACGUCACAAUUUUGUCAAAUUUCAAGUACCACUAAUGAGAAGCUUGCUUGAGACCAUAAAUUGACCUUUUCAAUCUGCAUACCAUGUUCUCUUUCCCAUUUGCCUUAAAUUCUUUAGGUUGUGACAUGUAGACUUCCUCACUCAAAUCACCAUUGAGAAAAGUUGUCUUAACAUCCAUGUGAUGAAGCUCUAAGUCAAAAUGAGCUACUAACGCCAUAAUUAGCCUAAAGGAAUCUUUGGUAGAGACUAGUGAGAAAGUCUUUGUGAAAUCAAUGCCCUCUCACCGUGUAUACCCUUUAGCAACCAAUCCAGCCUUGUAUCUUUCAACAUUUCCUUUGUUGUCUCUUUUGGUCUUGAAUACCCAUUUGCAUCCAAUGAGUUUAUAUCAUUUGGGAAGAUCAACAAGUUCCCAAACAUCAUUUGUUUGACAUAGACUGCAUCUCAUCUCUCAUGGCAAUCAACCAUUCAUUUGCCUUAUCACUAUUGAGAGCUUCACGAUAAGUAGUAGGGUUCACUUUUUUUCCAAUGUCAUAGUCUCCCUCUUCGAGGCAAACAUAAUAAUCAUUCAAAAAGGCAGACCUUCUAGUUCUUUGCGAUUUCCUCAUUUCCACAGGAGGAAUCUCAUUUACAAUAGGGGUUAUUUCGACAGUGGGGAAAUUGACAAUAGCAACUCCUUGCUGAAUCCCAGAAUCAAAAGCUCCAACAUCAAGGUUGAUGUCUGAGACUGACAAAGGUAAAGAAAUAACAUCCAUGGGUUCCACUCUUUCAUUGGAUUGAGAGGGUAUACUAUCAACAACAUCUAACUCUAAAAACUUUGCCACUUGAGGCUCAACAACUCUAGUGCCAUGAGUUGAACAAUAAAACUUGUAUCCUUUUAAGUGACUAAGAUACGUAAUAAAGUAGUACCUAGUAGUUCUUGAAUUUGUCUUCUUUAAAGAAGGAUAAUAGAUUUUCACCUUAGUUGGACAUCCCCGUACUUUAAAAGGAUUCAAACUAGGUUUUCUGCCUGUCCAUAGUUCAAAUAGUGUUUUAGGCACAGACUUACUAGGAACACGGUUCAGAAUGUAGGUUGUUGUUUUAAUGGCUUCACCCCAUAAGUAUUCUGGCAAAUUUGAUUUACUCAUCAUGCUCAUUUUCAUUUCCAUAAGAGUGCGGUUACACUUUUCUGCCAUGCCAUUUUGUUCAGGACUACCAGGCAUAGUAUACUAAGCAACAAUACCAUUAUCUUGUAAGUACCUUGCAAAAAGUCCCUUUUGUUGUCCAGCGUCACUAUGCUUCCCAUAAUACUCACCACCUUGAUCAGAUCUUACAAUCUUGAUGACUUUUCCUAGUUGUUUCUCAACUUCAGUUCGGAAGACUUUGAACAUUUCAAGAGCAUCUGCCUUUUCUUUUAUCAAAUAUACAUAGUCAUAUCAGGAGAAAUCAUCAAUGAAUGUAAUGAAGUACUUGUUGCCACACAAGGUAGUAGAGUAAGGCCCACUAAUGUCUGUAUGAACAAUCUCCAACAAAUUUUGACUACGAGUUAUACCCUUUUUCUUAGUCUUUGUCAAUUUUCCUUUCACACAAUCAGCACAAAUUUCUAAGUCAUCAGAAUCAAGGCGAGGAAGAAUCCCAUAACUAAUUAAGCGUUCUACUCGUUCUUUAGAUAUGUGCCUCAAACACUUAUGCCAUAACAAUGAAGAUCUUUUCUUAGUCAAAGGUCUUUUAGCAACACUGUUUUCAACAUUGUAAGAACAAGCAGAUAACAACGACAAUCUAUAAAGCCCGUCAGACAAAACACCAUUGCCAAUCACUUUAGAGUCAUAAAUCACCUCAACUCUUUUAUUUGCAAAAGUGAAACUAUAUCCAGCUUUGUCGAGUACUGAAAGGGAAAUUAAAUUCCUUCUAAACCAAGGUACACAAAAAACAUUGUCCAAAACAAGUUGAAAACCAGAAUCUAAUUCUAAAACAACAAUCCGAAUAUGCUCAACAUCAAUCUCGAUGUCACUUCCAACUUUAAACUUUGACUCUUUUUCACUUGGCUUCCUCAAAUUUCUUAUCCCCUAUAAAAAAGUUGCAACAUGAACAAUAGCACCACUGUCAAGCCACCAUGAAUCUAAAGGAAUAUUAACUAAAUUAGAUUCAAAACAGACAUAGGCAGAUAACAUACCCUGUUCCUUCUUUUUCUUCUCUAGCCAAUUCUUAAACUUAAAGCAAUCGACCCUCUUGUGACCUUUUUUGUUGCAGUGAUAACACUUCAGGUUUGUGUUAUUGGCAUUUCCAUUUCCAUUUUUCUGUUUCUCACUCCCACUCUUCUUGAAAUUCUUGCUUUUCUUAUGACUAUGGAAAUUGGGCUUUCUAGCCUUUUCAACUCUCUUAUGAUUAUUUGGUUUUCCAAGAGCAACAAGAUGAGCAUAUUCAUUCUUUUCUCUUUUUAGCUUUUCUUCCUCGGCCACACACUUAGUGAUCAGGUCAUUCACACCCUAAGACUAAUUUAGGGUGUUGUAUGUAGUCUUGAUUUGGCUUAAAGAAGAUGGUAGAGUAUUGAGGGCUUGAUGAAUAAUAAACUUAUGGGGAAUGGGAAUGUCUAGUGCUUUCAAUUUAGUUUGAAGAUGCACCAUUUUUAGGAUAUACUCACGAACCCCUUUCAUAUCAUUAUACCUCAUAUUCAUCAAUUCAUCCAUAAAAUACCCAGCUUCGACAUUGUUAGAUGUCUGGUAUCUAUUUCUCACAUCAACGAGAAAUUCCUUAGCAUUGUUGUUCUCAGGUAUUCCUCCAAGGAGAUGCUUAGCAAUGGACCUCUUGAUUGAAAUGAGACUCAAACGGUUCGAUCUUUCCCAUUUCGUAUAAUGAGCUCUCAUAGCUUCAGUGCUUUCAUUAGUAGGCUUAAGAGGUUCAUCUUCACAGAGAGCCAUGUUCAAGUCCAUCAUUCCUAAAAAAAACUCUAUGUUUGAUCUCGAUCUCUUAUAGUUUGACCCACUUAGAAUUUCAAUUGUAGCAUUAUUGUUGUUCACAACAAAGGAAACUGAUUGACAAAAAUUUGCAACUAGAUCAAUUAUGGGCAAUAGGUAAAAUGCUUAAAUAAGCAUAAGAAAUACAAUAUAAGAAUCAAUUGUAUUAUCAUAAACUCCCCUUUGGGCAGAGUCCAUAAUAAACAACUAUUCUCUAAGUAUGAUGAUCAACAAAUAAUUCAUUAAAGUUUAUUUUCUUUGGGCAAACAAAUUUAUCAAAUUAUUUAUCUCAUUCAAUAUCCUCAUGUUGUUAAAUUAAUUUGCACAAUAACCCCAUUUGGGGAGGCGAUUGUACAAAUUAAUCUAAAAUUUUCCCCAUCAACAAAAUAGGAACUCAUAAACUUGCAAAUUUUGAUGGUUAAAUCACUUUGGUGAAAUAACCUCAACAAUUCACAUGCAACGUUCCAAAAUUGGGUAAAUUUAAAAACAAUAAUGCCUAACAACAAUAGUGCAUAUUAGUGAUAUAUAUGCAUAUGAUCAAACAAGAUGAAGUACGUCACAAAAUGUACUUUCAAUGAUCAAUGAUCAAUUAUAGUUGCAAGAAUUUGAACAACAAUUUUUAUUUUUUUAUUACACUUUAAACUAAUUAUUUAACUAGUUUAUGUGAUUUAGACCAAGUAGGAGAGUAUGCUUGAAAGAGUUUCACUCUAGAGAGAGUGAGUACUACACUCCUAUUCCAUAUAUAUUAGCAUAAUUUCUGAUAAAUUCUCAACAAAAAAUUAUACCAAAGAAUAAAUUUAAGCUAAUUAAAUCACAUAAAUAAAUAAUAAUUAUUUAAUAAAUAUUUUUGACCCCCCAAAAAUAAAAUAAUAUAACCAAAAAAUAGAUGAUAAAAAAACAAGCGCAUAGGAAAAAACGGGGCUCAAAACAGACAUCGGAUGAGGUUACACGCGUCUCACACACUUGACCCGCAAGUGGGGAAUGUGCGGCACAUGUGGCACGUUUGGCAUGUGCUAGAGGUUAUCUUCAACCUCCAGCAGCGGGUCAAAAAACCUGCUCGGGUUAAAUGACCCGGUUGCUACCCAGCUUACAAACAAUUGUAAAAAGAAUGUUUUUCGAUCGGGAUCUCGAGGGGUUUUAAACUUUAGGUUGUUUCUAACACUCUAAGUCAUUUAAUCAUCAGAAAACAACUUAAAGAUCUCCAUAAUUGAUUAACAAAAUUCAGUUUUUAUACCUCCAUAGACAAGAUCGAAAAAUUCUAUUUCAAAACCUAUUUCGACCUCAUUUUACAUGUAUUUUUACCUUAACAAUAUAAGAAAUCUCUCUACAACAAUUAAUUAAACAAAAAACUUCUCAAUCUUGCUCAAUUUAAAAAAAAUAUAAAACGAAUUUUCUAGGGUUCAUACCCAUAUUUUCGAAUUUUCAAUUUUCAUCAAAUUGAGCCAAAAAAACCGAAAUUGAUGCUACAUAUCAACUAUAAUAUAUGUAAACAACAAAAUCCAAGAGUUUAAUUCGAGUAAAACACAAUAAUUUGAACAAAUAAAUUUUUUCUUGAAUCUUUAAACAAGAAAAUUCAGAAAAUUUAAAAACUUAAUUACUGCCAAUUUAAACAACGAAAUUGCAAAUAUAAUAUACCAUAUUGAAGUUUGUGACAAGAGGAACAAAAGGCCUAAAGUUUCACAAUCAAAAUAAACCAAAAAACCAUACACAGUCAUGGAUCACAGAUUCGGCUCCAAAAAUAAAAUAAAAUAAGAAACUAAAAAUUUUAUUUUCAAUUUCCAAUUGUAGAUCCUAAAUCAUGUAAAUCUAGCUUUGAUACCACAUGUAGAAUAUUUACAUAAUCACAUAAAUUAAUCAUACAUGAUUAAAGGAUACUAACAAUAGAAAAUCACUAUAAAGAACAUACCUAUUUGAGCCAUCACAAUAAAACAAGUGAUUGAUUGUUGCAACCAAGUAUUCCUUUCUAUGAUCUUGAUAACAACUAUGGUGGUUUUAUGGGAAAACAAAAAGACCCUUUAUCUAGAUUAGAGAUGGGACUUAGUAUAACUCAAUAUUGGGUUCUCAUUGGGUCCUCCCAUAAUGGGCUUCAAUGAGACCCAUAUGCUACACUUGCCACUCAACUGAGCUUCUACUUAAAAGAAGUAAAACCCAAUCCAAAUAUGAUCACUAGUUAAUUAGGCUCAUUAUAUGAUAGAAUAUCCAUUAACCCAUUUUUUUGCAAAUACAAAUUAUUCAAUCAAUGUUAGCCAAUAUAAAAAUUUUCCAACAUUAUUCACUAGGAACGUGUUGUUCAUUUGUACAUGUAUGUGUGGAUGUCAUGGGAAAUGUGUUGUUCAUCCUAAUAUGUACAGGUGCAUGCAUAUUCAAAAGAUUUAGCAAAGAACAAAUAAUCUUUCAUUUUGCUCAAAAUUAAAAGAGUUUCUACCAUUUAGUUCAUUUUUAUCCAAAUAUUUAAAUCUUUUUGUAAGGAAAAAUGUGAAGAAAAGAAAAUAAGGAGAAAAUUAGAAAAACAAAAAAAUCAAAGUUAAUAAAUUAUUUUUUAUAUACUGAUUGACAUUCAUUUAAUUAUAUAAAGAUUAAAUAAUUUAAAAGCGUAUAAGUUAUCGGGAGCCAAAUUUGACAAAAAUGCAGUAGCUUUUAAAUUAUUGUUUUUUUGUCAAAACCCUUGGCGUGCCCUUAUAUAAACAAUAGGGACUUGUAGCUAGGUCAAUCUUUAUCGUAAAUUAAGCAAUACUUAAUGUUCUAAGAUAAAGGAAAAAAUAAAUAAAUGUGAAAACAAACCCUUCUAACCAUAAAUGUUCCAUAAUAGCAAUUCUCCAUAGCUUGUAAUUGCCAAUUAGAAUCAAAUAACAACUCUCAAUUGCCAAAAAGAUGAAUACAAAUAAACUCAUUACAAGAGUAUAGAUCAUCUCAAGCCUUUUGAUGAUAGAAUAUAUGUGUCAUGCCCCAAGUUCUUUUUAAGGACGUGAUGGUCAUCUUAUAACUAAAAAAAUCACCAAUUACCAAAUUCUUAUUCAGAAUAGUAAAAUAUAUUAUAAUCCUCAAAAUUUAACUUUAAAAAAACUAAUACAUCAACCACUUUGCUAUUGUCCUAACAACUUCAAACCCAAAUGGUUCAAACAGUAAUUAAUUUCUAACAUUUAAACACUUGCCAAAAAUAAAGCUUAAACUAAAAUCCUAAUAAAAAAACAAAUUUCCAAUCUAACCAUCACUCUUUACCCAAACCGAGAGUACCUGGAAAAAAAUAUCAAUGGAAGAGCAUGAGUUCAAGCCCAAUAAGAAAUAUUAAUACAGUUUCAUGAAUCAAACAUUUUUUAUUAUGAUAACAAAUAGGAAAUAUAGUGUACAAUCUUUUUUAUAAAAACUUUGAAUUCAAACAUGCUAAAGCAUCCAAAACUUUUCAAUUAAACAUUUUCAUAUUUAUAUCAAUAGCAAUUUCAUAUCAAAUCCAAAUGAAAUGCAUUCAAAAUAUUUUUACUCUAGUUAUCAAAUAACAAAUAGUAUCUAAUUAGGUAGGACUUUAUUGCCCAAUUAGGUGAAACUUUACAAAUAGGAUACUAUCCUCAAAUUUGUUCUUUUUAAGGUGGAUGGAACCAAACACUACUAGUAACCUCUAACCAAACCCCUAGAGACUAGGGUUUAAAACAAUUACAUUCUCCACCAAGAAAUGUAAAGGUUAAUUAGCAAUUAUAGCUCAUUAACUAAAGUGAAAAAGGUCAACAAUUAUAACUCAUUAACUAGGGCAAAAAAUGUCAACAAUAUAACCCUUUGACUAGGGCAAAAUAAACCAAAGUCAAACACUUUGUUUCAUUUAUUUAAACGUAUAAAAACAUAAUAUCUUCAUUUUUUUAUUAUAAACAAAAGAAAAUAUUCUUACAUAUUUUCAUGCAAAAUAUAAUUGAUCCUUGCAUAAAAACAAAAAUAACAUUUUACAUAAUUCAAAAUAACAUAUAAAAAUAAAUUAUUUUAUUUUAGAAAAUCUAUAUUAAUUUCUCCUACCUCAAAAAGCACUCAAAACCCUUAAAGAAUUUAUUGUUGAAGAAUCUAAUUUUCACCUGAAAAUAACAUAAGAAAUAACAACUAUUACUAUUAGCUAUUUAUCUAAAAUUAAAGGUUUGACAAUCUAUAGACCCCAAAAUUUGUCCAAAUUUUAUUUUUACAUUAAUUUUGAGCUCAAUUUUGUCUUUAGAUUUUAAAUCCUGAUUACAUAUGAUAUUUUUGACCCACUCACUAUCUAAUUAUUAUUAUUAUUAUUAUUAUUAUUAUCAUUUUUCUUUUUCUUUUCUCUCUUCUCUCUCCUCUCUCUUCCUACCUUCCCCCAACUACCCCACCCACUCUCUCUCUCCUCCCAUACCCCUCAUUCCCAUGACCCAUACCUCCUCUCUCAUCUCUUCCCAAUUCUCUCUCCUCUCAUGUUUGUUUUUUCUUUUGAUUUUUGGUUCCCAUUUUAUUUUUUUUUGGCAAUGGUCGGCUCCCCAUCUAGGUUUUUCUCUUCAUCUUCUUUCUGACAUCACUCCACUCACAACCCAACUCCCCCACAUGGUAGUGGUGGGCCCCUUGAUUCUCUCAAUUUCUCUUCUUUUUCCCUUAUUUUCUCCAUUUUUUGCUCCACACGGUCAAUCAGGACCCCCCCCCCCCCUCCCCAGAUUUUUUUCUUCCCCAUUUUUUUUUCUUCUAGGUUUUUCUCCCUCCAAAGACCCAUGACCACUUUCCUCAGGUCCUCCGCUCUCUUCUCUCUUCUUUCUUCUUUUUUCUUUUCCUUUCAUUUUGUUCCACAUUUUUUUUUCUUUUCGAAUUUUUUUCCUUCCAUUUUCUUUUUCUCAUUUUUUUUCCUCCCUCUCUCUCUCCAUCCGCCACCCUCAUUGCCAUUGUUGACCACCACCAGCCUCUGCCGGCUAGCAAUCCAACCAUCCAUAGUUCUUAAAAACAAAAUGGGUAAAUUUCAUUUUUACUUUAUUCUCAUUUUCACUUUUUCAUCUUUAUUUAUUUUAUUUUUUUGGUUUGCAUAGUAAUUGAUUUGGACUUAGGCCUAUUGCUUAUUGGUUAUUUGUUUGGGUUUAUUGGAUUGGGUUUGAGAUAUUAUUUCCUUUGGCCAUGUGUAUUAUUAAUGUGAGUUUGUUAAUUGAUAUGAAUUUUGGGCUCACAAUGUUGGUGAGAUUUGUUGGAUGACUUGAAUAUUUGAUAUGGGCUUGGCCAAUUUGAACUAUUUAAUUUGGACAUGGGACAAUUGUAGGCUUGAAUAUUAAAUUAGGCUUGAAUUAUGGGAUAUUAAGUUUAGGCCUAGUGGAAUUUAUUUUAAUUUAUCAUGUUUUGGAUUUGAUUAAUUGAGCAUAUAUUUUGGCUAUUAAUUUGGAAAUUUUGGAUUAGGGCUUAUGGCAUGUGAGAUAUUUUUGUUGGGCUAUAUUUUCUAAUUUAGGUCCAUUUUUAUUGGCAAAAAUUUAUUGGACCAAUUUGAAGUUUGAAUUUGGGAUUGAAUAAUUAUUUUGGACUCUACAUAUUUUUGGAUAUUUACAUUUGGGUUAUUUUUGUUUUUGCAUGUCUACAAUUUUGUUGGUUGAAUACGAAUUUAUGACAUGUGGAGUACAAAAUUUCAUGGAAGAAAGUGAGACUCGAAAAGUUGUAGGAAGACAUUGAACUUGUUGUAAGCUUGUUUGGGUACACAUUUUAUUUCCCACUUUUAUUUUAUUUUAUUUUUAUUAGUUUUUGUAAAUAUUUAUUAAUAUAUAUUUACUUGUUGUGUACAGAAUUAGAUGUCGAACAAACCAGAAAUUUUGUUUAAAUAAGAUGAAUACUUCAGUAAAUAUGUUUUAAUUAAAUAAUAAUUUUAAAAUAUUUUUCUUAAUAAAAGAAAGUUUUUUUAUUAAUAAAAAUUCAGAAAAAUGCUUUUAGAAAAAUAAAAAUAAAAACUUUAAUAGAAUUUGAAAAUUUAUUUUUAAUAAUAAUUGUCCAAAAAUUUCUUUGUUUAAUAAAAAUUUGCCAAAAAUUAUUUUGUAAAUAAAGUUGUCCCAAAAAUUAUUUUUUAAUAAAAUUGUCCAAAAAAUGUCUUUUUUUAAAUGAAUUAUUUUUCCUUAAUUAAAAUGGGAUUAAAAGUAUUUUUUUAGAAAUAUAGGAUUUAAAUAUUUUUUUCUUUUUAAUUAAAAUUCCUUUUGCAAAUAAAGUUGUCUUUUUAAAUAAUUUUUAUAAAUCACUUUUCUUAAAUGAAAACAAAUUGAAAUAUUUUUGUAAAUAAAAUUGUAAAAAUUCAUUCAUUUUUUUUUUUUUUUGUAAAAGCAAGUAAAAAUAAUUUUUGUUGCCAAAUUGAAAGUUUGUAAUAAAUUCUUUUGAUACAAUAAGUGUAAAUAACAUUUUUUGAAAAUUAAAUACAAAUGAAAUUGAAUCAAAUCACUUGAAGAAAAUGUUUUGUAAAUAAAUAAAUUGAAAUCACUUAUUCAAAAUUGUUUUUAAUAAAAUCCUUUGAAAUUCUUGAAAAUUAUUUUUUUAUAUCUUUUUUUAUUUAGUUCAAUAAAUCAUUUUGCAUAAUUCUCUUAUUAUUUAUUUUGUAUAUUCUUGUGAUUAGAUUUCAUCUUUAUUUGUGUAUAUAUUGAUUUUCAUUAUGACUUGUACAUACUCAUUUGCAUGAUUAUUUUUCUCGAUAUCCAUAAUUAAUUAACUAAUUGCCACAAUUUUCUUAAUUCGUUUAGUAGAGGUCAUACAUAUACGGGCUUAGAGGGAUGCUACGACUCACCACCGUACCUUACCAAUAGGUAACCUAACCCUUGGAUCCAGAUUAUGUUUUUGCAUACAUGUCUUUUCCUAAUAAGGAGUCAUACAUGAUUUUCUUUCUUAUUUUGUUUUCCCUUUAAAAAAAUUAAAUAAGUGGCGACUCCAGGUCUUUUUCUAAAAGUCAAUUUUUUUUCACAAAUAAAUGAAAAGUAAGUUUCGCCAUUCGAGUGGGGACGCACAUGAAAAACAUAGGUUCACAAAAUGGUGACUCUACUAGGGAAUUUGAGGGUCAAACUUAAACUCGAGUUAAGAAAAAUGUGGCAUUUGAUUGGUCGAUCAAUGGAUACCCUUCUCUACAUGUCUUUGUAUGAUUGGGUGUUGAUUACACAUUGAGAGCUUUGAUAUAUUUAUUUGUGAUGCAUGUUUGGUUAUUAUUGUUCAUUGGAGAUGUUCACGUGUUGAUUAUAUCGAUUGAUUCUCUUACCUACUUUUGCAUAGUGACUCUUCUUAUUGUAUGAUUAUCUUACUUUCCUUGACAUGUAUAUUCUCAUUUUUGUAUAUCUCGUUCACAUUGGUGUGAUUGAUUCUCUUUAUUUUAGAUUGAUUACUACUCAAAAAGUGCUAUUUGAUAGCUUGUAAUUAACUCUUUUAAACACUUUUGAGUAGUAGUUAUCACCUUUUAACUCAAUUAACAUAUUAAGGACCCUUGCAAUCAAUUCUAAUCAAAUUGUGUUAAGUUUUGGUGUUUUGAUAGCUUUUUGAUCACCAAAGCAAUCCGAGAUUGAGGAGAGUUCUUUGGAAUCCAUGACAAAAGAUGUCCGGACAGGGCGUCCGGACACACCAUCGGAGGGUGGCGGGAAGUGAGCUGUGGCAGGCUGUCGGAAUGACGUAGUAAGGCUUGUGCACUUUAGCCAAUGAUCCGGACAACAUAUCCAGAUAGGAUAUGCUAUCGUCCGGGGUGUGAUGAUCGCGAGUGCCGUGUGCUUAUCCUUGAGGGAGUCCGGAUAGGGGAGCGCGCCGACAUUCCACUCGGAUGUCUCACAUCUGGAAAUCUGCUCCGCCGACAUUCCACCCGAAUGUCUUACAUCAGGAAAUCUACUCCACCGACAUUCCACCCGGAUGUCUUACAUCCUGAAAUCUGCUCCGCCGACAUUCCACCCGGAUGUCUCACAUCCGGAAAUCUACUCUGCCGACAUUCCACCCGGAUGUCUCACAUCCGGAAUUCUUCUCCGCCGCCAUUCCAUCCGGAUAUUUCGCAUCCGGCGCUUGACGCCGGAUAGGAGAGGAGGGCGUUUCAACUUCCCCGGUCAAACAUAUCCGAAUCCUUUGAUAGCGCUUACCCGGAGAGUUUUGCAGCCAUUUUGCACAGUGCCGCGGUGUUCUCCUGAAGCUUCCCGAUAUGUCUGACCGACAUUUUAAGAUAUUUUUCUGCACAAUGCCGCGGUGUUCUCCUGAAGCUUCCAGAUAUGUGCGACCGACAUUUUGAGAUAUUUUGCUUUAGAUAUUUGAUGUCUAAAUCCCCAAACUCUCAUUGUAACCCACCAAUUAUAGGAUUCCUUAGUCUUUAAGUAAGAACAAAGGGUAAAUAACCCCUUAUAUAUAGUUUGUAAUUUCCUUUACAAAAGACAUCGAUCAUAAAUCGAUCAAAUAGAGAUUAAUCCUUUGUACAGUUUUGGAAGGAAGUAAAAUACAGAGCACUUGCUCUACUUUUCAUAUAUAUUUUUGUUUUCUCGUUCUUUUUAUUUCUAGCCAAUCAAACUCUGAGGAUUUUUCCUCAGAGGACGAGAGGCUAGACUUUUUGUCUCUUGGAGUGAAGAAAGCCAGGUAAGUUUCCAAACACAAGAAUUGGAAGUUUUGUUGUUUUAGUUUUUAAUGAAGAGAAAGUGUAACCCGUUAAUGGUUUUUAUCUUUUUAGUUAACUUAAAACGCCUUUAAAUCACCUGGGUCAACACUUGAUAAGGCAAGUGAUCUCCAUCCAUUGAGAUGCACUAGUUUAUCUCUUGUGAGCCUUUGGGAGGUGGUUUAAAGGUAGGAUUUUCUAGAAUAGACAACACUUGGUAAGCUUUUGGACUCCAAGGAGACAUCCAUUAGUUAUCUCUUGCGAGCUUUUGACGGGUAAUCCAAGGUUAAAGAUCACCUUGAAUGGCAAGUGCUAGGUGAGAGGUAUGAGCCAUCGCAAGAUGCAUCAGUGAGAGGGAUUUAGUGUUUGAACCCAUUAAAGGGAAGCAUCUGUACCACACCGGUUCGAGAAAUAACUAUAUGUUAAAUCCCUAAUGCGAGGAAAAGAAACAAGUGACCGGAACUUCCUUUUUGUACAAGGAACCUGAGUCUAGUGAUCUAAACUCCAAGAAACACUUUUCUUUGUAAGUAAAAUUAGUUACUAUUUUUGGUUAGUUUAAAACCAACCUUUUCCACCAUAGAUUAUGUUUUCUUUUACAGCUAACCUUGAAAUGAAAAGGCACCAAGUCAGCUUUGAAUUAAUAUCAAUUGUGAAGUGAAAACCCAUCCCAGUGAAUGAUCCUAGAGCCACUAUGCUAUAGUAGCUUUGUCUUUGCUACCCUAGUUAAUGGUGUAAUAGGUUAUAAAUUUUGUUGAUUACUCCCUCAAUCAAGGAGCACUAGCUGGACACGAAUCAGCUGAGACACCAAUUGGGCACGAAUCAAAUGGCGUCGUUGCCGGGGACGAAUCAAAUGGCGCCGUUGCCGGGGAUCAAACGAAUCAUAUAUUAUCUUGUUUAUCUCAACAUAUUGUUUAUUCUUGUUAUAUAUCUUACUUGCUUAUCAUAAUCUUGCCUAGCUUGUGUGUAGAUAUGAGUGAUAUACUUGUUAUUUGCAUGACUGCUUGGUGCAUGACUAUUAUUCUUCUAUGCGAUGCAUGUAUUGCUUGUCUGUGUGGGAUACACAUCUAUUCCCUUACCUCUAACUCCCUAGUCUCGGUCAACCUUGUUUCCCUUGAUCUCGUAUUUGAUAUGAGACUUGUUACUUUGUUUACUCUUCAACCGAGCUAGUGAUUCAAAAUAGGGUUUAGUGAUGGGCAAUAUCUAUGUUUGGAAGCAUUCUAGAGGAGGUCAACACAUUGAUGCUGAUUGGAGUUCGAUCUUUGAAGACGUGUAUAGCUCAGAGCUAGAUUUUAGGAUAUUUGUGUGACCAGUUUGUUUUCUCUGUGUUUAGUUUGAUAAGAUUUUCGGAUGUGCCCACACCAUUCACUAUGAACCUUAGAUUACCACUAAGUGUUGAGAAUUAUGAGAGCUUUCACCAUAGGAAACAUCCCUUGGGAUGUCGAGUAGUGCAUGUGUGGAGGUGAUGACCACCUUGCAUGGAAGCGUCCCAUCUUUUCAGAGAUGUGUAGAGGGUUGUGUACUGCCAAAGGGUAUGAUCGUUUCUGUUAGGGCUCCUUUAAAAUCCACUUUUUCUUUUUAGAGCCGCCUUGACCUUGUGGGUUGAGCCUUAGAUCAUUUGAUUAGGAUUUUCUUUCCUACACAUGGGCGCAUUUGAGAGCCUUCAGGGUUGCUUUAGUCACAACAUGGAUCUAGUACUCCAUCUUUUAGUCUCCAAUCGAGAGUGCUUAUAUAUUGGUGCUAGUUUGAGUAUCAGUUGGACCACCCCUUGUUGUAUGGUUUUGGUUUCUUCUUAUCGCUCGGUGAGUCUAGCACACUUUCUCCCUAGGACUUUAGAUACUUUUUUUUUUCUUAAGUUGACACAUUCUUUCAUUUUGUUGUCACUUUCUGCUUGACAUUUUAGGAUAUGCUCAUUGAUUAUGCUCACAUUUUUACAUUCUUCACGUUUCAUGAGCUUGGUACUUCAUUCUUUGGUCGAUUUACCUAUUUUUAUUUUCAACCCGAUAUUUUCAUUACAGAAAGGUGAAAGAUAUGUUUUCACAUUCACACCAUUUUUAAGAGGUUUGCCUUUAUCACCUAAUCAUUUUUCUUUAUUGAGCUUGGGUUGAAAGUGAAUCAGAGAUAUUUUGUUAUAGAUGGAGUAUCGAUCUCAUGGUAGUGUUGUUUUUCACGCCUCAUUCAUUUUCUGGAUUAUUGAUAAAGAUUCUUUAGUCACAUUGUAGCCAUCUCACAGUGGACACCUUUAUGACCUUAGAGUUUAUGUCAUUUAUCCGGUUUUAGAUUGUCAUCAUAGAACCAUAUAUCAUAUGAUGUGUUGUACUUUUGACUUGGGACAUGUAUUCAUUUGCACAUUGUGGUCUUGAGGCCUAACCUAUCAUGGAGGAUAUUGAACUUAUUAGUCUAGGAUCGGAGAUUUGACCAAGGGAAUUUGAGACUAUGACCCAUCUUCUUAUCAUCAGAGCAAUACCUUACUCACUCCCACACCUAGACUUUGCUUCAACCUACAUCUACCUAUUGUGAAUUUUACACAACAUCACCCUUGACACCAUUACAUGACCUUUCCAUCCCUAGUUGUUCUAGCUUUGCAUAUCCUUUCUUUGAUUCGACCAAGUAGAGUGUGAGGAGUUUGAGCCCAGGGUUGAUCUUUCAUGGUAAGGGAUGACUUAUGAUCUUUGGGUGGCUUACGACGUGAGGAUUGGUCGAUUGUCUGAUGGGAUUGUCACUUAUUCUUCCAUCAGUAUAGAGAUUGAUUUUGUAUGAUGAGAGUUGGCUUGUGAUGAACAGUUGUGCCUUAUGAGAUCUUCAUUUACUUUGCUUUGAGAUGAUUAUCUUUUAGAUUAUUAUGGAGCAUUUGGAGUAAGGUUUGGUACACGAUUCCAGAGGGUUGAUGUGGUUAUAUCAAAUGGACAUUGAUCUUCAGUAUCGAUCAUUUAAGGGUUUGAGAACAUGAUGUUUGAGACCGUGGUUGUAGGAUGGGUGACCUUCAUUUCGGUUAGCUCACACCCUAUUACCUUUAUUGACAUCUAGACCAUUGCUAGCCCUUUGAGUCUCGCAUGAGCAUCAUAACCUUUUCUUUCUUAUAGCCUUACUUACCUUUUACACCGGGGUAGGGGCCCUCUGGUGUAUAUAUGCUUUAUUCGGAAGUCUCAUGAGCCAUGGACUUAUUGACUCAUCUUCUUCACUAUUUUUUUGUUAUCCUACCAUCAUUUUUCAUCAUACCUCUUUGUUUAUAUCCUUUGUCUUUGUCAUCGCAUUUCUCUCUAUGCCAUGAGUGAUGAUCUUUCACAUUUCAGUGCAUGGAUGACGGUCAUGUCCCCUUCCGUUCCUAUGUCAUGGACACUGGUUUGGAGAUCUUUAGUUGAGAAGGUCAUCUUAUCAAAGAGAGUUCAUGUACAUUAUUGUUUGAGAGUAUAUUCAUUUCAUUAUGUAUUCUCAGAGGAUCAUUGUCUUCUCCAUUAUUACAUACAUUAGUGAUUUGACUAUUCUCCAUGAUUUGAUUUGAGUGGAUUAGUGCUCAUUCAUUUUCCUUCGAUCUGUUUGUUCUUCUAAUGAUAUUUCAUUCGCCUUGCUUACAUUGUUCUCUGUUCAUAGUGAUUUACAUUCUAUGUUCGAUAUUUUUCAUACAUCAUUCUUGUACAUCCCAUUAGCAAUUCAAUAUAUUCCUUUCUUCUCUUUCAUCAUUGAUAUAUUCAUCUUUGAUUCUUUCUUCAUCAUUGAUAUAUUCAUAUUGGACAUCCUCAAAUCCAUGAUUUAUGAGACUCUCUGUACAUAUUGCAUUUUACACAUGAGGGUAUAAGGUUUUAUCAUUGGGAUUAUUGAGCCUAGUUUCCCUUCAUUUCUUCACCUUAUUACCCUAGCCUGUCACAUCUUGAGUCUUAAGACCACCCUAAGGCCAUGACAUCACACAUUGCGUUUAAUAGCUCUCACAUGGGCGAUACUUAGGAUCGGUUGGAGAGCAUUUUGAUUAUGAUGGUUCGGGAGUUGUGGUAUGACCCCACACUGGGGCAUAGCCACUUCAGAGAGUUUUUAUCGGGUAUGCGUCCAUUUUGCUUAAUACAUUCUAUUAGGACACACCUUUCUUGGUUCGGGGUUGAUUUUUUAGAUGACCAUUAUGUCGAGGCAUACUCUUCUUAGCUGAUGAUGGAUUUUGAGUCCUGGUCAUCCCUUUUAGGAUAUCAGAUGUCCUUUUUCACAUUGGAGCAUGAGACAUGAUUGGUAUAUUUCAUUUGGUGUACUUUACACAAGGGUAUAUUUCUUAGUUGAUGAUGGUUAGAACUAAUUCUUCUUUAAUCUAUUUUUUUUACCUAAGUAAGUCAUUGGAUAAACAUGUGAAAAUUGGCUUUUACAUGAAUAUAUGAAUGUGAAUCUAUGUCUCUUUGAUUUUGUAUUUUUGGUUAAUGGAUGCUUAUAGCUCACCUUUCACAAUACACACACUUACACUAAUAGAUGAUCACAUGUUUAGGCUUAAUUAGACACUUGCUUAGGACACUUUUGUAUCAUAAUUUGGCACCUAAAAUAGAUCACUAAUAGUUUUGUAUACAGCCGCACUUUAGGUUCACCUUUAGAUUCACAUUAGUUCACAUUCACACACUUUCACUUCUUUUUAUUAUUUGUUGUUUGAUAUCUCAUGUGUUUUAAUGAUUUUAAAAUUGUUUUCAACUCUUUCCAUAAAUAAAUCAAUCCUUCAACCUCAUUCAAAAUUCAUCAUUUGGUUAUUAGGUAUGAAAAUCUAUUUUUCAACAGUCAUGCUACAAAUUUCAAUCGAUAUGCAUUUUUCCAUUAUUUUUUAAAUGAAUUUCGAUUUUGAAAUACAUGAAAUAAAUUCAUGGCUCCACAUCAAUGGGGUAAUUCCUUACCUUGGUGGGCUUAUCUAUGAUCACAUGAGAUUAAGGAAGUAUGGAUAAUUUUCAUGGGCAUUACUUUGGCAAGUGGUAAAUCCCUACAUUCAAGUUUUUCAAGAACAAAUAUUCAAUUGUCUCUUGGGGUAAUUUGUUCAACCUUUGAAAUAAAAAAUUAAAUUAAGAUUAUUUAAAGCCUUCCUAAAAGUUUUAUAAUAAUUGAAUGAUGUUGUAGACUUCCUAAAUGUGUUAAUAUAGUUUUGUUUGAGUUCAAAAUCAUUUUUCAAUUAAUAGAUAUAAAUCAAUCUUUCUAUUGGUUCAUUUUCACUCUAUUCUAAACACUUGGAAUUUUUUUCUAAAAUUAAAUUAUUUAAUUCAUUAAUUCCUUUUUAUAUUUUUCCUUUAAUCUAGACUUCUUAAAUUUAAUCUUAGGCACCUAAAACACUCAAAACUGAUCCCCUAAGUAGGAAUUGUGUUUUUUGUUUUUUUGCUCCUAUUGUACAAGUUCUUUUCUAUAGUUAAGGGGAUGGUUUAUUAAUUCUAAAGAUGUUAUGUGUGUGAUCAUGCUUUGUGACUAUUUUUCAUGUAAACUAGUCAUAUUAAAUAGGUUGUAAAAUUUUUUUUUAAGACUUUCAAGCAUCUCUAAAUUAGUCAAAUAAAUUAACUUUUGCAUGUCAUUGAAAUAUGCUCUAUUCUAAACCAAUUGAAGUUUAUGAAAACUAGUAUUAAACAAAAUAUAAUUAAAUAAUUUGACCUUUUGGAUUGUAAUCUAGACACAUAGGAGAGGUUGCCUAAUUUUUUUCAUGACGAAAUCCCACUUCUAGAUAAUGUUUUAGGAUUUAUUUUAUAAACUCCUAUGUUCUGAUCACAUGAUGAUUAUUUUGUGUAGAAACCCAAUUGUGAUUUAAUUUGGUACUAAUUGGCAUAUAAUUAAUUAAUUUGAACUUGGGGAUUGUGAUAUAGACAUGUUAAAGAUGUUGCACAAUUUUUAUUUUGAUGAAAUAACACCUCCAGAUAUUUACUUGGAAUUUAUUUUGUAAAAACCUCUAUUCUACUUUGUUAAUGGUAUUUUGUAUAUUUUGAUAAUUUGAUCACUUUUGUGCAUUCUUGUGAGCUCUUUUGAUUAUUGAUUCACAUUGUAGAUAUAUUAUACACACUAGCUGAACCUUCCUUUAGAUCAAAAUUCUUUAUUUAAUAUUUUAUACAAACUAAUUUUUGAAAGUGAACACAUGAUUAACUAAUUCUAAAAUUUUAAGCAUGAUUACUAUAUCUUGUUUCCUUGUCAUCUUUUACUUCAUGAUUUGAGAUAUGUUAUAUAUUAUGUUGUGGGAUUUGAUUCAUGCCUAAUUGGUGUGCCAGCUGAUUCGUGUCCAGCUGGUGCUCCUUGUUUGAGGGAGUAAUCAACAAAAUUUAUAACCUAUAACACCAUAUACUAGGGUAGCAAAGAAAAAGCUACUAUAGUAUAGUGACUCUAGGAUCGUUCACUGGGAAGGAUUAACAAGCUAUCAAUGAUACCAAUUCAAAGUGAAUUGGUCUUGUUUCAUUUCAAGGUUAGCUUAAGAAAUAAAACACAAACUUUGAUUGGUAAAGAUUUAGACUUAAACUAACUAACACAACAAGUAAUGGGAAUAACUUAGGAAGAAAAACAUUCCUUGGAGAGUUAGGUUUACUGGGGUGGUUCCUCAUGCAAAAGACAUAGCUCCGGUCAGAUGGUUCAUUUCCUCGCGUUAGAGAUUCAACAUAUAGUCACUUCUCUAACCGGUUUUGUACAGAUACAUCCUUUAAUUAGAUUUCAACUUUAAUUCUCUCACUGAUGCAACUUGCAAUGGUUCAAGCCUCUCACUAAGCCUUAACCAUUCAAGGUGAUCUUUAACCUUGGAAUUCCCUUCUCAAGCUCGCAAGAGAUAACUAAUGGAUGUCUCCUUGGAGUCCAAAAGCUUACCAAGUGUUGGAAAUUCCAAAAAAUCCUACCUUAAAGUCACCUCCCAGAUGCUCGCAAGGGGUAAACUAGUGCAUUUCCAUGGUUGGAAAUCACUUGCCUUACCAAGUGUUGGCCCAGGUGACUCUAAGGUGUUUUAAGUUAACUAAAAACAUAGAAAUCCCUAAAGGAUUUCACUUCCUCUUCAUUACUGGCUGAAACCACAAAGUUUGCAUUCUUGCACUUGGAACCUUCCCCGGCAACCUUAGCUCCAAGGAAUUAGAGGUUUAGUUACUCAUUCUCUUGGGAAAACUCCUCAGAGAGUUCAUAACUUAGUAAGAAAAUAAAAAUACAAAGUGAGAAGGUAAGGCAAUACAAAGAACUGAACUUUACUUGCUUACCCAAAACUUUACAAAAGGAUCUCCUCUCUGAGAACAGGCUCCCGAGAGGUACUUAUAUGAACAUAAUAUAAAACUAAUUAUUACAUAGAUAUUUUCUCUUUUUACUAACUUAAAAGCUAAGGAAUCUUGUAAUUGGUGGCUUACAAGGAGUAUUUUGGGAUUUAGACAACAAAAAUCUGAUGUAAAAUAUCUCCCAAUGUCGGUAGCAAAUAUCGGGAUGCUCCAGGAACCAUUUCGCAAGAGAAAAUGGUGUCUGCGAGAUUUCGCAGACACUCAAGAAGGGCUGCGAAAUCACUUCGCAACAAAAAGCUAUUCUCGCAGGGCUGCGAAGUUGGCUUCCACCUUGAGGUUCUCAGCUCCCAGCUUGCGGCAUAUAUCGGGCAACUUCAGAGGGAAAUACACCCUACUGUACAAAAAGGCUGCGAAAUCACUUCGCAACAAAAGGUUGAUUUCGCAGCACUUUGCAAAAUGCUUCCUUCAGCUUGGAGUGAUUGGCUUCCACUGGCUGCAACUUCUUCGUUUCAACUCUGAAUUGCACACUGUUUGAAGCAUUGGAUUGUUGACUUCUUGAGCUUUGAAAUGGUAUAUAGCAUGUAUCAAUUGGACUCCAAAAAAUGCUCCAAAAGUGGCUGCUACGACUGUCAUCAAGAAUAUGCUUCAUGGCAGAUUCUCUUUACUUUUUCUCCUUGCAUUCUGGAUUCACUCUUGGCAAAUGACUUCCAAGCUUUGCCCAAGAUUCCUCAUAAUUCUCCUCAAUCUUGAAUUGCUUUGGUGAUCAAAAUACUAACAAAAACACCAAAACUUACAUAAAGUGAUUAAAAUUGCUUUCAAGGGUCUUUAACAUGCCAAUUGAGUUAAAAGGCCAAAACUACUACUCAAAAGUGUUUAAAAGGAUUAAUUGUAGGCUAUCAAAUGGCACUUUUUGAGUAGUAAUCACUCCCCCCAACCGACAUAUUGCUAGUCCCUUAGCAAUAUAGGAGAGAAAAAUUGAAAAUAAAAAACAAACUAACCUAUAAUGUACAACAUCAUGCUGAUCAAAAACAAUUCUCAAGUGGCAUGAUGAUCUAAUUCUCUCAUGAAACAUUAAAGAAAUAUAAAAGCAAAUUUCAACAAGAGUUAUAACAAACUAUGCUAAACACUAUCAAACAAGGGAAUGCAUUAUGCAAACUGAAGUUUUAAAAUCAUUUCCACUUUCAAAGAACCAAACGUUAUUCUUCCUCAAAAAUCUAUGUGUAUUGGUUCCUUAGCUUCUGAGAAUAAUAUGCUAAACUAAUCUCUCCCCCCAACCUAUCUCUUUUCAACACUUAGCAAACUGACCAAAAUCAAUAAAGAAAGAACACACUUUCUCUUUUUUUUUUUUUUUAGAAGGGGCUUAAUGGGGUACUCUUUCUGAAUUGUCCAUGUAAUGGGGGUCCAUUGAUGACUCCCAACCAAUUAAGGUUUAGGGCACCAAGCUUUAAGGAUCUUUCAACCACUAACUCCUCGGAUUUUUCCCCGGACUUUUGAGAAUGAAUUUCUAAUACCCAAGCACCUACCACAUGCUAACUCCACCUAUCCACCCUUGUAACGAGCAUUGAGGUCGGUGACUCCCAACCAAUUAAGGCUUAGGGCACCAGGCUUCAAAGAUUUUCACCAUAUACCCCUCAGACCUUGCUCGGGUUUUAAGGCAAGAAAACAACUUUCUUUAUUUCAAAGGCUCAUUGGCCUUUUGCAGGGUGUUUCAAUUUUAUCAAAUGAGGUCAAAUAUACCAAGUCCCAAAAUUAUCCUAAGUCGAGAGGGAAAUAGCUUUUCAUGUUAUAAUCGGAAUCUAAUGUGCACAGUGUGUGAAUAGCUUAAAGUGGAAGAACUAAAUUCAAUUUCAAUAGAAGCUUCAACAAUUGAACCACUUUAGUGAGCAUAAUCCAUACUCUAAGUCAAGUGAAAAGCAACAGUUCAAUUUCUCCUGUUUUAAUUUGAAAAUUUUUCCUCAAGAUUCAUGGAGAAUAGAGUAAAAAGAUUAAAAAGCAAAAACUACAACUAAUUUACCAAAAUAAUUGCAUUACUAAAAAGGCUUAGCAUACUUCCUUUAAUUUAGCAUAACUUCCUUCCUCAUUCCCCCCCAACUGAACUGAGCAUUGUCCUCAAUGUGAUAUGAGUGAUUGUAAUUAAAGAGAGGAAGGGGUACCUCCUGAGUGAUAUCAAAUUCGAAUACUGAUUGGAGAAACCACAUGUUUCAAAAAGAAUAGAAUAUGUGAGAAAAGGAAAUAAGGAUAACUUAAUGCUAAAGGUUAACAAGAAAUAUUAAACUUGUAUUACUUUGAAUCCAUUUAAGUACAAUGUAAAAGAAAAGCAAUACAAGCAAUCCCAAAUAUAGUACCAAAAUAAUGGGAUUUCUUUCCAACUAAAAAAAAAACGAAAUACAUAAAAGAAUAUAUAUAUAUAUAUAUAUAUAUAUAUUCUGAUGAGUGGGUGGUGCUGGGGCUAGGCAGAUGGGUCUGCCUCUUCAGCUGGUGCUUCAGAUGGGGCCUGAGGCUCUGCUGGAUGAGAGUGUGGCACUGCUGUGGUAGAUGUGGAGGGCUCAACAGCUGGUGACAGGUCGAAAUGAAGCUGGAGCUGCCUUAAGAUGGCAGUGUGUUGAGCCUGAGUGGCCAACAUCUGCUCUUGGCAUGCUCUAAUGGCUGCCAUCUCUUGAGCAAGACUGCUCUGAGAUGCUGUGAGGGUCUCCAAUGAAUGGCACAACUCUCUGUAUUCAGAAAUGGGAAUGACCAUCCUCGGUUCAACUGAAGUGGAUGGCUGAGAUGAAGCUGGAGCAGCUGGUGGAGCUCUGGGAAUGGCAGGAGCAGCAACUGUUAUACCCUCAGGUAUGUGUCAUGGGGAUGCUCUCCUAGCAGCUGGCUGUGGCCGCUCAGGCUGGUCAACUCUAUAAGCUGUCAUGUUGUUCCAUUUGUCGAGAGUAAAUAGCUCACGACAAAUGCGUUUGUGCUCCAACUGAGGCUCAAAAGGAUACCCCAAGUGCUCCAGAAUUUGGUAUAGCAGCCUUGGAAAGAGGAGGGGAAUGGUAUCAGCCCUCUGAAGCUUCUUUUUGUGUACUUUCUCUUCGAAAUAGAGAAGGGCUGUCAGAAUUAGAUGAUGAGGCCCAAAGAAAAAUCCCUCAGACAUCUUGUACAGGGCUUCUAAGAGGACUCCUCUUCUUUGAGUCCAAUGCUGCAAUGGAUAGAGGUUAUGACGCAAAAAUGCAUCAAUCAGAAACAUGAUUGGAGGAAGCUCCCCCUCAACAGAUGUGAUCGCGUAGCAGCUCCUCUGGACAGGGUGUGCACCAUCUCUAGUUCAGUAUGACUGGUCCAAGCUUUAAAAUUAUCGAAUUGGCUUGGCUCGUAGGGAAUUUGCAAGGCUUCAGCUAUAUGGCGAGCUCCCAGCAUGCCAUGCCUCCCAUCAAUAGUGAAAUGAAUUAAAGUUGGAUCCCUGACCUGUUUGGUUGUCAUGGAUUGAUAGAAAUCCAUGGCUAUCCUGGGGUAGAAAAAGUCUCUUGGAGUCAGUAGGUGCUCCAUGUGGUAUCUCCUCAGCAAGUUGAAUGACUGUGCAAGCUCCGACUGAAAUCGGAAUGUGGCUAUGUCAAAGCAUAGCUCGGAGUGGAAUAACCGACCUCUACAAUCCAAAUUUCCCUCAAUUGGGGGCUGAGUUAGCAUUGGCCGCCUGAUUACUUCUUCCAGAGCUAUUUCAGAUGGAAUUUGGGGCUCGGGAAGUGGCGGCUGAGGCUCCUGUGGUUCUGCUUGCGGCGCCGGAGAUGGCACCGGAGGCUGAAUUGGCGAGGGAAUCGGCGAGAGAAUUGGAGUUGGAACCGGCGAGGGCUCUGGAGAUUGCUCAGUCAAGUCAAUGGGUUAUGAGCUUUCAACCCUGGGUCUCUUUUGCAGUGGCCGACCCCCUGACUUGGUAAGGUAACGCCUUGCCGGAGGCUUUGGCGGCGCGGACUUCACCGGAGGAGGAACUGCUCUUGGCUGCGAAGGCUCAGAAAUUGGCUCCUUUCGCAAGCUUUUCUUGCGGCUUGAAGGAGAGGAAGACUUGGCCCCUCUGGUUCAGGCCAUUUCGGGUUGCCGAAAUUUGGCCGGAACGGAUGAUCGGGGAAGAUGACUGGAGGCUUGCGCGGUGAGGCUCAAGGAAGGAGAUGAACAGCCUGCGAGAAUGGCGCGCUCUAUUUUGAAACCCUUUUCGCAGCUCAAAUGACCGGUAUAUAUAGUAAUAACGGAAGACUAAGGGUCAGUUUGAGUUUCGCAGAAAAAUGUCAAUUUCGCAGCAAAACGCCAUUUUCGCAGCCACUUCGCAAUGCGUUUCGCAGCUGCGAAAUGAAUGUAACUGUGCUGCGAAGUGGCACACGUGUGCCAAAAUCGCUUUCGCAAUUGCGAAAUACCCUAUGGAAUGGGACUUUUGUUGCGAAAUCUGGGCUUUACCGCUUCGCAACUGCAAAAUGGGGGCUCCUGUGCUGCGAAGUGGCACUCGUGUGCCAAACUCGCCUUUGCAGCUGCGAAAAUUCUCGCAGAGAAUCCCAAAGUGUUGCGGAAUGGUUUGGCAACAAAAUGCUCAAUUCGCAGAAUAUUUCUUUAGGUUGCGAAAUCUCGCAGAGCUCUGUUUUUGCUCUGUUUUUACUCUGUUUUUGCUCCGAUUUCGCUCCGAUUUUUUUCUUUCAAUUUCUUUGCAUUUUCUUCCACCUGGGAUCAUUCAAAAAGAUUAAAACACACAUAAAAACAUGAUUUAAGAUCAAAAACUAAGAUCAAAAGUAUGGAAAAAAACUUGGAAAUUUACAAAAUUUACAAAAAUUUUGGACUGUGGUAAAACCACGUCCACCAAAACCUUCUUUGCUUAGGCUUUUUGUGGUUCAAGGAGGUUUAUUUCCUCCUUUUCUGGUUUGAAUGGCUCCAUGAAUGGCUUGAGACAAUAUCCAUUGACUCUAAAGGUGUCUUUGCCAUUGGAAUUCAAUAAUUCCACCACUCCAUUAGCAAAUAUUCGGUGAAUAAUGAACGGGCCUAUCCACCUUGACUUGAGCUUCCCAGGAAAGAUAUGGAGUCUUGUGUCAUACAGUAAAACUCUUUGCCCUUUCUGAAAUUCCUUGUUGGAGAUUAGUUGAUCAUGCCACUUCUUCAUCCUCUGUUUUGCAACUUUGGAAUUGAUAUAAGCAUUAUUUCUUAAUUCCUCCAUCUCAUUAAGGUCUAGAUAUCUCUUUUCUCCGGCUCUGAUCAAGUCCAUGUUCAGCUUCUUUAUUGCCCACCAAGCUUUGUAUUCAACUUCCAUAGGGAGAUGACACGCUUUGCCAUAGACAAGACGAUAGGGAGACAUGCCAAGAAUAGUCUUAUAAGCUGUUCUAUAUGCCCACAAUGAAUCAUGAAGCUUAAUAGACCAAUCCUUUCUGCUGGAGUUCACUACUUUCAUCAAUAUAUUCUUUAUUUCCCUGUUAGCUAGCUCAACUUGCCCGGAAGUCUGAGGAUGAUAAGGUGUAGCCACCUUAUGCUUCACUCCAUACUUGGAUAACAGAGCUUCAAAAGGUUUGUUGCAAAAAUGAGCACCUCCAUCACUGAUUAUGGCUUUGGGCACCCCAAAUCUUGAGAAAAUGUUCUCUUUAAGAAACUUGAGAACCACCCUGUGAUCAUUUUGUUUACAGGGGAUUGCCUCAACCCAUUUAGAAACAUAAUCCACCCCCACCAAGAUGUAAGAAUUACCAAAAGACAUUGGGAAAGGUCCCAUGAAGUCAAUGCCCCAUACAUCAAAUAACUCAACUAUUAGAAUGGGGUUCAUAGGCAUUUGAUUUCUUUUUGUUAACUUUCCAAGCCGUUGGCAUCUAUCACAACUCCUACACAUGAUGUGGGCAUCUUUAAAAAGAGAUGGCCAAGUAAACCUUGAUUGCAAUACCUUCAUGGCUGUUUUCUGAGAGGCAAAGUGGCCUCCACAUGCAUUCUCAUGACAAUGAGAUAGAAUCCCUUGCUGCUCAUCUUCAGGGACACACUUCCUUAUUAUCUGAUCUGCACAAUACUUAAAAAGAAAGGGCUCUUCCCAAUAAUAAGCAUGAAUUUUGGCAAAGAAGUGUUUCCUGUCCUGUGCAUUCCACUCACUUGGAAUUUCACCAGUUACUAAAUAAUUAGUAAUAUGAGCAUACCAAGGAGUUUUCACUAGGAACAUGAGUGAUUCUUCAGGAAAAUCAUCAUUAAUAGGCAAAGGAUGGGAAUUAUGUGUUAUAACUAACCUCGAAAGGUGGUCAGCUACCACAUUCUCCACUCCUUUCUUAUCUUUGAUUUGGAGAUCGAAUUCUUGUAACAGAAGAAUCUAUCUAAUCAACCUUGCUUUUGCAUCUUGCUUUGUCAAUAAAUACUUCAAGGCUGAAUGGUCAGUGAAGACAAUGAUGAAAGACCCCACUAAAUAAGCACGAAAUUUGUCCAAAGCAAAUACCACAGCUAACAAUUCUUUCUUUGUAGUUGUGUAGUUCCUUUGAGCUUCAUUCAAUGUUUUACUUGCAUAGUAAAUCACAUAGGGCUUCCCGUCUUCUCUUUGGCCAAGCACAGCUCCUAUAGCAAAGUCACUGGCAUCACACAUCAGUUCAAAAGGUAAUUGCCAGUUAGGGGCUCUCACUAUUGGAGUUGUUGUUAAAAAUUUCUUCAAUUGAUCAAAGCUAACAACUCACAAAGAGGUUUUGAAAGACUUGAAAAACCUUUAAUAAAUCUCCUAUAGAACCCUGCAUGGCCAAGGAACUGCCUUACUCCUUUUACAGUUGUUGGGGAUGGUAAUUUGACAAUAAGCUCCACCUUUGAUUUAUCAACUUCAAUGCCUUUUUCAGAGAUGAUAUGGCCAAGGACAAUUCCUUGACGUACCAUAAAAUGACAUUUCUCCCAGUUGAGCACCAGGUCUUUUUCAAUGCAACUGUGAAGAACUGCUUCCAAAUUAACUAAGCAUUCCUCAAAUGUACCUCCAUAUACGAUGAUGUCAUCCAUGAAAACCUCCAUAAUUCGCUCCACCAUAUCACUGAAAAUACUCAACAUACAUCUUUGAAAUGUAGCAGGUGCAUUGCAUAAACCAAAAGGCAUUCUCCUGUAAGCAUAUGUUCCAAAUGGACAUGUAAAAGUGGUCUUUUCCUGAUCUGCCACAUCAAUUUCAAUCUGAAAAUACCCUGAAUACCCAUCCAAGAAGCAAUAGAACGGAUGUCCAGAGACUCUCUCCAGCACUUGGUCAAUAAAUGGCAAUGGAAAAUGAUCUUUCCUGGUUACAACAUUCAACUUUCUAUAAUCAAUACACACCCUCCAACCUGAAGUGAGGCGUGUAGUAAUUUCUUCUCCUUUUUCAUUUUGAACCACUGUGAUCCCUGACUUCUUUGGUACCACUUGAGUAGGACUCACCCAAGGGCUAUCAGAUAUAGGGUAAAUGAUUCCUGCUUGAAGUAGCUUCAGCACCUCAGCUCGCACCACCUCUUGUAGAUGAGGAUUCAAUCUUCUUUGAAGUUGACGAAUUGGCUUUACUUCCUCCUCCAUAUAUAUAUGAUGAGUAAAACUAAAGGACUAAUGCCUUUCAAGUCGGAUAUUUGCCAUCCUAUUGCCUUCUUACACCUCUUGAGAACUUCUAUUAAACAAUUCUCUUGAUGAUUGGUCAGAGAUGAAGAUAUCACAACAGGACAUUGAUUAUUUUCUUCAAGAUAUUUAUAUUUCAGCUCCACAGGUAGAGGCUUCAGAUUGAGUUUUGGAAUUUCUUUUUCAGCAGCUGCCUCUUCUUCUUUAUUGAACAAAGGUAGAAUCUCUUCUAUCUUUCUCCAACUUUGUAGAGUAGCAAGCACAGUAGGAGAUUUAGACAAACCUUCCUCAAAAUCUACAAGACUUUCGUUCAACUUGUCUUGCAUAUUUUGAUUACAGUGCUCCUCCACCAAAGUAUCAAUAAUGAAUAGCUCUUCUGGACCUUCUUCUUCUUCUGGAGUGAUUUGCUUUUUAGACAUAUAGAAAAUAUUGAGAUCCAGUGUCAUGUUGCCAAAAGUGAGUUGCAUCAGCCCAUUCCUGCAAUUGAUGAUUGCAUUUGAGGUAGCAAGAAAUGGCCUUCCAAGGAUGAUAGGAACUAAAUUAGCUUCCUUUACAGUAGGAUCUGUAUCAAGAACAAUAAAAUCUACUGGAUAGUAGAAAUUAUCCACUUGAACCAAGACAUCCUCAAUUACCCCCCUUGGAAUUUUUACUGAUCUAUCUGCUAGAGAUAGAGUGAUUGCUAUUGGCUUCAAUUCCCCAAGUCCCAAUUGCUUAUAGACGGAAUAUGGAAGCAAAUUCACACUUGCCCCCAAAUCUAACAAGGCUUUUUCCACUAUCUUUCUUCCAAUCAUGACUGAAAUGGUAGGACUUCCCAGGUCUUUGUACUUCAAAGGAGACUUACAUUGUAAGAUUGCACUUACUUGCUCAGUCAAGAAGGCUUUCUUGUUUACAGUCAACCCUCUUUUGAUAGUACAUAAGUCCUUAAGGAAUUUUGCAUACGUUGGAACUUGUUUAAUCAUAUCUAGCAGUGGAAUAUUGACUUUCACUUGUCUCAAUACUUCAAGGAUUUCAGCUGCAUUUCUAAUUUCCUUUUUCCCAUGUAAUGCUUGAGGAAAAGGUGGAGAGGUUGAUUUCUUCAGCAUUUCUUCCUUCAGAAGUUCCUUCUCUGGAAUUGCAUUCAUUGUUGAAUCAGAGUCCUUCGUUUCUUCACUAAUCUCAUUCUCUUUAUCUUCCAUUUCCUUCCAUUUCUUUAUCUCUUCCUCUUUCUCCACAUAUGGCUCGGGUGUUGGCUUCUCAAUUUUUUUACCACUCCUUAGAGUGAUCAAGGCUUUGACAUCUUUCGUCUGCGAUGAUUCUCCCUCUUGGAUUUCCACUUCAUAGACACCUUUGGGGUUCUGGUGGGGUUGAGAAGGAAAUCUUCCCUUUUCUUGCAGUGUAUUCAAAUUUGUAAGCCUUGAAAUUGAAUAUUGGAUGUUAUCAAACUUUUGGUUCAUAUCAUUUUGCAUUCCAUCCAUCCUUUUAUUCAACAUACUCUCCACUCUGUCAAUUCUUUGAUAGAUUUGAGCAUUGGUGGCUUCUUGGUUUCCAAUAAAAUCUCCCACUACCUUGCUGAGAUUAGUCAUUGCUUGUUCAAGACUUGAAGAUUGUUGAGAUGGUGGAUCCGACUGUUGGUAUUGAGUUGCUCUGGCCUUCCAUGAGAAAUUUGGAUGAUUCCUCCAACUUGAGUUGUAGGUAUUUCCAUAAGGCGCAUUGUUAUUGGGUCUGAAUUGUCCAACAACAUUUGCUUGAUCUCUAAACAUUUCCCUUUCAGCUGAAAUUGCAGGGCAUUCCUCCACCAAAUGUUCAUAUGAUUGACAAUUAGGACACAACUUCACUUGCACUGAUGCUUCAGCAACAGCUUGCACUUCAUGAAUUCUUUUCAGCUCCAGCUCCUCCAAUCUUCUUGUCAUAGCUGCCAACUUUGCUUUCAUAUCAUCAUCUUCUUUCAAGGUAUACAUCCCAGCCUUUGCAUUGAAAGCACUUAGUUGAGACUUCAUCUUACCCACUUCUCCUUUGGUUGGUUCAUCCCAUCCCCUUGAAACAUCAGCUACAUAGCUCAAGAAAUCCAUAGCUUCCUCUGGAUUUUUGCUCAUGAAAUCUCCUCCACACAUUGUCUCGAGGAGUUGCUUCAUUGAGGAGGACAUACCAUCAUAAAAAUAGCUCACCAGUAACCAAGUAUCAAAGCCAUGGUGAGGGCAAGCAUUUAUAGCUUCCAUAUAUCUUUCCCAACACUCAUAGAAUUUUUCAUUCUCUUUAGCUGAGAAGUUUGAAAUUUGCCUUUUCAAGCCAUUUGUUCUAUGAGUGGGAAAAAAUUUCUUGAGGAAUUCAACUUGUAAGUCAGUCCAAGAACGGAUACUCCUUGGCCUUAAAGAAUUAAGCCAAAUUUUGGCUUUAUCCUUUAAAGUAAAAGGAAAUACAUCAAAUCAAUUGAAGCUCCUCCCUCUUGGAAUGUAUUACAAACAUCUUCAAAUUCCUUGAUGUGUGCAUACGGAUUCUCACUUUCCAUCCCAUGGAAAGUUGGUAGAAGUGGAACAAGAUACGGUCUGAUCACUAGCUGCUCUGUAGGGGGCACUAUACAUGAUGGUGCACUCAUACGAGGUGGAUGCAUGCGGUCCCUCAUUGAUCUGAAUUCAUUGAGAUUGUCUUGAUGACCUUGGUGACUAUGCUGAUCUUCAGGUGUAGCUUCCACGAUAUUCAAGCUCAAUUCGAAUUCGUUGUUAUGAGGUGUAUCACACUUAAAAAGCCUUCCUCCAUUGUCUCGUAUCCACUUUGGCAUACACAACUAGUAUCUAUCUACAACUUAAAUGAAAAUAAAGGACAACAACAGAAACAGGGCUACAACAACAAAAUUAAAAUAGGCUAAAUUUAAAAGAUAAACUUGGAUUAUGAAUAAAUAAAGAAAGAAUGAGAAUUAGUAAAGUGAAAGAAACGUUACCAAACUUGUGAUGGAAAUCACAAGUGCUCAAAAAUGGUAUCACUAUAAAAUUGACACCUUCCUCGGCAACGGCGCCAUUUGAUUCAUGCCUAAUUGGUGUGCCAGCUGAUUCGUGUCCAGCUGGUGCUCCUUGUUUGAGGGAGUAAUCAACAAAAUUUAUAACCUAUAACACCAUAUACUAGGGUAGCAAAGAAAAAGCUACUAUAGUAUAGUGGCUCUGGGAUCGUUCACUGGGAAGGAUUAACAAGCUAUCAAUGUUACCAAUUCAAAGUGAAUUGGUCUUGUUUCAUUUCAAGGUUAGCUUAAGAAAUAAAACACAAACUUUGAUUGGUAAAGAUUUAGACUUAAACUAACUAACACAACAAGUAAUGGGAAUAACUUAGGAAGAAAAACAUUCCUUGGAGAGUUAGGUUUACUGGGGUGGUUCCUCAUGCAAAAGACAUAACUCCGGGCAGAUGGUUCAUUUCCUCGCGUUAGAGAUUCAACAUAUAGUCACUUCUCUAACCGGUUUUGUACAGAUACAUCCUUUAAUUAGAUUUCAACUUUAAUUCUCUCACUGAUGCAACUUGCAAUGGUUCAAGCCUCUCACUAAGCCUUAACCAUUCAAGGUGAUCUUUAACCUUGGACUUCCCUUCUCAAGCUCGCAAGAGAUAACUAAUGGAUGUCUCCUUGGAGUCCAAAAGCUUACCAAGUGUUGGAAAUUCCAGAAAAUCCUACCUUAAAGUCACCUCCCAGAGGCUCGCAAGGGGUAAACUAGUGCAUUUCCAUGGUUGGAAAUCACUUGCCUUACCAAGUGUUGGCCCAGGUGACUCUAAGGUGUUUUAAGUUAACUAAAAACAUAGAAAUCACUAAAGGAUUUCACUUCCUCUUCAUUACUGGCUGAAACCACAAAGUUUGCAUUCUUGCACUUGGAACCUUCCCCGGCAACCUUAGCUCCAAGGAAUUAGAGGUUUAGUUACUCAUUCUCUGGGAAAACUCCUCAGAGAGUUCAUAACUUAGUAAGAAAAUAAAAAUACAAAGUGAGAAGGUAAGGCAAUACAAAGAAUUGAACUUUACUUGCUUACCCAAAACUUUACAAAAGGAUCUCUUCUCUGAGAACAGGCUCCCGAGAGGUACUUAUAUGAGCAUAAUAUAAAACUAAUUAUUACAUAGAUAUUUUCUCUUUUUACUAACUUAAAAGCUAAGGAAUCUUGUAAUUGGUGGCUUACAAGGAGUAUUUUGGGAUUUAGACAACAAAAAUCUGAUGUAAAAUAUCUCCCAAUGUCGGUAGCAAAUAUCGGGAUGCUCCAGGAACCAUUUCGCAAGAGAAAAUGGCGUCUGCUAGAUUUCGCAGACACUCAAGAAGGGCUGCGAAAUCACUUCGCAACAAAAAGCUAUUCUCGCAGGGCUGCGAAGUUGGCUUCCACCUUGAGGUUCUCAGCUCCCAGCUUGCGGCAUAUAUCGGGCAACUUCAGAGGGAAAUACACCCUACUGUACAAAAAGGCUACGAAAUCACUUCGCAACAAAAGGGUGAUUUCGCAGCACUUUGCAAAAUGCUUCCUUCAGCUUUGAGUGAUUGGCUUCCACUAGCUGCAACUUCUUCGUUUCAACUCCGAAUUGUGUACCGUUUGAAGCAUUGGAUUGUUGACUUCUUGAGCUUUGAAAUGGUAUAUAGCAUGCAUCAAUUGGAAUCCAGAAAAUGCUCCAAAAGUGGCUGCUACGACUGUCAUCAAGAAUAUGCUUCAUGGCAGAUUCUCUUUACUUUUUCUCGCAUUCCGGAUUCACUCUUGGCAAAUGACUUCCAAGCUUUGCCCAAGAUUCCUCAUAAUUCUCCUCAAUCUUGAAUUGCUUUGGUGAUCAAAAUACUAACAAAACACCAAAACCUACACAAAGUGAUUAAAAUUGCUUUCAAGGGUCCUUAACAUGCCAAUUGAGUUAAAAGGCCAAAACUACUACUCAAAAGUGUUUAAAAGGAUUAAUUAUAGGCUAUCAAAUAGCACUUUUUGAGUAGUAAUCAGGAUUUAGCCUAUGUUUUUAUAUUCAUUAUCAUUAUUUGUGAAUUAACUCAAUCUUCUUAUGAAAGCGUUUUAUAUGCUAUCAAGGUAUGCUUCCUCUUUUCCCUAUCUCCUUGUUUCUAUUAGUGUGUAUAUUCUAUUCUCGUGAUUGAUCUAUCUUGUCUCACUACUACAAAAAUAAUUUAUGAUGUCACUAUUUAUGGUGUCGCAUUUAUAAAUAAUGACACCAUUGAGCUUAAAAUUUAUAAAGGUGACACAUCAUAUAAAAAAUCUUCAAUUAGGGUAGUUAGAUGAUGCUAAUUUCAUAUUUAUGGUGUCAUUUUUUGGAAGUGACACCAUAUGAAAUAAAAAAAUUUUAAAUUUUAUAACUCAAUGAGCCCUUUUUUAAAAUAGUGAAUAGGAAUAAUUUAUGAAAAGUCCAUUGUUUCCAUAUAUACAUUAACUAAUAUAAAAGAUCUUAUUGCUUAACCCUAACCAUUGUUUUCUUCUCCUUCUUAUCACACCCAUGGUCGGCACACCCAUAAUUGAUAUUCUUUGCUUCGUAAAAUCUCGGGUAAGUCAAAACCCUUAUCUAUCAUCUUCAUUUUUUUUUAUUAAUGCAAAAAUCUUUGUUAAUAUAAUUGUUUUAUAUCUCUUGAUUUAGUAUAUAUAUGAUGUGGGUUUUGUAAAUGGUGUUUUUAUCGAGUUCCAGGGAAGUAAAAACUAGGUUUAACAUUCUAACAUAUUUUUCGUUUCAUUGCUAAUAAGCCCCAAAACAAAUGAAAACAAGAAAAAUGAAUGAUUUUUAAAAUUUUUGUCUAAUUGAGAAUGAGAGAUACACUAGUUUGUAGUAAUUUUUCACAUGAAAUAAUAUUUUAUUGAAGACUUGACUAUAUAGUGUAUUGGUUGUAAUUUUUCACAUGUGAAAAUAUUUUAUUGAAGACUUGACUAUAUUUGAUACCUUUUUCCAUCGUGCUAGGAGCUUUAUGGUGAAGUCUAACAACAGAGAUUGACAUCUACUACAAGAUGAUGCUCAAUUAAUCCAAAAGCACUUAAGCUAUUUAGGGUUUUCUUCGGUUAACCUAAGAAAACAUUCCCACUUUCUUUGUAUUGAGUCACCUAAAUGGAAUAGAAUAUUGAGUAUCAGAGUGGUAAAGGGUAUUAUAAAUAUGACUUUUUUUUUAGAGUCACCUACAUGGAAUGAAUUAUUGGUAGGUGAACAAAAUAUUGGGAUGAUUGUAAUAGUUGAAUUAGUAAAUGGAAGAGAAGUGUAUGUUGCUUUGUUUAUUCUAUAAAAACAAUAAUUUUAGUAGUUGAAAUUUACAUGCUUUGUUGUUUUAUAAAAACAAUAAUUUUAGUAUUUGAAAUUUUAAAAUGUGAAUGAAAUGCCUGAAAAUAUGUUUUGAAAAAUAGGAUAGUAAUAAAUGGAAAAUAGCUCAUUUCCUAAAAAUAUUUUGAUAAAUUAAAAUAAUCUGUGGUUAAAAUAUAUUUUUGUGAAAGUAUUUAAAAAUGAAUCAAAAUAUUAAUAAUUGUUAUUUUGUUUGAAAGUAAUUUAGGAAUAUAAAAUAAUAUUGGGGAUAACUUUUAAGUUUAAAUUGGGUUAUAAAUGGUUAAUUUUUUUAGGACUAUCUUUUUUGAAAAUAAUCCAGUGAUAAUUUUUUAAAAUAAGAAUGUUGAAAAUAAUUUUAAAAAUAAAAUUUUGUUAGCAAUGAUUUUUCUAAAAGUAUUUUAGGCAUAAAUGGAAAUUUCUUGUAUGAAAAUAAGAGAAUUUAUAUAUAUAUAUAUAUAUAUAUAAUAGACAUAAAAAUAUGCAAAUGCGACUCGGAGGUGAACAAGACUCAACUCAAUCUGACAAAACAAUGACCGAUCGAUAUAGGUGUGGUCCCGACUCAAAUUGAACACAAACGGAUAGAAAGAUGGUCGAUCAAUAUGGGUGCGGCCCCAACUCAAACUGACACGACGAAUGACCAAUCGAUAUAGGUGCGGUCCCAACUCAAACUAAAUCGAAACUGACAAGAUGAAUGACCGAUCGAUAUAGGUGUGGUCCCAGAAACUGAACUAACAUGACAAGGAGAUGACCGAUUGAUAUAGGUGUGGCCCCAAACUCAGACUAACACGGAAAAUGACCGAUCGAUAUAGGUGCGGCCCUAAACGCAAACUGACAAGACAGUGACCGAUCGAUAUAGGUGCGGUCCCGACUCGAACUGAACAUAAACUGAUAGAAAGAUAGCCGAUCGAUAUAGGUGCGGCCCCGAAAACUCAAACUGACACGACGAAUGACCGAUUGUUAUAGGUGCGGUCCCAACUCAAACUAAAUUGAAACUGACAAGAUGAAUGACCGAUCGAUAUAGGUGCAGUCCCGACUCAAACUAAACACGAAAAGUGAUAGGAACAUGGCCAAUCGAUAUAGGUGCGGCCCCGAAACUCAAACUGACAUGAAAAUUGACCGAUCGAUAUAGGUGCGGUCCCGACUCAAACUGAACAUGAAAAGUGAUAGGAACAUGGCCGAUCGAUAUAGAUGCGGCCCCAAAACACAAACUGACAUGGAAAAUGACCGAUCGAUAUAGGUGCGGUCCCGACUCAAACCGAACACGAAAAAUGAUAGGAACAUGGCCGAUUGAUAUAGGUGCAGCCUCGAAAUGCAAACUGACAUGGAAAAUGACUGGUCGAUAUAGGUGUGGUCCCGACUCAAACUAAAUACUAAAAGUGAUAGGAACAUGGCCGAUCGAUAUAGGUGCGGCCCUGAAACGCAAACUGGCAUGGAAAAUGACCGAUCGAUAUAGGUGCGGUCUUGACUCAAACUAAACAUGAAAAGUGAUAGGAACAUGGCCAAUCGAUAUAGGUGCGGCCCCGAAAUGCAAACUGACAUGGAAAAUGACCGAUCGAUAUAGGUGCAGUCCCGACUCAAACUGAACACGAAAAGUGAUAAGAACAUGGCUGAUUGAUAUAGGUGUGACCCCGAAAUGCAAACUGUCAUGGAAAAUGACCGAUCGAUAUAGGUGCGGUCCCGACUCAAACUAAACACGAAAAGUAAUAGGAACAUGGUCGAUCGAUAUAGGUGCGGCUCCGAAACGCAAACUGACACGACGAAUGACCAAUCGAUAUAAGUGCAAUCCCAACUUGAAAAUUCAAACAGACAAGAUGAUGAAUGACCUAAUCAAAUGGCCCAAAGCCAAAGGAUAACCUAGAUAACGAUGCAAGAAAACUCGGCCAGAGGGGAUAUGCCCUAGUCUGACAACUCAUGAGGAUCAACAACUAGGUCAAAAGAUAAUGAAGCAUGUGAAAGGUCCUAUGAUCUUAGGGAAGGAGGGUAUGCCCCAGUAUGCAACUCGUGGGGGUCAACAACUAGAUCAGAAGGUGAAUGAAAGUCUACUGAAAGGUCCGAUGCUCUCAGAGAAGGGGGUAUGCCCCAGUAUGACCACUCGGAGGGGUCAACAACUAGAUCGAAAAGUGAAUGAAACCUGUGGAAGGUCCGAUGCUCUUGGAGAGGGGGUAUGCCCUAAUAUGAUGACUCGAAGGAGUCAACAACUAGAUCAGAAGGUGAAUGCAGCCUGUGGAAGGCCCGAUGCUCUUAGGGAAGGAGGAUAUGCCCUAGUAUGCAAUGAUGAACAGACAGAUAUGCAAAAUGCCUCAAAACUAUUGUACUCUGAAAUAUGCUCAUCCAUCAUGUAAUGAAAAUGUCCAAUCUCAGAUAGGUAAUGCCAAACAAGACCAUGUAUCGUGACACCAUGCUGACAAAACAAAACUAAUUAGUGAAUAACAAUAAUAAUGAUCAGUGCUCAAAAUGCAAAAAGCAAGCAAAUCAAUACUUAACAUGCCAACUGUCAAAGUGAAAACAUCGUCACUAAUAAGUCAACAAUCUAUCAGGCCCUGCCAUCAUGGAAGAUAUUGAACCUAAAGUCUGAAAGAUGUAUGAAAACAACACCAAGAUGAUUGAGGAUUGAUCUACAUCUCCUCCUAAUCAAGAGAGGGGUGAGGUCAUGUGUCACGAUGGGAUGUGUAGGAUAAAAGAAGGUGAUGAUCAAGCUCUGGUAUGAUAGAAGGCAUGAGAGUAUCUAGGGUGAAAUGUCUGAGUACGAGAUGAAAGGUAUGUAAGUAUUCGAGAUCAUCCAAGUAUGCCGAGAAGACUAGCCCAAGGCGUCAAUAUCUCCAUAAUCCAUCGAAAGCUGCAGUCACGAACAGAAAAUCAAGUGUCGAUGUCAAAACCUCCAACAAGGUGGCUAUGCCCCAAUAUGCAAUGAGGACAACAUGAAAUAAUCCAAUGAUCUCCAUAUCACUUGUUAGAUACUCCAAUGUCAAGAAUCAAUCUGAUCUCCCUCCAAAAGAUGGAUAUGCCCUAGUGUACAAGAUUCGAUAGGGUGAUUAUGCUCCAAUAAAAAAUACUCUCCAUCUCGUCUAUACCCCAGUGUAAAGUAGUGUAUCCGAACUGCUGAGGAAUACCAUGCCUAGUACGGGUCAACGAAUCAAUCAAUCUCUACUCCUGGUGCUAACAAUGGAAACAUCUCAACAUAAUCCAUAUGAAUCAAAAUCUCCGGGCUCUAUGAAUGUGAAUGAGGUGGCUAUGCCCCAGUAUAAACCAGCUGAAGUGACUAUGCUCUAAUGAAAAAUCAAAGUCCAUCACCAAUGAGAGGGAUACGCCUCAAAAUAAAUCGUCAUCUAAAAAAUCAACCAUCAAUGAGUAGAGUGUGGCCCAAUGCAAAGUAUCGAGUAGAGUGACUGUAUCUCCAAUAAAAGUGCUCUCUGAAAUGGUUGUGCCCCAGUGUAGGGUCAUCCCACAACUCCUGAUCCAUUAUAAUCCAAGUGAAAAAGUGAACUAUCUAUACCUCAGUGCAAGGCAUCAUCCCAAAAGAAAACGUCAUCAAUGAGCGGGGUAUGCCCCAGUGUAGAUAACGUCGCCUAUGAAAAUCCAUCACUAAUAAGAGGGGUAUGCCCCAAUGUAAAUCAUCAUCUCAAUUCCCCAUCCAUCACACUCUAAGAAAUAAUCUCCAACCAAACUAGAGUAUUGCCCACGUGGGAGCUGUCAAACAUAAGGUGAAGUAUUAGCCUUAGGGUGGUCUUCAAACACGGGACAUAACGUAGGCUAAGGUAAUAGGGUGAAAGAAAUGAAAAGAAACUAGGCUCAAAGAUCCCAAUGAUAUAAUCCCCAUACCCCUCGUGCAUGAGAUGCAAUGCGUAGAAAAUGUCAUGAGUCCCGGACCUAGGGGUCCCCACUUAAAAAGUGAUGAUGAAUGAAUGGUCACAUCGAAUAAGCAAGAAUAAAGUGUGGAUGUUAAACCCAUGUCAAACAUCAAACAGGAUGAGAAAAGAAAGAUAAAAGAUGAGGUAGAGUGAAACGAAGGAAUAAAAUAAAGAUAGAAGAAGGCGAAGAGAUAGAAAAAUGAGUGAUGGUCAACCUACAUCAAAGCAUGGAAAGUAGUCACAUCUAAAAUAGAUAGAAUGAUGGAUAGAGCAAGGAUUCGAAGAUACUAAAGAAAAUGUUGCUCGUCUCUCUCACAAAAAUCGAAUGAGCGACUCAUACUAUCACCCAAAACAUAUACCAAGAUAGAAUCUCAGAAAGAAGCUCUCAUAUGAACUCUCUCUAACACAUGAACUCAAUGAAGCAAACUGGCACAUCCAUACACAUGCCCAAUGAAGAAUGAUAAAAUGAACAAUGCGCUAUCCUUUUUUUUUUUUUUUUUUGCGCAUACUCUGAUCAAUAGUGAAUGAUCUCCCAUGAAAUACAUAGCCAAAUGAAUAAACUCUCCCCAUGUACUGAUGUAACAUGAAUCCUCACUAACAAGACAACCACUCAAAAUAAGAUAUCUGAACCACUGCUUAUAAGGCGAACAGAGGGGAAGAACGUGACAAUCUUCCAUGCAGUGACGUGUGAGAAACCACCACUCAAGGUGAAACAAGGAUAAUGUCGAGUAAGUAAUGAUGAAAGAAAAGACAAAGAAUGAAUAUCACAAGUGGUGAUAUGUGAUAUCGGGAAAUAGUGAUGAAAUGAUGUCCAAGUGGAAAAUAUCACAAUGAAGAGUGAGGAAUGAGACAUGAAUAUGUAUGUCAGGUCUAGAACUCAUGACGUAUCCAAUCAUAGCAUGCAAGCACUAUAGGGUCCCCAACCCAGUGUAAUAGGCAAAUGAGGUGAUGAAAGAAAAGGCUACAAUGCUCGUGUAAAGCUCAAAGGGCUAGCAACAGGUAACUCUAUAUGUGAGGGUGAUAUGGUAAACAAGCUCCUGAAAUGAUGGCCACCCAUCCUACGACCACAACCUCGAACAUCGUGCUUUCAAGAUCUCACAUGGUAAAUACUAAAGACUAGCACUCGUCCAACAUAGUCAUGGCGACUCCUCUGAAAUCGUGUGAAAGCUCUCACUGAUGCUCUAUGAUAACCAUCAAUGUCCUCUGAUAAUCAUCUCACUAUAUCAUUAUAUGCCACUCGCCAUCGUCUCGUAAAAUAACUCUCUCUGAUCAUACCAAAACACUUGAAGUCAUGUGUAACGACUCAAAUCUGGAUACUCCCUGAUGAUCCCUCUGCCUCAGCAAUAUCAUCAAGAAUUCAAACCACUCUCUCAUCGUGAUCCAUCCAUCAUCAUGCAAAGCUCACCUCAGGUCUAACCAUCUCGGACUCUACCUGGUCAGAUCAAGGAAAUGAUGGAAAGAAUAGGCAAUGGUACUAUAGUAUACAAAGACGAAUAUGAAUGGUAAGGUCGUAUAAUGGUAUCAAGGGGUGGUGUCAUGUCGAGCUCAAAAUGGGUAGUUCAUCAAGUCCACAAAGUCAGGGUAUGGAUAUGGAUAUGGUACUGCUCUGAUCAGAAAGUGAAAUGAGUCAUAGUCUUGAACUCCCUAGGUCGAUCUCCUGAUCCUAGGUCAAAAGGCUCAAUAUCAUCCAUGAUAGGUCAAGCCAGAGUGAUCAUGAUGUAUAAGUGAAAAGAUGUCUCAUAUUGAAAUCAUAACACACAUCAACACAAGAUAUGUAAAGCACACUCACGAGAAAAAUGUCACAUACUCAGAUAAAAGAUCAUAUCACUAAAUGAACCAAUGAGUACAUCAUGUGUGAAACGAAAAAGGACUACAAACGACUGGACUCUCAACAUGAAAAUAUAAACAAUGACCCUAAACCAAAACCACACUUAACAAAACAAAAACAACUCUGAUGAACCAAAAACUGGACUCGACAAAAUGGAAAUGACUCUGAUGAUGACCAUAAUAAAAAAUGAAAAGUGCUCUGAGUUGAACUGCUACCAAAUGAUGUACCCAAUGUCGACUGAUCCAAGUCCUUAACCCGGGAUGUCCCAAAAUACCAUGCGACAAUCAAUACCAUCAACAUCCAAAUCAAUCUACUGAAGACUAAGAGGAGGAGGAACUACAUGUGUAGAAUGCGUAGGCAGAGGAUUGGUGGUCACACUUGGCCCAGCCAAGUUGACCAACCCUGAAUCGAUCAAGUCCUGUAUCGCAUGCUGGAGUGCCGAACAACGCUCAGUAUCAUGUCCCUGAGUCUGAUGAUACAAGCAAUGCUCAUGGGAGCAAAAAUGUGGAGGAAUAGGAUGUGGCAAAGGGCGUGGCGCCAAAGCAACGAUCAAACCACCAUCUCUGAGCUUCUCAAAAGCUCUAGUCAAAGUCAUGCCCAAUGGGACAAACUGUCUCGCGGGCCUCUGUGCAUAUGGUCUAGGCGGUGGGUGAGUAGCGGCUCUCGGAUGUGAUGGUCGUGGUUGCAUAGUUGAGUCUUGUUGAUUUUGAGUCACCAUCUUUACGUUUUUUUUACGUUCAGAGUCAUUUCUCCUCAACUGUAUCAUUUAGGGUCACAGUUCUUGGUAUUCAUAUUCACUGGCAUUGCACAUCUAACCUUCAUGGUUUUGCACUUGUCCUCAUUCUCCUCACCUCAUUACCCUGUGCUUAUCGCUUAUUCAUCAUUGUUCUUCCAUAUUUUCCCUUCCACUACACAUGACGCAAUCCUUUGAGUUCAGGGCACAUAUUUUGGUCAUGUUGAUGGGCACCCUACGCCUAGCAUUCUCAUGUGAUACACGUAUAAGAGUCUCCUUUGGACGCAUUCUUUCUUGUAUUUCAGGGUGGUUUGACUGUUACUCAUCUUUGAUAUUGAUCCUCGAGUCACUUUUGGAGACGUCUUAGAGGGAGUUUGGGUCUUUAGUGUGGCUUUAGAGGCAUUUUGAGACAUCAUUUUCUCUUAGGAUUAGAGCCUUUUUGUCCAUCUGUUGGCCUGAGUGAAUUCAUGUCUCACUAACAUACUUUUGAGGGUCUCCUUUGUUCUUCGGUAAAGUCCACUUCAUUCCACUCAUUAUUCAUACUUUCUUUUCACUUCAGUGUUCAUAUUCCUUGUACUCAUGAGCUCUACCGAAGAUGGGUAUUUUAGGGAGCAUUCUUUACCACCUUUCCUAUUUUUGGCAACACGUGCAUGAGAGGGUGGAUAGGCAGUGUUAUUUUUUGGAGACAAUCAGCGGAUGACGUGUGGCAUGAGAAUCUUCAAGGCAUUGUGGUGGAGCGGGUCUGUUAUGCAAAAGCUGCAGGGGAGAUAUUGGGAGGGAGGAGGUUUUGCUUGAGAAGGAAGCUACCAGAGGGAAGCUGAGGGGGGUUUUGGUUAGAGAGAGAGAGGUUUUUCUGGAGAGAAACCAGAGGAGAGAGUGGCUUGAGAGAGGAAGAAAGAGUUUGAAAAGCAAGUCUGCUUAAGGAGAAGGACUGGAGAAAACAAGCUAGGUGUCUGAAAAGGGUUGGAGCAGAAAGUAAGUCGUAUCAUCUUCGCUUAAGGGCUCAGGAAUGGCCAUUAUGAGCAUUUUCACUUUGCAUAUCUUAAUUUUCCUCCCUUGACAUUGUUGAUCUUAAGCAUAAUUUGUUGGGUUUUUGUUGACCUGAAGCUCAUAUUAUACUUGCUCUACUUUGUCCUUUCUCGGGUUUCUCUGUUUUCUCUCUUAGAUGACUGAGGUAUGGUUUACUUUCUUUAAGCUUGAUGUUUGAUUAAAUACACAAAAGGUUACUGCGUGUCCCACCAGUUGGCAUCCCGUUCAUCAUUCAUGAAAUGUGGCUUUGCCUGAAUAUUCCUUAGGUUUUAUGAUUUUCAUUUUUUUUUCUUUUAAACAAAUUCAUCCUUCACACCUCUCUGCUCUCAUGAAACUAAUUGUGGAAUGCCUUGAUUUCUGUUUCGUCAUCUGAGAGAAUAUUGGAUGCUUCAGACUUGGUGUAUGAUUAUUGCUUGAAGUCACUUGGCUGGGAUAUUAGAAAUGCCCUGGCUGCCACGAAUGAAGACAUUGGUGAAUUCAAGCGUAUUGACGUUCUAUUAGACAGUGUUCACAGCGGCGGUGCUGGAGUUUUCAGGGGCGUUGCUGUUGGGAAUCCAUGUAACCAUAUAUAUCACUCAGGCUGUACUGUUCUUUGGUUGAUUCAGCACAGUUCAUGCCUUGUUUGUCGUCAGGAGUUGCCUUCAUAAGGUCAACAAAGUUUAGAUGGUGGGUCAUUAACCACUAAUCUACAGUUUUAUGAUCCGCGACACGGAGAUCCUUGCCAAGCACACCGGAAUUUGCAUGGUCCAGCUGCUGGUGCAGCACUUGCAGGCUGUAUGUAUAUAGGCAUGCUUGCUUUCAUUAGGGCAACUGGCACAAGGGACGGUGUUUCUGUGUUAGGUCAUGUAGUGUGUGAGAUUUUUCCACCUCUAGGAUCAGCUAGCAUGGUCUUGCUAAGUGCCACGUCGGGAUUGACGGCUUCCAUGGGAAAAUCUUUAAAAUGCUAUUCCAUUGUUUGUGAUGUUCUUCCUGUCAGCCUUACUAAUUACCAAUUGAUUAAUCAUUUUCUGAGGUGUAUUUGUUGGUUCGCUAGCUGAAAACGGUGAUGCAAAGGGUGAUUUAAGGCUCGCAAACGACGCCGAUAUGCUGACCAGGAUCUGUGAUAGUUGCUGAGGCAGAAGCUGCCAUGAAGCGAACUACACUCGUAGACAACACUUCAAAUAUGCCUGUGGCUGCUCGUGAGGCUUUAAUUUAUACUGGUCACUAUAAGUGAAUACUUCGGAGAUAUGGGCUACAAUGUCAGUAUGAUGGCAGAUUCAACAUCUCGCUGGGCAGAAGCAUUGCGAGCAAUAUUGUGACGGCUGGCUGAGAUGCUUGCGAAUGGCAGAUAUCCUGCUCAUUUGGCAGCGCGUUGAGCUAUCUUUCUAUGAGAGUGUUGGCAAAGACAUGAGAGUCAAAAGGUACAUUUCCCAGAAGGAAUUCAGGCUUGGAAGCACCAGCAACCAGGAUCAGGAUGAUUCUCUACUGUUUACCCUUCUAUGGGAUCUAGUUAUCAGCAAGAAGAAAAGAAAAUAUAGUGAGAAAUCAGCAGUAAAGCCGCGAUCAGGGUCAUUUGGGCCUGUGUCAUCCAUGAGUAUGGGUCGUAGUAUUAGAAGCCCAGGUUCAUGUUCAAUGUAGAAGGAUUGAAUAUCAAUUUAACACGCUACACAUCAAGAAGCAUGGGAUAGAUAACUUACUCAAUAGGCCAAUGGCGGCGUCAGUGGAGGUGGCAUGAUUGAUUGAGCAAAUCUGGCGAAGAGGAUGAGAACAGAUGUCAAUGUUAUCAUCAAAAAGCUUAACAAAGGUUCAUCAACUAUGUUCUAGAGUUUCUUCUGGCAUCAUUAAACUGGCGUGACGGCAAUUUGAGGGAAAUGCUAUAGUUCCCAUGAUGAUUUGGUAUUGAUCUAGACAUAACAUAUCAUGAUGAGGUCAUAUGGAUCUUGCUACUUCAGUUUACCCUGUUGACUGCAUCAGUGGCAUAUAUCAAGGUAAAAACCAGUUUAAUAAGUUGGAGGAAUUAAUCUGGUGUCGUUUGAAUUUUCAAAAAGCUAUAAAACAUCAAGAAUCCUUUGCAUCCAAAAUCCUUUACCUGCUUCCAAACUCCUGUGUUAAGAUGAUUACAGUGGCACCGAGCACGCCACAGGUCUGGACUCUGAGCCCUUAACUCUGAUCUUCACUGGAAACAUUAUUCCUACCCAUGCAUGACAGCAUUCUCACAGAGAAGCAAUAGAUGAGCUGGUCGAGAAGGAAACUGGUGCAGCAUAUGGAUAUUAUGAAUAUAGUAUCAAUCUUUCAAGGAAUCCUAGCUUGGGAAUUGGUAGACCUAGUGAACAAAGACAUGACAAUGGAGAUGAAACAAAUGGGCAGAGAAGGAGCAAUCAACCGAAGAAGGUGUCAAACAGAGAGAGUCCUAACCAUGCAUGAGUAUACCAAGUUCAUCAACUGAAAGUCAUCUUCCAUAUUAUCCACGCCAAUCCUUCAUGCUACCCUCUUGUUUAUUAAGUUGCCUUCCAGAUGAGAAUCCCUCAAAAGACCCUAUUUUCCUCACGUCGUAACCGAGUCCUUCACUUUCUCUCUCUAAAACCCUCGUGCUAUCUCUAAGACUCUCUCGCUAAAACUCUCCAUUCCAUGAAAUUCUAGUUUUUCAACUCCCUAGCCAUAUACUGUCUCGUCACCAGUAUCGCUCCUAAGGUUCAGAUCACUUGGCACAGCACCCAUCAGAUCGGUAGUAGGCUGAACUGGGGCAAGAACCAUACUACUAAAGACAUCGAUUCGGGGUUGAAGUUCGAGCCUUAAUGCUACAGUCAAGAAUAUUUGUGCAAGCCUUGUGAAACAGGUUGCAAAUACCAUUAAUAAUGUGGCAAGAGAUGGUACCGCCUGUGCUACAGUCCUUACCCGAGCAAUGUUUACCAAAGGGUGCAAAUCGGUAGCUGCUGGAAUGAAUGCUAAGGGAUCUCGAACAAGGAUAUCAUGGAACGCCUCUGACCUCAUCUACCAGCUUUGACAGCCACUUCCACCAGUACCUGUGAAAUAUUCUGAAGCUCUGGGCUUUGACUAUAUUGUUCUAAACAGUAGUCAUCUGUAUCUAUUUGGGGAAGAGGAUCCAUUGGAGGAAUAUCUGAGAUGGAUCAGUUCGAAUGAAUAAAGGGUUUAAAGGCGAAUGCACAAGAAGGCAGAGGACUCUCCAUUCAGCUGAAAUCUAUGAUCCUAACAGGAAUGGAUGGAACAAGAAUUGAGAGAUCCUUUAACCUGUCGGGAUGCUGAUAUAGAAGGACCCUACUUUCAUGGAGCAUUUUCCUGAAGAAAAUUCUAGAGUUGACGUCAGCUUUAAUCAAGUAUCAAAAUUCUGGAAGAAGCAAAGAUUGGGAUCAAUCUCCUCCUGUGUUGACUUGUGCAUCACAUAAUUUGUUUGACGAUUUUGAUAGAAGCUUUAAACCUGUAGGGCCCAAGCAGUUCAAGAUGGUAUCGCAUAAAGAAGAUAUUUUCUCCUUGGCCAACCAUACUUAAAUGAGAAUGAUUUGACUGAAGAUGAGCUUGCUACCUUUUUAUGGUGCUAUGGGUUCAGCUGAGUACAAUAUGAUUGAUUUUCCUGAAGGCAAUUGGCAAUGGGCUGAUUCCACUUCCAAAGUUGAUGAAUGAGGCAGUGAUCCUGCAGAAGUAGAUUUAUAUGGCAGGGAUGAUGCAGAUUGAUAUGGUCAAGAUUCAAGUGGGAGCUAGGAAAUUGAGGUUUGAAAAUAAGGAAAUGCAUGUUGAAGCAAGAGAAAGGAAUACAUUAAGGAGUAGCAUGGAACCUUUUAGGCAUGGAUCUGGGCACUAUGGUUGGAUACCUUCAGAUGUCGCUUUAGUCAGUUCUGUGCUUAGCAAAGUGGCUUCAAAAAGCUCAUGGAAUGCUGCCAACACCUUCUCUGUCCCCAUCUCCAUGGUUGUCAUUCCUCAUCUCCUUCCACUUAUGCAUGGACUGGAAGGUCACCUCUAGCAUGGCCACUUUUUGAGCCAUGUCCCCCCCCCCUCCCCCCCCUCAAAUUCUUUCCCUUUGACUUUAAAAUAAUAAUUUCUUAACCCUGUUUUCAAAUGAUUUUCCAACUUCUAUUUUUUUUUAAUGAUUUCAGGUCAUCAAAUUUUCCAUCCUUAGAGUUUUUAGGUACCAACAUCCCAUUUUUAAUAAAAUUUGGUCGCCAUUUUCCUUCUGGCGAGCCAUUUUCGAAUUUUCUUUGAUUUUCAAAAUGUUUUAAAAUAAGUGUGAAUUUAUUUUUCAUAAUUCUUGGUGAUAGAAUUUACGAAAUUGAUUCACUCAAAAAUAAAUGGGCUUUGGUGGGAGCCCCACAUACGUGAUUUUAUGACUGAUUGAUUGAUCGAUUGGUUGUUUUGAUUGCUAUAUAUGAUUGAUUCAUUAUGUUCUAUGUUAUGCACAUGAUUACUCUGAAUUUGUUCACUAACCUUUGCUUCCCAUGAAAUAAAUGAGUUCAUCACUCAGGUACGUCCUUUGCCCCUCUUGUUCAUUCAGUUAUUUUUGUUUUGAGUGACAUUCACUUGGUAUCCAUUUACGGUUAAUCAAUUGCCAUGAUUGCUUCAUUUUAUUAGUAGAGACCUGACUUUAGGGACUUAGAGGGGUGUUACGGUCUUUAUCGUACCUUCCCGAUAAGUAACUUGACUCCCGAACUCGAUCCAGUUUUUCUCAAAUCACCUUUUCCAAAAUCAAGAGUCAUUCUUAGGGCUUUCUUUCUUAUUUUGUUUACCCUUUUAAAAAAUAAAACAAAAACAAGUGGCGACUCCAAGUCAUUUUCUAAUAAAUAAAAAUCAUUUUUCAAAAUAAAAAUCGAGCUCGCCAUCGAGUGGAAAACGCAUGAGCCGAAAUGAUAAUAGUUGAAAAUAUUUUUAUAUUUUGUUACUAAAAUUUUAUUUUAUAUAAUUGAGAUGAAAUUUAAUGGACAUUGUUAUUUCCCAAAAUCAACAUUAAAAAAAUAUUGAAAUUAAAAAAAAUUCUUCCAAGAAAUAUAUAUAUAUAUAUAUAUAUAUAUAUAUAUAUAUAUAAAGAAUUAGAUUUUAAAAAUGAUUUUUAAAAGCAAAAUGAAUUAUAAAAAUAAAUAAAUUUAAAAAGUGCAAAUUUUAAGUAGAAAAUUAGUAUUUUUUUAAUUUUAGAUUUAUAUUUUGAUUUUUUAGUUUUAAUUUAUUUUUUAUUUUCUUGAAUUGUUUUUAUUUGAGUUCAAAUGUGACUACUUUGUUAUGAGAUUCAUUAAAGAAAUAAUUGUUGAUUUUACAGUUAUUGCAUUAAAAGUUUUACUCAUUUAAUGAAUUGUACAUAAUUUCAUACUUCCAAUUAUUGUGAUAUUAAUGUUAUUCUCAUUUGAUUUCAGUUUGAUGACAAAAAGAAAACAUAUUCUCAAGUAGAAUUUGAUGAAAUUAGAGAAGAAUGGAUUACUUUUGUGUUUUAACUAAUCAUGAAUCAUAUUGAUGUAUCAUGAUCAUUCAUGGUGAGUCCCUUAGUUGUUAUAUGAUUGAAUUUUCCAUUGGUAUUGUAUAACAUUACUUAUUAUUUACGAACUAUUUUUAUAUCAAAAAGAGAGAAAGAAAAAAGAAAAAAGAAAAAAGAAAACAUUAGUACUUAGAUUUGUUUAUUGUUUAUAACAUCACAUUUUUAUUUUCAAUAAAAACUCUAAAACUCAUUAAACUAUGAAAUGCAGGUAUACACUCUUGGGAGGACAGUAUGCAGAAUAAAAAGAAAGGAGAAAAAGGCAACAAGAUUUAGGUUUUUAGAUAUGACUCUUAUGCCAUACAUUAUAGGACAUAAACGUUACUUUAUUUGGAAUUGAGAAUUUUGGGUUUUUGGAUGCAACUCUUGUGUCAUUUUAUGGUUAGCCGAUUUUAUGCAUAUGAAAUGUAGGUAUACAUGAAUGUUGGGAAGCUUAACAUUUCUAAAUCAUGUUUUAAUGUGUAUUCCCUUUUCUUUUUUAGUUUUGGUGGGUUUGAUGUACUAUCAUUUUGUGAACAUUUGAUUUACAAAUAUUAUUGGAUGAUGUAAUGUGUUACAAGUUCAUUCAUAAGCAUUAUGAAAAUAUAAGUUAAAUGUAAUAUGAUUAUUAUAUUUAUGGACAAUUUACACAGGUUGGUCUUAUUUAUUAAUAAACAUUACAAAAAUCUACAAACUAAUCAACAAAAAACAACCAUAUCUUCCAUAAUCAUUUACAAUGAUGUGGCACCAUAAAUUAAAGGUGAUACAUUUAACGUGACAGCAUAACUCAAAGAUGAUGCAUUUAAUAUGACACCUUAUAUAUCUCAUAAAACUCUAUAUCAAGUUAAGCAUCACUAAAAAUAUAUGAUGUCGCUUCUGAAUGUGUCACCAUUUAUCUGCUUUGGUGUCGCUUCCAAAUACGCCACCAAUUGAUACCCUCUAUGGUGUCAGUGGAUAAGGUGAUGCUAUGAUGUAGUGACACCCUAUGUUUAUAGUGACUUAUUAUAAAUGUCACCAUAUAUCUUUUUCCUUGUAGUGUGUUACUUGAUUCCUAUGUUGUCAUGUCAUUGCUUCUUGAUUUGAGUGAAACAAAUUAUAUAUAUUACAUGAUCAUUGCUUGUGAACUAACUCUCUUGUUUAUGGAAGCGCUUAACAUGCUAUUAAGGUACAUUCUUUCCUUUCUUUGUUUAUUGAUUCUUUGAGUGUGCAUGGUUUGUUUAAGUAUUCUUGAUUAUGAUUUUAUUAUUGCUUUGAUAUUUUUUUUUAUUCUUGGUAUCCACUGAUUUAUAUAUUAAUUGUCAUAUAUAAUUACCUCAAUUUAAUUAAUAGAGACUUGUUUUAAGGCUUAGAGGGGUGCUACCUUAUGGUACCUUCCCAAUAGGUAACUUGACCCCUAGACUUGGACUCGAUUUUCAAAGUCACAUUUUUCCAAAUAAGGAGUCAUUUGUAGGGUUUUAUUUCUUAUUUUGUUUUUCCUUUAAAAAAUAAACAAAAAUAAAUGGCAACUCCAAUUUUUACAAAAAUAAGUUUUGCACUAAAAGGCGAGUGUUGCCAUUAAGUGGGAAUGUGCGUGAAAAAUGAGGGUCCACACUAUGGUAUACCAUUAGAUUGUUUUUGGUUCUACCCACUAAUAUGUGAGGAACAUCGAAGGCUACCUGCUUCCAUAAGUUUCACUAUCUUGGGCAUUUUUAUUAACAAUGUACCAGAAAUUUGUUAAUAUAUGCACAUUUAUCGAAAAAUAUAUAUGAUUUAUGACUUUAUGAAAAAAUAACACAUGUAAUACAAGUUUAUUUCGUAUGCUCAUAUUACAAACAUUCUCUAUUUCAUUUUUUAAAUAUAAAUAUAUUUGAUCUCUAUCCUUUAUUUGCGUUCAAGUUCACUCCUUUUAUUAAAUAUUUUUAGGUAUACUUGAUUUUGGGAAAAAGUGACAUGGGUAUGAAGGGUUCAAAACCCCGUUUAUUUCUUUAGCUAAGAGACUAAUUUAAAUGGAUAUUUUUUGUAUUAAUGGUUCACUUUACUACUACUUUUUGGGAGAUUUGUCAUAAUUUAAUUUGUGGAUUUUAUUAUGAAAAGAUAAAUUUCUAGUUAAAACUUUUUUGUUAGCUUAAUAACUACUUCUCAUGUCAAACUUUCGGACUACACAUGUGAAAUGAUCGUGCUGUCCUAAACUCCGGGUUUGAGUCACAUCAUUAGCUUGCAUUUCCAUGAGAAGGGUUAUGAUAAAUUAGCAAUGAUGUUUCAUGCUAACGUGCCUUCAAAUUUUAAGGUUGGUGUUUUUCUAGUUGCACUAUAUCUCUUCAACAAGAUACCUUCCACAACUUUGAACUUUGACACUCUACAUAUAAAGUUAAUAUUUCUCAAAAGGUAUAACAAACACAAAUUCACCAAGAAGACCUGCCGUUUUGUCUUCCUAGCCUAUAGCUCUCUUCAAAAGAGAUAUAAAUGCUUGCAUGCAUCCCCAAACAAAUGGAGUUUAUCAAGACAUGUUUCUACUUGCAAACACUGGCUGAAAAUUUAACAGCACUCGAGCCUUCAAGCCAAAUACAGUGUCAUAGACUGAUACAUUGCCUACUAUUGAUAUAACACCUAUCUCUAGUAAUCUGCACCCUGCUACAUUUAAACUGCUUAAUUCUUAAAAUCCAUGUAGAUGCUCUUUAAUUUAGAGCUUGGAUGUAAUAAGUCUAACAGGCUCUUCCUCUUUUGUCAUUUUCUUUAUCUCCUGUUCAAACCUUUCCAUGACUGGCGGAGGCAGGCAUAUAGGUAUAACAUUCCCUUCUUCUCCUUUGCUGUUCCUGAACCGCGCACAGAAGCUAAUAAUAGAUAUAGCCCUAGCAAGCCCACUAUAGACGGGCUUCCCCCACCCGAAGUCGAUCUCUCCAGACCCGUCACGCGUGACAUCUGCAACCAUAUAGUUCCCCGGGUGCAUAAAUGAGGGCCGGCCCUUGAUGACCAUAAGAUCUGCCACUGAUUUAACGUACUCCUGACUCAUUUCCGCCUUGGCUUUCUUCACUAACCUUACCGCAUAUUCCAAUGGAUUUUUACAUAGCAUUCCAGCCUUAGUAAUUGAAGCUGGAGUCACAACAGCAUUUCCAUAGUAUCCUGGAGGCAGUUCGAAACCGCGCUUGCCUCGCAUACUGAUUGAGCAAAUAAUGCGAACAACCUCAUCAGGGUCUACUGCAAAUGCAAUUGUGCGGCAUCUCCAUACACAUGCUGUUAGAACCUCAAAUGUCGUGCUGGCACCGAGGCUUGCAGGAAGUCGGUUCCUAAGUGCUCUUAUCUCCUUGGGGCCAAAGAAGAAUGAUCGAUGAACCAAAUUAUUUUCGUCCAUGGCCAUUAGUGUGCCCUUGGUGUUGGUUACCUCCUCGUAUUCAUGAUGUAUACAGGUUAUUCGUGGUGGAUUUCGGGCAUUUAACAGCUCUCUUUGCCAUAUGGGUAGCAGAGAUGGCACAGACAGACCUUGAGCCAUCUCGCUUAUGGCGUUGAGGAAUUGGACCAAGCCAGGAAUACCACUCAUUGUGUGGUUUAGGCGCAAUGCAAAUAUAAAUCCUCCACACCUCAAUCGGGUCACCUGCAUUGUACCAAGAUUUCUUUAUCAAUAUAUACUUUAGCAACAUCCAAUGAUUUGUCUCAUUAAACUUAAUACUUAUUACUUAAUAACUUAAAUUUAUUAAGUUAAAUUAUUUUUAAAUUGUUAACUUAAAACUUAUUAUCUAAAUAUUAGGUUAUUUGAUAAAAUUUAUUUAAAAUCAUCAAAUUGAUAUAUUUAUCCUCAUUAAUUUUUAUUAGUAUUUAUUCUAAUUGACUUUAAUUUAUAUUUGUUUUCAUUAAUUUUAAAUAAUAAAUAUAUUUAAAAAACAUUCAUAUUUAUUUUAUUAUAGAUAUAUAAAAAUAAUCAUAAAAUAUUUAUUACAAAAAGUGGUUUCAAAAAGUUAUUUUUAGUAUUUUAGAAAACUAAAUGUUUUGACUUUUUCUAUUUAGUUAAAAAAUUAAAAAAUAAGUAAUAAGUAAAAAAAAUUAAAAGCAAAUCAUCUACAAUGUGAAAGUAAAUUACAUUCCACAUUAAGUUUAAUAAAAUAAAUAAAUAAAUCAAAUACCAUCUGAGUUAAGUAUUUUAAUUUAAUACUUAAAAUUAUUUAAAUAAAAAUAACUCUAAGUUGUAAGAUUAAGUUAUUUUACCAAAUAUCAUUGAUAAUGAAGAAUAUUUACCUGAAUUAAGACAACAGGGGAACCCAGAAUUCCCCCGGAGCCAGGGACAUCAUACAGAAGCUCCUCGAAGCAGGGACACAUUGGUUGAAUUGCAUCACCAAGAUUCUCAAGUGUGGUAUCGGCAUCGGCUUCAAUGAACAAGACCCCUUCACCGGUGCAGUCCACCAUGAGUUUUCUAUUAUCCCCUUCAAUCAGCCUGCCUGCAAAUGGGUAGUAGUAUACAAGCGCCUUACCUAGAGCUUCUCUAAUGACCUUUACAGGGUCUUUUCCUUUCAUUAAAGGAUUGUUCGGGUAAAACAUUAUCACAGGAAUUUGAAAGCGAAGGCCUUCUUGAUCAUCUAUAUCAGAAAGCUGCUUCAACUCUCGUGGGGUAGGGUUUGUAGGCCGAACAAACUCUGGAUCACACCGUUUAACCGAGAAUACUAGAGGAGAUGAUGACGACGCCAUGUCCUUCCAGGCAAGGAGUUUGUUGAUGGAAUAUAGAAACAAUGAUAAGAGAAAAUUGCAGGAUUUUAUGUGAUGGUCUGCUUUGAGAAGAAGGUAGCUGAUAUUUGUAGUGUACGACAAUAAUGUGUUUCACGUGUAUUUUUGCUCAACCUACGACACGGUUUAGAUAAGGGGUAGAAUUUUAAUCGUGUUUCACGUGUAUUUUUCUCUCCAGGCCCCUGGAAGCUACAACACCGUCUAGAUAAGAAAUAAUUGGUUAGAAGGGACGAAAUACUCCUCAUAUUUGAGAAUUUAUCCCCUCUUAUGUUUUUGUUCAAAGAGUAAUCUAUUUUUGACAUAAAUGCCCUUAACCAUUUCAAGUAUUUACAUUUAAAAGAAAGGGUUAUUUUCACAAGAAAAAAUAAGGAUAUUUUUAUGAAAAUGAGAUCAAAAAAUGAUAAAGGGUUAGAUUUUCAAAAUUGGGUUCCCAAUGACCCCUUUAAUCAAACAACUCUUUAGAUAAUAGGUAGAAUUUUGGGUGUAUGAUCUUUCGUUAAACGAAGUUCUGAUACCAUAUUAAAAUAUUAAUUUUCUAAAAAAUUUAAGCUUAUAGAGUUGAGUUCACAAUAUAUAUCAUGCUCUUUUGGUACCUUUUAAACAUGUUUUAAAUCUUUUGUUCAAAAUAAUCUUUUUCUCUUUUUUCUAUUCAAAAUUUACGGUCUCAAAUGUAGUUUAUGGCAUUUUCAAAAUUUAUGGUCUCUUUUGGUUAAUUUGAACAAGAUUAUGAAAUUAUGGUUUUUUUUUUUUCUGAUAAAAUGAAAAAAAAAAAAAAAAACUCAAAUGAGCUAUAAGAAAAUGACCAUUUUGACUCAAAAUUCCACGUGGAAAGUAUUUCAUUUACUUAUCUCGGACCACAGGAUAAGGUGGCUGCGUGUGAAACUAUGUGGUCUGUAUUCGAUGAUGUUUGAUAUCAUGGUGUAGGACUUGUCAGCGAUCCGCACCAAGAUAUCAACCAUACACCUGCCAUGCAUUAAUUGAUUAAGAAGGUUUCCCAUUCAAAAACCACAAAAAAUAGAGCGGUUGUUGAUGUUGAGUUAUCAUUUGACAAAACGUGUAUAGCCUGAAUCGCCUUACUUUCUUAAAAGAACAUGUGAAACAUUCACUUGCAGCACGACCAAACGUGUACUAGUUGUAUGCUGUGGCCUGAAUUACCUUACUUUCUUAAAAGAACAUGUGAAACAUUCACUUGCAGCAUAGUAGUGUAAAGCACGACCAAACGUGUACUAGUUGUAUGCUGUGGCCUGAAUUACCUUACUUUCUUAAAAGAACAUGUGAAACACAACAAAAAUUAUUAUUUUUUUUAUCAAUUUUUUUUCUUUUGUUUUUCUUUCCUCUACAUUCUUUUAAGAACCAAACGUAAAAUCAAUUAAUUAUACAUAUAUAUACACACACAAACAGACUCAUUGCAAGAGGAUAGAUCAUCUCAAGCCUCUUUAAUUAUUAUAGAAUAUAUGUAUCAUGCCAAAGACCCCUCUAAGGGCGUGACUAUCAUUUCAAACCUCAAGCUCGAAAACUCAAAGGGCAAAUGACUCAAACAAUUAUCUUGUAACUAGAAGAUCACUAAUUACUAAAUUCUUACUCAGAGUAGUAAAAUAUACUAUAAUUCUCAAAAUUUAAGUCCUAACAACUUCAAACUGAAAUGGUUCAAACAGCAAUUAAUUUCUAACAUUUAAACACUGUUCAAAAAUAAAGUUUAAACCAAAGCCCUAAUAGAGACAAAUUCCUGGCCUAACUAUCACUCCUUGCUUGAAUUGAAAGUAAUUGAAAAAAAUAAUCAGUGGAAGAGAAUGAGUUCAAACCCAAUAAGAAAUAUUAAUAUAGUUUCAUGGUUAAAACAUUUUCAACUAUGAUUACAAAUAGGAGGUAUAAUGUACAAUUUUUUAUUUUUUUAUUUUUAUAAAAACUUUGAAUUCAAACAUGCUAAAGCAUCCAAAACUUUUCAACCAAACAUUUUCAUAUUUAUGUAAAUAACAAUUUCAUAUUAAAUCUAAAUGAAAUGCAUUCAAAAUAUUUUUACUCUAAUUAUCAAAUAACAAAUGUUGCUUGAUUAGGUGAGACUUUGUUGCCCAAUUAGGUGAAACUUUACAAAUUGGAGGCUAUCCUUAAAUUUGUUCUUUUUAAGGUGGAUGGAACCAAAUAUUACUAAUGCUAAUAACCUCUAACCUAAUCCCUAGAGGAUGUGGUUUAAAACAAAUACAUUCCCUACCAAGAAAUAUAAAGGUCGAAUAAUUAUAACCUGUUGAUUAAGGCCAAAAAGGUCAAUAAUUAUAACCCAUUGAUUAUGGCAAAAAAUGUCAACAAUAUAACCCGUUGACUAGAACCAAAUAAACCAAAGUCAAACACCUUGUUUCAUUUAUUAAAACUUACAAAAACAUUAUAUCUUCAUUUUUUUAUUAUAAACAAAAGAAAAUGUUCUUACAUAUUUUUCAUGCAAAAUAUAAUUCAUCCAUGCGUAGAAACAAAAAAUAAUAUUUUACAUAAUUCAAAAUAAAAGAUAAAAAGAAAUUAUUUUCUCUUAGAAAAUCUAUAUUAAUUUCUCCUACCUCAAAAAGCACUCAAAACCCUUAAAAAAAAUUAUUAUUGAAGAAUCUAAUUUUCACCUAAAAAUAAUAUAAGAAAUAACAACUAUUACUACUACCUAUUUAUCUGAAAUUAUAAGUUUGACAAUCUAAAUAAUUUUCUAUGUUAAUAUUAUUACCACUAUUUUUAUUUUCAACUUCUGAAUCAAUAAUAAUUUAAUAAAUGAGUUUCCAAAAUUUCAUAAAAGUUGCUUCAUUUCCAAAAUCCAUUCCCAAGAGUACAUAUAUAAUAUAUAUGUAUAUAUAUCUUCUUUAUUUUUUUGUCCUUCUCAUAUUUUUUUUCUUUUCUUUUCCCAUCUCCUAGUUUCCACAUAGAACUCCCCAUCUCUUCAAUCUUUACACACAACACUACAGAUACCACACUUUCUCUACGUAUCAAAUGCACCAUUUUUUUUUUCUUUCCACUAAACAAAGGAUAUCCCUCUUUAGACCUAGAUUAUGUUUUGGAUUCUUAAUUAGAAAUAAUACAAUAUCUGCAGGGAAUUAUGGUAUCUUUAAGGUGACACAAAAUUUUCGGAAUGCAUAAACUAGGGCAUGCAUCCCAUUGGCGGAUGGUUGAAUUCAACUUCAUCUUGUUUCUGACAUCCUCGUUGGUAAUAUUUAACAGCUCUUCCGUCAUGGUUUUGGAGGUACAAGUACAAAGUUUUUGAAGAUGCAAAUUGGGAUUAGUGCCACACUUUGAGAUGUUUCCUAAGCAAUCCUUGAGAACACUUAUAGAACUCACUAUAUUUGAAGUUGUUAAAUCAACCUUCCUGAACCAAGUUAGCAAUGCUACAUGACACAAAAACUAAAAAUAAUUAAAGAAGGAACACUAGUCCCUUUCACAAUUGUUUCGUUUCUGUUAUUCGAAACAAAAAAAUAGGAAAACACGUUUGACAAUCAGAAAAUUGUUUUAUAUUUUUUGUUCUUAAUAAUAGAAAAUAGGGUGUUUUCAGAUAACAUAUUUUAAUUAUUUUAAGUUGUUUUUAUGUACUUUUUAAUUACUAUUUUAAAAAAUAAUUAUACAAAUUAUGAUUAAAAAUAAAACAUUAGAUUUAGAAAUUAUUUUUAAAACAUAUUUAAAAAAUAUUGAAAACAUGUUAAAAAUAUUUCAAGUUUCUAAAUAAAAUUUUGUUCUAUAAAAUAUUAGAGAACAAUUUUCAAAAACUGUUCUCAAAAAUUGCUUUUCAGAAUUGUCCUUGAUUUUAGCACUAAAUACACUCCCCAUGUUAGAAGAAUAUGCUUAACAUUUCACAAAUUACAACACCUAGGGCUAAAAAAAUUUAUAAUCUUAAAACUUUUUCAACAACAAUGCAAUAGAUUCCAUCUUUCCUAUUCUCUUGACAACCAAACAAAGCCUAAGACUCCUUUUUUUCUUCACUUUAAAAAAGCAAAAUAACUAAUAAAUAAAUAACAUUUUCAAUUGAAGAAAAAAAUAAAAUCACGUAAUAUUAGAGAGAACAGGAAUAAAUUGUGAGUACAAUCAACAACACAAAAUCUUGAAGGAAUUGGCCAAAUUGGAUGACAUAUUUCUCGAAAACAAUGCAUGAAACAAUUUUUAGGCCCAUACAGAAGAAAAUUUCAGCAACAUAGAACUUGAUCCUUCCUAGAAUGAAUAUUUACAAUAUUUGUCUGUUGUAAACUGUAGACAUAAUGCAAUUCACUCACAAUAUGAGAAUGAGCCUUAUUCAAUUCAAAAAAAGCUAUGGGCUUAUAUAAGCCUUAUAAAAGAGAUUAAAGAGGAAACAAACAGCCCAUGUAAGAACGUGGUAAAUGGCUAAGGAAAUAGUCAAAUCCUACCAACAUGUCCCAAGAAAUAGGAACUAUUAACAGAAUGAAAUUCUAACAACUUUGACUACUUUAACUGAACAUCCCAACAAUUCCUCCCCUAAACUGAUUGCAAUAAUGCAUUCAGUUGUUAAAGUUGACUACUUUAACAACUUUCACGUGUAUUUUUGCUCAACCUACGACACGGUUUAGAUAAGGGGUAGAAUUUUAAUCGUGUUUCACGUGUAUUUUUCUCUCCAGCCUCUGGAAGCUACAACAGCGUCUAGAUAAAAAAUAAUUGGUUAGAAGGAACGAAAUACUCCUCAUAUUUGUGAAUUUAUCACCUCCUAUGUUUUUUUCAAAGAGUAAUCUAUUUUUGACAUAAAUGCCUUUAACCAUUUCAAGUAUUUACAUUUAAAAGAAAGGGUUAUUUUUACAAGAAAAAAUAAGGAUAUUUUUACCAAAAUAAGAUCAAAAAAUGAUAAAGGGUUAGAUUUUCAAAAUUGGGUUCCCAAUGACCCCUUUAAUCAAACAACUCUUUAGAUAAUAGGUAGAAUUUUGGGUGUAUGAUCUUUCAUUAAACGAAGUUCUGAUACCAUGUUAAAAUAUUAAUUUUCUAAAAAAUUUAAGCUUAUAAAAUUGAGUUCACAAUAUAUAUCAUGCUCUUUUGGUACCUUUUAAACAUGUUUUAAAUCUUUUGUUCAAAAUAAUCUUUUUCUCUUUUUUCUAUUCAAAAUUUACAGUCUCAAAUGUAGUUUCAUUACAAUUCUAAAACCACAUCACAUUUUCAAAAUUUACGGUCUCUUUUGGUUAAUUUGAACAAGAUUAUGAAACUGAAAAGGAUUAGUUUGAACAACAAUUUGAAAAAAAAAAAAAAAAAAAACUCAAAUGAGCUAUGAGAAAAUGACCAUUUUGACUCAAAAUUCACGUGGAAAGUAUUUCAUUUACAUAUCUCGGACCACAGGAUAAGGUGGCUGCGUGUGAAAGUAUGUGGUCUGUAUUCGAUGAUGUUUGAUAUCAUGGUGUAGGACUUGUCAGCGAUCCGCACCAAGAUAUCAACCAUACACCUGCCAUGCAUUAAUUGAUUAAGAAGGGUUCUCAUUCAAAAACCACAAAAAAUAGAGCGGUUGUUGAUGUUGAGUUAUCAUUUGACUUAAGUUGGAUUAAACUAAUGGGGGGUAAAUAAAUAGAGAAGUGUAAACUUGAGAUCAAAGUUUGGAUUCUAAUUAACAAUUUAACUUAAAAAGUAAUGGACGUAUGAUUUGACUUUUUAAUCACAUAUCUCAAAAGUAUAAAGGUAGUGUUUAUUUUUGACUAAAUAAAAAAAAUCAAAAUAUUGACUUUUUUUUUUAUUAAACUAAAAGUAAUCUAUUGAUAUUAAUCAAUAUAACUAAACUAAACUUAUUGAUAACAAGUUCACUUUAAUUAUUUUGGCUAAUAUAAUUCACUUUAAUUAUGCGGAUUAAUAUGAACAUAUUACUUUUAACAAAAUAGAAAAAAUAAUAUAUUUUUACUUUUUUUAUUCAAUAAAAAAAUAAACACUAUCAAUUUCACAACCAAUAAUUGAAAAUAAACAACUUAUGCCUUAUUUGGUAACUAUUUUUUAAAACGGUUAUUAAAAAAUAGUUUUUAAGAAUAGUUUUUGAAAACUGUUCUCUAAUGUUUUGUAGAAGAACCUAAAAUUGUUUUAAACCUGUUUUUAAUAUUUUAAAUACGUUUUAAAAAUAAUUUUUAUGUCCAUAUCUUUAUUUUUAAUCAUUAUAUAUGUUUAUAUAAUUAUUCUUUAAAAUAACUCUCGAAAAACAACUGAAAAAACUAAAAGAUGUUAUCUAAAAACACCCUAUUUUUUGUUUUUUUGAUAAUAGAAAACAAAAAGAAAAUAGAAAAUAGUUUAUGAUUGUCAAACAUGUUUUUCGGUUUUUUUGUUCUAAAAAAGAAAAAACUGCUCUUGAAAACAGUUGUCAAAUAGAGCCUUAAAGUCUUAAAGCAAAUUGUUUUCAACAAAAAACUAAAAAAACAAACAUCCUCCAACCUUUUUUUUUUUUUUCACUAAUGAACCAAUAGAUUUUUAAAAAGGAAGAAAAAUAAAUGAUGAAUAAUUUUAUCAUUUUUCUCAAUUAUUUAUCACUUUUUAUGUAAUUGUUUGUUUGUUUUCGGUUCUAGUACUCCAAUAAACAAUAACAAGUGAAAAAAAAAAAAAGGCAAGGAAAGUUGAUAGAAUUUUUUUUUUUUUUUUUUUUUUAGGUUUCUAGGAAAAAGUUGAUAAAUAUAAAAAUUAAAUCUUUUAGAAUGCCCUUUCCCCAAACAUUCAUCACCUUUUUUAUAAGAAAAAUGGGAAAGGAAAUCGGUUAACAUUUUCUUCUUUUCUUACAUAUUUUCCAUCUUUGGUUCCUUAAAAGAAUAAAUAAUAUAUAAUAAAUGAAAAAGAUGAGAAAAAUUUAUAAAGUUUUUCAUUUUUUUUUUGUUAUUUAAGGAAAAGUUGAGAGAGAAACUAUUUACUCUCACGUUCAAUAGUUCUGCAAACUUUUCUCACUUUUUUUUAUUGGAAAAUGAGGAUAAUAUUUUAAAUCUGUUUGAUAACUGAUAUUUAUAGUCUAAUGGUGCACUCCAAUAAUGUGGCACAAUAUAUGUCAUGCUCAUUUGAUGGAAUAUAAUUUAUUUAUUUUUUUAAUAAUUUGAGAAAAGGGAUUCCUUUGAACAAUAAUUUGAAAAGAAGAGUAAAACGAGCUAUGAGAAAAUGACCGUUUUGACUCAAAAUUCCAUUCCACGUAGAAAGUAUUUGAUUCACAUAUCUCUGACCACAGGAUAAGGUGGUUGCGCGUGGAAGAUAUCAACCAUGCACCACCUGCCAUGCAUUAAUUGAUUAAGAGGGGUUCCACUUCAAAAACCACAUAGAGCGGUUGUGGAUGUUAAGUUGUCAUUUGACUUAAAUUAGAUUAAACUAAUGGAGGACAAAGAAAUAGAGAAGUGUAACUUGAGAUCAAAGUUUGGAUUCUAGUUAACAAUUUAUAUAAAACAUAUUAUAAUAAUGUUUGUUUUAUAUAAAUGUAUUUUAAGGGCUAUUAAUUAUUUAUAUAACUCUUAACAAAUAUUCAUUAUAAAAAUAGUUAGGGAAGAUUUAGGAAUUAUUUAGAAAAUAUUUUGAGGUGAUCACGUUUGAAAAAGUAAAAGAAAAAAAAAAGGUAAUGGGGUGUCCAGGCUUGAAAGUCUGAAUGCUUUUAAUGAUGUUCAAAACUAUAAAGUCGAAUGGAUAUUCGAAGGUAUAAUUUCAUAUAUUUUAAAAGCCAUCCAACCCUACAUAUAUUUUUAUUCAUUUUCCAUUUUCAAGUGCUAAAAAAUAAAUAUAAUAAUUGAUAAAAGUAUCUAUAAUUUUAUAAAUUUUACAUACUUUUAAAACAUGUGAUAUUAUACCUUUAGAUAUCCUUAAAAGUGUUCGACUUUGUAAUAUAUAUAUAUAUAUAUAUAUAUAUAAAUUCUUCCAUUUUCCAGUGCUAAAAAAUGAAAAAAAAAAUUAUAAAGAUGGUAAAUAUGCACUUUUAACAUCAUCAAAUAUUAUUUAUUACAAAUGUUUUAAAAUAUUUAUUAGGAUUACUAAGAGAUUGAAAAGAAAAAAUGGGAGAAGAAAAACAAGAAGAUGAGUAUGCAUUAAUUUGAAAUGGGGUGUUUAGUCUUUCACUAAUGGAUCCUUGUAUUUAAAAAAAAAAAAAAAAGUGAUACUUAAAGAAAUUAGUGGAUACAAAUAUAAAUCAAAAAGAAAAAAAAAAUCCCAAGAUUCUAAAAUGUCAAAAUCACCUUUAUGCUCAUUUUGUUCAAAAGUCUAUAAAGUCAUCUAAUUAUCUAAUUUCCCAAUACCCCCUCCAAGGGCGUGACUAUCAUUUCAAACCUCAAGUCCUAAGACUUAAAAGUGCAAAUGACUCAAACAAUUAUCUUGUAACUAGAAGAUCACUAAUUACCAAAUCUUAUUUAGAGUAGUAAAAUAUACUAUAAUCCUCAAAAUUUAACUUCAGAAAAGCUAACACAUCAACUACUUUGCUAUUGUCCUAACAACUUCAAACCCAAAUGAUUCAAACAUAAUUAAUUUUUAACAUUUAAACAAUGUCCAAAAAUAAAGUUUAAACCAAAGCCCUAAUAAAGACAAAUUCUUAGCCUAACUAUUAGUCUUCGCUUGAACUGAGAGUAUCUGAAAAAAAGAGAACGAGUCCAAAUCUAAUAAAAAAUAUUAAUAUUGUUUCAUGGAUCGAACAUUUUCAAUUAUGAUUAUAAAUAAGAGAUAUAAUGUACAAUUUUUUUUUUCAUAAAAACUUUGAAUUCAAACAUGUUAAAACAUCCAAAACUUUUCAACCAAAUAUUUUCAUAUGUAUAUCAAUAACAAUUUCAUAUCAAAUCUAAAUGAAAUGCAUUCAAAAUAUUUUUACUUUGAUUAUCAAAUAACAAAUAGUGUCUAAUUAGGUGGGAUUUUGUUGCCCAAAUAAGCAAAACUUUACAAAUGGGAGGUUACCCUCAAAUUUGUUCUUUUUAAAGUGGAUGGAACCCAAAUACUAUUAGUAUUAGUAACCUUUAACCAAACCCCUAGAGGCUGACAUUUAAAACAAUUACAUUUCCACUAAGAAAUGUAAAAGUCAAACAAUUAUAACCCAUUUAUUAGGGUAAAAAAAGUCAACAAUUAUAACCCAUUAAUUAGGACAUAAAAUGUCAACAAUAUAACCCAUUGACUAGGGCUAAAUAAACCAAAGUCAAACACUUUCUUUUAUUUAUUGAAACUUACAAAAACAUAAUGUUUUCAUUUUUUUUAUUAUAAACAAAAGAAAAUGUUCUUAUAUAUUUUUCAUGCAAAAUAUAUUUGACCCAUGCAUAGAAACAAAAAUAUCAUUUUAUAUAAUUCAAAAUAACAUAUAAAAAGAAAUUAUUUUCUUUUAAAAAAUUUGUAUUAAUUUCUCCUAUCUCAAAAAGCACUCAAAACUCUUAAGGAAUUUAUUGUUGAAGAAUCUAAUUCUCACCUAAAAAUAACAUAAGAAAUAACAACUAAGGUUUAUUACACUUUAUCCCCCAACCUAUAACGUGUUUUGCACAUUGCUCCUUUGAGUUCAAAAUUGAGUAAUAUACCCGUCAUCCUUUAUAAUUGCAUACAAUGUGCAUUUUUUAAGAGACGACGUUAUUAUUAUUAUUAUUAUUAUUGAUAGAAAGGCAUGUGCUCUCCACGUGAUUGAGUGCAAAAAUGUAGUUUUCUUUUUAAGUGAGGGUAAAAGGGUCAUUGUCAUUUUAAAACCCUAAACUCCAAUCCCUCUUCUUCCCUGUCGAUCAUUUUUCCCCGUUGCUGCUGUUGAAUCCCCAACCCAAAGCCCUAGAAUCCUAAGGAAGCUAAUGUAGGCUUUUCUUUCUCCAUUGUAUUCACCUCUCUCAUCUCUUUGCUUUAUUCGAUUUGUGGAAUUUUCUUGAUUGAAGGUCAUGACGGUGUGGAUUGAUGUUAUUUUAUUUUAUUUUAUUUUAUUGAAUUGCUUGUUUUGGAUGUGAGUGUGUUAAUUGAUUGGGGAAUUCACCAGCUUUCAAAAGAGUUGAGAUUGGAUUAUCUGCAUGUUGUUGGUUUGAAUUGUUUUUUGUUUUGGAUUGGGUUUUGAUAAUGUUAUGUUUGGUUGUGAAGACAAAAGUGAGGUUAUAAGAGGGAAAGAGAAUUUUGUGAAUUUAGGUUAGGUUUUGAAUUUUUUAUGCUCAACUUAGUUGAAUGAUUGUGCGAAUUUUUGUUUGAGUUUGUUGCUAUGUUUUUUCUCUGGAAAAUGGCAAGAGUAAAUCCUAUAGGAUUUCAAAAUUGAUUUUUUUUUCAUUUCUUUUGGUAAAUUUCAAUUCGGAUGAAUUGAUGUUGAAUUUAGAUAUAUAGGAUUAGAACUUGGGUGAGUUUUCAAAUUAUUUUUAUUGAAUUCAAAUUUUGUUGAAUUGAAGAAACAAAGUUCUCAUGGGGAUGACACUUUGCAUACAUCUCGAGUUGUUAUGACUUCAAAUGAAUUUCAUGCCUGAUUGAACAAGCUACUGAACUCUCAUUUGAAAAACCCUACUUUAACACCUAAGGAGACUGCAAAAGCAUCAAGAUCAACUGCCAAAGUGUAGUUAACGUGGUUGGGGUUGCUACUAAGGAGAAGACUACAAUUAUAUAAAGAAAAUGAUCCUUUUGCCCUCGAUCACGUGAAGAGCACAUGUGCCUUCCGUAAAAAAAUGUAACACCGUCAUUAAAAAAUGUACAUUGCAUGUAAUUAUAAAGCAUGAGGGGUACAUUACUCGAUUUUAAACUUAAGGGGGAAAUAUGCAAAACACUCUAUAGGUUGGGGGAGGGGGGGGGGGGGGAAAAGGUAAAAAAACCCAAAAACCAUUACUAUUAAUUAUUUUUUUAAAAAUUUCGGGUUUAAAAACCCAAAAAAUUUCCAUGUUAAAAUUAUUUUCCCCCAAAUUUUUUUUUCACCUCCUAUAAAAAAAAACUUUUUUAAUUUUGAUUUAAAAAAAAAAACCAAAAAUAGAAAAUUUUUUUUUAACAUAUUUUAAAAAAAAUUAAAAAAAUGUUAAAAAAAUUUUAAGGUUCCCAAAAAAAUUUUUUUUCUUUAAAAAAAAUUUAAAAAAAAUUUNNNNNNNNNNNNNNNNNNNNNNNNNNNNNNNNNNNNNNNNNNNNNNNNNNNNNNNNNNNNNNNNNNNNNNNNNNNNNNNNNNNNNNNNNNNNNNNNNNNNUAACAACUAUUACUAUUAGUUAUUUAUCUAAAAUUAUCGGUUUGACAAUCCUAAUAAUUUCCUAUGUUAAUAUUAUUAUCACCAAAUUUUAUUUUCGACUUCUAAUAAAAAAUAACUAUAUAAAUUAUGAUUAAAAAUAAAACACUAAAUAUAGAAAUUAUUUUUUAAACAUAUUUAAAAAAAUAUUAAAAAUAUGUUAAAAAUAUUUUAGGCUUCCAAACAAACUUUUAUUCUGUAAAAAAAAUUAUAGAACAAUUUUCAUAAACUAUUCUCAAAAAUUGUUUUUCAAAACUGUUCUUGAAAACAAUUAUCCUAUUAUAAGCUCUUAAAAGCUCUCAAGUUCUUUGAUUGAUAUCAUAUAUGGAUGAAAACAAAAAUCACAUCUUAUAUUCGAUUUUAACAUUAAAUGCACUCCCCAACUAGCUAACUAUAUGCUACAUCACAUAUGCCACAUAUGCCUAGCUUUCUUAGAUUUCCCCUUUAUUCCUUAAUGUUUCCAGCUAUUUCAAUGAGUAAGGAUGGUCAUGAAAACCAUUGAGACUUCCAAGAUGCACUUCAAAAAAAAUUUAACCAAAAGAAAAAACUUGUCAAUCAAGAAAAGAAAAAGAAAAUAGUCCAGUGAAAAUACAUAAAGUCAUUUUUUUUUUCCAAAUUCAAGGAACCAAACCUAAAAGAAACUACAAAAUAUCAAACCAAAAUUGAAGAAGUUGUAAAUCAAGAUAACCUUUUAAAAAUCAAUUAGUAUAUAUUGAUUAUAUUAUAGUACUUAAUGACUUUAUUAUUGUCAAAAAAUUAACUUAAAGCAUAUCCAACAAUCUCUCAAUUUAAAUUAACAAAAUCAAUCAAAACAAAUAGCAAAAGUAGGCAUCUGGGAAAGUCAUGCAUAUGAGUGAAGGUCUCUUCAAGAUUUAAACCUCCACUUAGUAUAAACAAAUCAAAUUUGUCAAGGAACUUAUUAGGUAAAUCAGAUAUGUCACACACAUGCCUUCUAGAGGUUAUCGGUCCUUUAAAGCUAACACCUUUGAAGUCUAUGAUUAAUCCCAUUUUAAUGAGUGAUCUAAAGAGGAUCUAUAGUCUCCUGCAACAUGACUAGUUUCAAUGCUCAAAACGGUAAAGCCAAUGAAGAGUGUAGCAUGUUUCACUCCUACCAUAAGUAUAUAGAUUGAUGAAAAUGUAAUAAUCCUCAUCUUCACAAAUAAUAUGACUUAUUUGCAAGAAGUCAACCAUUGGAUUAACACUAAUUUAUCAUAGGAAGGGAUAUUCAUAUAUAAUAUGAAUGCAUUACAUCACAACUAUUUCUUUGCCUCUUUUUUCAUUGAACAUGAGAAAUCUCAUCAAAUUGAGUUCCCAUUGACCAUAACUUAACUAUAGAUUUUCAAUCUCAUUCCCCUUGAUGAAAUUCUCUCUGGACUUGACAUAUUGUGUAGCCAUGAUCCCAUGAAGCCUUACAUGAUUAUGUCUCACAUAAACAAGUCUAAAAUUCCCAUUAUCGAUCUCAUUAUAUGACUUAAGCAUUGUAACAAGAUUAUCACUACAAAUAGUGAUUGAUUACAUUGGCUUAUUUCAUAUAGACGUGUCUACCAAUAUAUUCCUUAGCCGCUUACCUACCUUUCUCACAAAUGAGAGGGGAAUGAAUUCAUUUCAUUGUGUAAUGAGAUAAACAUGCUAAGGCUAAGGUUGGGUUAGGUUAAGAACAAGGUUAUUUUUCAUAUGUUUAUUUUUGCCUUGAUUUUAGAUAGAGAGGUCCUUAUGUUUUUUUGUGAGUUUGAUGUAAAUUUUUACGUUUGUUCUAUUUCACCAUAGUUUUAAAUAUCAAUUACCUUGUUAGAUUUCAAUUUUUUAUUUUAUUUAUUUAUUUUUGGCUUCUCUUUCAUAUGGGCCCCAUCUUUAUUGUUAUUUCCAUGAUUUUAAUUUCAUUCUUUGUUUCUAUUCCACUUGGUGUUGGCAUCUUGUUGUCUGAGGUUUCUAUAAGAAUUUUUAAAUUUCCAUAGUAGAGUACAACACUCAUCCUUUGCAUCGUUUUUAUCAUACUUCUAUAAGAUAAGAGGAGAAUGAUUGAUCAUUUUCAAGAAAAGGUUUUAUUUUAAGUCUUUGCACUACUUACGCUAUCUCUCCUUAUUCAUGCAUCUAGAAUUUAAUACAUUAAUGACACUUCAUUUUUAUUUCACAAAAUGUGUAUGGGAAAAAAUAGAAAAUAAGAAAACAUACUUAGCAAGCUUGAAGAACAAUCAAGGUAGAUUGCCUUAGUGAAACAAAACUCAUGUGAGAAGAAAAUAGAGUUCUCAAUAUAAUGCCCACUAGGAAGGUGGCCCAAUUCUCUACCAACUAGUGUUAAGGUUGAAUAUGUGAAAGUGGAACAAGUUGUGAUGUUUACUAAAGGUUAAAGAUAAGUGGGUUUUGUAUUAAGAUAGAUACUAUAAUAUCUAUUUAUAUUAAUUCAGUUUUCCUAUUUUAGUUAAUUAUAUUGUAAAAAUCUACAAACACAAAUACAUGUAGACUACUGGGAACAUAAAUAAUUAUGAUAAGUUAAAUUGAAUAAUAAUUAAGUUUCCAAAAUUCUCCAUUGUACAUACAAACACAACUAUUUAGUGAACCAUAUGUUAUUAUUUUCAUAGUUUAUGUAAUUGGACAUAGGUUGACCAUUGUUUAUCUUUCAUUGCAACCAUGAAAUCAUACCUUAACAUUCAGUACUACAAAUGAUAAUAUUUCAUAUACAAUUGCUAAUAAAACAUACAUAUAAUGGUGAUAAAUAAUUGUCACUAAAACCUUUCUUUUAGUUGCAAUAUAAACUUGCCACUAAAAGCAUAAUAUUAGUGAUAAAAUAUUAUUGCGGCUAAAAGUUCACAUUAAUGAUAAUAAAUAAUUGUCACUAAAUUUCAUUAUUUAGUGACAAAUUUGUGUUCUUUUUAUUGUAAUUAUAAUUUGAAAUAGUGGUAACAAGUAUUGCCACUAAAAACAAAAUUUUACAUACAAAAAAUCUAUUGUGGCUAAAGUUGUAAUAAUUAGUGGCAAUAUUUUAAACUUGUGGCUACAACAAUUAGUGACAAUACUUAUAGUGAUGGUCUUGUGGCAACCAAAAUAUUAUCACUAAAUCUUUUAGUGACAAUUUUUAAACUAUUAGCUACAAUUUUAUUCGCGGAUAAAAGUGUAAUUUUUUGUAGUGGCUUAUAUAUAUAUUUAUAUAAUUGUUUGGAUUGGAUAUUUAGAUAAUAUUGGGUGAUAUAUGAGUGUAUACAAAAUGAUUAUAUUUACAAAUGUACAUUAUUUUAUAUAUAUCACCCGAAUUUACCAUCUUACAUUGUUCAUGGCACCUCCUCAUAGGAUAGCUUUUGCACUUUAAUCCUUCUUAUUUCUUUGUGAACUACUAGAGGGAAUAUCAAUGAUAUGUCUAUAUUAUAGUUAUGUUUCACCAGUACUGAUAAUCAAUAACAAUAUAGAACAUUUUCUAUACUACUAGUUCACAUGUGGUAUGAAGAAAAUACUAUGAUCCAGUUUUUCAAAUAAUGUCAUUUUCCUUGCACCAUUUACUUCUAACAACUAUCAACAACUAUAGGCAUUUAAAAAAUUGAAUGUUUAAUUUUGGAUCAAAAGGCCGGGGUUUCAUAGAUAGACACUAGAUAAGAAAUUCUUUCAAUGAAAAAAUUAUUUGAAUCAUCAAUUUCUUCAAGAAAUCUUCAUAUGUUAAUUAGUACUUGAAGAGAUCUUCAAAUUUUCAUCUUUUCACGACAUCUUGAAUCUUGAUGGAAUUUCUUCAACAACUGUAAAAAUUUUGGUCGGUGUUUGAUGUGUGCUUUGAAAUGAGAGGAGACCUCCACUUAUUGGGUUGGAAAAUUUAUUUUAAUAUUAUCUCUUUCUUUCCUAGAGACAAUCAUCUUAUUUAUUGUGAUAAUUAUCAUUUAUUUUAAUGAUCAUAAUUAAUUAAUUAAGAUAAUUAUAAUAUUCUUUUUCUUUCUCACAAUUAAUUGAUUUCUUAUUAUUUUUAAUUUAUCAAUUUUUUUAGCAAGAUCCAUUUGAUAAGUGUCAACUAUUAGGACAUUGAGUCUUAUUUAUAUGUUGGUAAUUUUGUUCCAAUUUAUGUUUGAUCAUAGAAGUCUUUUUAGAUAGUGAAUUGCUCUCCAUUGAAGAUCAAGGGUUACUUUUCAUCCAAUUGGGAAGUCACAAGUACAUUUUAAAAGAUUUAGGUUGUGACAUAUGAGGCUUCGUUGAGGUAUAAAAAGGUUCAGUAUCAAUUUUGGACUUAUAAUUUUUUUUAAAUAAUUUUUCAAAAAAUAGAGGAUGCUCAAGUGGUUAAUCCCACUUAUAUGGUCAGCCUGCUCAAGUGGCAAUGAACCCUCAAGUGGUCCAAGUCCACUAAAGUGGUCAUGUUAGUCCUUCCAAGUUUAGAAAUGUAUUUUGGUUGAAUUUUACUCAAGCUCUAAUUUGGAAACUUAAGAUGUCGGGACUCUUUUGACUUGUGCAUAUAUAUAUAUAUAUAUAUAUAUAUAUAUCUCAAAUAAACCCUUGAGGGUUAGAGAUUCGGGCUAAGAGAUUGUAGAGAUCUAAGAGUUUAGAGAUCUCUUAUUCUUUAGGGGGACUUCUUGAGAGAAAGCCUUAUUGCCAUGCCACUUUUUAUCUCUCAUUCAAGGAUUGGAUCUUUGAAUUGUUGGUUGAUGACUUAAAUCCCUUCGGAGGGACUAAAUGAUCUACUAUGGAGCAAAAGGGAGUUGUUGCGUUGUAGAUGUGGAUCAAGUUAUAGGUACUAAAAAGUAAGCCUUUAGGGUAAAGCGGUUAGGUAAAUCUAUGUAACUUGAUUUCAAAUAGUGGAUUUAGAUUGGUACGUCUUAGACCUCAUGAUUUUUUAUCUCCACAAGUUUGUAAGGGUUUUCCACUUAAAAAAUCUCAUGCCUCAUUGUCUAUUUCUUUAUAUUUGUUAUUAUGUUUAAAGUGCCUAUAUUAAGCUAAUUUGAUUAAUCCUAAUAUAUUACAGGGCUUUCCUAAAAAGUGCAUAUCUAUUUAUUCCUACUCAUUUUCUAGUUGAUAACUUUGAUUGGUUAAUUGAUUAUUGAGUUAAUUGAUUUGUUAUCUUGGUGGUUGUGGUGGUUAUACCCAUAACUAAUUAUUGAUUAAUUUGUUGAUAUUAUUGUUGAGUUUGAUAGGUUGGUUAUUCUGGUAGUAAUUAUUAAUAUCCUUAACAUAUCUUAACAUACAUCCUUAAUCUUUGGAUAUCAAUUAACCAUAAAAAAUCAGUUGUUUAUUUGGGGCGAAUUAUUGAGAUAAAGUUUAGACAUAUUUUAUAAAUAAUUUAUUUAAAAUUUUUUAAAUCACCCAUUCACACCUCUCUGGGUGUUCCUUACUAGACUUUCAAUUAUUAUUUGAGUGGUAUUUGAGCAAUACCCAUUUUUCAUCAACAAAUUAUUAAUUAUUGACGCUUGACUUUUAAUAAGUGGACAAAAUUUGUCUUUGUACAUAUUUCUUUCAAUAUUAAUCAUUGUUAGUUAGUGGCAACCAUCUACUCAAACCGGUAGGGAGUUCUUCAUAUAUUUAAUGAUUUCUUGAAACAUCAGAAAAUUCUUUCAAUGCUUAGGUUUAUUUUUCACUAAUGGCCAGUGUUAAGGCUAUGGUUAGGUUAGAUUAAGAACAAAGUUAUGUUUCAUAAGUUUCUUUUUGCUUUGAUUUUAGAUAGAGAGGUCCAAAUGUUUCUCUAUGAGUUUGAUGUAAAUUUUUGCGCUUGUUCUAUUAUACCAUAGUUUUAAAUAUCAACUACCUUGUUAGAUUCAUUUUUUUUUCUUUUUUGGCUUCUGUUUCAUAUGGGCCCCAUCUUCUUUAUUGUUGUUUCCACGAUUUUAAUUUCAUUCUUUGUUUCCAUUCCACUUACUGUCGGCAUCUUAUUGUCUACGGUUUUGGUAAGAAUUUUUAAAUUUCCAUAGUAGAGUACGACACUCAUCAUUUGCAUCAUUUUUAUUAUACUUCUAUAAGAUAAGAGGAGAAUGAUUGGUCAUUUUCAAGGAAAGGUUUUAUUUUAAGUCUUUGUACUUAUGCUAUCUCUUGUUAUUCAUGCAUCUCGAAUUUAGUACAUUAAUGCCACUGAUUCGUCCCUAGCAGCGGCAGUGGCAAUGGCACCAUUUGAUUCGGGGUUCGAUCCCCAGCAACGGCGCCAUUUGAUUCGUCCCUAGUAGCGGCAGUGGCAAUGGCACCAUUUGAUUCGGGGUUUGAUCCCCGGCAACGGCGCCAUUUGAUUCGUCCCUAGCAGCGGCAGUGGCAAUGACACCAUUUGAUUCGGGGUUCGAUCCCCGGCAACGGCGCCAUUUGAUUCGUGCCCAAUUGGUGUCUCAGCUGAUUCGUGUCCAGCUGGUGCUCCUUGAUUGAGGGAGUAAUCAACAAAAUUUAUAACCUAUUACACCAUAUACUAGGGUAGCAAAGACAAAGCUACUAUAGAAUAGUGGCUCUAGGAUCGUUCACUGGGAUGGGUUUUCACUUUGCAAAUGAUAUUAAUUCAAAGCUGAAUUGGUGUCUUUUCAUUUUAAGGUUAGCUUUAAAAGAAAACAUAAAGAUGUUUGAAUGAAAAAGGUUUAGAUUUAAACUAACCAAAAAUAGUAACUGAUUUUACUUACAAAGAAAAAUGUUUCUUGGAGUUUAGAUCACUAGGCUCAGGUUCCUCAUACAAAAAGGAGAGUUCCGGUCACUUGUUUCUUUUCCUCGCAUUAGAGAAUUAACAUAUAGUUCAUUCUCCAACCGGUGUUGUACAGAUGCUUCCCAUUAAUGGGUUCAAACACUAAAUCCCUCUCACUGAUGCAUCUUGCAAUGACUCAUACCUCUCACCUAGCACUUGCCAUUCAAGGUGAUCUUUAACCUUGGAUUACCCAUCAAAAGCUCGCAAGAGAUAACUAAUGGAUGUCUCCUUGGAGUCCAAAAGCUUACCAAGUGUUGGCUAUUCUAGAAAAUCCUACCUUCAAGUCACCUCCCAUAAGCUCGCAAGAGAUAAACUAGUGAAUCUCCAUGGACGGAGAUCACUUUCCUUACCAAGUGUUGGCCCAAGUGACUUCAAGGCGUUUUAAGUUAACUAAAAAGAUAAAAACCAUUAACGGGUCACACUUUCUCUUCAUUAAAAACUAAAACAACAAAACUUCCAAUUUAUGCAUGUGGAAACUUACCCGGCUUUCCUCACUCCAAGAGACAAAGAGCCUAGCCUCUCAUCCUCUGAGGAAAAAUCCUCAGAGUUUGGUUGGCUAGAAAUAAAAAGAAAUGAAAAAUGAAAGAGAAGGAAAAACAGAGCAAGGCUCUGUAUAUUCUAUAUAUUGAUCGAUAUUACAUAUAUGAUUCUCUUACAGUGGAUGCAAGGGAAUAUAUAUAGAGACGUUUUUCCAACCUUCCUAACUAAGAAAUCUUAUGGUUGGUGGAUUACAAGGAGAAGAAUGGAAAUUCAUACAAAAAUAUCUGAAGAAAAAUAUCCCAAAGUGUCGGUCACAAAUAUCGGGGUACUUCAGGAACCAUUUCGCAAGAGAAAAUGGUGUCUGCGAGAUUUCGCAGGUACUCAAGAAGGGCUGCGAAAUCACUUCGCAGCAACAAGCUAUCCUCGCAGGGCUGCGAAGUUGGCUUCCACCUUGAGGUUCUCAGCUUCCAGCUUGCGGCAUAUAUAGGGUAACUUCAGGAGGAAAUCCACAACACUGUGCAAAAAGGCUGCGAAAUUCUCGCAACAAAAGGCUGAUUUCGCAACACUUUGCAAAUUUCUUCCUUCAACUUAGAGUGAUCGACUUGCAGUGGCUGUAACUUCUUCAUUUCAACUCCAAAUUGCGCACCGUUUAAAGCAUUGGAUUCUUGACUUCCUGAGAUUUGAAAUGGUAUAUAUUAUGUAGAAAUUGGACUUCAAGAAGUGCUCCAAAAGUGGCUGACAUGACUGUCAUCAAGAAUGCUUCAUGGCAGAUUUCUCUUUGCUUUCCCUCCUUGCAUUCCGGAUUUGCUUAUGGCAAAGGACUUCAAAGCUUUGGUUCUUCAUGAAUUUGAGCUUCCAAAAGCUUUGCCAUAACUUGUCCAAGUAGCUCCUCCAUCAUUUGGCAUGCUUGAAUUGAUUCAUAAGCUGAUAAAAACAUGUAAACUUGCCACAAAAUGGUUAAAACCAAUUACUAAGGAUCUUAAUGAAUUAAUUGGGUUAAAUGAAUAUGAUUACUACUCAAAGGUGCUUAAAACCAUUAUAAUUAGGUCUACAAAAUAGCACUUUUUGGUAGUAAUCAGCCACUUUAUUUUCAUUUCACAAAAUGUAUAUAGGAAAAAAAAAUAGAAAAUAAGAAAACAUACUUAGCAAGAUUGAAGGAACAGUCAAGGUAAAUUGCCUUAACGGAACAAAACUGAUAUGAGAAGAAAAUCGAGUCCUCAAUAUUAUGCCCACUAGGAAGGUGGCACAAUUCUCAACUAAUUAGUGUUAAGAAUGGAUGUGUAAAGUGGAACAAGAUGUGAUAUUUAUUAAAGGUUAAAGAUAAGUGGGUUUUGUAUUAAGAUAGAUAGUAUUUAUAAUAUCUAAAAUUAUUCUCAAUCAUUAAGAUAUAUUAAUUUAAUUUAUAUUUAUUUUCCUGCUUUGGUUAAUUAUAUGGUUAAAAUCUAUAAAAACAAAUACAUUUAGACUAUUGAGAACGUAAAUAAUUUUGAUGAGUUAAAUUGAAAAAUAAUUAAGUUGCCAAAAUUCUCCAUUGUACAUACAAAUAUAACUAUUUUGUGAACCAUAUGUUGUUAUUUUCAUAGUCUAUUUAAUUGGACAUAGGUUCACCAUUGCUUGGCUAUCAUUGCAACCAUGAAAUCAUACCUCAACAUUCAAUACUACAAAUGAGAAUAUUUUCAUUUUCAAGGAAUCAUACCUCAACAUAGGAGAAUGAUUGCUCAUUUUCAAGGAACGAUUUUAUUUUUAGUCUUUAUACUUAUGUUGUCUCUCUUUAUUCAUGCGUCUUGAAUUUAAUACAUUAAUGCCACUUUAUUUUCAAUUUACAAAAUGCGUAUAGGAAAAAAAAAAUAGAAAAUAAGAAAACAUACUUAGCAAGCUUGAAGGAACAGUCAAGGUAGAUUGCCUUAACAGAACGAAAUCAUAUGAGAAGAAAAUUGAGUUCUUAAUAUUAUGCCUAGUAGGAAGGUGGCACAAUUUUCAACUAAUUAGUGUCAAUGUUGAAUAUGUAAAGUGGAACAAGAUGUGAUGCUUACUAAAGGUUAAAGAUAAGUGGGUUUUGUAUUAAGAUAGAUACUAUAAUAUCUAAAAUCAUUCUCAAUCAUUAAGAUAUAUUAAUUUAAUUUAUAUUUAUUUUCCUACUUCGGUUAAUUAUAUGGUAAAAAUCUAUAAAAGCAAGUACAUUUAGACUAUUGGGAACAUAAAUAAUUUUGAUGAGUUAAAUUGAAUAAUAAUUAAGUUGCCAAAAUUCUCCGUUGUACAUACAAACACAACUAUUUAGUGAACCAUAUGUUGUUAUUUUCAUAGUCUAUGUAAAUGGACAUAGGUUCACCAUUGCUUAGCUCUCAUUACAACCAUGAAAUCAUACCUCAACAUUCAAUACUACAAAUGAGCAUUUUCUCAGCCUCGAAUUCAAGCAACACCAAGCCAUGGAUUGGGCCUUAAUCUAACCAUAGAGUAAACCCUUCUUGUGUUGUUUCAUUGCCUAUGGUGGUGUGCACUGAAGGCCCCUCCCAUAGGUGCUUAGAAGCACAUUAUCUUAAUUUCUUUUUCAUAUCUUUGAUCAUACAUUAGGCUAGUUUCUUAAGUUGGAGUGUGAGACUGUUUGGUGCUAAAAUACUUUAUUUUGAUGUUAAAAAAAAAAAAAAAGGUAGAGCUAUUGAUAGCUUCAAUAAACAUAAAACAUCUUGUUUUUAGUUAUGUAAAAAAAAAUUAAAUUAUUCCAAUUUUAUUAAACAUGAAUCAUCUUACACACAAUACUAAAAUAAGGUAUUUUUCUGGAAAAAAAAAAAAAGGAUUCCUUGUGUGUGAAAACUCUUUCCAAAGAGAGAAACCCUUUAGAAAAAAAUAUUAAAAUUCAAGUAAAAUCUCUUAAUGAGUGGAUGCAAUUUGGCGUUACGUUGUAAAAAACCAAUCACACAUAUUACUUGAGAAUAGUAGUCCCAUUCUAUAUAAUGGUAGCUAGGGUGGAACCCACUCUUUUUAAAAACCUAAUACACAUUGAUUCAUUGAACCUUAGCCUUCAAAUAUAUAAACAACGAUAAGGCUCAAGUUGGCAUAGGUGUUCGAGGAUUACUAUAAAAAAUGACUCUAUUCUUGUAUUAAACAUAAAUAUAUGAUUAUGCUUGUAACAUUGUGUUGACAAUAUUAACACAUAGAAAGUGCUUAUAUAUAUGCAAUAUCGUUUGGAUCCAAUAUUUGGAUAAUAUUGGGUAACAUAUGAGUGUGUAAAAAGUCAUUAUAUAUACAAAUUUACAUUAUUUUAUAAAAAUCACCUGAAUUUGUCAUCUUAGAUUGUUCAUGGCACCUUCUCAUGGGACAUCUUUCGUACUCAAAUGCUUUAUACUCCUUUGUGAACUGCUAGAGGGAGUAUGAAUGAUAUGUCUAUAUUAUAAUUAUGUUUGACUAGAAUUGAUAAUCAAUAGCAAUAUAGCAUCUUUGCUCUACUAUUGGUUCACUUGUUUUAUGAAGGAAAAUACUAUAUGAUCCAGUUUUUCAAACAAUGUCAUUUACAUCUAACAACUGUCAACAAUUAUAAACAUUUAGCAACCGUUGGUGACAUCAUCAUUGGUAAUCUGGUUCUUUAGUAGGCUAGGGUUAAUGAUUUUUUACAUGUAAAUUUUCUAAAAUAAGAAAAUUGUUGGCAAAAUUUUAUGUUGAUUUAUUUAUACUCUAUUGUCUUUAAUAUGCCCUUUGAUUCUUCAUAUCAAGACACAAACACCCUUUUAAACAAUUUAAUGUUUGAUUUUGGAUCAAAAAAUUGGGGUUUCAUAAAAACCAUUAGAUAAUAAAUUCUUCCAAUGAAAAAAAUCUUAAAACCAUUAAUUUCUUCAAGAAAUCUUCUUAUAUUCUUUAAUUGUUCAAGAGAUCCAAGUAUUCAUCUUUUCAUGAAAUCUUGAAUCUUUAAGGAAUUUCAUUAAUAACUGUAAAAAUUUUCAUUAGUGUUCAAUGUUUGCUUUGAAAUGAGAGAGAACCCUCUACUUGUUGGGUUGGAUUUUUUUUUUUUUUUUUUGGCUUCUUUUGAAGAACAUAAACUAUUUUUUAAAAGGUUGAAUUUCACCACACUUUACUGAUUGUUUUCUAAAGAAUAAAUAAACAAUACAUACUUUCUUUACACAGAAAAUGGAAUAUUACACAGAAUAGGUAAGUAAGAUUUCCUUCCAGCCUUGAUUUUCCACAUUACAAAUAUGGAGAGGCAGAUUGCGUUAUCAGCUGGCUGAUUUUCCACAGUACAAAUAUGGAGAGGAAGAUUGCGUUAUCAGUUGGCUAUGGAGAGACAGAUUGCGUUAUCAGCAGCAGCUGGCUGAGUUGGAGUUUCCUUUAUCAGCCCCCCGCAAGCUAGUGAGUGGUAACUUGUGCACUCCUAGCUUGAAUCGAAAUAAUUGGAAUGAAGUCUUAGGGAGUGCCUUUGUGAAUUUAUCAGCUACUUGUAAGGACGAUGGAAGGAAACGAGUAAUCAAAACUCCUCUUGCAACUUUUUCCCGAACAAAAUGAUAGUCCAACUCAAUAUGCUUGGAACGUGCAUGGAAAAUAGGAUUUACUGUCAUGUGAAGGGCACUGAGAUUAUCGCAUAGCAAUUGAGGAGGUUCACGUAGUUGAAUGCCAAUAUCACGGAGAAGGAAAGUAAGCCAAGUUAUUUCUGCGGCACUGGAUGCAAGGGAUCGAUAUUCGGCCUCAGCGCUUGAUCUAGAAACUGUAGGUUGUCGCUUUGAGGACCAUGAGAUACAAUUGGCUCCCAGAAAAAUACAAUACCCAGAUGUGCUUCUUCUUGUGUUUGUGCAUCCCGCCCAAUCAGCAUCACAAAAACCAGUGAGACGAAGAGAACUUUGCUUGAAAAACCUAAUUCCAUGCUCCAUUGUUCCUUUCAAAUAUCUAAGAAUGCGUUUGACAGCUCGCAAGUCAGCUUUAGUGGGUGCUUGGAAAUGUUGGCAAGCCUUGUUUACUGCAUGCACAAUAUCAGGCCUUGUGAAAGUUAAAUAUUGAAAGGAUCCAACAAGUUGCCUAUAUUGUGUAGGAUCAAUAGGUUGUUCAUCAAAAGAUGUGAUGAUGGACUUAAGAGCCAUGGGUGUGUUGAUAGGAGUACACUCCAUCAUUUUUGUGUGCUCUAGGAGAUCUCUAAUGUACUUUAUUUGAGAAACUAACAACCCAUUAGGAAGAUAUUUAACCUCCAAUCCCAAAAAAUAAUGCAAAGAUCCUAAGUCCUUGAGAGAAAAUUCACUACUCAGGGUGCUGAUGAGGUCACUAAUGAUGUUGUUAUCAUUGCCUGUGACUAUAAUAUCAUCAACAUAGAUAAGUAGCAAAACAAUAGACUGACCUUUGCGAAGAAUAAAUAGAGACGAGUCUGCUUUACCACAACAAAACCCCAGAUGAAGAAGACAUUGGGAUAGUCUAUCAAACCAGGCCCUUGGAGCUUGCUUAAGGCCAUAAAGAGAGCGAUUCAAUUUGCAGACAUGAUUCGGAAGGUCCUCAUUUAUAAAUCCUGGAGGUUGUUCCAUGAAUACUUCUUCCUUUAGAAACCCAUGUAGAAAGGCAUUCUUAACAUCCAAUUGCCUCAUUUUCCACCCCAAGGUUACUGCUAGUGAAAAGAUCAUUCUGAUUGUAGUAUGCUUUAUAACUGGACUGAAGGUCUCUCCAAAGUCCAAACCCGGUAUUUGAGAAAAACCUCGAGCAACUAAUCGUGCUUUGUAUCUAUCUAUGGUUCCAUCUUCCUUCAGCUUUGUUUUAAACACCCAUUUAGAACCCACAAUAUUUGUAGUUGGAGGCCUAGGAACCAAAUCCCAUGUUCGAUUUUGGAUUAAAGCCUUGAUUUCCUCUUGCAUUGCUUUGAGCCAAUGGGGAAUUUUCAAUGCUGUACGAUAUUUUUUUGGCUCACUAAUAUCACUUCUUGUGGCAGCAAAAGUAACCAUUUGAGAUUUUAAACUGGGAUCAUUCUUGAGUUUACUUCUGGUGAUCAUAUGAGUUCCUUUGUUAUCUGUGUGUUGGCCUUGAGGAGGAGAGAUGUCAACAACAAUUUGCUUGCUACUAUCAGGAACUUCAUCAUCAGCACUAUAACUAGUUGAUUUGUUUUGCAGAGAUGGAUCUACAUGCUCAUUUUUCUGCCAUUUUUGAGGAAAAGAUAGAUCAACUACUAGGUGCUUACUGAUAUCAGGAAAAUUACUAACCUUGGCAGGCUUGUAGCUAUUAGUAGACUCAAUCUGGGAGAGUGUUCCAGUAGUAGUAGCAGUGUGGGAAUUGUGGUCACUGGCACCAAGAGCAACAUCAGUGGGAGUUUCAGUAGUAACGACAGUAUUAUGGUCAUUUUUACUAGCAGCAACAGUGGAAAUUUCGGUAGCAACAGCAGUGGGAGUUCCAGUCGAAUUAACACAUGAUGCUUCUGUAUUUUGGUUAGUAUUGCAACGAGCAGAAAUUCUUCCUUCAACACUGAACUGGUUUCUUUGCUCAGUAGUGCAUGGGCAAUGGCUGCACUUCUUAGAGUUGCUUGAUUGGUUAGCAGUGUUCUCCUUCCAAGACUUAGUUUGGUGAUCUAUUUUUGAAGUCUCACAAGAAGCAUCUGAAGUUGAGAAUGAUACCAUUUCUAUAGGAAUCUAUAAAUGAUUUUCCUUAACAAGAGAGUUAUCAUAAGGAAAACAAUUUUCAUUGAAAAUGACAUGACGAGAUAUGUAAACUCUUUUAGUUGAAGGAUGCAAGCAUCUAUAACCCUUGUGUAGAGAGCUAUAUCCAAUAAAAACACAUGGAUAUGUCUUAGGUGAGAAUUUAUUCUUCCCGUAGUCUCUAAGGUAUGGAAAACAUUGACAGCCAAAAAUUCUUAAGCUCCUAUACUCUGGAUAUUGUUUGAAAAGCAUAAAGAAUGGACUUUCCAUUUUCAACACCGUGGAAGGCAGCCGAUUAAUGAGAUAUACGGCAGUAAGGAAUGCAUCUACCCAUAGACUCAAUGGUAGUUUGGCAUUGAAAAGCAUUGUUAGACCCAUUUCAACAAUGUGUCUAUGCUUUCUCUCUGCAACCCCAUUUUGUUCUGGAGUUCGUGGACAUGAGACUUGUUGCAAAAUUCCACACUUGCUCAAGUGAUUUUGAAAUUUAAUUGAUUGAAACUCACCUCCACCAUCACUUUGGAAGAUUUUUAUCCGUCUUUCAAGUUGAUUCUCAACCAGAAUUUGAAACUUCAAAAAACAUUCAAAGAAAUCUGAUUUUCUUCUCAAGGGAUAAAGCCAUGUAUAGCGAGUAUGAUCAUCAAUAAAGACAGCAUAAUACUUGUAUCCUUGAGUUGAAUUAUUUGGUGCAGGUCCCCAUAAGUCACAAUGAAUUUUGUCAAGAGGAUUGCUAGAAAUUUUAUUUCUUAAGCCAAAAGGAAGUUUACAGCUUUUUCCUAACUGACAACUAACACAUACCGUUGCUGAUUUCAUCCAACUGGAUACCUCAAUGAAUUUCUUAUCUUGCAGAAGCUUUAUAGAUUUUGUUUGCGGAUGCCCCAUGCAUUGAUGCCACACUUCUGAUGAUGCCUUGCUAGACCUAGUAACAGUCAUGGCUUGAAUCACAUUUUCCUCCAAUGCAUAGAGACCUUCCUUCUUAGUUCCUCUGGCUAGCACUUGCUGAAGUUGAUCCUUAAUGACAAAACCAGUUGAUGAGAAUUCUAUGGAGCAUGCGUUAUCAGAGGUAAGUUGUCCAAUGGAUAACAAAUUUUUCUUAAUUUCUGGAACAACCAAUAAUUUUUUAAGCUUUAGAUCUCUAUGUUUAGUUUUUAGUCUGGCUUCACCAAUAUGUGAGAUUCUUAAAGCUUCUCCAUUUCCAACAAAAAUUGCAUCAUGCCCUUUAUAUGGAAUUACUUGGGACAUCUUACCUGGGUCAUUUGUUAUAUGGGCUGUUGCUCCAGAGUCCACAUAAAAAUUAGGAUCCUUUUCUUCUUCAUGUAGAGCCAUAGCAGCCAAAGCUUGAGGAAUCUCUUCUGAUUGAUACGAAUAGUCAAAUCUGUUCCAGCAAUCCAAAGCUGAAUGGUUAGUUUUACUACAAAUUUGACAAAUAAGAGUACCUUCAGAUUUUUGAAGUUUCUGUUGUGGUGGAAACUGGUUGUUGAAGCUAUUUCUUGGAUUUCUGGUGCUGAUCUAUUGUGGUGGAAACUGGUUGUUGAAGCUAUUUCUUGGAUUUCUGGUGCUGGAAUGAACAUUCUGCCUUUGGUCACUGGUAGCAUUGUUAUUGAAUCGUCCUGCUGGAGUGAAGCCACGACCUUUAGAAAGAAAUCUUCCUCCUCGAUUUCUUCCUCUUCCUCGUUGGGUAAAAUAGGCUUGUUCAUGGUUUAUUGACUCCUUGUUCUCUUCAUUUUCUAUCAUAAUCAUUUGUUCAUGCCCUUGUAGAGCCAGAACAAAUUGAUUGUAAGAAGGAUACGGUGGCUUUGAUAACAUGGCCACUCGAAAAUCCAUGUAUUUAGUUCCGAGACCUUGAGCUAGUUGAAAAACUUUGUCUAGGUCACUUACUGGUUUUCUAACUGCAGCUAAUGCAUCACAAAUGCCUUUAAACUCCCUUAGAUAUUCAUCAAGGGACCUUGUGCCUUUCUUUACCCCUCGGAGUCUGUUGGUCAAUUGUACUUCCUUCUCUUUCGUCAUUGGAAGGAGCUUUUCUCCUAGAGAGUUCCAGACAUCAUAGGCAGUCUCUGUUCCAUCCAACAAAAGCAUCACUUCUUUUGUCAUGAGUCCAAGAAGCCAGGAGGUAAGUAGACCAUCAUUGUGAGACCAUGUCUCGAUUGACUGAUCAUGGGUCUCCUUUGUUUCAGUACCCAUUGUCUCCUCUGAUGCGUGUCUAUUUUCAGAGAGAUGAUGGAUUAAUCCAAGGCUUCGCACAAGAGGAAGAACUUGUGAGCGCCACAAAAGGAGAUUGGACAUAUUCAGUUUGAUGGAGACGAGGCUUGAGCAUUGAUGAAAAGCUUGAAUGCUAAGAACAUUUUCUGGGUUUGCCAUGGAAGCUUUGGAUUGUUUUAGGUUAACCCGCUCUGAUACCAUGAAGAACAGAAACUAUUUUUUGAAAGGUUGAAUUUCACCACACUUUACUGAUUGUUUUCUAAAGAAUAAAUAAACAAUACAUACUUUCUUUACACAGAAAAUGGAAUAUUACACAGAAUAGGUAAGUAAGAUUUCCUUCCAGCCUUGAUUUUCCACAUUACAAAUAUGGAGAGGCAGAUUGCGUUAUUAGCUGGCUGAUUUUCCAUAGUACAAAUAUGGAGAGGAAGAUUGCGUUAUCAGCUGGCUAUGGAGAGGCAGAUUGCGUUAUCAGCUGCAGCUGGCUGAGUUGGAGUUUCCUUUAUCAGAGUUUCCUUUAUCAUCUUUCUCAUAUGGGCUCCAUCUUCUUUAUAGUUGUUUCCAUGAUUUUAGUUUCAUUCUUUGUUUCCAUUUCAUUUGGUGUAAUAAGGAAAGAGGGUAAUUCUUCUACAGUUUGGCAUCAACGACUUGGACAUCCUUAUUCAAAAAUAUUGUCUUUGUUAAAAGAGCAGAAUAUUAUUGAUUUGUCUCAUUGGAUAUCUAAGCCUAAUAUUUGCAUUAGUUGUCAAAUGGGAAAAAGUUGCAAACUUCUUUUCAAAAGCAAUAAUAAAAUCUCCAAGUUUCCCUUUCAAAAAAUUCAUUGUGAUAUUUGGGGACCAACUCCUAUAGCUUCAAACCAAGGUUUUCGAUAUUAUGCCAUUUUUAUUGAUGAUUUUAGCAGAUUCACUUGGUUAUACCCUCUCAAGUGAAAGUCUGAUUUCUUUAGUUGUUUCAUCUAGUUUCAAAAACUUGUUGAAAAAAAAUUGGAUUCAAAAAUUAAGAUUUUCCAAUGUGAUGGAGGAGAAGAGUUCAGUUCAAUUGAAUUUAUUAACCAUGUUCAAUGUUGUGGCAUUGAACUCCAUGCGUCUUGUCCAGGAACUACUCAACAAAACGGUGUAGCAGAACGAAAACAUCAACAUAUAGGUGAAAUUGGGCUUACAAUGUCAUUUCAUGCUAAUAUGCCCUAUCUUUAUGGGUAGAAGGCUUUUUCCACGGCUGUGUUUGAUUAAUCAUUUACCAUCUUUAGUCUUGCAGAAUGAAAGCUCAUAUAAAAAACUUUACAAAAGACAUCUAGACUAUAGUGGUUUGCAGGUAUUAGGAUGCCUAUGUUUUCCUUCUCUUCGAAAUCAAGGGGGUUCAAAAUUGGGUUCAAAAUUUGUCAUAAAAACAUAUCCGAAUUUCCAAGUUUGGACGAAUGGAUUGGCAAAAUUGAUGACUCAUACAAAAUCCUUUCAAACAAGGAGAUUUCUAGAAAGGAAAAAUCAACAGCCUUGCCUAUUUCUGACUUUACAAAUUGUUGCGACUUUAAUGCUGAUUCUCCACAAAAUAAUGUUUCAGUCCCGAAUGCUCUAAUCUUUGAAAGUCAAGCAAAUCAAGAUGCAAUAUUUCCAUCAUCUACUCCAGUAGAUUCUCUCCCAAACAUGGAAGGCAUCUCCACACACCUUGACAUCCAUGACGUGAAAUGCUCAGAUUCAAGCUCUCACAUUUCCCUUCAGGAAGCCUUGAAAGAUCCUUGCUGGAUAGCUGCUAUGGAAGAGGAACUUUCUGCCCUCAACACUAAUGAUACUUGAACUUAGUUCCAAGGCCGCCUAGUAUUAAUAUUGUCGGCUCCAACUGGAUUUAUCACAUUAAAACAAAGGAAGAUGGAACCAUAGAUCGCUUCAAGGCUCGUUUGGUUGCAAGGGGAUUCACUCAAAUUUCUAGAGUUGAUUAUGAUGAAACCUUCAGUCCAGUAGUUUGACCAACAACCAUUAGGUUAGUGAUUGCUCUCUCCCUAUCCUUCAAAUGGAAGAUAAGGCAACUUGAUGUUAAAAAUGCAUUCUUGCAUUGUAACCUCAAAGAAAUUGUCUACAUGGAGCAGCCACCAGGGUAUAUUCAUCCAACUAAGAAAGAUCAUGUUUGCUUACUUAAAAAAUCACUCCAUGGAUUGAAAUAGGCACCUCGUGCCUGGUUUGAUAGACUCUCUAAAUAUCUUCUGCACCUUGGAGCACGUGUGAUGCCUCUUUUUUUAUAUAUUACAUCCAUUACUCUCAUUUAUGUAGAUGAUAUUCUCCUUACAAGGAAUAACGAUGAGUUUCUCCAACAUCUAAUCUUCAGGUUGAGUCAUGAGUUUAUAAUCAAGGAUCUCAGAUCAUUGCACUAUUUUCUUGGAAUAGAAAUGAAGCCAUUUCCUAGUGGAGUGUUCUUGUCUCAACACAAAUACACACAAGACAUUCUUCACAAAACAAAAAUGUUGGAGAGUGCUCCCCUUGCUACACCAAUGGCUGUAAAAGACAACUCUUCGAACUCAGAACCCGUUGAUGCUACCCUUUUCCGCAGCAUAGUAGGGGCUCUCCAAUAUCUCACUUUCACAAGACCCAACAUCACCUUUGUAGUAAAUAAAGUGUCUCAAUUCCUUAGCAGCCCCACUUUUAGCUAUUUGAAGGUUGUAAAAUGGAUAUUGCGAUACUUAAAUGGGACACAACAUUUUGGUCUUCGUUAUAUUGCCCAAAGCCCUACCAACCUUUAUGCGUUGAGUGAUGCAGAUUGGGCUAGUUGCACCACAACAAGGAAGUGCAUCACUAGUUUCUGCACAUUCCUUGGUACCAAUUGUAUUUCUUGGUGUGCUAAGAAACAACCCACUAUGUUUCACUCCAGCAUUGAAGCCGAAUAUCGUUCUAUGGCCUCCACCAUAACUGAGAUAACAGGGCUCGCAUUUCUUCUUCAAGAUAUUGGUGUUCCCUUGGCACAACCCCCAUAAUUAUUUUGUGAUAAUAUCAGUGCCCUUUACAUGUCACUUAACCCUUUGUUUCAUUCAAGAUGAAAGCACAUUGAGCUUGACUACCACUUUGUCCGAGAAAAGGUUGCAGUGAUUCAUCUUAUCACACGACACAUCCCUUCAUCAUCUUAGCUCUCUGAUAUCUUCACCAUGCCAUUACCCAAGGCUACCUUUCAGGUGUUCAGGAACAAACUGGGUGUUCAACCUCAACCACACACUAGUUUGAGGGGGCAUGUUAAGAAUCUAGUCAAGAAGAUUCUAAUACAGCUCAAGAGAAUAAAAUCUCCAAGCUCUAGGCUGUAACUCUAGAGAAUAAAGUCACAGAGAAUAAAAUUUCCAAGUUGCAGGCUGCAAAGGAAGGAAAAUAAACAGUGUGUAUAUUAAAACCUGCUAGUCAAUGAAAAUAGCAUCAACUUCAUCCAUUCCUUUCUAAACUUUCUUUAGAAAGCAUAGGUUGUAUCAUUUUUCUUUUCAAGAAAACAACCUUUAACUCCCCAUUGGAUCACUUUGAAAUGAAUUUGAAGGUGAUAUCAAAAUAUUCUACUCAUCUUAAGCUUUUUUAUGUAAUAUUUUGUCAACGUUUUAGGUAAAAUUAAUGAAGAAAAUAUGAUUUUUUUUUUCUCUUGCAAAUAUAAGGAUCCAUCUUAGAAAAGAGUGUUUUUUUACCAUGAACUUCAAGACACCAAAAUUAGAAAACAGGUAGACUAAUGAAAUCCCAAGUCCAAAUGGAGAAGAUUGAUUGCAAUUGGGAGGCCUACAACAAUCAGGAAAGGAUCGCAUGGAACCCACAUACCAAGAAGGCAUAAUAACAAAGUGGAUUGUUAUAGGGCAUGUGUUAGCCAUGCUCAUGUGUACAACCAAUGCGUGAUAGUGCUAUCCUAUGUCCUUUCUUGACACUGACUGCAUGUGAUAUAUCCCCUCAUUUUUCUUUGUAUUUGUUUGAUUUUUUAAAAGUAAAAAGUACACUUCUUUUUUAGUAAGUAGGAAAGCGCUUGGGGUUCAUUGACCAUGGUUUUUAGGACAAAAAAGUUCCAAGAUAUAUAUAUUUUUUUUAUGUGAUGACCUCUCAUAUUUUUCCAUGAUUAUUUAGAUUUUUUUUUAUUUUAUUAAUUUUUAAUUAUUAAAUUUGUGUUUCAAGAAAACAAAAACCACAAGAAAAUUCUUGUCUAAGUUUUUUAGAAUAUUUUUGAGAUUAUUAGAGAACAUUCUAUUCUACAAGAAAUUUUUUAUUAUUUUAUUGUUUUUAGAUUUUUUUUCUCAUGCAUUUUAUUUAAGUGGAUUAUUAUUGUAAUAAUUAUUUUUGAGGCAUGAAAAAUAGAAAAUAAUUUUCUGUGGCAGAUUUUUUUUUCUUUUUUUUUGCAAAUUUUAAUUGCUUAGUAGCUAAGACAUGUCUAGAUCUUGUUUACAAUCCUCGUAACAAGUCUAUAACCAUCAACAUCAAUAUCAAGUUGAGAGUUUCAUCUUUAAAACUGACCACUCUAACCAAAUAUAACUAGUUUAUGCAAAUGAAACUCAAUUUCUCUUAUACCCUACCUUUACCCACUUUUAUAGCCAACAUCAAAAUGAGGUGAUAGAUUUGCCAAAUCUCUCUCCCACUAAUUUUUUCAUAAUUGAAAGCUUCUUUGAUUUUAUUUCCAAGACCUCUUUAAUUAUGAAAACCUUUCUUGUAUGGUCCUCGAUUAGUGGGAGUUUAAAAAAUAAUUCCAUCAUCCCACCAUCCUAACGCCAACACCCCCAUCCCCAAAUCCAACUUGCCUUUUUAAGAACCUUUGAAGAAUCUAAGUCUUAUCCAUGCAAGGAAAGUGCAAUUUUACUUUCAUAGUCAACCAGUUAGUCUUACAAUCCUAGCUUCAUAUGAAAACAACUUGUACAAUUAUUUCCAAAAGAAAAUACAAGUUAGAAGAGAUAUCCUCAUCCCAAAAGGAAGUUCAUCACUUUUAAACUAAAAAUUUCAAAUUUCAAAUAAUUAUGAAAGGAUGACCUCUAAAUAUUCCAGCCCACAAGUCUACCAAAUCUUAAAAAUAAAUGGAAGAUGUUCAUAAUUAUGUCGAGUAAAAUAAAAUCCUUCCUUUAUGUUAUAAAACUUUCUAACCAAUUGCUUAUUUAAAUAAAAAUUUGCUGGAAAAAUUCCAGCCCCCAAGUCUAUCAAAUUGGACAUGGGUUAGCCAUCGAUUAGCUCACAUUGCAACCUUGAAAUCUCCAUUCAUCAGCUCUCAUUGCAACCUUGAAAUCAUACCUCAACUUUCAAUUCCACAAAUUAGCAAAUUCUCAGCCUCAAAUUUAAGCAACUCCCAGCCAUGGAUUUUGCCUUAAACCAGCCACUCAUUAGACUCCUUCUUGGGUUGUUUUGCUGCCCAUGGUGGUGUGCACCCAAGGCCCCUACCAUAGGUGCUUUGAAGCACAUUAUGCUUACUUCUUUUCCAUAUUACAAAUUUCAUUAAACAUGAAACAUCUUGCAUAGCAAACUAAAAUAAGGCUUUUCUAAAAACAAUUUUAUAAUUCCUUGUGUGUGAAAACUCUUUCCAAAAAGAAAGGCCUUAAAAAAAAAUAAAUAAAAUUCAAGUAAAAUCUCUUAAUGAGUCCAAAAAAUGUGGUUUUAAAUUAUAAAAGUCUAAUAUAAAAAUAUAAUUGAAUAUAGUAGUCCCAUUAAUUAUAAUUGUAGCUAGGAUGGGCUUCACACUCUUCUUAAAAAUCUAAUACACAUUGAUUCAUUGAACCCAAGCCUUCAAAUACUUAAAGGCCUAAUACAUAUUGGUUCGUUGAACCCUAGCAGUUAAAUAAUGAUCUAUGAAAUUCCUUCAACAGUCAAAUAAUCAUUUAAGAAAUUCUCAAUUCUCUCAUAUGAAGAAGAAGAAGAUUCCAAACAUGAGUCUAUUUUUUAUUAAUAGCAUGCAAAAUUGGAUCAAAGAUUUAGCAUAUGGUAAGCUAAUUCAUGUUUGAUUUGUAUUACUUUGGGAUUUCUUUAACUUUCAAUCAUUUGAAAGUAGAUGAAGUCAUAUUUUUAAAUUUUUAUGGUUCCUCUAUUUUCUUCUUGUUUUUAUUUUGAUAUUUGAUGUUAUUCUAAAUCUAAGACAUUCUUCCUCAUUUUCUUACAUAUUCUUUUAGGUUUCCAUGGUUGAAUACUAGUUAGUAUGCUCUUUGAUGCAUAACAUCUACGGGAUGUAAGUCAAGUGUGAGUUUUGUAUUGAUCCUAAACUUACAUAUACUUUCCAUAAUCUUAUUUCAUAAUUAAUUCUAAAAUGUGAAUUAUAUUGACUCUAAUUUUACACUUACUUCUCCUACUAUUUAUAUUUGAUUGUGAAUUCUAAAAUUCUUUAUUAUUACAACUCUAAAAGAAUUCAUUAAACAAAUAUACCUCACUAUUAUCUUUGGGCUAUUAUUGCUCAUAAGAUAUUGAUCACUAUGUCCUUUUACUAUUGCCAUUUUAAAUGUAAGAUAGAUACUAGUACCAUCUUCAAGUUUUAAAAAGUUGUGCUUAUUUAGAGCAUGACCAUAGUAGGGAGAGUUCCAUCGAUGUAAUCCUCAACCCGAUUGACAAUGAUUACAUUCAGAAACUAAUUUUUCUAGAUGAGGUAAUUGCUUUAAUCCAAUUUGAUUGUGAGUGGUUGGCUAAGAGUUGGAAGAGAUUGAUGAAUGAACUGAGUAGGGUAAGAUGUUUUGAAUCAAAAACUGGUUUCUGGAAAAUUUUGUUACAUGUUUGGAAUCUGUGGAGGAAUUUCAAUAUUAGAUGAGGGAUUUGUAGCAUAAGAGGUUCCAAGAGGGGUUGAUGAAGAUGAAUCCAUUUUGGAUUGAAGCAACUUUGAUACCAAAUUGGAUCUGGAAAAGAUAGCACAAAGGAAAAGAAUUCAAAGAGAAGAAAGGAAAAUAGUGUAAAGAGGCUCAAUUCAUUACUGAGCAGAGCAAGAAACAUUCUUUAUAUAAGCAGUUAUGUACACAUAGAGGGAAAUCUCACCCUACAUAGUAAUUAUUUACAAUUACUUACAGUGGUUAAAAAAAUUGAAUAUAUCUCCCCCCACACUUGCAAUGAGAAUAUCAACGACGACAACGAUCAGAGCGGUAUGGUUUCUAUAGCCACAGAUUUGGCAAGGACCACGGGGUCGAUUUCCAUUCCAAUUCGAAGAUUUCUUGUGAUUAUUAUUCUGAGAUGAAGUGGGAAGCAAUGGAACAGAAUUAGACUGACUAGCCCCCAUGUUUGCUUAAGGAAAAUCAGUAGAGCUCUUAAGUAAAAUUNNNNNNNNNNNNNNNNNNNNNNNNNNNNNNNNNNNNNNNNNNNNNNNNNNNNNNNNNNNNNNNNNNNCCCUAUGGGGGAAAUUCCCCCCCCCAAAUAUUAUUUUUUAAAAAUUUUUCCACGGGUUAAAAAAAAAAAAAAUUUGGUUAAAAAAAAAGAAAAUAUUUUCCCCCCCCCCCCCCCCCCCCCCCCCCCCCCCCCCAAAAAAAAAAAGAAUAUAAAAACUUAUGUCAUUCAUCAUCAUUUAAGAAAAAAGCUUAUCAAAUAACCUAUUAGAUAUUUAAACAUAUUGAGGGUUAACAUUGUUCAACUUUAUAUUGACAUAAUUAUUAUUUAUUAAAAAAACAUGAUCAUUUUAAAUACAAAUCAACUUAAAUUAGCUCGGUAUAUUGUUAAACUUAUUACCUAUCAGUUUUAGCUUUUAGGUUAAAUUUGUAGCUUAAUAUGGUAUUAACAAUAACAUUGAGAAUCACCAUUUCCUUCAUUUGAUAUCUCAUAUCUCGUUCACAUGUGAAGGAGAAAUAUUAACUUAAUAUAUAUUAUUGGGAUCCCAUGAGUAGCUUAACAGUUCUUUUAAUCUAUGCUGCAAACUACUAUCCACCACAAGUUGUACAAGCAAUAUAAUAUACUCUUGAUACUUUUAUUACAAUUAAGACUCUACAUUGAUGAAUUUCCUGAUUAAUCUUUGGAUAUCAAUUAACCAUUAAAAUUAUUAUUUGGGAGAAAAUCUUAAGAUAAAGUUUAGACAUAUUUUAUAAAUCCCCCCCCCCCCCCGCUAGGUGUUCCCUAUCAAACUUUCGGUUAUUAUUCGAGUGGUAUUGGAGCAAUACCUAUUUUUCAAUUGGUAUCAGAGCAAGAUAACAAACUGAUUCUUUAUCCUAUUGAUUAAAAAUUCAAUUUAUUAUUUUUUACAUUGUUUAAAAAUCAAAUUUUUAUUAAUCAUAUUAGAUAAAAAUCAAAUUUUUAUUAAUCUUAUUAAAUAAAAAUCAAACUUUUAUUGAUCUUGUAAGUCUGAUAUGGAAUAGUCAAAAAGUGGUGCUCCUUUGAAUAGUCUACUCUAUUAUGAUGGGCGUAAUUACUCCCAUUGGAAAGCAUGAAUGAUGUUUUUCCUCAAAAUGCAAGAUGAAAGAGUAUGAGACACAAUUGAAUAUGGUUAGGGACCAUCAUUAAUUCUUAAUGCUCAAGGAAGAUCAACAGGAGAACUUAAACCUAAACAUGAAAGGACAAAGCCGACACUGAAGGUAGUGAAGCCAAUGCUAGAACUUUAUUUAGUAUUCUUAAUUGAGUUUGUUUAGAUGAGUUUCACAUGAUAGCUGUUAGAGCAACAAUCAGAUAUAGUUUGUUUUAUUUGUAUCUAUCUUAUUGUUGUAACUAUCAUCCUUUAAUCAUGUAAGUAGUUAGCUGAUUUUAUGUUAUUUCAAACUCUGUAAUUUAGCUAAAGCUGCUCUUGUAUUCAUUAUUAACACAACAAUAUAAUACAAACAUUCAUUCUCAUAUUAUCUUUACAUGGUAUCAAAGCCCUCAUUCUAAUUUUUUGAUCAAUCAUGACUUCUUCUCAAAUGAUCCCUUCAAAUUCAAUCUCUUCUUCUACUCAUCAUACCUUCUUUGUCAAGCUUACUUCAAGAAAUUAUCUUGCUUGGAAAACUCAAUUUAAUCCUCUUCUUAAUUACCAAAAUCUGACUGGGUUUGUUGAUGGUUCAACUGUUGCUCCAUCGAAAACAAUUAAAGAUUCUUCUACUCUUCCUACUAAGAUUCCAAAUCCAGAAUAUGAAACAUGGUAUAAAAAGGAUCAUAUGUUUCAUUCCUGGAUCCUUUCUUAUCUUUCAGAAGAGAUAUUUCCUUAUGUUAUUGGGUUAUCUUCAUCUUAUGAAGUAUGGCAGGCUCUCUCUCAAGCUUUUGGUUCAAUUUCUCAAAACCGACAACUACAAUUGCACAUUGAACUCCAAGAAUUGAAGAAAAAUGAUCUCUUUGUCUUAGCAUAUUUGCAACGUGCUAAAGCUCUAGCUGAUGAGCUAAAUGUGGCAUGUCGUCCUCUUGCCCUAGCAGAAUUUAAUGCAAUAAUUUAUCGCAAUAUUGGCAGUGACUAUCAUGCCAUUAUCACUGCCUUAAAUCUUCGUUCUGAACCAGUGUCAUUUCAUGAACUCCAUGUUCAACUUAUUGCUCAUGAAAUUUUACUUAAGAGCUCUACUGAUCUUCCUUAAGCAAACAUGGUGGCUAGUCAGUCUAAUUCUGCUCCAUUGCUUCCCACUUCAUCUCAGAAUAAUAAUCACAAGAAAUCUUCGAAUUGGAAUGGAAAUCGACCCCGUGGUCCUUGCCAAAUCUGUGGCUAUAGAAACCAUACCGCUCUGAUCGUUGUCGUCGUUGAUAUUCUCAUUACAACUCUCACAACCAAAAUGCAACUUCUCAUGCUAAUUACUCUUCAGCUGGUCAUUCUCAAAAUAAUUGUGCAAGUUCUCAAGUUCCUGUUGCCAACUACACUCAUGGAGGUUCCACUAUGCCAUGGUAUCCUAACACAACAGUGAACUAUCACAUCACCCCUGAUUUAGCCAAUCUCAGCAUUGCUUAUGAAUAUAACGGACAUGACCAACUCCAUGUUGGUAAUGGACAAUGUUUGCAAAUAACUCAUAUUGGUAUCACAUCCCUUCCUUCAUAUUCUGGUUCUCUCUCUUUAAAAAAUGUUCUUUGUGUUCCUCAAAUUGUCAAAAACUUACUUUCAGUUCAAAAAUUUACCAUUGAUAAUUCCUGCUUCUUUGAAUUUUGGUCCUCUUAUUUUCUUGUCAAGGAUCAAGUGUUCAUGAAAAUCCUCCUGCAGGGCCUAAGUGAAGAUGGAGUGUACACUUUUCGCCCUAAUGUCAAGCAAGCAUUUACACCUGAAGCACCAACCAUGGAUGAAUGGCAUGCUACUUUGGGACAUCCUCAACGGCGUAUCUUGUCUAGUUUAAUCAAGCAAUUUCAUUUACCUUGUUCCAGUAAUUCUAGUUCUCUUUGUUCUUCUUGCAUUUUGGGCAAACAUGCUAGACUAUCUUUAGGAUCAGUUCAACAUAAAAGUACUGCUCCCUUUCAACUUAUUUACUCUGAUGUUUGGGGCCCCGCUCCUUUGUUGUCCAGUCUUGGCCAUCGCUAUGCUCUUAUUUUCAUUGAUGAUUAUUCCCGUUACACAUGGGUUUAUUUGAUUAAAAAUGAAACUGAUGUUUAUUAUGUCUUUCUUCAAUUUGAGCAAUUCAUUCAUCGUCAAUUUAAUCAGAAAAUUUUGGCAUUCCAUUAGGACGGGGGAGGGGAAUACCGAAAACUAAACACCUAUUUUAAACAAGUUGGCAUUGUUCACAGACUUGCAUGUCCUCAUACUCAUGAACAAAAUGGUGUUGUAGAACGGAAAAUUCGCCAUCUUGUUGAUACUAGUCUUGCACUUCUUGCUCAUGCUAAUUUACCACUACGGUAUUGGAAUUAUGCAUUUGAAAUGAGCUGUUCUUCUAUUAAUAAUUUGCCCACUCCAGUUCUUAAUAAUUCUUCCCCAUACUUUGUUUUAUUUCACAAACACUACUCAAAAGCCUUUUGGGUGCACUAUUUUUCCUCUAUUACGUCCAUAUAAUAACCAUAAGUUUGCAUUUCGGAGCACUCCUUGUGUCUAUCUUGGUCCAAGUCCCUCUCACUUGGGUAGUCGUUGUCUUAAUUUAUCAAAUGAUAGGGUCUAUAUUGCUAGGCAUGUUGUUUUUAAUCCUAGCCUCUUUUUGUAUCGUUCUCAUAUUGCAGCAUCUCAAGCUCCAAAGGACUAUUCAAAUUUCCCAUGGCUUCAUAUUAAAAGUGUACCUCCAUCAUCCACGAGUUCUGUUAGAAAUUCAGGUCAGACCUCUACUCCCUCUAAUAUUCCUUUAUUUUCUACCACUGAUCAAUCUUCAAAUAAUUCCUUAUUGUCAACUUAGUCCCCACCUUUGACCACGCCACCCUCCUCUCACUCUUCUAUCCCACAACAAUCACCUUCAUCAGAUUCAACCACUAAUCCUCCACUAUCUCUUAUUGUUGAUCUCACCCAUUAACUAGCUCAACUAAAUGUUGCGUCUUCUACCUCAACCUCUCCUCCUCAAAUUCACCCCACGCAGCUUCGUUCUUCCACCAUGCAAAAACGACAUGCUUGUCUUUCCACCAAAGCUAAAAAUUACCUUAUCACAGAACCACAAACCUUCACUCAAGCCAAACCAUACGCUGAAUGGUGUGAUUCAAUGCAAAGUGAAAUUAAUGCCUUGCUUCAGAAUCACACAUGGGUUCUUGUUCCUUGACCUCCAAUUGCCAAUAUCAUUGGUAGUAAAUGGGUUUAUUGAAUUAAAAGGAAAACUAAUGGGAAGAUAGAUCGAUUUAAGGCUCGGCUCGUUGCGAAGGGUUACUUGCAGCAGCCUGGUAUUGACUACACUGAGACCUUUAGUCCUAUGGUUAAAGCUACUACAAUUUGGACUAUUUUAUCAAUUGCUACUUCUUCACAUUGGUCAAUCCGCCAACUUGAUAUCUCAAAUGCGUUUUUACAUGGUUUUAUUGAUUCAGAUAUUUAUAUGGAGUAGCUCAUUGGCUUUCAAGACUCUUCACAUCCAAACUAUGUGUGUAAGUUCUCUAAGUCGUUGUAUGGUCUCAAACAGGCCCCUAGGGACUGGUUUCACAGACUCACUUCCUUUCUGUAGGACCUUGGUUUUCAAGCUUCAAAGGCUAAUUCUUCUUUUUUUAUUCUUCAUCAAGGUGCUCUUAAAUUCUAUGUUCUAAUUUAUGUGGAUGAUAUCGUCCUUACUUGCUCUGAUUCUACAAAACUGGAUUGGUUUUUAAGUAAGAUCAAAUCAACCUUUCCAGUUCGAGACCUUGGAUCCCUUCAUUUCUUCUUGGGUAUUGAGGCACAAUUUUCGGCUGAUGGUCUUCUCAUCACCCAACAAAAGUACAUUACUGAUUUGGUGGCCAAUUCUAACAUGUCUGACUGCAAGCCUUGUUAUACACCUAUGUCGACCAGCCCUCCACUUUCCAAACUCUUUAGUGAUCCUUCAUAAAAUGCAGAGCAAUAUCGCCAAGUGGUUGGAUCCUUGCAAUACAUUACUCUGACUAGACCUGAUAUCUCAUUCUCGGUCAAUACAUUAUCUCAAUUUAUGCAUCAGCCCACUCAAGAGCAUUGGACAAUAGCUAAGAGGCUGUUGCGUUAUCUUAAGGCUACUGUUGGUUUCGGUUUGUUUUUCUCCAAGCAUUCCACUCUUGAUUUGCAAUGCUUCACUGACAGUGAUUGGGGUGGUUGCCCUAAUGAUCGUUGAUCAACAAAUGGUUAUGCAGUCUAUCUAGGCAAAAAUCUCAUUUCAUGGACUUCGAAGAAAUAACCAACCAUUGCCCGGUCUUCCACCGAGAGUGAAUAUCGUGCUCUUGCUAACUCUACUGCUGAAAUUAUGUGGCUUCGAUCACUUCUCUCUUAACUUGGCUUCUCUUCCUCAAAUCCAACUACAUUGUGGUGUGAUAAUGUGGGAGCUAUUUAUCUAUGUUCGAAUCCUAUCUUUCAUGCCCGAACAAAACAUAUCAAACUUGGCUAUCAUUUCAUUUAAGAACAAGUCCAACAACAAAUCAUUCAGGUUCGUUUUAUUUCUUCAGAUGACUAGAUUGCUGAUAUUCUUACCAAACCACUUGGUCAGCGUCUAUUUGUUAAGCAUCGAGACAAGCUUCAACUUUGUUCUUCUCCACCUUCAGCUUGACGGGGGGUGUUAGAGCAACAACCAGAUAUAGUUUGUUUUAUUUGUAUCUAUCUUAUUGUUGUAACUAUCAUCCUUUAAUCAUGUAAGUAGUUAGCUGAUUUUAUGCUAUUUCAAACUCUAUAAUUCAGCUAUAUAAGCUGCUCUUGUAUUCAUUAUUAACACAACAAUAUAUUACAAACAUUCAUUCUCAUAUUAUCAUUAAAAUAGCAAAUUGUAAACAUGCAAAGGAAUCAUGGGAUAUUCUUCAAGUCACUCAUGAAGGUACAUCUACUGUAAGGAUUUUAAAAUUGCAAAUGCUUACUACUAAGUUUGAGAAUAUUAAGGUGCAUGAAAAUCAAACUUUUUCUUCCUUUUAUUGUAAAUUAAGUGAUAUUGUAAAUUCUUCAUUCAACCUUGGAGAACCUAUUCCUAAUUCUAAGGUAGAAAAUAUUGAGAUCCCUUCUAAAGAGAUUUAGACCUAAAGUAGCUGCCAUAGAGGAGAGUAAGGACAUCGAUUCCAUGAGAGUUGAUGAACUUGUAAGCUCUAUUCAAACAUACGAGAUGACCUUACCUAGUUCCGAAAAGCCUAAAGACUCUACUUUUAAGGCUUUUGAGGAUGAGGUAAACGAUAAUGAAAUGUCAUAUGAUAUAACGAGUGAUGAAUUGACUCAUAUGGCUAGAAGGAUUAAAAGGGUCAUCAAAUUCAAUAAAAGGUUCUAAAAGAACCAAGAAUCUGGAAAAGGAAAAAAACCUAAUGAACAAUCAUCCAAUGGGAAAAGAAAAGGUUCCUCCAAAGGUAAGAAUGUUGAAUGCAUUAACUAUGGAGGUUUGGGACAUUAUGCUCAAGAUUGUCCUAGCCCCAAAGACGCCAAAAAGUCUAUGCAAGGAAAAUGGAGUGAUACUAAUUUUGAAGAGAGUGGUUCCACAACUUUUAAAAUGUAAGGUACGAUCCCAAUGAUUUGUUAGCUUUUAUUGCAUCUGUUGAAUCUAUGCAUGAUAGUGAUUGUAAUAGUGAUAAUGAUGAUGAUGAGUUUACUAAUGAACAAAGGGUUGAAUUCUUGAGUAAUCUUGUUGUUGAGCAUGAAAGACUAAUAAAGAGUUGUAUGAAAAAUAAUGUUGUUUUGAAGCUCAUAAAAAUAAGAUUGAUGUGCUUAAUGCUAAAAAGACUAAUCUACUUGAGAAAGUUAGAUUAAAUAAUAUAAAAGCGUAUAAGUUUCCAACUAAUUUAAUUUUUUUCCUUAUUUCAAUGGAAAAAUCAAACACUAGAAGUUUUUUUUUUUUAUCAUUUUUUCUUUCUUCAAUUUUUUUUUUUUCUAAGAACCAAACAUAAAAUUAUAUAUAUAUAUAUAUAUAUAUAUAUAUAUAUAUAAACACAAACAGACCCAUUUCAAGAGGAUAGAUCGUCUCAAGCCUCUUGAUUACAGAAUAUAUGUGUCAUGCCAAAGACCCCCUCCAAGGACGUGACUAUCAUUUCAAACCUCAAGUUUGAAGAUUCAAAGUGCAAAUGACUCAAAACAAUUAUCUUGUAACUGUAAGAUCACUAAUUACCAAUUCUUAUUUAGAGUAGUAAAAUAUAUUGUAAUCCUCAAAAUUUAACUUAAAAAAACUAACACAUCAAUCACUUUGCUAUUGUCCUAACAACUUCAAACCGAAAUGGUUCAAACAGUAAUUAAUUUCUAACAUUUAAACAUUGUCCAAAGAUAAAGUUUAAACCAAUGGCCUAAUAAUGACAAAUUUCUAGCCUAAUUAUCACUCCUCGCUUGAAUUGAGAGUAUUUGAAAAAAAAUUAUCAAUGGAUGAGAGUGAAAUUAACUCAUAAAAUUAUUGUUCCCAUAAAUAUUUUUAUAUGUUUAACUACAACUCAGUUGCAAUUAGUAUAGAAGGUUUUUCUAAGUUGAGUGGUUAUGCCUCAUGCAAGGUUCUAUUUAUCUAAAUUAUAAAAUUUGAGUCCUAAAAGUUGGUCAAGAUAGACAAACUCCUAUGACACCAAGCCCUUUGUAUAUUUUCUCCCUUGUUCUAAUUUUUUUUAUCUAGUCAAGUGUUUUGAUUGACUAUAGAUGAGAGGAGUUCAAGUUUAAUAUUCUACUAGGUUUGCUUCGUCAGUGUUUAUACAAGAGAGAGCUCUUCUUUUCUCUACACUCACUACAUAAAAAUGCGUACCUUUCUAUAGAGGUGUAUAGGUACAGACACAAACAACUCUCUUUCUUUGUCUCUCUCUCCACGUCUUGAGUAAGACUUUGGAUUUUGGAUGUUAGGUGUAUGCUCAUGUAACAUUCACUACCAUGGGAUUCUUUUUUCACUACGUCAUAAGGGUAUCAUGAGAGUACUAAGAUAUGCCUAGAUCUAGGUCUUUCACUAUUUGUUAAUAUGUUUUUGAGGUUCUACUAUUAUUAUUACUAUUGAGUGUAUUAUGUUUAUAUUUCAACAUUAGCUUUAAAGCACAGGUUGUAUCAUUUUUUUUUCAAGAAAACAACUUUAACUCCCCAUUGGAUCAUUUUUUAAAUGAAUUUGAAGGUGAUAUCAAAAUACUCUACUCAUCUUAAGCUCUUUUUAUGUAAUAUUUUAUCAACAUUUUAGGUAAAAUUAAUAAAUAAAAAAAUAUGGUUUUUUUUUUCUCUUGCUUUAUAAGUAUCCAUCUUAGGAAAUAGUGUUUUUCUAACAUGAACUUCAAGACACCAAAACUAGAAAAUAAGUAGACUAAUGGAAUCCCCGGACCAAAAAGAGGAGAUUGAUUGCAAUUGGGAGGCCUACAACAAUCAGGAAAGCAUCGCAUGGAACCCACAUACCAAGAAGGCAUAACAACGUGGAUUGCUAUAUAUAGGGCAUGCGUUAGCCAUGCUUGUGUGCACAACCAAUGUGUGAUAGUGCUGUAGUAUGUCCUUUCUUGACACCAACUGCAAGUGAUAUAUCCCCAGUUUUUCUUUGUAUUCGAAGAUUUUUUUUUCAAUUUUUGUGUAGCCCACCUUGUAUUUUAAAAGUAAAAAAGUACACUUUUUAUUUUUAUAGUAAGUGGGAAAGCAUUUAGGGUUUAUUGACCAUGUUGUUUGGACAAAAAUGUUUCAAAAUAUUUUUUUUUAUGUGAUGACCUCUCAUAUCUUUCCGUGAUUACUUAGAUUUUUUUUUUUUAUUAAUUUAUUAAUUAUUAAAUUUGUGUUUCAACAAAAAAAAAAAAAAAAAAAAAAUCACAAGAAAAUUGUUGUCUAAGGUGGUGUUUGGUUUUCGUCUGAAUAGAAAAAACCAAAAUAUUUGAUUUUUUUUAUUCAGUUAAAAGUAACCUAUUGAUAUCAACUAAUAUGAUUAAAGUGGACUUAUUACUAAUAAGUUACACAAUUCUCCAUUGGUUGCCUGCUUCCACAAGUUUCACCAUGUUGGGCACUUCUGUUAACAAUGUACUAAUUUUUUUUAAUAUAUUCACAUUUAUCGGAAAACAUAUAUGAUUUGAGACUUUAUGAAAAUAACACAUGUAAUACAAGUUUAUUUAAUAUAAUUGGGCUCAUAUUACAAACAUUCCCUAUAUCAUUUUUUGAAAAUAAAUAUAUUUAGUCUCUAUCCUUUAUUUACAUUCAAGUUCACUCCUUUUGUUAAAUAUUUUUAGGUAUACUUGAUUUUGGGGAUAAGCAUGGGUAUGAAGGGUUCAAAAGCCCCUUUAUUUCUUUAACUAAGAGACUAAUUAAUUAGAUAAUUUUUUGUAUUAAUGGUUCACUUUACUACUACUUUUCAGGACAUUUGUCAUAAUUUAAUAUAUGGAUUUUUGUAUGAAAAGGUAAAUUUCUAGUUAAAACUUGUUUGUUAGCUUAAUUACUACUUCUUGUGUCUAGCCUUCGUACUGCACAUGUCAAAUGAUCGCGGUGCCCUAACCUUUGGCUUUGGGUCAUCACAUCAUUAGCUCACAUUUCCAUGAGAAGGGUUAUGAUAAAUUGACAAUGAUGUUUCAUUUUAACAUUCCUUCAAAUUUUUAGGUUGAUGUUUUUCUUGUUGCACUAAAUCUCAUCAACAAGAUAUAAAGUAAAUAUUUCUCAAAAGGUAUAGCAAACACAAAUUCACGAAGAAGACCUACCCUUUUGUCUUCAAAAGAGAUAUAAAUGCUUGCAUACAUGUUUUUACUUGCAAACACUAAUGCUAUGCAUGGAAAUCCAUAGCUCAGUUCCUUUCCUAAGAAGAUGAAUGGCUCACACCACUGGCCGAAAUAAGCAUUCAACAGCACUCGAGCCUUCAAGCCAAAUACAGUGUCAUAGACUGAUACAUUGCCUACUAUUGAUAUAACACCUAUCACUAGUAAUCUCCACCCUGCUACAUUUAAAUUGUGAACUUUUUUAAAGAGAUCCUAACUUAAAAUCCAUGUAGAUUCUCUUUAAUUUAGAGCAUGGAUUUAAUAAGUCUAACAGGCUCUGCCUCUUUUGUCAUUCUCUUUAGCUCCUGUUCAAACCUUUCCGUGACUGGCGGAGGCAGGCAUAUAGGUAUAACAUUCCCUUCUUCUCCUUUGCUGUUCCUGAACCGCAUACAGAAGCUAAUAUUAGAUAAAGCCCUAGCAAUCCCACCAUAGACUGGCUUUCCCCACCCGAAGUCGAUCUCUCCAAACCCGGCACGUGUGAGAUCUGAAAUAAGAUAGUUCCCCGGCUGCGUAAAUGAGGGACGGCCCUUGAUGACCAUAAGAUCUGCCACUGAUUUCACAUACUCUUGGCUCAUUUCCGCCUUGGCUUUCUUCAGUAACCUUAUCGCAUAUUCCAAUGGGUUUUUACAUAGCAUUCCAGCCUUAGUAAUUGAAGCUGGAUAAACAAAAGCAUUUCCAUAGUAUCCUGGAGGCAGAUCGAAACCGCGCUUGCCUCGCAUAUUGAUUAAGCAUGAAAUGCGAACAACCUCAUCAGGGUCUACUGCAAAUGCAAUUGUGCGGCAUCUCCAUACAUACGCUAUUAGAACCUCAAACGUCGAGCAGGCACCGAGGCUUGCAGGAAGUCGGUUCCUAAGUGCUCUUAUCUCCUUGGGGCCAAAGAAGAAUGAUCGAUGAACCAAAUUAUUUUCGUCCAUGGUCAUUAGUGUGCCCUUGGCGUUGGUUACCUCCUGAUAUUCAUGAUGUAUACGGGUAAUUCGUGGCGGAUUUCGGGCAUUUAACAGCUCUCUUUGCCAUAUGGGCAGCAGAGAUGGCACAGACAGACCUUGAGCCAUCUCGCUUAUGGCGUCGAGGAAUUGGACCAAGCCAGGACCAUCACUCAUUGUGUGGUUUAGGCGCAAUGCAAAUAUAAAUCCUCCACACCUCAAUCGGGUCACCUGCAUUGUACCAAGAUUUCUUUAUCAAUAUAUGUUUUAGCAACAUCCAAUGAUUUGUAAACUUAACAUUUAUUACUUAAUAACUUAAGUUUAUUAAUUUAAAUUGUUAACUUAAAACUUAUUAUCUAAAUAUUAGGUUAUUUGAUAAAAUUUAUUUCAAAUCAUCAAAUUGACAUAUUUACCCUCCUUAAUUUUGAUUAAUAUUUAUUCUAAUUGACUUUAAUUUAUAUUUAUUUUCAUUAAUUUUAAGUAAUAAAUAUAUUUAUAAAACAUUGAUAUUUAUGUUAUUGUAGAUAUCUAAAAAUAACAAUAAAAUAUUUAUUAUAAAAAGUGGUUUCAAAAAGUUAUUUUUAGUAUUCCAAAAAACUAAAUGUUUUGACUUUUUCUAUUCCAUUAAAAAAUUAAAAGAUAAGUAAUAAGUAAAAAAAAAAUUAAAAACAAAUCAUCUAAAAUGCGAAAGUAAAUUACAUUUAACAUUAAGUUAAAUAAAUAAAUAAAACAAAUACCACUUGAGUUAAAUAAGUUAAAUAAGUUCAUUGAUGAUGGAGAAUAUUUACCUGAAUUAAGAUAAGAGGAGAACCAAGAAUUCCCCCGGAGCCAGGGACAUCAUACAGAAGCUCCUCGAAGCAGGGACACAUUGGUUGAAUUGCAUCACCAAGAUUCUCAAGUGUGGAAUCGGCAUCGGCUUCAAUGAACAAGACCCCUUCACCGGUGCAGUCCACCAUGAGUUUUCUAUUAUGCCCUUCAAUCAGCCUGCCUGCAAAUGGGUAGUAGUAUACAAGCGCCUUACCUAGAGCUUCUCUAAUGACCUUUACAGGGUCUUUUCCUUUCAUUAAAGGAUUGUUUGGGUAAAACAUUAUCACAGGAACUUGAAAGCGAAGGCCUUCUUGAUCAUCUAUAUCAGAAAGCUGCUUCACCUCUCGUGGGGUAGGGUUUGUAGGCCGAACAAAUUCUGGAUCAUGCCGUUUAACCGAGAAUACUAGAGGAGACGAUGACGAUGCCAUGUCCUUCCAGGCAAGGAGUUUGUUGAUGGAAUAUAGAAACAAUGAUAAGAGAAAAUUGCAGGAGUUUAUGUGAUGGUUUGCUUUGAGAAGAAGGUAGCUGAUAUUUGUAGUCUAAUGCUGCACUCCAAUAAUGUGGCCGACCAUUUUGCUCAGCCUACGACACGGUUUAGAUAAGGGGUAGAAUUUUAAUCGUGUUUCACGUGUAUUUUUCUCUCCGGGCCCUGGAAGCUCUUAGUGCAUAUUUGUGAAUUUAUCCCCUCAUAUGUUUUUAUUCAAAGAGUAAUCCAUUUUUGGUAUAAAUGUCCUUAACUAUUUCAAGUAUUUACAUUUAAAAGAAAGGAUUAUUUUUAGAAGAAAAAAUAAGGAUAUUUUUAUCAAAAUGAGAUCAAAAAAGGAUAAAUGGUUAGAUUUUCAAAAUUGGGUUCCCAAUGACCCUUUCAAUCAAAUAACUCUCUAGAUAAUACUUAGAAUUUUGGGUGUAUGAUUUUUCGUUAAACAAAGUUCUGAUAUCAUGUUAAAAUAUUAAUUUUCCUAAAAAAUUAAGCUUAUAGAGUUGGGUUCACAAUAUAUAUCAUGCUCUUUUGGUACCUUUUAAACAUGUUUUAAAACUUUUGUUCAAAAUAAUCUCUUUCUCCUUUUUCUAUUCAAAAUUUACGUUCUCAAAUGUAAUUUCAUUACAAUUCUAAAACCACAUCGCAUUUUUAGUGUAAAUUUGAAUAAGAUUAUGAAAUUAUGGUUUUCUUUUUUAUUUUUUUCUUUUUUUUUUUCUUUUUUUUUUUUUUUGUUUUGAGGAAAAGGAUUAGUUUGAACAACAAUUUGAAAAAAAGACUCAAAUGAGCUAUGAGAAAAUGACCAUUUUGACUCAAAAUUCCACGUAGAAAGUAUUUCAUUUACAUAUCUUGGACCACAGAUAUGUGGUCUGUAUUCGAUGAUGUUUGAUACCAUGGACUUUUCAGCAAUCCGUACUAAGAUAUCAACCAUACACCUGCCAUGCAUUAAUUGAUUAAGAAGGGUUCCCAUUCAAAAACCACAAAAAAAUAGAGCGGUUGUUGAUGUUGAGUUAUCAUUUGACUUAAGUUCGAUUAAACUAAUUAACAAUUUCACUUAAAAAGUAAUGGAUGUAUAAUUUACCUUUUUAAUUACAUAGCUCAAAAGUAUUAAAAUAAAUCAAAAUAUUUAACUUUUUUUAUUCAACUAAAAACAAUCAUACUAAUCAUAUUAACAAGUUUGACCUUUUUAAUCAAAUAACUCUUUAGAUAAUACGUAAAAUUUUGGGUGUAUGAUCUUUCGUUAGACCUUUUUAAUCAAAUAACUCAAAUGAGCUAUGAGAAAAUGACCAUUUUGACUCAAAAUUCCACGUGGAAAGUAUUUCAUUUACAUAUCUCGGACCACAGGAUAAGUGGCUGCCUGUGGUCUGUAUUCGAUGAUGUUUGAUAUCAUGGUGUAGGACUUGUCAGCGAUCCGCACCAAGAUAUCAACCAUACACCUGCCAUGCAUUAAUUGAUUAAGAAGGGUUCCCAUUCAAAAACCACAAAAAAUAUAAUCAAGAAAGGUUCCCAUUCAAAAACCACAAAAAAAUAGAGUGGUUGUUGAUGUUGAGUUAUCAUUUGACUUAAGUUAAAAUAGUUUUAAAAUAUUUUUUAAUAUUAGUUACAAAGUUAUUAAUAUUUUAGGUCAUUUUUUAUAUUCAUUUUAUCUUCUUUCUUAUUUUCAUCCAAAAAGUAUUUUUUAAAAUUUAAAUAUUUUUUCUUCAACUUUUCCAUUCUAUUUUUGAAAAAACAAACAUACAUUUUCCAUUGUAUCCAAAUAUAAAAAAUAAAAAAUAAAAAAUCAUUUUCCUUAAAGAAAAAAUCAUUGCAUCCAAACAUACAAACGUACACCUGCCAUGCAUUAAUUGAGUAAGAAGGUUCCCAUUCAAAAACCACAAAAAAUAGAGCGUUUGUUGAUGUUGAGUUAUCAUUUGACAAAACAUGUAUAAGUUGUAUGCCGUGGCCUGAAUCACCUUACUUUCUUAAAAGAACAUGUGAAACAUUCACUUGCAGCACGACCAAACCUGUACUAGUUGUAUGCUGUGGCCUGAAUUACCUUACUUUCUUGAAAGAACAUGUGAAACAUUCACUUGCAGCAUAGUAGUGUAAAGCACGUAAAUUGUCCCCAAUCUAAAAGUAGUAUUAUUCACUGGGAACGUGUUGUUCAUUCGUACAUGUAUAUUUGAAUGGAUCUUCAUAAGAUUUAGUAUGCAAAUUGUCUCUCGUUUUGCACAAGAUUCAAGGAGUUUCUACCAUUCAAUUCCUUUUUUUUCAAAUAUUUUUGUUUUAUGAAUCAACCCAUUAUGAAUAGUAUGAAAAACUUCAAACCAAAUGUUACAACCAAUCCUUAAGUAGUAUUAUUCACGUGGAAUGUGUUGUCUAUGCUAACAUGUGCAAGUGCAUGCAUCUUCAAAAGAUUUAGCAAUUAAAGAAGAAAUAGUCUUUCAUUUUGCACAAAUUUGAGAGAGUUUCUACCAUUUAGUUCAUUUUUAACCAAAUAUUUAAAUCUUUUUGUGAGGAAAAAUGUGAAGAGAAAACAAAAAUAGGGAGAAAAAUUAGAAAAAAAAUAAAUCGAAGUUAAUAAAUUAUUGUUUAUUUUUGUAUAUGCGGCUUUUAUUUUUUAUUUUUGUAUACGCGGCUUCACAUUUUGUAAAGAUUAAAUAAUUUAAAAGCGUAUAAGUUUCCAACUAAUUUAAUUAUAUUUUAUUUUUUCUAUAUUUCAAUGGAAAAAUCAAACACUAGAAGAUUAUUUUUUUUUUUAUCAUUUUUUUUCUUUUUUUUUUCUUUCCUCAACAUUCUUUUAAGAACCAAACAUAAAAUCAAUUAAUUAUACAUAUAUACACACACAAACAAACCCAUUACAAGAGGAUAGAUGAUCUCAAGCCUCUUUAUUAUAGAAUAUGUAUCAUGCCAAAGACCCCUCCAAGGGCAUGACUAUCAUUUCAAACCUCAAGCUCGAAAACUCAAAGGGCAAAUGACUCAAACAAUUAUCUUGUAACUAGAAGAUCACUAAUUACCAAAUUCUUACUCAGAGUAGUAAAAUAUACUAUAAUCCUCAAAAUUUAACUUAAAAAAACUAACACAUCAACCACUUUGCUAUUGUCCUAACAACUUCAAACCGAAAUGAUUCAAACAGUAAUUAAUUUCUAACAUAUAAACACUGUCCAAAAAUAAAGUUUAAACCAAAGCUCUAAUAAAGACAAAUUUGUAGCCUAACUAUCACUCGUCGCUUGAAUUGAAAGUAUUUGAAAAAAAUUAUCAGUGGAAGAGAAUGAGUUCAAACCCAAUAAGAAAUAUUAAUAUAGUUUCAUGGAUAAAACAUUUUCAACUAUGAUUACAAAUAGGAGGCAUAAUGUACAAUUUAUUUAUUUUUUAAAAAACUUUGAAUUCAAACAUGCUAAAACAUCCAAAACUUUUCAACCAAACAUUUUCAUAUUUGUGUAAAUAACAAUUUCAUAUUAAAUCUAAAUGAAAUGCAUUCAAAAUAUUUUUACUCUAAUUAUCAAAUAACAAAUGUUGUUUGAUUAGGUGAGACUUUGUUACCCAAUUAGGCGAAACUUUACAAAUGGGAGGCUACCCUUAAAUUUGUUCUUUUUAAGGUGGAUGAAACCAAACAUUACUAAUACUAAUAACCUCUAACCAAAUCCCUAGAGGAUGGGGUUUAAAACAAUUACAUUUCCCUCCAAGAAAUAUAAAGGUCUAAUAAUUAUAACAUGUUGAUUAAGGCCAAAAAGGUCAAUAAUUAUAACCCAUUUAUUAUGGCAAAAAAUGUCAAUAAUAUAACCCAUUGACUAGAGCCAAAUAAACCAAAGUCAAACACUUUGUUUCAUUUAUUAAAACUUACAAAAACAUUAUAUCUUCAUUUUUUUUAUUAUAAACAAAAGAAAAUGUUCUUACAUAUUUUUCAUGGAAAAUAUCAUUCAUCCAUGCAUAGAAACAAAAAUAAUAUUUUACAUAAUUCAAAAUAACAGAUAAAAAUAAAUUAUUUUCUCUUAGGUUAUGACACCAUGAUCAUUUCACAUGUGAAGUCUGAAGGCUUGACAUGAGAAGUAGUAAUUAAGCUAACAAAAAAGUUUUAGUAGAAAUUUAUCUUUUCAUACAAAAAUCCAUAAAUUAAAUUAUGACAAAUCUCCCAAAAAUUAGUAGUAAAGUAAACCAUUAAUUCAAAAAUAUAUAAUUAUAUUAGUAUCAUAGCUUAAGAAAUAAAGGGGCUUUUGAACCCUUCAUACCCAUGUCACUUAUUCCCAUAGUCAAGUAUACCCAAAAAAAUUUAAUAAAAGUAGUGAACUUGAAAGUUGAAUAAAGGAUAGAGAUCAAAUACAUUUAUUUUUCAAAAAUGAAAUGGGUAAUGUUUGUAAUAUGAGUUCAAUCAUACGAAAUAAACUUGUAUUAUAUGUAUUAUUUUUAUAAAUUCUCAAAUCAUAUAUAUUUUUCGUUAAACAUGUGUAUAUUUAAAAUAAAAAAUAAAAAAAUUGGUCCAUUGUUAACAGAAGUGCCCAACAUAGUGAGACUUAUGAAAGCUAGUAGCCUUAGUUGUUCCUUACAUAUUAGUGGGUGGAACCAACUUAAACCAUUAAGGGAGUUUAUGUCGACUCCUUUGUGGGCUUAAGUGACUUAAGCUCAUCUUGGGCUUGACUCACUUAAUCCAGUCCUCUAGGUAAUAAUUAAUUAAUUAACUUUAUUGGGCUCCAAUUAAUUAAUUAGCACAGUCCAAAAAGACCAUUCAUAAGCUCUUGUACAACCUAAAAUAUUUGCCAAAAUGCUCUUUUGCACACAUAUGAUAAAUAACCCAAUUAUCCUUUAAAUAAUGUGCCAUCAUGGAAUAUGAGAUAGAAUCAACAUUGGGACCAUAGGAAAAUAUUGGAUGCUUUAGAAUCAAAUUUUGAAAUUGACUCAACAUCCCACUAUGAGGAGUCAACUAUAUUCUAGUACUUGAUGAUAUUAAAUCAAGAUACUAAACUCGGGUCUAUGUCCUACUAAUCAUUGUAUGUAAGCUCCCCAUUAACUAGUGUCUAUAAUUUAACAAUGUGAAUAAUAUCAGUCUCUCAAGAUUACCUCUAUAAUCCUUGAGUCUCAAAUCCUCCUAUUAUGUGAUCAACUCGUUAGGAUAGAGCCCCUAAAAGCAUGACAUGAUGUAACAUGGACUUUAUUAAUAUUUAUAUUAUGAUUAUGGUUUUCCUUUCUAUAUUUCAUUUAUGCAUUAUAUAUGUUGAACAUUUAUACCUAACAUCUUUUGCAUUGUACAUAACGGGUGCAUUAGGAGUUGCAUAAAAAUCUAAGUCAUGGAUUCCUUGCAAGUAGAUGAUUUUAUCACAACUGGUUUAUAGACUUAGGUAAUCCAUUUGAGGUGUUAGUAUACCAACUCCUGAUUGGAGGAAUGAUUGUUCUUGAUCAUUAGGAUAAUUUUCCCAUGGGAAGUGCACUAGUGUGUAUGGUUAUACAUUGAAUAUGACCUAUGGCGAAUCAUGACAUUAGCUAUCGGUUAUUCAUAAUUCACUAAGUUACUAUUCUAUAUAGACUCUCAACCUUGAGAGGAUAUUGAUCUUAUGUUGAGGUCAUCAGGAAACUUUGACCUAUAGAUGAUAAGGUGGUUGUAUAUUCCCUAUGAACUGGGUUGUUGUUGAUAGAGGUUGGUAGCAAUAGGUAUUCUCAAUAAAGACUUCAUGAUAUCUCAUAGGGUUGAGAUAGUGUGUCUCCUCGGGUGAUCAUAAGGACACAUGAUCAUGAAAUUUGUGGCUAUAGUAAUUGCUUAAGUAGAAUUUGACAUAUACUCUUGUGAGCUAGAGUAUGUCAAUUGAUUAUAUAAAAUGAGGAUUUGACCUAUAGGUGAGACCCUAAGAUGGUUAUAUAUUCCUUAUGAAUUAGGUUGCUAUUGACAGAGGUUGAUGGCAAUAGGUAUUCUCAAUAAAGAUACCAUGAUAUCUCAUAGGAUUGAGAUAGCAUGUCGCCUUGGGUGAUCAUAAAGACAUGUGAUCAUGAAAUUUAUGGCUAUAGUAAUUCCUUAAGUGGAAUUUGACAUAUAAUCUUGUGAGCUAGAGUACAUUAAUUGAUUACAUAAAAAGAGGAUCUGUAACUCAAGGAUUGGAGAGGUAAUCUUUAGAGGUUGAUAACAUAUAGCUUGUUAGAUUAUGAACACCAAUUCAUGGGGAGACUACAUGCCGUGGAUAGUAGAACACGGACCUGAUUUAUAUCUUAUUGUAAUUUCAUAGGAUACUAGAGUGUAAUGGACUCUUUGUAAUGGGAAGUCAAGUCAAUUUUAGAAUUGGAUUAUAAGGGAGUUAGUAUUUUCCUAUGGGCCCUAGUGGUCCCCAUUCAAAAUAUUGGUUCAUGAACGACACGAUUUUAAGGGUAUGUUUGGGUUUUUUAUUCAUAUAUGCAUAAGGGUGUUUUAAUAAAAAUGCAAGCUUGCUUUGGUAAAUGUAAGGUCUUUUUUGUAAUCCAUAUUUUCUAACUUGAUGUAGUGAUAAACUAUGAUUUCCUAACAUUAGUAAUCUUUUCAUUAGAUAUUUUGUUUGAGUGAGAUUGGGAUUUUAAGUGCUUUCAAAGUAUUAACAUUUUCAUAUUAUUUACAAUGUGAUCAAAAUUGAAUAUGUAAUUAAUAAAAUUUAAAAAUGACUAAGAAAUUUAAAGAAAUAUGUCAAAUUUUCCAUAUGAAUUUUAAUUUAUUAAUUGGCUUGUUAUGACUAUUUUUCUUGCUUAAAAUUAAGUUUAGGAGCUUUAAAUUACUGACUUAUUAUUUUUAUUUUAUUUUUUUGUAUUUUUUCUUUUUCAAUUGUAGGUGAAGAUGCUAAAGCUCCAACACCAACCAAUAGUAGAGGACGUUAUGGCAUAAUUGAAGCAAAAUUUUGUGAGAAAGUGUUGAGGAAAAGAGUAGGAUAUGUCAAGACUCUUGGUUUUGACCCUUAACUAGUUUCAUUAUCUAGAUUCAAACCAUCAUCUUCUCAUCUUGAAGUAGAGUUGCAACAUAGACUAGCUGAGACUUAGCUACUUAUGGAGACUCAGCAAUAACUGCAUGUACUCGGUAGGAGGGAAUUGACUAUCUGGAGGUCCUACUGUAUUUGUAAGAUUAACAACAUCAACAAUAAUUUUUGAAGAGAUCUUAUGUCAUCUAUGAUUAGGCUAAGGGUGCUGAUGAUCCUUUAUGAUAUUCAUAUAAUGGAUCUUUCUUAUCCAUUUGUCCAUGUUGAUGUGGUUAUUCUUUUACUGACACUUUUUCAGACUAAUAUUUUAUUUUUUUAAUUUAGUGUUAUGAUUACUUGUUGGGGUUUUACAUAUAUUGUCAAUGAAGUUAUGUGAUAUUUAUUUUGAAUUUUAUAAGUAGGUUUGAGAGUAAAAUUUUUCUUUACAAUUUUCUAAUCGGAUUUAAAUAGUAUGAAAAAUUGUAUAAUUAUAAUAUAAAAAAUGAAAAUUGUAAAUACAUUUCCUGAUGAAAACAUUUCAUUACUAAAGAUAUAUCCCAAUGAAACUUUUUUGUUGUUGAAGGUUUUCAUACCAUUUACAACAAAUUUAUAAUUUAUUGACAAUAUUUUGGGAGACGAAAUUAUUUUGUUACUAAAAGGUUUUGGAAAUGAAAUAAAUUUGUCACUAUUAAUUAUUGACGAUUUUUGGGACAAAUUUUGGUUGUUUUCAAUGACAACUUCUUAGUUUUACCGAUGAAAUAUUUCAUUGGGAAAAACCUUUAGGGACGCAAAAUUUAUUUUGUUAGGGAAAAUUUUGGGUGAUGAAAUGAUACUUUCGUUGGGAUACUUUUAGCGACGAGUUUAGGGCAAUGAACAUGGCACGAAAUAAUUUUCAUCGGUAAAUGUCUUUACAGACGAAAUUCGAACUUCUAGUGACAAAAUAUUUUAUCAGUAAAAGUCUAUUUUCUUGUAGUGAAGGUUGCACUAGAUUAUAUGAAUGGUCUUUCUAAACUAGGCUAAUUAAUUAAUUAGAGCCCAAUAAGGCUAAUUAAUUAAUUAGGACCUAAGUGGGCUAGAUUAAGUGAUCCAAGCCAAAGUUGGGCUGAAGUCACUUAAACCCAUAGGAAAACAUAUAGAAAUCCCCUUAGGGGUUUAGGGCUUUAGUUUUAUGCUCUUCGCUUUGAGAUUCCAUAGAGAAAUCUUAGCCUCCCUUUCUAAAGAGAAUACUACCUUUCUCUAGUGCUUAGAUCUAUGAGAGAGAGUGAUUAAGCAAAAGGUUGCUUGGUUGGUGAGGCCUGUGAUUCAUUUUAUAGGACUUCAUCAAAUGGAAUUAACCCGAGAAUAUCCAAAUUGAAGGUAUGAUCUCUAUUAUUUCUAUAUCUAUGUUAUCUAUGGUUUUUAUUGCCACGUUUUUCCAUUGCGAUUAAUUCUAAAGAGCCCUGAAAUAGUAGCAUGCACCCUAAAUGAUCUAAGGCUAGGAAUGGAUGUUAGGAUAAAGCCUUUAAAAGCAUGACAUGAUGUAACAGAUUUAGAAUUCAUUAUUUAUUUGAUGAUAUUUCAAGUUCACUUUUAUCUAUCCUAAUUUCAUGCCUUAUACUCUAUGAGCAUUCUACCUUAACAUCUCUUGCAUUGUACAUGACUUGGGUGCAUUAAGAGUUGCAUGGAAAAUCCAAGUCAUGGGGCUCAUUGCAAGUAGAUGAUUUGUUCACAAUCGGUUUGUAAACUUAGGCAAUCUAUUUAAGGUUGUAGUGCAUUGCCAAUUGAAGGGAUGAUUGGUGUUGGCCAUCGGGAUAGGAUUCUCAUGGAGAGUGUACUGGUGUAUACAAUUACACAUUAUACUGGACCUACAGUGAGUCAUGACAUAAGGCUAUUGGAUAGUUCAUAUGUGGACCUCCAUUUUUCACGUGCAUUCUUACUCGAUGACGAGACUCACUUUUUAUUUGUGAAAAUUUGAUUUUUCGAAAAAAAUAUUGGAGUCACCACUUAUUUUAUUUUUUUUAGAAGGAAAACAAAAUAAGAAAUAAAACCUUAAAAAUGACUUUUGAUUUGAAAAAGCAUGUCUUUGAAAACCCAAGUCUAAGCCUAAAGAUCAAGUUACCUAUGGAAAACGUAUGGUGAUAAAUCGUAGCACCCAUCUAAGCCCUAAGGCAUGAAGAUUGAUUGGUUAAUCUAUGAAUACCGAAGAAUAAGAAUCAUGCAUGAUAAUAAAGAAUGUAGGAAAGAUAGAUUCGAAGUGUAACCUCAGCUGCAAGCUGAGUGCUAUUGUGAUGGACAAGGUUAGUGCACAAUGAGAAACAUAAAAUAUCUCAUGUAUAUCUAGGAAUAAAGCUAAAUCAAUCAUUUAUUUCAAUAAACAAGAUGACCAAAAUCAAUUAACAAAGAAGUACAUCAUGUAUAUAGGACCCUACCACUACCCAUUUUAUAUCAGCAUGGAUUAAUUAUAUGAGUUUCAUUAAUUUAGUAGUUAGAAAAUUUAUUUAUUUUAUUAAAAUUGAAAAUUUAUUAAAAAUUAGGGAAAUUAAAAAAAAAAUACUUGCCAAAAUAAAAAUAAAUGGCAGCAAGAAGUUUAUCAAAAUUUGGAUUUUAUCAAAAUAAAUGGCAGCACUCGAGCCUUCAAGUUAAAUACAGUGUCAUAAACUGAUACAUUGCCUACUAUUGAUAUAACACCUAUCACUAGUAAUCUCGACUCUGCUACAUUUAAAUUGCGAACUUUUUUAAAGAGAUCCUAAGCUACAUUUAAAUUCUUAAAAUCCAUGUAGAUUCUCUUAAAUUUAGAGCUUGGAUGUAAUAAGUCUAACAGGCUUUGACUCUUCUGUCAUUCUCUUUAGCUCCUGUUCAAAUCUUUCCAUGAUUGGCGGAGGCAGGCAUAUAGGUAUAACAUUCCCUUCUUCUCCUUUGCUGUUCGUGAACCGCAUACAGAAGCUAAAAAUAGAUAAAACCCUAGCACCCCCACCAUAAACUGGCUUCCCCCACCCGAAGUCAACCUCUCCAAACCCGACACGUGUGAUAUCUGAAACAAGAUAGUUCCCCGGCUGCGUAAAUGAGGGUCGGCCCUUGAUGACCAUAAGAUCUGCCACUGAUUUCAUGUACUCUUGGCUCAUUUCUGCCUUGGCUUUCUUUAAUAACCUUAUCGCAUAUUCCAAUGGGUUUUUACAUAGUAUUCCAGCCUUAGUAAUUGAAGUUGGACACGCAAAAGCAUUUCCAUUGUAUCCUGGAGGCAGAUCAAAACCACGCUUGCCUCGUAUAUUGAUAAAGCAUGAAAUGCGAACAACAUCAGGGUCUACUGCAAAUGUAAUUGUGUGGCAUCUCCAUACAUAUGCUAUUAGAACCUCAAACGUCGAGCAAGCAUCGAGGCUUGUAGGAAGUCGGUUCCUAAGUGCUCUUAUCUCCUUGGGGCCUAAGAAGAAUGAUCGAUGAACCAAAUUAUUUUCGUCCAUGGCCAUUAGUGUUAGAAAUUGAAUAGGAGUAUAAAUGAAACUGGAGAAAAUCAACUUUACUGAAUUGAAUAACAAACUUGGCUAAUAUAUAGCCUUACAGAAAAUAGCCCAUAUCUAGAUAACUCCUAAACGUGCUGAGAAGAUAACCCUCAGCAAAUAACAGAACCCAAAAUAAUAGAUAACUCCUAAACGUGGUGGUAACUAACCACUAAAGAUAAACAUAAAAAACUAACAUUAACCAAUAAGAUAAACAUAACAAAACUAACAUUUCCUCCCUUAAACUGAACACUACAAGUUUCAGUUUACAUUAGUUUUAGAGCAAACUCCCAAUUGUCCUCGCAGCUUGACAAAGGUAUUCAACUUGAGUGGUUUAGUCAUUAUAUCAGCUAACUGCUCUUGUGUAUCGCAAUAUACUAAUUCCACAGAACCAUCCUUUGUAAGGUCUCGAAGAAAAUGAAAACGGACAUCUAUGUGCUUACUUCGACCAUGCAUUACUGGAUUCUUUGAAAGUUUGAUUGCAGAGCUACUGUCACAUUGGAUAACACAUGACCUGCUUUGAUUUUGAUCUAGCUUUCCCAACACCCUUUUUAACCAUAGUGCCUGACAAGCACAUGAAGUUGCUGCAAUGAAUUCUGCUUCUGUGGUAGAUAAACUCACUACUGGUUGCUUUUUUGAUGACCAAGAGAUUGCCCCUGAACUUAAUAAAAAAACAUAACCUGAGGUGCUCUUUCGAUCUUCCAAAUCUCCAGCAUAAUCACUAUCAGUAUAAACAACAAGUUCAUCAUCUCCUCCCUUCCUAUAGAAAAUCCCAAAAUCAAUUGUUCCUCUCAGAUAUCGUAGCACCCUUUUUGCUGCCUGUAAAUGUAGCUUAGUAGGAUUUUCCAUAUACCUACUAAUAAUACUCACUACAAACAUUAGAUCUGGUCGAGUAGCUGUGAGGUACAUGAGACUUCCUACUACUUGUUUGUAGUAAGUCUUAUCUACCUUAACUCCCCCUUCAUCUUUCACAAGCUUACAACCAGGAACAAUAGGAUUAAAAACAGAGUUACUUUUAUCCAUUCCAAAUCUAUUGAGUACCUUUAAAGCAUACUUUUUUUUACUUAUGAAGAUACCAUCAGAUUUUUGCAAGACUUCAAGUCCAAGAAAAUAUCUCAUCUUACCAAGAUCAGUCAUAUCAAACUCAUGCUUCAUGGAAUGUUUAAACUCAGCAAACAUUAAUUCAUCAUUUCUAGUAAAGAUUAGAUCAUCAACAUAUAAACUAACGAUAAGAACUUUACCUUCCUUGUUAGUUUUGAUGAACAAGGUAUGCUCAUAGUCACAUUUUUCAAAAACUUCCUUCAUGAAAUAUGCUUCUAUACGACUGUACCAAGCACGGGGUGCUUGCUUGAGCCCAUAGAGUGCCUUCUUUAACUUAUAAACCUUUUGCUCAUUUCCUUUUUGCACAUAACCACAAGGCUGCUCAACAAAGACUUCUUCAUUCAACUCACCAUGUAAGAAUGCAUAUUUCACAUCUAACUGAUAAAUGGACCACCCUCUUUGAGCUGCAAGUGCAACUACCAACCGAAUCAUUUCCAUACGUGCCACAGGUGCAAAAAUCUCAGUAUAAUCUACCCUAAAACGCUGUGUGUAACCCUUCGCCACAAGUCGAGCUUUGUGCUUUUCUACUUCUCCAUUUUCAUUAAAUUUAGUCUUGUAAACCCACUUUAGUCCAAUUGUUUUUCCUCCCUUAGGUAAAUCUGUCAAUUCCCAUGUGCCAUUUUUCUUGAUCGUUUCCAUUUCUACAUCCAUAGUUGUUCUCCAUUUCUCACUUUUAACAGCUUCUUCAAAAUAAAUUGGAUCGGCAGCUGCAAACAUAGCAAGUUGGACUUCAUGCUCUUCCUCAGAAAGUCCUUCUCCUGUCUCAUAAUCGCUUGUCCAAACAGGUGGUCUUCUAUUUCUUGCGACAUUUGAAUUGGAAGGGUUGUCUCUAUUUUGAAUUAAUAAAUCAGAUGCAGUAACUGCAGCAUCAAAUUCAGCGGCUGUGGCAAUAGCAUUAUUUUCUUCUGUGUCUUCUUCUAUAUCAGCAUCAAGAUUAGAGUCACUUUCUUCUUCAUUCACAGUUGCUUCUUCCCCAUCAUAACCCCAUUCCAGAUCACACACGAUGGCUUCUUCAUACUUCUUAUCCCAAUCCCAAUUCUUGUCUUCUUCAAAUACAACAUCCCUACUGAUUAUGAUCUUUUGUGAAAUUGGGUCAUAGAGUCUGUAAGCCUAUGAUUCUUCACUAACUCCCAGCAAUACACAACUGAAACUUUUAUCAUCAAGCUUUGUUCUUUUAUUGUCAGGCACAUGAACAUGUGAAAUGCAUCCAAAAACUCUAAAAUAGUUAACUGAAGGUUUAAGUUUACCCCAAGCUUCUUCUGGAGUUUUGUUUUGUACUGCAAAGGUUGGACUUCGAUUCAAAACAUACACGGUCCAAUUUACAGCUUCAGGCCAAAAGGUUUUGGGAAGUUUUUUCGCCGAUAACAUACUACGAACCAUAUUCAUAAUGGUUCUAUUUUUAUGUUCCGCAACUCCAUUCUGUUGUGGCGUAUAUGCAGCUGUUAAUUUUCGUCAUAUGCCAUGAACAUCACAAAAAAUUGCAAAUUCCUGGGAUGUGAACUCGCCUCCUCGAUCAGUACGCAAACAUCUAAGAAAUGAACUUGUUUUCUUCUCAACAUAAGUCUUAAAACUUUUGAAAACAGCAAAGGCUUCUGAUUUCUCUACCAAAAAAUAAACCCAUGUUUUUCUACUAAAAUCAUCAGUGAAAGUGAGCAAGUACCUUUUCUUGCUGUUUGAGAUUGGAUUAAUCGGUCCACAAAUGUCUGCAUGCACUAACUGUAGAAUUUCAGCAGCUAGCUAGUUGCUUUUCUUUGGAAUUGAAGACCUGUGUUGUUUUCCCACCAAACAAUCUUUGCAUAGUUUAGAGGGAGGCUGAAAUUGUGGUAAUCCAUUCACCAUCUUCCUUUGUUGAAGAGUCUUUAAACCUUGAAAACUCAAGUGGCCAUAUCGACAAUGCCAAAGCUACAAAAUGUCUUCUGUGACUGUGUUAAAACAAGUAGAUGAGAUAGGCUGGGAUAGAGCAUGUAACAUAAACAUCCGAUUUGAAGACAUUUUGGUAUCCAUAAUCAAACCUUUCUGUGAAUGAAACACCUUACACUUGCCAUGUUGAAACAGAAUGGUAAGCCCUUUUUCUUGUAAUUGUCCAAUACUCAGCAAAUUAUUCUUCAACUCAGGGACAUAAAAGACUCCUGUGAUGAUCUGUGUCAUUUCAUUCACUUUCAGCCUUACAUUUGAUUACUACUCAAAAAGUGCUAUUUCAUAGCUUGUAAUUAAUCCUUUUAAACACUUUUGAGUAGUAUUUAUUGCCUUUUAACUCAAUUAACAUGUUAAGGACCCUUGUAAUCAUUUCUAAUCAAAUUGUGUAAGUUUUGGUGUUUUUGUUAGUAAUUUGAUCACCAAAACAAUCCAAGAUUGAGGAGAGUUAUUUGGAAUCCAUGGCAAAGCAAUGAAAAGCUCAAAUUCAUGAAGAAACCAAGCUUUGGAGCCUCAUAGUCCUUUGCCUUAGUCGUUCAAAGUAUGCAAGGAAAGAGCAAGGAGAAAGGAAAAACAGAGUGAAGAAAACAGAGAAAAGCCAUCUACAGUCUUCUUUUGCACUUUUGGAGCACUUCCCGAAGUCCAUUUUCUACAUUCUAUAUACCAUUUCAAAGCUCAGGAAGUUAAGAAUCCAAUGCUUCAAACGGUGCGCGAUUCGGAGUUCAAACGAAGGAGUUACAGCCAUUGCAAGAAGAUCAAUCCAAAGUGUUGCGAAAUCAGCCUUUUGUUGCGAGAAUUUCGCAGCCUUUUUGUACAGUGCUAUGGAAUUCCUCCUGAAGCUACCCGAUACAUGCCGCAAGCUGGAACGCUGAGAACCUCAAGGUGGAAGCCAAUUUCGCAGCCCUGCGAGUUUAACUUGUUGUUGCGAAAAUAUUUCGCAGCCCUCUUGAGUGUCUGCGAAAUCUCGCAGACACCAUUUUCACCUGCGAAAUGUCCUUAGCGCUUCCCGAUAUUUUUUGCACCGACUCUUUUGGAUAUUUUUCUUCAGAUAUUUUUGUAUAAUUUCCAUUUUCUCCUUGUAUUCAACCACUCAUGUAAUUCCUUAGCUAGAAAAUAUCCAAGGAAGGGUAAAUUACUUUCCUAUAUAAACUCCCUUGCAUCCACUGUAAAAUCAUGAGAUGUGAGAUAUAUGUAAUAUCGAUCAAUAUAUAGAAUAUACAGAGCCUUGCUCUGUUCUUCCUUCUCUUUCAUUUUUCAUUUUCAUUUUCUUUCUAGCCAACCAAACUUUGAGGAUUUUUCCACAGAGGAUGAGAGGCUAGGCUUUUUGUCUCUUAGAGUGAGGAAAGCCGGGUAAGUUUCCACAUGCAUAAUUUGGAAGUUUUGUUGUUUUAGUUUUUAAUGAAGAGUAAGUGUAACCCGUUAAUGGUUUUUAUCUUUUUAGUUAACUUAAAACGCCUUUAAAUCACCUGGGCCAACACUUGGUAAGGCAAGUGAUCUCCGUCCAUGGAGAUGCACUAGUUUACCCCUUGCGAGCCUUUGGGAGGUGACUUGAAGGUAGGAUUUUCUGGAAUUGCCAACACUUGGUAAGCUUUUGGACUCCAAGGAGACAUCCAUUAGUUAUCUCUUGCGAGCUUUUGACGGGUAAUCCAAGGUUAAAGAUCACCUUGAAUGGCAAGUGCUAGGUGAGAGGUAUGAGCCAUUGCAAGUUGCAUCAGUGAGAGGAAUUUAGUGUUUGAACCCAUUAAUGGGAAGCAUCUGUACAACACCGGUUGGAGAAGGAACUAUAUGUUAAUUCUCUAAUGCGAGGAAAAGAAACAAGUGACCGGAACUCCCUUUUUGUAUGAGGAACGAGCCUAGUGAUCUGAACUCCAAGAAACACUUUUCUUUGUAGUUAAAAUCAGUUACUAUUUGUGGUUAGUUUAAAACCAAACCUUUUUUCAAUUAAAGCAUCUUUAUGUUUUCUUUUAAAGCUAACCUUGAAAUGAAAAGGCACCAAUUCAGCUUUGAAUUAAUAUCAUUUGUGAAGUGAAAACCCAUCCCAGUGAACGAUCCUAGAGCCACUAUGCUAUAGUAGCUUUGUCUUUGCUACCCUAGUAUAUGGUGUAAUAGGUUAUAAAUUUUGUUGAUUAAUCCCUCAAUCAAGGAGCACCAGCUGGACACAAAUCAGCUGAGACACCAAUUGGGCACUAAUCAAAUGGCGCCGUUGCCGGGGACCGAACCUCGAAUCAAAUGGUGCCGUUACCACUGCCGCUGCUAGGGACGAAUCAACAUUCCCCUUUCCUAAUACAGACAUGCUCGUGUUAUUCCCAAGUUCACUGAAUCUCGAAAGGUUCCAUUAAAAUAUGAAAAAUAAUCUUUUUUUCCACACAUGAUUGCUGCAUCCAGAAUCAAGAAACCACAUAUCUUCUCGACUGGUUUUGUUUAGAUCCACAUACGCCAUCAACAACAUCUCCUCUUGAUUCUCUGCGUAGUAAGCCCCUGUCUCUCGGUGUGGACAUUCUCAUGCAAAAUGUCCUAGCUUGUGACAAUUAUAGCACUCCACAGUAGCCUUAUCAAAAGAUCUUCUGUUCCGUCCUCUUCCUUUUCCUCUAUAAUUUCCAUGACCACGACCUCUACUUCCGGAGUGAUCUCCAUGAGUAACUUUCAAAGCCUGUUCUUCUUCUAACACAUGAGAGGUCAUGCGUUGUUCAUGGACAAGAAGACUACUCUGCAACUCAUCUAUGGUUAAAGUGUCUAAAUCUUUAGACUCUUCAAUGUAACAAACAACAUAAUCAAAUUUGGAAGUCAUAGAUCGUAAAAUCUUCUCAACAACAGCAGUAUUUCCUUUAUCCUCACCAUUGACUUUCAUUUUGUUGGCAAUGGCAAGAGUGCGAGAGAAAUAUUCAUUCACAGUUUCUCCCGACUUCAUGUGAAGAAUUUCAAAUUCCUUCCUCAAAGCUUGCAAAUUUUCACGCUUCACUCGUGUGGUGCCUUGAAAUUUCUGCUUCAUAGAAUCCCAAAUAUCCUUCGUAGUCUUUUUGUUUAGAAUUGUCUUUAGGAUAGAACGAUCUAAUGCCUGAAAUAGAUAGUUUUUUGCCUUCAAAUCCUUUAACUGCUGAUCUUCAAUGUGCUUCCUCUGUGCAUCUCUGAGAAUAGCAUCUUCAGCCACUGCAGGAACUCCAUUCUCCACAAGUCCCCAAUACUCCUUGGAACGCAAGAAGUUUUCCAUGAGCAUUGCCCAGUGAUCAUAGUAGCCAUCAAAUUUCGUAAUAGCUGGCUGGACAAAUGAACUCUCUGUCGUCAUUGUUCAAAUAGAACACACGUAGAAGACUGCUGCUUCUAAAUAAUCAGGCCCCUAUGAUGGGGCUCUGAUACCAAAUGUUAGAAAUUGAAUAGGAGUAUAGAUGAAACUGGAGAAAAUCCACUUUACUGAAUUGAAUAACAAACUUGGCCAAUAUAUAGCCUUACAGAAAAUAGCCCAUAUCUAGAUAACUCCUAAACGUGCUGAGAAAAUAACCCUCAACAAAUAAUAGAACCCAAAAUAAUAGAUAACUCCUAAACGUGGUGGUAACUAACCACUAAAGGUAAACAUAAAAAACUAACAUUAACCAAUAAGAUAAACAUAACAAAACUAACAAUUAGUGUGCCCUUGGUGUUGUUUACCUCCUCGUAUUCCUGAUGUAUACGGGUUAUUCGUGGCGGACUUCGGGCAUUUAACAGCUCUCUUUGCCAUAUGGGCAGCAAAGAUGGCACAGCCAGACCUUGAGCCAUCUCGCUUAUGGCGUUGAGGAACUGGAUCAAGCCAGGAGCAUCACACAUUGUGUGGUUUAGGCGCAGUGCAAAUAUAAAUCCUCCACACCUCAAUCGGGUCACUUGCAUUGUACCAAGAUCAUCUUUACCAAUAUAUGCAUCACCUCCUCGUUUAUUUUGAUUAAUAUUUAUGCUCAUUAAUUUAACUCGCAUUUAUUUUUAUUAAUUUUAAGUACUAAUAAAUUUAUUUAUAAAACCAUAAAAUAUUUAUUAUAAAAAGUGGGUUAUGGAUGUAGAAUCAUAAUUCUAAAAUAUACUCUCACUAAAAUAAUUAAAAAAAAAAAGCUUUUUAGUAUUCCAAAAUACUAAAUCUUUUGAUUUUUUUUUAUUCGUUAAAAACAAAUCAUCUAAAAUAUGAAAGUAAAUUAUAUUUAGCAUAAAGUUAAAAAUAAAUAAAAAUACUACUUGAAUUAAUACGUAUAAUUAAAAAUAACUUUAAAUUGUAAUAUUAAAUUAUUUCAUCAAAUAUCAUUAAUUCUUAUAAUGAACACAUUGGUUGAAUUGCAUCACCAAGAUUCUCAAGUGUGGUAUCGGCAUCGGCUUCAACGAACGAUCAUGAGUUUUCUAUUAUCGGCAUCGGCUUCUCUAAUGACCUUUACAGUGUCUUUUCCUUUCAUUAAAGGAUUGUUUGGGUAAAACAUUAUCACAGGAACUUGAAAGCGAAGGCCUUUUUGAUCAUCUAUAUCAGAAAGCUGCUUCACCUCUCGUGGGGUAGGGUUUGUAGGCCGAACAAACUCUGGAGCACACCGUUUAACCGAGAAUACUAGAGGAGACGAUGACGAUGCCAUGUCCCUCCAUGCAAGGAGUUUGUUGAUGGAAUAUAGAAACAAUGAUAAGAGAAAAUUGAAGGAGUUUAUGUGAUGGUUUGCUUUGAGAAGAAGGUAACUGAUAUUUAUAGUCUAAUGCUGCACUCCAAUUUGAGAAAAGGGAUUCCUUUGAACAAUAAUUUGAAAAGAAGAGUAAAACGAGCUAUGAGAAGAUGACUCAAAAUUCCAUUCCACGAUAGAAAGUAAUUGAUUCACAUAUCUCUGACCACAGGAUGAGGUGGUUCCGCGUGGAACUCUGUGGUCUGUAUUCGAUGAUGUUUGAUGUCAUGUGUUGUACUUUUCAGCAAUCCGUAACAAGAUAUCAACCAUACACCACCUGCCAUGCAUUAAUUGAUUCAGAAGGGCUCCAAUUCAAAAACUACAUAGAGCGGUUGUGGAUGUUAAGUUGUCAUUUGACUUAAAUUAGAUUAAACUAAUGGAGGAUAAAGAAAUAGGGAACUGUAAACUUGAGAUCAAAGUUUGGAUUCUAGUUAACAAUUUAACUUAUGAAGUAACAAUAUCGGAGAGUUAUCAAUAAAUUCAACUUAAUUAUAUUGUUUGAUAAAUUCAUUUUAAUUAUAAUAAUUGAUAUCAAUAAUUAUUAAUUUAAUAAAAAAAUUAAAUAUUUUAAUUUUUUCUAUUCAGUAAAAAAAACAAACACCACUUAUUUCACAAUUAAUAAUUGAAAUAAGAAAACAUAGAAAAACGAAAAAAAAAAAUGUGAGAGAAAUAAGAUGGUUAAAUGGAUUGACUAAGCUAUUAAAAAAAUAAAACCAUGAAAAAUAGGGUUGUUUAUUAUGAGCUAUUAAUUUGACUAGAAAUUUAAUGAAUGGAUAAUGUCACACUAGCAUAAACUAAUGGACCAAUAAAUAAAUAAAUAAAAGUUUAACUUGUCACCUCUAAUUAAAUUAAGCUUCAAAUCCACCCACUAUGUUAAUGCACCUAAAAUAUCAUCACUAUCCUUUUCUUCUGCACCACACCUUUUUUUUAUCUUCUUUUCUCAUUUUUUUUUCAUAUCUUCAACAAAAGUCUAAAGUCAAAGCUUAUUCUCCCGAGUUUGUUUGUGAUCUAAAAAGUGUUUAAAUUAAGUUCAAAGUACAUUUCAACCUCUUUUUGUAGAUUUUAGUUUAUGUUCAUAACAUUAUAAUAAUGUUUGUUUUAUAUAACUGUAUUUUAAGGGCUAUUAAUUAUUUAUAUAACUAUUAACAAAUAUUUAUUAUAAAAAUAGUAAGGGAAGAUUUAGGAAUUAUUUAGAAAAUAUUUUGAGGUGAUCACGUUUCAAAAAGUAAAAGAAAAAAAAGGUAAGUGUCCAGACUCGAAAGUCCGAACGCUUUUAAUGAUGUUCAAAAUUAUAAAGUCGAACACCUUUAAGGAUAUUUGGAGGUAUAAUUUCAUAUAUUUUAAAAACCAUCCAAUCCUGAAAUUACAUAUAUUUUUAUCGAUUCCUCCAUUUUCAAGUGAUAAAAAAAAUGAAUAUAAUAAUCGAUAAAAAUAGCUGUAAUUUUAUCAAUUUUACAUGCUUUUAAAACAUGUGAUAUUAUACCUUUAGAUAUCCUUAAAAGUGUUCGACUUUGUAAUAUAUAUAUAUACACGCACUUCUAUAUUCCUCCAUUUUCCAGUGCUAAAAAAUGAAAAAAAAAAUUAUAAAGAUGGUAAAUAUGCACUUUUAACAUUAUUAUAGAUUAUUUAUAACAAAUGUUUUAAAAUAUUUAUUAGGAUUACUAAGAGAAUGGAAAGAAAAAAUGGGAGAAGAAAAACAAGAAGAUGAGUAUGCAUUAAUUUGAAAUGGGGUGUUUAGUCUUUCACUAAUGGAUACUUGUAUUAAAAAAAACGAUACGUAAGAAAUUAAAUUAGGUGGAUACAAAUAUAAAUUAAAAAAAGGAAAAAAAGAAAAAAAGAAUCCCGAGAUAUAUGCUGAAAUUAUAACUUGUAAUAAAUGUCAAAAUCACCCUUAUGCUCAUUUUGUUCAAAAGUUUAUAAAGUCAUCUAAUUAUCUAUUUUCCCUAAAUGCAUGUUUGGUACAUAGAAAUGAGAAGAGAAUGAGCAUCUCAUUCUUUUUCUCCUUGGUUCUCAAGUCUGGAUAACUUAAAUUAUGAUAGAAAUGGAAUAAAAAAUAAUUUGGAUGGAAUUGAAAUCCCACAUAGGAUUUCAACUCUAUGCAAUUAUGAGGUAUUUUGAUUCUCUUGCAAGUUAUUUUUAAAAUAUUUUCAAUUUAAAAAAAAAAAAAAAAAACUAAAAACAUUUUUAGAUAAGUUAAUUUUAAUUUUUUUUAAAAAAAAAUUUGUAAAAAAGAAAAUUUUUAAAUUCAAUUUAUACAAUGUAAACUAAAUUUAACUAAUAUCUUAUUAAAAAUAAAAACAAAAUUUUAAUUACAAAUAAAUGAAAAAUUAAUAUUUUUUUAGUAAAAUAUGAAUAUUAAUAAUAUAAUAAAAUCAUAAAUUAUAUAUUUUUAUAAAUGUUAUAAAAAUAUAGAUAUUAAGAUUAAUUGAUUUAUUUUGUUAACAAUAAAUAAUAAUAAUUUAAAAUUAAUAAUUUCUAACACUUUUUAUAUGAUUUUAUAAAUACUAUAAAAUAAAAAUAUUAACAUCUUAUAAAAGCAUAAUUAAUUUAUUUUAUUAGAAAUAAAGAAUAAUUAUUAAAAAUUAAUAAUUGCUAGUACUAUUCUAUUUUAAAUGAAUAUAAAAACAAAUAAAAUUUAAUUUUUUUUAACAUAUUAAUAAGCCAAAUUUUUUUAAUAUAUGCAUACAUUUAUUACUUACUUACCAAGAUAACAUUCUAAAUUAUUUUUAUUUAAUUUAUAAUUAAUUAAUCAAUUUUUUAAUUUCAAAUUAAUAUUAAAAAUUACAAAAUUUAUUAGAGAAUUUAAAGCAGUAGAAAAAAUUGGAAGAACAAAUAUUUAUUUUAUUUUAUUUUUUUAAUUAUCUUUAAAAAACAAAAAUCAAUUAGUAGUAUAAAUUUUUAAAAUAAAUAUGCAAAUAUUAUUGACAAUUUAUUUAUUUCUUCAUUUUUAUUCUCAUUUUAACUUUAUAUUAAAAUACAAUGAAAUUAUCAUUUCAACCUUAUGCUGUCCAUUGGCUUCUGUGUUUGUUUAACGGCCCCCUUAAAAGCCAUGGUCCUUUCCUCCAAGUUGUCUCUUUCAAUGUCACAUAUGUCAAAUACCGAAACUUUUCUCACUUUCUCUAUUUGGUAAAUGAGAAAAACCUUGUCAACUUACUACAAUUCAAAUGUACACAUAUAAAAUUUUAGUUAAUUAAAUUAUUAUUAAAUUCCUCUUUAAAAUUAUGAUUUCUUAAUUCAACAAAAUUCAGGUUUAAUAAGUGAUGAUUCAUAUAUAUUGAACAUAUGACAUACAAUUCAAAAAAGGAUACUUAGUGAAAUAUGAAAAACUGCAAAAUUAAGUCUUACAAAAUAGAAACAAAUAUGUCAAUUGAAGUUUAAAAGAUAAUUAUAAAUAAAUAUUUUCUUAUUGAUAAAUUUCUUGAACAAAUUAAGAGAAACAAAUCUUCUAAUUAAAAUAAAAAGAAUUAAAAAUAAAAAAAUAUUCUCUUGUUAGCAAAUCUCUUUAACAUAGAAGACAAGUUUCUAAAAUCAAAAAGUCAAAUUCUUUGAAUUAAACAAAUUAAAUUUUGAGUCCAAAUUUAAUUCUCUAACUUCACCAAUAAAUAGUAAUGACUUCCUUCAAUGGAGGGGAUCAACAAAACAAUUUCAUACGGGAAAAAAGUAUUCACAAAAAAGAAAAAGAUUUCAUAAAAUUUCUCUAUACAUUCGAGAAAUUAUAAAAGCACUAUACAUGCGAUUUUCGCCUUUCGACAAAAUCAUUUGGGAAUAAGUCACUCAAGCCCUUAAUUGAUUUUCAAAACAAAGAAAACACUUCAUCGUAUUCUAUUAGAUUGUGAUCAAAGUAAAGGAAUGAGAGGAAAAAUAUUCUUUUGUAAAGAAUAUUAUCAAAGAGUUUGAACCCCACAAUUAUUUUAAUAAAAACAAUUGUUAGCAUAUUUUUUCUAUUAUUUUACUUGUUUCUCAAGACUUCACAUAAUUUGUACUUAUAAAUUUAUGCCACACCCGGUGGGACAUCUUUGUCUCUCAUCUCUUUUGCUAAAAAAAUUGAUCAUUAUUAACACUAUGACAUCCAAAAAGAUUCAAAUUGUGCAUGUCAAUAAAGAGUAAUGACAAGAUUGUCAUUACUUAAUCAACACACAGCACUACUACGAGCCUUAUGACUCAUAACAAAUCAAAAUCAACUAUUGUAGUUUCAGCAAAGCAAGCAAGUGAAAAUAUUUGUUUGUUAAGUACAAACGCCAUUAAAUAUGUUAUACAAGUGCCCAAGCAUUGGUCUCACUACCUUUAUCAUCAAUUUGUCCCACUCAAGAUUGGGUUUGCGUUCCUUAGUAGAUCUUCCAUAAACAACUAAAGGAUUGAAAUAGAAUUAUUGAUUAAAAAUAAAUCAUGAAUUUCCAACAAGAAACACCACUAAAGCAUGGCAAAAUGGAAACGACCGCUCAAGCGGACUUAACAAUCGCUCAAGCACUUUGAGCAUUCAAGCGCUUAUUUAAACGUUUAAGCGGUGGCUACAACACUCGAGCACUUUGGCUAGUGCUUAAGCAUUCUUGUUUUAUCAAAAGUAAAAAAUAAAAAUUUUUAAACCAAUUUUGAGAAACUAAUCCAAUUCAUGCCUUAACCUAACUUGUCUCUAACAAACAUCUAAAAGGAUUCCUAUGCCAUAAUGAAAAGGAAUAAAUUUGUCAAUAUUUAAAAAUGUCAUAACAUACACAUUAAGAACUUGAUUUUUAAAGUAUAAAAUAUACAAGGGUGAAAUUCUAGUGGACUUGGAUUAUUUCCAAAAUAUCGAAUUUUAGGUACACUAGAGUGCUUCCAACACUAUUGAUGACAAAAUAUAAGUGUCAUGCCCCAAGACCCCUUAUAAGGAUGUGAUGGUCAUUUCAAAUCCUAAGUCGAAGACUCAUAGUGCAAAUGACUCAAACAAUCAUCUUAUAACUAAAAAAUAACUCAUUACCAAGUUCUUAUUCAAAGUAGUAAAAUAUAUUAUAAUCCUCAAAAUUUAACUUCAGAAAAACUUACACAUCAACCACUUUGUUAUUGCCUGAACAACUUCAAACCCAAAUGGUUCAAACAAUAAUUAAUUUCUAAUAUUUAAACAAUGCCCAAAAAUAAAUCUUAAACCAAAAUCCUAAUAAAAACAAAUUCCCAAUCUAACUCACUCCUCGCCCAAAUUGAAAGUACCUAAAAAAAAUUAUUAGUGGAAGAGCAUGAGUUCAAGCCCAAUAAGAAAUAUUAAUACAGUUUCACGAAUCAAACAUUUUCACUUAUGAUUACAAAUAGGAAAUAUAGUGUAAAAUAUUUUUUACAAAAACUUUGAAUUCAAACAUGCUAAAGUAUCCAAAACUUUUCAACCAAACAUUUUCAUAUUUAUAUUAAUAGCAAUUUCAUAUCAAAUCCAAAUGAAAUGCAUUCAAAAUAUUUUUACUCUAGUCAUCAAAUAACAAAUGGUAUCUGAUUAGGUGGGACUUUAUUGCUCAAUUAGGUGAAACUUUACAAAUAAGAUAUUACCCUCAAAUUUGUUCUUUUUAAGGUGGAUGGAACCAAACACUACUAGUACUAAUACUAGUAACCUCUAACCAAACCCCUAGAGACUAGAGUUUAAAACAAUUACAUUCCCUACCAAGAAAUGUAAAGGUUAAUUACCAAUUAUAAUUCAUUGACUAAGGUAAAAAAAGGUCAACAAUUAUAACUCAUUGACUAGGACAGAUAAAGUCAACACAAUAUAACCCUUAGACUAAGGCCAAAUAAACCAAAGUCAAGCACUUUGUGUCAUUUAUUCAAACUUACAAAAACAUAAUACCUUCAUUUUUUUUUAUUAUAAACAAAAGAAAAUGUUCUUACAUAUUUUUCAUGCAAAAUAUAAUUGAGCCAUGCAUAGAAAUAAAAAUAACAUUUUACAUAAUUCAAAAUAACAUACAAAAAGAAAUUAUUAUCUUUUAGAAAAUCUAUAUUAAUUUCUCCUACCUCAAAAAGCACUCAAAACCCUUAAAGAAUUUAUUGUUGAAGCAUCUAAUUUUCACCUAAAUAUAACUUAAGAAAUAACAACUAUUACUACUAGCUAUUUAUCUAAAAUUAUAGGUUUGGCAAUCCCAAUAAUUUCCUAUGUUAAUAUUAUUAUCACCAAUAUUAUUUUCAACUUCUGAUAAAAAAUAAUUAUACAAAGUAUGAUUAAAAAAUAAAGCACAAGAUAUAAAAUUAUUUUUUAAAAAUAUUAAAAACAUGUUAAAAACAUUUUAAGUUUCCAAACAGACUUUUUUUUUACAAAAAAUUAUAGAACAAUUUUUAAAAGUUGUUCUCAAAAAUUGUUUUUCAAAACUGUUCUCGAAAACAAUUAUCAUAUUACAAGGUUUUAAAAGCUCUCAAGUGCUUUGAUUGAUACCAUAUAUUGAUGAAAACAAAAAUCACAUCUUAUAUUCGAUUUUAACAUCAAUGCACUCCCCAACUAGCUAACUAUAUGCUACAUCAUAUAUGGCUAGCUUUCUUAGAUUUUCCCAUUAUUCCUUGAUGUUUCCUGCUAUUUCAAUGAAUAAGGAUGGUCAUGAAAACUUUUGAGACAUCCAAGAUGCACUUCAAAAAAUUUUAAACAAAAUAAAAAACUUGUAAAUCAAGACAAGGAAAUGAAUAUAGGCAAACGAAAAUACUUGGAGUCAUUUUUUUUUCCAAAUUCAAGGAAACAACCUAAAAGAAAUCACAAAAUAUCCAAUCCAAAAUUGAAGAACUUGUAAAUCAAGAAAACCUUUUAAAAAAUCAAUUAAGUAUACAUUGAUUAGAUUAUAGUACUUAAAGACUUUAUUAUUAUAAAAAAAUUAAUUUAAAUCAUAUCCAACAAUCCCUCACUUGAUUUAAAUUAACAAAAUUAAUAAAAGAGAUAACAAAAUUAGGCUUCUAGGAAAGUCAUGCAUAUAAAUGGUCUCUUCAAGAUUUCAACCUUCACUUAGUAUAAAGUAUAAACAAAUCAAAAUUUGUCACAAAACUAAUUAUUAGAUAAAUCAAAUUUGCCAUACAUAUAUUCAUUUUAGGGCAUAUUUAAUAUGCAGGAAUGAGGAGUAGGAAUGAGCAUCUCAUUCAUUCUUAUAUUUGAAUAACUUAAAUGAUGAUGGGAAUAAAAUUAAGAAUGAUUCCAAAGGAAAUGAAUUUCACUUAUAAAUGAGAUUUCAAUUUAUCUCUGGAAGGAGGUAUUUUUAUUUUUAAGUGCAAGUUAUUUUAAAAAUACUUUUCAAAAAUUUAAAAACCAAAAGGCUUUUCUGGAUAAUUUUUUUUUAAAAAUAAUUUUUUAUUUUAUAAAAAAAAUAUUGUAAAUUCAAUUUAAAUAAUAUAAAAUAAAAUUAAUUCAAGUGUUAUUAAAAAUGAAAAUAAUUUUAUAAUUAAAAAUAAAUAAAAUUAAUAAAAUAUGAAUAGUAAUAUUAUGAUAAAAUUCUAAAUUAUAUUUUUUAUAAAUAUUAUUAAAAUAUGUAUAUUAAUAUUUUGUAAAAGCAUAAACUAUGUAUGGUAUAUAUGAGAGUUUUUUUUUAAAUGAAAAUGAAAUAUUAUUUAAAACUAUAUGUAUGAAAUUUAUUACCAAUUUAUUUCUUUUUUCAUUAUUAUUUUUAUUGUUACUUAACAUUGAAAUAAAAACAAAUAAUCAUUCUAUUCUUACAUUCCUAUAUGCAUUCAAACACAAGAAUUGAAAUCACCAAAUUCAUUUCUAUUUAAAAAGUAGGAACGGAAAGAAAAAUUUUUAGGAACAGAAAGAAUAUUUUCGUUCUUAUUCCUCAUUUCCAUAUACCAAACCUGACCUUAGGUUAUUGUUCUUUUAAAGCUAACACCUUUGAAAUCUAUUUAAUCCCAUUUUACUAGAUCGGAUAUGCCAUACCACACAUGUCUUUUAGAGGUUAGCGUUCCUUUAAAGCUACCACCUUUGAAGUCUAUGUCUAAUCCCAUUUUAAUGAGUGAUCCAGAGAAGAUAUAUAUAUAGUCUCUUGCAACAAUGACUAGUUUCAAUGCUCAAAACGGUGAAGUCUGUCAAGAGUGUAACCCGUUUCACUCCCACCAUAAGCGUAUAAACUGAUGAAAAUGUAAUAAUCCUCAUCUUCACAAAUAAUAUGACUCAUUUGCAAAGAAGUCAGCUACAGGAUUAACACUAAUUUAUCAUAGGAAGGGAUUUUCAUAUAUAAUAUGAAUGCAUUACAUCACAACUGUUUCUUUGCCUCUUUUUUCAUUGAACACGAGAAAUCUGAUCAAAUUGGGUUCUCACUGACCAUAACUUCAGUACAGAUUUUCAAUCUCAUUCCCCUUGAUGAAAUUCCCUCUGGACUUGACAUAUUAUGUAGCCACGAUCCCAUCAAAGAUGAGUCCCCUUACAUGAUUAUGUCUCACAUAAACAAGUCUAAAAUUCCCAUUACAGAUCUAUAUGACUUAAGCAUUGUGACAUGAUUAUCACUACAAAUAGUGAUUGUUUACAUUGGUUUAUUUCAUAUAGACGUGUCUACCAAUAUAUUCCUUAGCCGCUCACCUUCAUUUCUCACUAAUGAGAGGGAAAUGAACUCAUUUCAAUGUGUAAUGAGAUAUACAUGUCAGCCUUUUGGAUUUCUAAGUAAUUGCACCUUCUACCAAAGUGAAGAUCCAUCCUAUGACAGAUGUCCCAUCCUCCAAAGAAGAAUUCCAUGAGGCAUCACUGUAACCUUCCAAGUGCAAUAGGAAACCUCCUAUAGUGUAAAAUGUAGGGAAUUAAACCGAAUUCCCAACCUAUGAGAAACAAAAAUAGAGAAAACACACGGCAAGGAAAAACAAUCACACGCACAAGACAAUAUUUACGUGGUUCGGCAAUUUGCCUACGUCCACGGAGUUGCAGGGAUAUCACUAUUAUCAGGGGAGAAUACAAAGUACAACCACAGCGGCUACAAUAUUUUCUCUCUAUAUAUAACACAGUGAUUACUACUCAAAAAGUGCUAUUUGAUAGCCUAUAAUUAAUCCUUUUAAACACUUUUGAGUAGUAGUUUAGGCCUUUUAACUCAAUUGGCAUGUUAAGGACCCUUGAAAGCAAUUUUAAUUACUUUGUGUAAGUUUUGGUGUUUUUGUUAGUAUUUUGAUCAUCAAAGCAAGUCAAGACUGAGGAAAGUUAUGAGGAAUCUUGGGCAAAGCUUAGAAGUCAUUUGCCAAGAGUGAAUCCAGAAUGCAAGGAGAAAAAGUAAAGAGAAUCUUCCAUGAAGCAUAUUCUUGAUGACAGUCGUGGCAGCCACUUUUGGAGUACUUUCUGAAGUCCAAUUGAUGCAUGCUAUAUACCAUUUCAAAGCUCAGGAAGUCAACAAUCCAAUGCUUCAAACGGUGCGCAAUUUGGAGUUGAAAUGAAGAAGUUGCAGCCAUUGCAAGCCAAUUACUCCAAGCUGAAGGAAGCAUUUUGCAAAGUGUUGCGAAAUCACCCUUUUGUUGCGAAGUGAUUCCGCAGCCUUUUUGUACAGUAGGGUGUAUUUCCUUCUGAAGUUGCCCGAUAUAUGCCGCAAGCUGGGAGCUGAGAACCUCAAGGUGGAAACCAACUUCGCAGCCCUGCGAAGAUAGCAUGUUGUUGCAAAAUGAUUUCGCAGCCCUCUUGAGUGUCUGCGAAAUCUCGCAGACACCAUUUUCUCUUGCGAAAUGGUUCCUGGAGCAUCCCGAUAUCUGCUACCGACAUUGGGAGAUAUUUUACAUUAGAUUUUUGUUGUCUAAAUACCAAAAUACUCCUUGUAAGCCACCAAUUACAAGAUUCCUUAGCUUUUAAGUUAGUAAAAAAAGAGAAACUAUCUAUGUAAUAAUUAGUUUUAUAUUAUGUUCAUAUAUACCUCUCGGGAGCCUGUUCUCAGAGAGGAUCAUUUUGUAAAGUUUUGGGUAAGCAAGUAAAGUUCAGUUCUUUGUUUUGCCUUACCUUCUCACUUUGUAUUUUCAUAUUUUACUAAGUUAUGAACUCUCUGAGGAGUUUCUCCCAGAGAAUGAGUAACUAAACCUUUAGUUCCUUGGAGCUAAGGUUGCCGGGGAAGGUUCCAAGUGCAAGAAUGCAAAGCUUUGUGGUUUUAGCUAGUAAUGAAGAGGAAGAGAAAUCCUUUAGUGAUUUCUAUGUUUUUAGUUAACUUAAAACACCUUAGAGUCACCUGGGCCAACACUUGGUAAGGCAAGUGAUCUCCGUCCAUGGAGAUGCACUAGUUUACCCCUUGCGAGCCUCUGGGAAGUGACUUGAAGGUAGGAUUUUCUAGAAUUGCCAACACUUGGUAAGCUUUUGGACUCCAAGGAGACAUCCAUUAGUUAUCUCUUGCGAGCUUUUGAAGGGAAGUCCAAGGUUAAAGAUCAUCUUGAAUGGUAAGUGCUCGUGAGAGGCAUGAACCAUUGCAAGUUGCAUCAGUGAGAGAAUUAAAGUGAAAUCUAAUUAAAGGAUGUAUCUGUACAACACCGGUUAGAGAAUUGACUAUAUGUUGAAUCUCUAAUGCGAGGAAAGGAACCAUCUGACCGGAGCUAUGUCUUUUGCAUGAGGAACCACCCCAGUGAACCUAACUUUCCAAGGAAUGCUUUUCUUCCUAAGUUAUUCCGAUUACUUGUUGUGUUAGUUAGUUUAAGUCUAAAUCUUUACCAAUCAAAGUUUGUGUUUUAUUUCUUAAGCUAACCUUGAAAUGAAACAAGACCAAUUCACUUGGAAUUGGUAUCAUUGAUAGCUUGCUAAUCCUUCCCAGUGAACGAUCCUAGAGCCGCUAUACUAUAGUAGCUUUUUCUUUGCUACCCUAGUAUAUGGUGUUAUAGGUUAUAAAUUUUGUUGAUUACUCCCUCAAUCAAGGAGCACCAGCUGGACACGAAUCAGCUGAGACACCAAUUGGGCAUGAAUCACAUAGCAACCACACCACACUAAAAAACCCUAAUUACAAAAGGUGGUUCCACAAUGGGCUAAACGGGCCCAACAGGCCUCAGUAAAUCUCCCAUUAAAAAGUCAUGCAAUAUUAUUCAGGUCAGGUCGCCAAACCGGAUCAAACAAAACUAGGCUCCACAAAGCCUAACAAAUCUCCCACUUGGAGACUAGUUCAAUCAUCAACAUCAAACCGCUAUCCUCCAAGAAACAAUCCCUCAUCCCUGCAACUCAUCCUCCUAUCCUCAAGCUAGAAGACCAAUUGAAGCUGCGCACAACUUCAACUUCUCAAUAGUGACACCCUUAGUCAACAUGUCUGCCGGGUUCUUAGAUCCACAAAUCUUCUCAAGUAUUACCAGUUUAUCUUCAAUAAGGUAAUGGAUAAAGUGGUAUUUUGUUUGUAUAUGCUUCGACUUUGAAUGAAAAGCCAAAUUUUUGGCAAGAAAAAUAGCACUCUGACUGUCACUGUGUAGAAUGCCCAUCUUCUGCUUCUUACCCAAUUCAUCUAAGAAACCAUUUAGCCAAAUCAUCUCCUUUCCAGUUUCAGUUGCUGCAACAUACUCAACUUUUGUAGUAGACAAAGUAACAAUCUUCUGUAGAUUUGAAGCCCAUGAUAUAGCUGUACCACCUAGAGUAAAAACAAACCCAGUAGUACUCUUUCUACUAUCAAUAUCACCAGCAAAAUCAGCAUCUACAUAACCCUGUAGUUUCAAACUUGCACCUGUGAAACAAAUACAUGUAUCUAAUGAACCCUUUAGAUAUCUUAGAAUCCACUUGACUGCCUCCUAAUGUUGCUUUCCAGGCCUACUCAUGAAUCUGCUCACAACUCCCAUUACAUGUGCAAUGUUUGGCCUUGUGCACACCAUAGCAUACAUCAAGCUGCCAAUAACUGAGGCAUAGGGCACCUUGCUCAUUUGGUCAUUUUCUUCUUCUGUCUUCGGUGACUGUUCUUUGCUUAGUUUGAAAUGACUCCCCAAGGGUGUGCUCACUGGUUUAGCUUUAUUCAUGUUGAACCUGCUGAGAACUUUCUUCACAUACUCUGACCAUGAAAGCUUCAAUGUACCAUUAGCCUUGUCUCUAAUGAUUCUUAUACCAAGGAUUUGCUUUGCAGCUCCCAAAUCCUUCAUUGCAAACUGUUUGGACAAUUGUUUCUUCAGAUUAUUAAUCUUCUCAAUGUUAGACCCUGUAAUAAGCAUAUCAUCCACAUACAAUAGUAAUAUGAUGUAAGAAUUGUCAAAAGGCUUAACAUAACAACAGUGAUCAGCUUCACAUCUCUUGAACCCAAUUCUAUGCAUAAAACUGUCAAAAUUCUUGUACCACUGUCUAGGAGCUUGUUUAAGGCCAUACAAGCUCUUUCUUAGUUUGCAGACUAGAUUCUCUUGUCCCUGAACAAUUAACCCUUCUGGUUGAAUCAUGUAAAGGUCUUCCUCCAAGUCACCAUGAAGGAAUGCUGUCUUCACAUCUAACUGCUCAAGAUGUAAGUUUUCUACAACCACCCUUCCUAGUACAAGUCUGAUUGUUGACAUCUUCACAACUAGAGAAAAUAUCUCUGUGUAAUCAAUGCCCUCCUUCUGCUGGAACCCUUUAACAACUAAUCUGGCCUUGUAACGUUUGCUACCAUCAUGCUCAUUCUUUAUUCUGUAUACCCACUUGUUGUGCAAAGUCUUCUUUCCUACUGGCAAUUCAGUCAGUUCCCAUGUCUAAUUCCCCAACAGGGAAUCCAUCUCAUCCUUCAUGGCUAACUCCCACUUGCUUGAAGUCUCAUCUUGCAAGGCUUCAUCAUAACACUCUGGCUCACCACCAUUAGUCAACAGGAGAUAAUUUAAAACAGCUGAAUAAAGCUGCGGAGGUCUAAUGUUCCUGGAAGAUCUGCGAACUUCAGCUAUAGGUGUACUCAGAUCUACCUGUGAAUUUACAUUCUCCUUAUCUUCUUCACCCCCUUUUUGGACAGUACUUUUAGUCAAUUCAUCUAAGUUGACAAACUCAGAUUUCUUUUGAUCUAUCUCUGUAACAUCUGACACUAUAGUUGACCUGUCCUUGUACAUAACCUGUUCAUUGAAUAUCACAUUUCUAUUUCUGAUGAUUUUCCUAUUUUGUUCAUCCCAAAACCUAUAGCCAAAUUUCUUAUCACCAUAGCCAAUGAAAAAACAUAUUUUUGACUUUGCAUCAAGUUUACUACGAGCAUGAGAAUCAAUAUGAACAUAAGAAACACAACCAAAAACUUUUAAAUGUGAAAACUUCACCUCUUUACCGCUCCAAAUCUCCUCAAGAAGUCUGAACUCCAUGGGAACUGAUGGUCCUCAGUUUAUCAGGUAAGCUGCAGUGCUAACAGCAUCAGCCCAAAAAGUUUUUGGUAGUCUAACAUGCAACCUCAUACUUCUAGCAUGCUCAUUGAGAGUUCUAUUCAUGCGCUCAGCCACACCAUUCUGCUGUGGUGUCCCAGGAAUAGUCUUCUCCAUCCUAAUUCCCUGUGCAGCACAAUACUCACUGAACCCUCCAUCUAUGUACUCUCCUCCAUUAUCUGACCUCAAACAUUUUACUUUCAAACCUAUUUUUGUCUCAACUAUGGCCUUCCACUUCUUAAAAGUUUCAAAUACAUCAGAUUUAUUUUUCAGAAAAUAAACCCAUACCUUUUUGCUUGAGUCAUCAAUAAAAGUGAUGUAGUACCUUGAACCUCCCAGGGAUGCAAUCGGAGAAGGCCCCCACAAAUCAGUGUGUACUAGUUCCAAUCUUUUAGCCUUCGGUGUCCUGCCAGUUUUAAAAAAAACUCACCUUUUUUUGCUUUCCUAAGAUGCAACUUUCACACAUGUCAAAAUCAAUGGACUUCAAUUCUGGUAGUUUUCCUUUUGACAACAGCAUCUUCAUCCCUUUCUCACUCAUGUGACCAAGUCUACGGUGCCAUAGACUUGUAUCAGUACUUGCAUUAGCAACUGCAAUUGUGUCUCUUGGACUUGAGGUCAUAUAUAGAGUACCAGUCUUCUUUCCACGAGCCAAUACCCUAGCUCCCUUUGUAACCUUCCAAGUACCACCAACAAAUAGUAUUGCAUGUCUUUCAUCAUCAAGUUGUCCAACAGAAAUCAGAUUCCUCCUCAGGUCAGGAAUAUGUCGAACCUUCUCCAGUAACCAAAUAGACCCAUUGGGCAAUGAUAUCCGGACGUCUCUCAAACCCACAACAUCCAAGGUUGAACCAUCAGCCAAAUACACCUUACCAAAAUCACCUGCAACAUAAUUCUGUAUGAUUUCUCGGUGUGGAGUGGUAUGAAACGAAGCUCCUGAAUCCAAAACCCAAUCAUCAAGUGGACUGUCUACUGCAAGAAGUAAUGCAUCCUGUACCUCUUCUGUUACAACAUUAGCAGAAUCAUCUUCAUUCUUCUUCUUAGGACUUUUGCAUUGCCUUUUAAAGUGACCUGUUUUCCCACAGUUCCAGCAUUGUACUUGUUGGCCUGAUCUAGAUUUACUUCUGUUCCUAUUAGAAUUUCUGGAUUUUGAUCUACCUUGGUUUGAAUUUCUAUCAUUACCUCUGCCUCUUGUCUCAAGGUUUAGGGUAGAACCAGAUCCUGAGGUUUCGCCUGAAUCUCUUCGGCGAAUCUCCUCAGCUAGAAGUAAAUCUCGUAUAUCAUUGUACUUGAGCUUUUCCUUUCCUGUAGAAUUGCUUACUGCCAUCCUCAUUGCCUCCCAACUGUUUGGCAAAGAAGCCAAGACGAUCAGAGCAUGAAUCUCUUCAUCAAAAUCAAUUUCUACAGAUGACAAUUGAUUUGUGAUUGUAUUAAAUUCAUUUAGAUGUUGUGCUACUGAUGCAUUCUCUGCCAUCUUCAAAUUGAACAAUUUCUUCAUCAGAUGCACCUUAUUGUUUGCGGACGGCUUUUUAUACAUACUGGACAAAGCCUUCAUCAGAUCUGUUGUGGUCUUCUCCUUUACAACAUUAUGUGCAACAGACCUAGACAGAGUUAACCUAAUAACUCCUAGAACCUAUCUGUCAAGAAGCGCCCAUUCCUCAGCCUUCAUACUCUCAAGUUUUGUCCCCAAAAGAGGCAGAUGCAAUUUCCUCCCAUAGAGAUAAUCUUCAAUCUGCAUCCUUCAAUACGCAAAGUCUGUGCCAUCAAACUUUUCUAUUCCAGACGCCUUUCCUGCUUCCUCUGCUAUUGCUCCCACUCAAACCUAACCCUAGGCUUUGAUACCAGUUGUAGGGAAUUAAACCGAAUUCCCAACCUGUGAGAAACAAAAAUAGAGAAAACACACGCCAAAGAAAAACAAUCACACGCACAAGACAAUAUUUACGUGGUUUAGCAAUUUGCCUACGUCCACGGAGUUGCAGGGAUAUCACUAUUAUCAGGGGAGAAUACAGAGUACAACCACAACGACUACAAUAUUUUCUCUCUAUAUAUAACACGACAACCACACCACACUAAAAAACCCUAAUUACAAAAGGUGGUUCCACAAUGGGCUAAACGGGCCCAACAGGCCUCAGUAAAUCUCCCAUUAAAAAGUCAUGCAAUAUUAUUCGGGUCGGGUCGCCAAACCGAAUCAAACAAAACUAGGCUCCACAAAUCCCAACAUAAACCAUAAAAGAUUGUCCCUUUUAAGUACUAGAGUAAAGUAGUCCAAUGCACUUCACCUAGGUUACUUGUCUAUAGACACAAUCUUCCAACUUCAAAAGUUAUAUCAGGCCUGGUGCAAUUCAUGACAUACAUAAGACUGCUAAUAAUAUGUUAGUACUUUGUGGAGAAAUAAUCCUACCUUUAUUCUUCUCCAACUCGAUGCUCAAAUCUUAUGGAGUUAGAACUAGAGAACACUCAAGACAAUCAUAUCUUUUGAGGAUCUUUUCAAUAUAAUAUGACUAUGACAAGACAAUCCCACCAUAAGGUCUAAGUACUUUGAUCUGAAGAAUAACAUCAACUUCCAACAAGUCCCACAUAUAAACUUAGAUGACAAACACUCUUUAGUUUUAGUAAGACAACUUUCUACAUCUAUUAUAGAUAUCAGCAUGUUAUCCACAUGAAGGCAUAUGAAGACUCUAAAAUCUCUUACAAAAGUAGAUGCAAACAUUGAUCUCAUUUAUAUAAUCACCACUAUUAAGAAGCACAUUUUUGUAUUUUUCAUGCCACAUCUUUAGUGCUUGCUUCAGUCCAUAUAAAGACUUCUAAUUAACAAACUUUCUUCUCAUGCUAAUACAAAUUAAUACCUUGUGGUUGAUCCAUGUAUAUUGCCUCAAGUAAAGAUCUCCAUUCAAGAUUGCUGUUUUCAUACCCAUUUGAUGAAUGAUCAAACCAUUCAAAGUAAUAAUGCUAUUAUCGACUUGAUAUCUAUGAUUCAGGCAAAGAUGUCAACAUAAUCAAAUCCUUAACACUUGAAUCAAGGUUUUGAGCAUAAAGAUUCCACUGACCUAUAAAAAAUGGGCCCCCCCUCCGAAAAAGUUAUAUAUAUAUAUAUAUAUAUUAAAAAAUGAAUAAAAAUAAAAAAACCACAUUUUACACAACAGAGGCUUCCUCGUGAAUGGUAGAUGACGUUUCAACUUUCAUGAUCAUGGUAUGGUAUAUAAUUUUUCUUCAUUUUUCUUUCUUUGGCUUUUUUUGCGCAAACAUCAAUGAUUUUAUCAUAUCUAUUUUUUUUUUUUUUUUAUGCCCAAAUGCUCUAAAGAUACCUGAAAAUACUUAAAAAGCAAAUCAAAUCAGCUUUCACACAAAAAAUAAGUCCUAUAAAAUUAGAAUUAGAUAUAUAAAUUUGAAGAAUAAAAUAUUAUUAUGUAGGACAUAUGUUACAUAAAAUGUAAAUGAAAUGAAUAUGAUGAAUUUUUUUUUUCAUUUAUCUUAGAUAUUUUACAUGUAACUUAAAAUUUUAAUUUAAUAUUAAUAAAUAAAAUUAUAUAUAUAUAGUGGCCACGGUGAUAGUGGAAUUGAAAUUUGAACUUGCAUCUUAUUUUAUUAUAUAAUUUCAUAAAAUUAGGAUCAAAUAUGUAAAUUCUAAGAAUAAAAAUACUAUUAUGCAAGAAAUGUAUUACAUGAUGUGAAUGGAUAUGCAUAUAGAGAGAAGAAAUAAAAGAGAUAAGAGAAAAUAUAGCAUUGCAUUGUCAUUGAUGAUUGAUGAAUGUUUAAGGGAUAAACAAUGACUUCUGCUCUCAUUCAAAUUUUAUCUCCUACUCUAAUUCAAACUAAUAAUAGACUUUUAUUCUAAUUCAAACUUUAUAUCCUAUUAUAAUUCAAACUAACAAUAAAUAGAUAAAUAAUAAAUAUUAAUUUUCUCUAAUAUGACCCUUCAAAAUGGAGCUACAAUCGAAGAUUCCAAUCUUAGUCUUGAUAGAAAGAAAGUGACUACAAUAUAGUUCGAUCAAAAGAGAGCACACUAGUAGUAGUGGCAACAAAUCUGUAUUCAGAUUUUGUGGAGGGCAACCUUCACAAGGUCCAAGUGUUGAGUGGAUUUGACUUGGUGAUGGAGAGGUUAGGCAAAAGUAAUAAAAAUGGACAAACUUUGAGCAAAAACCCAAAGACAAAGGAAAUCAUCUCACAUUACUUUUGGUUAAGAAUAGAGCUUUGAAGCAAAAAAUUGGACAAUAGAAGAGAGACCAGAAGAUUUAAAUAGGGAGAAAAAUAGAAUUUAAUCAUGCAUGGAAUAUGUUUGUUUUCAUGAAACAAGAAAAACAAGCAAUCGAAUCUAAAGAAGACGAAGAAUCAAGGGAAAAAUAAACAAGAGCAGUUGUUUGGCUAUCGAGAAAACACAUGAAAAGACCAAAAAAGGAAAAUCUUGAAAAAGAGAAAAAUGUAUAUGAAAAAAAAAAUUGUUUAGAAAAUAACCAAUAAAAAAGUUUUCAAGAACUCAUAAUGAGUGUGGAGAAAAUAGGUUACAAUAAAAGUGAGUAAAAAUCAAGAGAACUAAGGUUUUCAACUUAACUUUGAGAAAGCUUUUAGAGAGAGAGGAAGGGGGUAGAGUUGAAGGUGAUAAAGAAGUAGAGAUUAAAUUAAGGGAACCAAUACUAGUAGGACGUAAAGGAGAAGAAUAAUGGAUAUGAAGAAUUAACAAACAAUAGAGUUUAACAUACAAUCAACCAACUUAGUAAAAAGAACAUCAACAAAAUGAAUGAGUAAAAGAAUGAUAUCGUGUAUCAAAAUUAGAAUUUAUACAAAUCUAGAGUGAAUUUGAACCGACAACUCACAUAAUGCAGAUGGAAUUUGGGACAAAAAUAAUUUCUAUUGAAGAAAAUCAAUUGAAUUUGAUAUGGAAAAAAAUUAUCCAAACCAUAGAACUUGCAAAUAUAAACCCCAAAACCGAAAAAUGAAAAAGAGCCAACGAAAAUAGGAAAGAAUAGUGAUUGAAAGGAUUGACUUUAAAAGGAGAAGUAGUAAGUUUGAACCAAGAAAAUUUGGAGCUCCUGAUUUGUAAAUGGGCAUUGAACCAAGAUAUUGCAUUGGAAGUUGGAAGGAAUGAGGCAUUGAUAGGCCAGGUCGAAGCAAAGAUUGUUGGUGUAAAUGAGGAAGCUCAUUUAGGGAGUCAUAGUAUCCUUGCCAUUACAUAGGCACAACAAGGCACUACUAUUUGCAAUAGGAGAAGGUAGUGUAGGGCCUAGGCGUUGCACCCUAUAUUUGCUCUAGGUUGAUAUAAACACAGGCUUUAGUGCCAUAGGAAGCAACAGGAAGUUGUUGCGUCACAGACGUGAAUCAAGUUAUAGGUGUUGAAGAGUAACUCUUUAGAGUAAAUGAGUCAAGUAAAUCUGUGUAACUUGAUUAGUGGAUCUAGAUUGGUAGGUGAUAACCCGACUCUUGGUAGCUUGGCAUGUAAGGGUAUCAACAAAAUUUAUACCUAAGGUCCUUACACUAAAGUAGCAAAGCUACUAUAGCAUAGUGGCUCUAGGAUCGAACACUGGGAAGGGUUUUUACUUUAACUGGUGAAGUUCGGAGGAUGGAGUGAACUUUUCUUAAUAAAAAUUAGGUUAAGAUGAAAACAUAAAAAGAUGAAGGUUUUGUAAACUAAACUAACAUGAAAAUAGGUUAAAAGAUGGAAAAAAGAAGUUUCUCAAAGCUUUGGAUAGCCAUGCUUAACUCACUGUGUAAAAAUGGAGAUUUUGGAACUUUUCACCUCGAGUUGGGGAAGCAACUAAGGUGAUGCUUACUUCCCGAACCGGUAUGUGUUUAACAACUGAGUUUUAGUCCUUCAAAACUUACAAAAAAGGGUAGCUGAACCUCAUAAAUGCUCUUUUAAUGAUAUAGGUCAUCUCCUCGACUUGCAAUACAAUGGCUCGUAGGAAAUAACUAAUGAACGUCAGUGGAUCUAACAAUAAGAAUCCACUGAGACCAAAAGGUUAUCAAGUAUUGGCCAUUCAAAGCAAGUCAGAGGGAUUAAAAGCUUUACUUUGAAUGAAAACAUUUAUAACGCUCAGCUACUUACAUUCAUGGCUUGGAAAUCUCCAUCCUGACACGGGAGCUUCACAUGGCAUCCAUUACUUCAAGAAACUAAAAGGUUUUAGCCUUUCAUCCUUGGGGAUUUCAUCCUCCAAGGAUGUUUGGCUACUAAGAAAAUAGAAAAUAGUAGAGAGAAAAAGAAAGCAAAAGAUACUCUGUAUUUAGCUAAGUGUGUAAUUUACAUAAGUUGGUCUCCUGGGGAAAGUUCCCCGACCGUCAAAAAAUGAAAAUUACAAAACAAUAUAUAACAGGGUUGUUUACCCCUGUAUUCUUGCUUAACAACUAAGGAAUCAUCUAAUUGGUGGAUUACAAGGAGAGAAUUGGGAUUUAGACAACAAAUAUCUGAAGUAAAAUAUCAAAAAACGUCGGUCGCAAAUAUCUGGAAGCACUCAGGAGAAUUUCGCAGGCGCACAAAAUGGCUGCGAAAUUUCGCAGACGAACAAGAUGGCUGCGAAAUCAUUUCGCAGCCGAAGGCUGAUUUCGCAGCCCUGCGAAAUUGGCCUUCAGCUUGGAGUGAUCUGCUUCCAUUGGCUCUAACUUCUUCAUUUCAACUCUGAUUUGCGAACCGUUUGAAGCAUUGGAUUGUUGACUUCCUGAUCUUCGAAACGACAUAAAGCAUGCAUAAAUUGGACUUCAGGAAGUACUCCAAAAGUGGCUGAAAUUACUGUCAUCAAGGAUGCUUCAAGGUAGAUUCUCUCUUUACUUCUCCUCCUUGCAUUCCGGAUUGGUUAUGGCAAAGGACUUUAAGGCUUCAAAGCUCUGAUUCUUCAUGUUUCUGAGCUUUCCAUUGCUUUGCCAUGGAUUCCAAAUAACUCUCCUCCAUCUUGGAUUGCUUUGGUGAUCAAAUUACUAACAAAAACACCAAAACUUACACAAAGUGAUUAGAAGUGAUUGCAAAGGUCCUUAAUAUGUUAAUUGGGUUAAAAGGCAAUAACUACUACUCAAAAGUGUUUAAAAGAGUUAAUUACAAGCUAUCAAAUAGCACUUUUUGAGUAGUAAUCAGUAGGUCUUAGACCUCAUGGUUUUUUAUCUUCACAAUUUGUGAAGGAUUUAAAUGUAAAAAUCUUGUGUCUCAUUGCAUAUCUUUUUAUUCCUACUUAUAUUCAUUCUAUUUGAUGAUAUUGAUAUCCUUUGGAUUGAUUGAUUAGUUUGAUAUUGACGUUGUUGGGUUGGUUAUCUUGAAGAUUAUGGUAGAUAUACCUAUAACGAGUUAUUGUUUUCCUUAACUUCUUUCACAUUAUAAUUCAUACAUUAAUAAUUAUAUUAUUUUAUCCCUAACUAUUCACGAGAUCUUUCUAAAAGGUAAAAAUCAGUUUUUUAUCAAAUGAUUUUAGGUAUAACCCAUUUAUUUAUUUGGGAUAGCCCUGAUAUUUAUUGGGUUAAAAGAAUUGAGUAUAAUAUAUAAAUAUUUAUUUAAAAUUUUUAAUCACCUAUUCACUACCCCUCUAGGUGUUCCUUAUUGGACUUUCGGCGGUUUUUCACAUGUGUUAUUAGAGCAAAGUUUAAUCAAGAGUUAAUGACUUGACUUCAAGUAAACUUGUAAAUAAUUUCCUCAAGUGUUUUGGAGAAUCUGAUUUUGUCUUAUGGAGCUUUGAAGGUGGACGAAUGACACUUUUGUAUCAUGUUUGAUAUUCUUCCAUGGGCUUAUUGAAAAAUAUUUGGAGUUUGAUCCUAUCUUUCGAAGCUUGAUUUUUUUAUUUGAUUUUGAUCCAAGGGUGGUAAACACAUAUUCUUGGAGCAAAGUUUAAUCAAUAAUGAAUGAUGACUUGAUCCCAAGUAAACUUGUAAAUAAUUUCCUCGAGUGUUUGGGAGAAUCUGAUUUUAUAUUCUUUGGCUUUGAAAGUGGAUGAAUGACACUUUUGUAUUAUGUUUGAUAUUCUUCCACAGGCUUGUUGACAAAUGUUUGGAGUUUGAUCCUAUCUUUUGAAGUUUGAUUUUUGGAUUUUAUUUCAAUCAAAGGGUGGUAAACAUGUGUUCUUGGAGCAAAGUUUAAUCAAUAGUCAAUGAUGACUUAAUCUCAAGUAAACUUGUAAAUAAAUUCCUUCAAUGUUUUAGAGAAUCUGAUUUUGUCUUCUUUGGCUUUAAAAGUGUAGGGUCAUAUCCCUUGAAAGAUGUAUAAAAGACCCCAAUGCAUUCCCUGUAUGCACAUCUCCACAUCUAACACCUCAAAGAAUCUAUCCUUGUAGUUAAGGCUUAAGGAAUGCCAAUUAUUGAUGUAGUCAAUGAGUGGCUUGUCUUUCCAUUACUUGGUAUUGUAGAGUUUCAUCAUUAUUACAUUUCAUCGGGAACUAUAAAAGUGAUUGAGGAAUUCGUGCUCCAUUUGGUCCCAACUAUCAAUGUACUCAAGUGCAAGGUUUAUGUACCAAUAAAAUUUGUUCCCUUGGAGGGUACAGACAACUUGUUCAACUAAGAGGUCACUCUAUAUACCUACAUUGUUGUAGGUUUUAACAAAGUGGGUAACAUGUUGCUUCAGAUUUCCCUUUCCAUUAAAAAACUGAAACUUUAGAGGUUGAUGACCCACAUGCAUAUGUAGGUUAUCAAUCCUCUUAGUGUAAGACUUAGAGUAGAUGAGUGUACUCUAUGAUGGUCCGCCAUACUGCACUCUAAUGGAUAAAUAGUGAUGCCACCAAAGUAGAUUCAAUGGUUUGUUUCCUAAUCUACAUAGAUACAAUAUUCGAAGGGUGAGUGAGUCCUUGGCUUGACUUAGUUGUAUUUUGUGCAUGCGCCUUAACCUUGUUCAUAAGAGAGACUAUUUGCAAAUCUUUCUCCUCAACAAAUCUUGGUAAGUUUAGCGAUGGCACAAUCCAUUUCAGGUAAUUGUUCUUCAAUGGAUGUAGUGCUCAUUGUCAUUAUUGGCAUAGUCACCAAGAAGGAAAAAGUAAAAGAGUCAAAAUGGUUUGGAGGAGUUAUCCUCCUUUGACAUCCCAGUUAGUGAUCUAGAAUGUGAGUUGGUGUCAGAGUUUGCAUUGACAACAAAGUGGGAGACUUAUCCUCAAAUUCCUUUGUUGUUGAAGGGUGUUUUUCCCUACUAUGAAAAUCAAUGAGAUUCAAAAAUUAAGAUUUUCCAAUGUGAUGGAGGAGAAGAGUUCAGUUCAAUUGAAUUUAUUAACCAUGUUCAAAGUUGUGGCAUUGAACUCCAUGUGUCUUGUCCAGGAACUACUCAACAAAAUGGUGUAGCAGAACGAAAACAUCAACAUAUAGUUGAAACUGGGCUUACAAUGUCAUUUCAUGCUAAUAUGCCCUAUCUUUAUGGGUAGAAGUUUUUUUCCACGACUCUGUAUUUGAUUAAUCAUUUACCACAAUGUCAUUUCAUGUGUCUUGCAGAAUGAAAGCUCAUAUCAAAAACGUCACAAAAGACAUCCAGACUAUAGUGGCUUGCAGGUAUUGGGAUGUCUAUGUUUUCCUUCUCUUCAAAAACAAGGGGGUUCAAAAUUUGUCACAAAAACAUAUCCUUGUGUUUUCAUUGGAUACAGUCCAAUACACAAAGGAUAUCGUUGUUAGGAACCAAAAACAAAAAUAGUAUAUAUUUAAGGCAUGUUGUAUUUGAUGAAGAAGCAGCAUUUCCUUUUAAGCCCACUCAACUGCCGAAAAUUCUCAAAAAUUGAGUUUAUCCGAAUUUCCAAGUUUGGACAAAUGGAUUGGCAAAAUUGAUGACUCACACAAAAUCCUUUCAAAUAAGGAGAUUUCUAGAAAGGAAAAACCAAUAGCUUGAUUUCUGACUUUACAAAUUGUUGACUUUAAUGUAGGUACCUCAUUGUUCAAGGAAGAUGCUGCUCUUAACCCUUUGGAGCAGCUAGAUGAAACCAUGGGAGUCCAUAAGCUGUAAAUUCAACCUCUCCUUUAAGAGAGACUGCUGAUUCUCCACAAAAUAAUGUUUCAGUCCCGAAUCCUCUAAUCUCUGAAAGUCAAGCAAAUCAGGAUGUAAUAUUUCCAUCAUCCACUCCAGCAGAUUCUCUCCCAAACAUGGAAGGCAUCUCCACACACCUUGACAUCCAUGACGUGAAAUGCUCAGAUUCAAGCUCUCACAAUUCCCUUCGGCCAGUUCGACUUCGUACGACUCCUUACUAUUUGAAAGAUUAUGCUACAGUUGCCACCAAGGGUCCCCACCCACAUUUCCCCUCCGAACCGAAGACCCUUAGGGAAGCCUUGAAAGAUCCUUGCUGGAUAGCUGCUAUGGAAGAGGAACUUGCUGCCCUCAACACUAAUGAUACUUGAGACUUAGUUCCAAGGCCGCUUAGUAUUAAUAUUGUCGGCUCCAAGUGGAUUUAUCCCAUUAAAACAAAGGAAGAUGGAACCAUAGAUCCUUCAAGGCUCGUUUGGUUGCAAGGGGAUUCACUCAAAUUUCUAGAGUUGAUUAUGAUGAAACCUUCAGUCCAGUAGUUUGACCAACAACCACUAGGUUAGUGAUUGCUCUCUCCCUAUCCUUCAAAUGGAAGAUAAGGCAACUUGAUGUUAAAAAUGCAUUCUUGCAUUGUAACCUCAAAGAAAUUGUCUACAUGGAGCAGCCACCAGGGUUUAUUCAUCCAACUAAGAAAGAUCAUGUUUGCUUACUUAAAAAAUCACUCUAUGGAUUGAAAUAGGCACCUCGUGCCUGGUUUGGUAGACUCUCUAAAUAUCUUCUGCACCUUGGUUUCCAUUGCAUCACAUGUGAUGCCUCUUUUUUUAUAUAUUACAUCCAUUACUCUCAUUUAUGUAGAUGAUAUUCUCCUUACAAGGAAUAACGAUGAGUUUCUCCAACAUCUAAUCUUGAGGCUGAGUCAUGAGGUUAUAAUCAAGGAUCUCAGAUCAUUGCACUAUUUUCUUGGAAUAGAAAUGAAGCCAUUUCCUAGUGGAGUGUACUUGUCUCAACACAAAUACACACGACAUUCUUCACAAAACAAAAAUGUUGGAGAGUGCUCCCCUUGCUACACCAAUGGCUGUAAAAGACAUCUCUUCAAACUCAGAACCCGUUGAUGCUACCAAUCUUUAUGCGUUGAGUGAUGCAGAUUGGGCUAGUUGCACCACAACAAGGAAGAGCAUCACUAGUUUCUGCACAUUCCUUGGUACCAAUUGUAUUUCUUGGUGUGCUAAGAAACAACCCACUAUGUUCCACUCCAGCACUGAAGCCGAAUAUCGAUCUAUGGCCUCCACCAUAACUGAGAUAACAGGGCUCACAUUUCUUCUUCAAGAUAUUGGUGUUCCCUUGGCACAACCCCCACAUUCAUUUUGUGAUAAUAUCAGUGCCCUUUACAUAUCAGUUAACCCUUUGUUUCAUUCAAGAUCAAAGCACAUUGAGCUCGACUACCACUUUGUCCGAGAAAAGGUUGCAGUGGGUCAUCUUAUCACAUGACACAUCCCUUCAUCAUCUUAGCUUGCUGAUAUCUUCACCAAGCCAUUACCCAAGGCUACCUUUCAGAUGUUCAGGGACAAACUGGGUGUUCAACCUCAACCACACACUAGUUUGAGGGGGCAUGUUAAGAAUCCAGCUCAAGAAGAUUCUAAUACAUCUCAGGAGAAUAAAAUCUCCUAGCUAUAGGCUGUAACUCUAGAGAAUAAAAUCACAGAGAAUAAAAUUUCCAAGUUGCAGGCUGCAAAGGAAGGAAAAUAAAUAAAUAUUGAUUUCCUAUUCUGUAAAUACACACUUCCAUAUGUAAAAUAUACACCUUCUAUAUGUAAAAUAUAUACUGUGUAUAUUAAGACCUGCUAGUCAAUGAAAAUAGCAUCGACUUCAUUUAUUCUUUUCUAAACUUUCUUCAGAAAGCACAGGUUGUGUCAUUUUUCUUUUCAAGAAAACAACCUUAACUCCCCAUUGGAUCAUUUUUUAAAUGACUUUGAAGGUGAUAUCAAAAUAUUCUACUCUUUUUUUUUCUCUCUCUCUUGCAACGUUUCAAGAGUGUUUUUCUAACAUGAACUUCAAGACACCAAAAUUAGAGAACAAGUAGACUAAUGGAAUCCCAAGUCCAAAUGGAGGAGAUUGGUAGCAAUUGGGAGGCCUACUGCAAUCAGGAAAGCAUCGCAUGGAACCCACAUACCAAGAAGGCAUAACAAAGUGGAUUGUUAUAGGGCAUGCGUUAGCCAUGCUCAUGCGUACAACCAAUGCGUGAUAGUGCUAUCCUAUGUCCUUUCUUGACACUGACUGCAUGUGAUAUAUCCCCUCAUUUUUCUUUGUAUUUGUUUGAUUUUUUAUUUAUUUAUUUUUUUUUUGUAACCCACCUUGUUUUUUAAAAGUAAAAAGUACACUUUUUGUUUUAGUAAGUGGGAAAGCGCUUGGGGUCUAAGUUUUUUAGAAUAUUUUUGAGAUUAUUAGAGAACAUUCUAUACUACAAGAAAUUUUUUAUUAUUUUAUUGCUUUUAGAUUUUUUUUUUCUCAUGCAUUUUAUUUAAGUGGAUUAUUAUUAUAAUAAUUAUUUUUGAGGCAUGAAAAAUAGAAAAUAAUUUUCUGUGACAGUUUUUUUUUUUUUUUUUUGCAAAUUUUAAUUGCUUAGUAGCUAAGACAUGUCUAGAUUUUGUUUACAAUCCACGUAACUUGGUCUUGUUAAUAUAUUUUGAGUGAGAAUUAUAUUUUAGGUAGUAUCUUAUCAUAUUUAAGACAAGUCUAUAACCAUCAACAUCAAUAUCAAGUUGAGAGUUUCAUCUUUAAAACUAACCACUAACCAAAUAUAACUAGUUUAUCAAGAUGAAGCUCAAUUUCUCUCCCACUCUAACUACUUUUAUAGCCAACAUCAAAAUAAAUUUAAUAAUAGAGGAUCAAAGAUUUAGCAUAUAGUAAGCUAAUUCAUGUUUGAUUUGUAUUACUUUGGGAUUUCUUUAACUUUCAAUCAUUUGAAAGUAGAUGAAGUCAUAUCUUUAAAUUUUUAUGGUUCCUCUAUUUUCUUCUUGUUUUUAUUUUGAUAUUUGAUGUUAUUCUAAAUCCAAGACAUUCUUUAUCAUUUUCUUACAUAUUCUUUUAGGUUUCCAUGGUUUAAUACUAGUUAGUAUGCUCUCUGAUACAUAACAUCUACGGGAUGUAAGUCAAGUGUGAGUUUUUAUAUUGAUCCUAAACUUACAUAUACUUUCCAUAAUCUUAUUUCAUAAUUAAUUCUAAAAUGUGAAUUAUAUUGACUCUAAUCUUACACUUACUUCUCCUACUAUUUAUAUUUGAUUGUGAAUUCUAAAAUUCUUUAUUAUUACAACUCUAAAAGAAUUCAUUAAACAAAUAUACCUCAGUAUUAUCUUUGGGCUAUUAUUCCUCAUAAGAUAUUGCUCACUAUGUCCUUUUACUAUUGCCAUUUUAAAUGUAAUUAGUUAUUUCUUUUUUUUUUCCUUGUCUUUUGAUAUUCUAUGUAGAUACUAGUACCAUCUUCAAGUUUUAAAAAGUUGUGCUUAUUUAGAGCAUGACCAUAGUAGGGAGAGUUCCAUCGAUGUAAUCCUCAACCCGAUUGACAAUGGUUACAUUCAGAAACUAAUUUUUCUAGAUGAGGUAAUUGCCUUAAUCCAAUUUGAUUGUGAGUGGUUGGCUAAGAGUUGGAAGAGAUUGAUGAAUGAACUGAGCAGGGUAAGAUGAUUUGAAUCAAAAACUGGUUUCUGGAAAAUUUUGUUACAUGUUUGGAAUCUGUGGAGGAAUUUCAAUAUUAGAUGAGGGAUUUGUAGCAUAAGAGGCUCCAAGAGGGGUUGAUGAAGAUGAAUCCAUUUUGGAUUGAAGCAACUCUGAUACCAAAUUGGAUCUGGAAAAGAUAGCACAAAGGAAAAGAAUUCAAAAAAUAAGAUUGAUGUGCUUAAUGCUAAAAAGACUAAUCUACUUGAGAAAGAUUAAAUAAUUUAAAAGCGUAUAAGUUUCCAACUAAUUUAAAUUUUUUCCUUAUUUCAAUGGAAAAAUCAAACACUAGAAGUUUUUUUUUUUUUUUUAUCAUUUUUUUUAAGAACCAAACAUAAAAUUAUACAUAUAUAUAUAUAUACAAACAGGCCCAUUACAAUAGGAUAGAUCGUCUCAAGCCUCUUGAUUAUAGAAUAUAUGUGUCAUGCCAAAGACCCCCUCCAAGGACGUGACUAUCAUUUCAAACCUCAAGUUUGAAGACUCAAAGUGCAAAUGACUCAAACAAUUAUCUUGUAACCGUAAGAUCACUAAUUACCAAAUUCUUAUUCAGAGUAGUAAAAUGUACUAUAAUCCUCAAAAUUUAACUUAAAAAAACUAACACAUCAACCACUUUGCUAUUGUCCUAACAACUUCAAACCGAAAUGGUUCAAACAGUAACUAAUUUCUAACAUUUAAACACUGUCCAAAAAUAAAGUUUAAACCAAUGGCCUAAUAAUGACAAAUUCCUAGCCUAACUAUCACUCGCUUGAAUUGAGAGUACUUGAAAAAAAUUAUCAAUGGAUGAGAGUGAAAUUAACUCAUAAAGUUAUUGUUCCCAUAAAUAUUUUUAUAUGUUUAACUACAACUCAAUUGCAAUUAGUAUAGAAGGUUUUUCUAAGUUGAGUGGUUAUGCCUCAUGCAAGGUUCUAUUUAUCUAAAUUAUAGAAUUUGAGUCCUAAAAGUUGGUCAAGAUAGACAAACUCCUAUGACACCAAGCCCUUUGUAUAUUUUCUCCCUUGUUCUAAUUUUUUUAUCUAGUCAAGUGUUUUGAUUGACUAUAGAUGAGAGAAGGGAGUUCAAGUUUAAUAUUCUACUAGGCUUGCUUCGUUGGUGUUUAUACAAGAGAGAGCUCUUCUUUUCUCUACACUCACAACAUAAAAAUGCGUACCUUUCUGUAGAGGUGUACAGGUACAAACACAAACAACUCUCUUUCUUUGUCUCUCUCUCCACGUCUUGAGUAAGACUUUGGAUUUUGGAUGUUAGGUGUAUGCUCAUGUAACAUUCACUACCAUGGGAUUCUUUUUUCACUACAUCAUAAGGGUAUCAUGAGAGUACUAAGAUAUGCCUAGAUCUAGGUCUUUCACUAUUUCAACAUUAGCUUUAAAGCACAGGUUGUAUCAUUUUUUUUUUCAAGAAAACAACCUUAACUCCCCAUUGGAUCAUAUUUUAAAUGAAUUUGAAGGUGAUAUCAAAAUACUCUACUCAUCUUAAGCUUUUUUUUAUGUAAUAUUUUAUCAACAUUUUAGGUAAAAUUAAUGAAAAAAAAUGAUUUUUUUUUUCUCUUGCUUUAUCAGUAUCCAUCUUAGGAAAGAGUGUUUUUCUAACAUGAACUUCAAGACACCAAAAUUAGAAAACAAGUAGGUAGACUAAUGGAAUCCCCAGAACAAAAAGAGGAGAUUGGUUGCAAUUGGGAGGCCUACAACAAUCAGUAGAGCAUCGCAUGGAACCCACAUACCAAGAAGGCAUAACAACGUGGAUUGCUAUAGGGCAUGCGUUAGCCUUGCUUGUGUGCACAACCAAUGCGUGAUAGUGCUAUAGUAUGUCCUUUCUUGACACCAACUGCAAGUGAUAUAUCCCCUAGUUUUUCUUUGUAUUGGAAGAUUUUUUUUUCAAUUUUUGUGUAGCCCACCUUGUAUUUUAAAAGUAAAAAAGUACACUUUUUUAUAGUAAGUGGGAAAGCACUUGGGGUUUAUUGACCAUGUUUUUUGGACAAAAAUGUUUCAAAAUAUUUUUUUUUUAUGUGAUGACCUCUCAUAUCUUUCCGUGAUUACUUAGAUUUUUUUUAAUUAAUUUCUUAAUUAUAUAAAUUUGUGUUUCAACAAAAAAAAAAAAAAAAAAAAAAAAAUCACAAGAAAAUUAUUGUCUAAGGUGGUGUUUGAUUUUUGGCUUAAUAGAAAAAUCAAAAUAUUUGAUUUUUUUUUAUUCAGUUAAAAGUAACCUAUUGAUAUCAACUAAUAUGAUUAAAGUGAACUUAUUAGUAAUAAAUUACCAAAAUUCUCCAUUGGUUGCCUGCUUUCAUAAGUUUCACCAUGUUGAGCACUUCUGUUAACAAUGUAUUAGAAAUUUUUUAAUAUAUUCACAUUUAUCGAAAAACAUAUAUGAUUUGAGACUUUAUGAAAAUAACACAUGUAAUACAAGUUUAUUUAAUAUAAUUGGGCUCAUAUUACAAACAUUCCCUAUAUCAUUUUUUGAAAAUAAAUAUAUUUAAUCUCUAUCCUUUAUUUACAUUCAAGUUCAUUCCUUUUAUUAAAUAUUUUUAGGUAUACUUGAUUUUGGGAAUAAGCAUGGGUAUGAAGGGUUCAAAAGCCCCCUUAUUUCUUUAGCUAAGAGACUAAUUAAUUAUAUAAUUUUUUGUAUUAGUGGUUCACUUUAUUACUACUUUUCGGGACAUUUGUCAUAAUUUAAUAUAUGGAUUUUUGUAUGAAAAGGCAAAUUUCUAGUUAAAACUUUUUUGUUAGCUUAAUUACUACUUCUUGUGUCAAGCCUUCGUACUGCACAUGUCAAAUGAUCGUGGUGUCCUAACCUUUGGGUUUGGGUCAUCACAUCAUUAGCUCGCAUUUCCAUGAGAAGGGAUAUGAUAAAUUAGCAAUGAUGUUUCAUUUUAACGUGCCUUCAAAUUUUUAGGUUGAUGUUUUUCUUGUUGUACUAAAUCUCAUCAACAAGAUAUAAAGUUAAUAUUUCUCAAAAGGUAUAGCAAACACAAAUUCACCAAGAAGACCUACCCUUUUGUCUUCAAAAGAGAUAAAUGCUUGCAUACAUCCCCAAACAAAUAGAGUUUAUCAAGACAUGUUUUCACUUGCAAACACUAAUGCUAUGCAUGGAAAUCCAUAGCUCAGUUCCUUUCCUAAGAAGAUGAAUGGCUCACACCACUGGCCGAAAUAAGCAUUCAACAGCACUCGAGCCUUCAAGCCAAAUACAGUGUCAUAGACUGAUACAUUGCCUACUAUUGAUAUAACACCUAGCACUAGUAAUCUCCACCCUGCUACAUUUAAAUUGUGAACUUUUUUAAAGAGAUCCUAAGCUAAAUUAAACUGCUUGAUUCUUAAAAUCCGUGUAGAUUCUCUUUAAUUUAGAGCAUGGAUGUAAUAAGUCUAACAGGCUCUGCCUCUUUUGUCAUUCUCUUUAGCUCCUGUUCAAACCUUUCCAUGACUGGCGGAGGCAGGCAAAUAGGUAUAACAUUUCCUUCUUCUCCUUUGCUGUUCCUGAACCUCGUACAGAAGCUAAUAAUAGAUAAAGCCCUAGCAAG
RNAcentral lists this long non-coding RNA (256674 nucleotides) under Vitis vinifera (wine grape). RNAcentral describes it as "long non-coding RNA (VVIN_LNC000556)". The record is from RNAcentral. Lineage: Eukaryota; Viridiplantae; Streptophyta; Magnoliopsida; Vitales; Vitaceae.